AUUUCUUCAGCAUUCCUUUCAGCAGCUUCGACUUCUUUUUGCAGACCAUCUAGUGCUAAAGCAAGGUUCUCCUUUUGUUCUUUGAAUUCUUCAACAAAAUUGUUGAAACAGAACAUGUAACGGAACUGCCUUCCUACUGGUUCCACCAUGAGUUCUGCUAUCUUAGAUAUAAUGGAUCCACCCACACUUUCGAGAGCCAUUUUCCACCAGUCUGAAAAUCAGAGAAAUGAGGAUACAGGACGUGAGAGUGAGUCACUACAAGUAAAACAGGCGCAGAGAGAAUGGGAAUAGGAAUUCCAUUACCGUAAUUUGGGAAAAUAUGCGCGGAAAGCACUGGUACUGAGAGCUCAAUGAAAUAGCGGGAGGAAGAAAAGGAGAAGGCCUUUAGCUCUGUAUGGAAUCCAGCUUCAAAAGCAACAAGGCAAGGUAUAAGGAUUCUAACUGACACUUGUGAGUUAAAGCAGUAAUUCCCAUUAAAAAUGCAUUUUGAUGACAUAAUUAAGAUCAUAUUGAGACAGUGGCAAACAAAAAAUAAAUGUAUAAAAGUACUCACCUAGCAAAGAAAGAAACGAAUGAAAGGUUCAGGAUAAUCACUUAGCUCGCUUCCAACAACAAAUAUAAUUAAUUAAUCUAAGCUAUGAUCGGUCAAAGUUUUUUUUAGUUUUAUUCUUUUUUUAAAAAAAAAAAAACAGGAAAAAACUUGCAAAGAAAUAGAAUUACUGGAAUGAACACAAUAAAAGAUGAAACUCAAGCAAUUAAAAAUAAAUUAUCUAUGAUGAUCAUGUCUGUGUCACACUCAAUGAGGUAAUCACUAUUACAAUAUUAAAUAAAUAAAUAAAAGCUAAAAGAACUAGGUUUUUGGUGGCAUCCAGAGUGCGGUUACUUUCUUCAUCCUUCUUUUGUGGUUUUAUUUUAUUUCAGUCCUUCAAAUCUUUUUCUUUUGCUAUUUCAUCGAGUUGCUUUGCUCUUGAGUUGAUGUGCUUGCCCUAGAAUAUGCAUUAUGCUAGGGAUUACAAUUACAUUACAUAAGAAAUUAUACUUACAGAUUAUAAUUAAAAUUUUCAGUUUUUUUUAAACAAAUUUAUGAGAAAGUACCAAUAUUACAACGUGAGUAAAUGAUAGGAGAAUUUUAAAUCUUUUUGUGACAUGGUGACCAGCUGAUCCAAGUAACCAAUAGAUUAUCGCCACUUGUUCAACCUGAUCUGCACUUUAAGAUAGGGGUAGUCAUAACUAUUCCUCGUUUUGUUUGAGGAAAAAUAAUUUUUUUAAAAAUAAAUUUUAAAUUUUUCUAUAUUUAUUUGCUAUUAAAAAAAUUAAUCAAUAAAAAAUAUUUUUUAGUAAAAAAAAUUAGUUUUAUUUUUUAAAAAGUAUUUUUCUUUUAUUUUAGGCGGAAAAUACUUUCCAGAAAUUGUGAAAAAUUUAGAAAUAUCAUAUUAUUUGUUGAUUAUAACAAAUUGGAUCCUCAAACUUUUAAUUGCUAUAUAUUUUGUUUUGAAUAUUUUUGUUUUCAAUUUCAUCUGUUAUAAUUUGAUUUUAUAUUAAAUUUGAUCCUUAUUUUUAUGAUUGUUAUUUGUUUUUCUCUUUUUAUUUUUUUAAUUGAAAUUUUUUAUUUAUCAAAUUUGAUCAUCAUUCUUUUGAUUGUUAUUUAUUCUAUUUGAAAUAAUUUAUGAAUAGAGGGAGAGGUUGUUGGAGGCAGAAAAGGAAAGACUACGAUACUAUUUUUCUCUAUAUUUUGAGUUUUAGUUGUUAACAGCCAUGCUCGUUUGAUUUUAUUUUAUUUUUAUUUAUUUUUUUCAUGCUCUUGCAGAUAAGGCAGGAAAGGAGGACCUGAAAUCACGACAGCGAAUAAGGAGAGAAAUAGCGUGUUUGUUUUUUAUUUUUGAAAUUAUUUUUUUAUAAAAUUAUUUUUUUAUUCUAAAUUAAUUUUUUGUAUUUUUAAAUUGAUAUUAAAAAUAAUUUAAAAAAUAAAAAAAUAUAUUAUUUUAAUAUAUUUUUAAAAUAAAAAAUAUUUUUAAAAACAACUACUUAUUCAAUCACUUAAAAUAAAAACCUUAAAAUCACGGCAUGAUAAAAGGAGGAAGAAAGGAAUGGGACAAAGGAGGAAGAAAAUAAGGUCACGUAUAAAAUAGAAGAUGAAAAUUAGUAUGAAAAAGAGGCUAUUUGUUUUUUUAAUGUGUCAGAGUGGUUUUUAUAAUUAUAUUUAAUUUAUAAAAAUAUUAAAUUAAUAUAUUUUUAAAUAUUUCUUGUUAUUAUUAUAUAUAUAUAUAUAAUAUUCUAAUAUUUUUUUAAAUAAAAAAUUAUUUUAAAAAAAUAUGUGUCACAAUACUAAAUUAUAGUACAAAUUAAAAUAUAAAAGAGUUUUCUAUUACUAUUUACCAAGACUUAUUUUGUUGUGGAUGUGGAUAUUAAUAGUGAAUUUUUUUAAAAUUUUCAAUUUGAUAUUUGAAUUUUUUUUUUUCAUAAUCGAAUCUCUUUAUGCCCAAAUUAAAACUCAAUUGCAUUUUGUUUUUUAAGUAUAAGAGUUGAAUUCAAAGAUAGAUGACUGAAAUGAAAAACUUGGUAAAAAUAUGCGGCGACAUUGUAAUUGUUUGCAAAGUUCAUUUUAGUCCCUUAUCUUUUUGAGCUACUAAGUAACAUGUCCCUAUAAUUUCUCAACAUUACAUUUUAUCCAGAAUCUCAGAUUAUGCUCUACGGACUAAACUAAAUUUUUCAUAAAUUGAGAGACCAAACUGAAAUUUAUCAUUUUCAAUCUUAAACCUAGAAUUUUCACAUAUCACCUACUGAUAUAACAAGAUUUCUAACUCAAAUUCACCAUUUAAACAAACCAUAACUCAAAAUCAUCAUUUUUACUUAAAGUCUUUCAAAAUCAACUAAAUAACUCAUUAUUCAUAACAAUCAACACAUAAUAUUCAAAUCAAUUCAUCAAUCAAACCCAAAACACAAUCUUCAAAACUCUAAUAUUCAACAAAACAGAAAAUUAAAGCUAAGAAAAACACAUUUAUACACAUCAAAGCGUAAAUAUUCUUACAUUUUAAUUUAUUUUCUCUAACUCUCUUAUCCUUUUGUUUAUCUUUUUCUCUUUUCUCUUUUUCUUCUUUCACUCUCACGGUUUUUUCUCUAAGAAUUCAAAUCUUUCUCUUUUUUAUUCUAUUUAUAUUUAUGAACUCUUUGUUCAAUUACUACAAUAUCGUUCAUUCAUUUAUACCUACUUUUAAGCCUCCAAGAGUUUUGUUGUUUUUUUCUAUUCUCUUUUAUUUCCAAAUCAUCACAAUAAAAUUGUUUUCUUUUUAUUAAGCUGCUAAUUUAUGCAGCUUUAGCUCUUGUUCUCUCUUCUUGUCUUGCUAUUCUGAUUUUAUCUUUUUCUUUACAUGAUAUAAGAGCAGGUUCUUACCUCUUGAAGUCUGCUGGAUAAACCUAUCAGCAGAAGAUCCUGAAGCGAUCCCAAAUCACAGCUUCAAUCCCCACCACAACCAAUCUCCUCUUUCCCGUAGUCUGUCGUCCUCAAUUGGGAAAUGAUCUCAAAAAAUCACUUGAUGCAACAAGUAGGGUAGAGAAAUAUAAGACUUCAACAAAGAAUCAAACUCAAAAAAAUAAAAGUAAUUGUCUAUGAGAAGCAUUUCUGUGUCACACACUCAAGUAAUAUGAUUGACCUAUUACAUUAUACAAAUUAACAAUAAUAAUAAUAAUAAUAAUAAUAAUAAUAAUAAAAGAACUAGGUUUUUGAUGGCAUCCAGAGUGCUGUUACUUUCAAACAAAGAGGCUUGUGCAUGCGGUGUUAUGCUGUUCGUGUAGGCUAAGAUCUCCUAUGAAUACAUUUGUAAAAUCAUACAAUUGUAUUCUUUUUAUUAAGCUGCUAAUUUAUGCAGCUUUAGCUCAUAUUCUCUCUUCUUGUUUAGCAAUUCUGAUCUGAUCCUUUUCUUUGCAUGAUAUAAGAGCAGGUUCUUACCUCAUGAAGUCUGCUGGAUGAACCUAUCAGCAGAAAAUCCUGAAUCAAUCCCAAAUCACAGCUUCAAUCCCCACCACAAUUACCAAUCUCCUCUUUCCUGUAGUCUUUCGUCCUCAAUUGGAAAAUGAUCCAAAAUCAACAACCAGUUCGGAGAUAGUCUGUGUGAAAAUAAACGGCUGAGAGAUGAAAUGUGAAGGUUAUGGUGAGAAAUUAGAUGACAAACUUACUUUGUCCUACUAAUGCUUUUGCUUUCAUUGUUUCAACAAGUAAAAGAGACAUAAGCAUAAUCAUAAGAAUCCUGUUUUUUCUAUUUUUUUCACCUAUUUAUACAUCAAAAAAUGGCAGUUUUUCUUGUCCUUUCUUUUUAAAAUCUUAUGCCUUGGGUGAGGAAAUUAGUGGAGCAUAAGACGUUUUAAAAGACAACAAAAAGAAGCAAUGUCUCAUCUUUUGAUAUGGUGGUCUUCCAUGAUCAGUUUGUUGAUGAAGAUAUCGAAAGAUUCGAGUCUCCGUUCUAGCUCAGGUUGGAAGCUAGGCCGAAGGCUAAGCUUCUUUUAAUUAUGAAUUGUUUAUGCAAAGGAAACCCAGAAGCUUGAACAAACAGAAAUGCCUUGUUGAUUUCUCUGCUACUACUCAUUAUUUCCAAUAUUAUUCCAUUAUCUUACCCGAAAGCAAUUAUACAAGAAAUUUCAUUAUCCUGCCCCAAAGGCAAUUUAUUACAAGGACUUCCUUUAACCUCCUUGAAGGCAAUUUAUUUGAUGAAAAUUCCUUUAAUCCACCUCAAAGACAAUUUAUCUUAGGGAAUUCCAACGACCCAGGCAAUUUAUUUGCUGAAAUUCCUUUAACCUCCUUGAAGGCAAUCAAGAUUUUAAAUUAAAAACCAUCUAGGUGGUGGCCCAGUGGUAAGAACCUGGGACCAAGAGGUUUGCUCAUCUGCAUAAUUAAAUAGUACUGUUACUGUAAACUACUAGGAAAUUCAUGCGUAGAGCCAAAAUGUUAACAAUAGCACAACGACCCAGGCAAUUUAUUUGCUGAAAUUCCUUUAACCUCCUUGAAGGCAAUCAAGAUUUUAAAUUAAAAAGCCAAAAAUGAACGCAUCUACUCUUGCAAGAAUGGACUCAAAAGGUCAGCUAAUCCGCAUAAUUAAAUAGUACUGUUACUGUAAACUACUAGGAAAUUCAUGCGUAGAGCCAAAAUGUUAACAAUAGCAUUGAUUCGGUCAGGGGCUCUGGUGUAUAGAGAGGACCUUGCCGUUAGAAACUAUGAACCCACUAUUUAUUAAUCCAUUUCUAUUUAGUACUAUUUACUAUUUAUUUAUUUUUAUUUACUAUAUUUCUGUAUGUGAUACCUAAGUACCAAUAAAAUUUGAGAUUCCUUCAAUUUUUUAGGUGCAUGUACAAAAUCAAUUCAAGAGUGUGUAUCCUUAACUAUAUAUCAGGCUAACCUUUACAGGCUGAGCUAGCAAUCGAUAAUUAAUUUUUAAUGAAUUCAUUUUUUAUUUAAAAUAAGGAAAAGGACAUUGUUACACCUUAACUAUUAUAAUUGUUACACCUUACCAAAGGGUUAAUUUAGAAAAAAAUUAUCAACUUACAGGUCACUGGCCGAGGUCAACUUAUGAUUAAGUAGAUCAAUUUAAAUUAAUUAUUUUUAUUAAAAUGAUAAUGUUUUGUUUUUUUUUUUCUUGAUAUUAAUUUGGCUAAUUUUUAUCAAAUCAAAUCACUAAAAACUUAAUCAAAUUAAAUUUCAUCAAAUCAAUAAUAUUUGAUGUAGUUGAAUUUUAUAUAUAUAUAUAAAUAUUUGAAAAUAAUUUAAAAAUGAUGUUUUCAUUAAUACCCAUUCUCAAUGUUUUUUUUGCCUUAUUUAGCUUUUUUUUCAAUUAGUUUUAAUUUUAUUAGCUUGGUUUAGUUUUUUAAGAGGUUAAUAUGAUUUAUUUGUAAUUUGUUUUAUAUAUUUCAGAUAUAUUAAGUAUUUUUUUUAUGUGUGUGUCAAUUUCUUUUAUAUAUUUAUUUUAGUAAAUAAAUUUAUUAAAUAUAACCAGAGAAAUGACUUUUUUAAUCUAUAUUUGUUUCUUAAUUUCUUAAUUUUUCCACCUGCUUUUUUAACUAUUGAUAAUGACUUUUUAUUAUUAUUAUUAUUCACACAAUAUAGUGCUGACACCCGCAGGUUGAGACUUGAGUAAACGAAAAUGAAAUAUUUUGGGUGUCUAUCUCCUAGUUAUGGUAUUAUUAAUAUUUGAGGGUUUUGAUUUGGAAUAAUUAGUGAAGAUUUAAUUAGAACUUAGCCAUGUACUUUAUUAAAAUUAAUUAUUUAGUCCUUAAAGUGUCAUGGAUAAUUAAAAAGUCUAUUAACUAGUGUUGACCACCCUCCAUUUACUAUGUUUUUCUCUAAAAAAUGCCUUCCUUCCUAAUGAAAUUUCCGCAACUGCAUCAGAUGUUUAUUCCCGUUCAAAUGCUCGCAACAGGGAAAGCAUAUGAUAAAGAGAAUGGAACAAGAUUCUUGUCUAUGGAGGGAAUCAAUGCUUCAACUUGCCUUGUGAUUUGCUUUAAUAAGAUUUUUUUUUAUAUAAAAAACAACUUUUAAAUUAUAAUUAAAAGUAAAAUAUCAUAAAUUUAUUUUAUAUUAAAAACCGAAUUCAUUAAACAUAACCAGGGUUGUUUAUUUUUUGUAAUGACUUUGUUUUUUAUUUAUUUAUAUAAUAAUUCAUGAUUUAUUUAAUUCGAUGCGUGCAUAAGUUUUUUAAUUUAUAUUUAGAAUUUUUCUUAAUGUAAAAAAAACAUGUUCAUAAAUUUUUAUUUUUAUGAUUUCAGUUUGAUUCUUAUUUUUAUGAUUUUUUAUGUUUUUUCCUUAUCCUUUUAUAAAAGUUUUUUUGUUUAUAAUUUCACCCUUCAAUUCAAUAUGAUGGAGUAAUUUUUUUUUUCAUUUUUUGCUUUAUAUUGUUGCCUCUCUCCUUUUGGGAAUAUUGUUGCCUCUCUCCUUUUUUUUUUUUUUUUUUCAUUUUAUCAGCUUUUGCAUGUGGAAUAUUGAGUCUUCUAUUUUUUAUCCACAGAAUUGAAUCCUUUAUAUAUUCUUAAAACUAGAUUUGAAUUCUAAUGAAGGAAUAAUAAAGAUUGUUGCAUGUACAAAUUCUCCUUCAAAAAAAUAUAAUAAAGUAUCAUGGAUUUAAGUAUAACUUAGCCCUGUAAUUUAUUAAAAUUAAUUAUUUAGUACGUCCUUAAAGUAUCAUGGAUAAUUAAAAAGUCUAUUAACUAGUGUUGACCACCCUCCAUUAAUUAUAUUUUUCUCUAAAAAAUGCCUUCCUUCCUAAUGAAAUUUCUCCAACUGCGUACUUUUCUUUUCCUUAUUCUAAUUUUUAAGAAAGAAGAAAAAACAUAUUAAUUGGAAAAGAACUAAACAAUAUGUAACUUUAAAAAUAUAAGAAUUAAACAUAUAGUUAUUGAAACUAUGGGAUUAAUUAAUUAUUGUUAUCAAAUUAUAGAGAAUAAAUUAUAAUUGAAUAAGUGUUUGUGUGGAGGAGUGUUUGCAAAUACCAUGGGAGAUGCGAUUUGUAUUAUUAAUUUAGUUGUUGGUAUAAUAGUCCAAAUAUUGUGACGACCAUUUUAUAGAAAUGAGCACAAUGUUUUUAGAAUAUUUAUAAAAAUUGACUUAAACCAAUCAAAAAAAUGAUUUUUGAGUUUGUUAAACAAUUUUAAUAAAAAUAAUAAAAAUAUAAAAUAGAAUUGAAUUGGUUGGAUAUGACCCAAACUAAAUUAAAUAAAAAAACUUAACCAAGCUAUAUUUCAAUGAUCUUGGUAUGGAUUUGUUUUUAUAAAAAAAACAUGUUCAUCCUUUUUUAAACUUCUUGUGGCCUGUUCAUUCAUACUUUAUUAAUAUUUAAAUUAUUUUUUUAUAUUUUUUAAAUUUGUUUUAAUGUUAUGAUAUUUUUUAAUUUUGUUUUGAUUGAUACAUAAAAAUAUUGUUUUUAUUGAUUAAAUUUUAUUUGGAAUUAUUGUUGAUAUUACAAAGACUUAUUUAUUCCUAUUCAGUUGAUAAUGACUACUUAGAUUUUGUAAAAAGAGUUACUUUCUUUAAUAGCCAAUUGAAUGAUUUUUUAUGAGAAAAAUAAAACAUCUUUUGAUGUGAAAAAAAGACACCAUGCACCGUCGUGUGAUACGAUGCUUUUUUUCUUGUGGCAUGUUUUUGAUGCUUUUGAUACGAUGUUCUUCCAGGAAUUUUUUAUCUUUUUAUUAGGCGGUCUAAGAUGCACAGUCGUGUGUGUGUCUAUAUAUAUAUAUAUAUAUAUAUAUAUAUAUGUAUGUAUAUAUAUAUAUAAGUCAUCGAUGCAUGUUUUUAUUUGGUAUUCAAUUCAAUUUCAUAAACAUUACUUUACUCUCUAAUUAAAUUGCUGCAACUAUAUAUAUUAUACCCUUAACCAGACUAUUAGUUUACCAUUCCUGACUAGCUAUCGUAUCCUUUUGGCAAGAAUCAUUGCCAAUUACUUUAUUCGUAGUAUGUAAGAGUCAUUAUCCAACCAUUUUCAAUUCCAUUUCAAAUCACUUUCUUUGAUAAAUUAGUUUAUAAAAUAUUUUUACAAAAACUCCAUACCAUACAUCUAAACAUCACAUAUGUUCAAAUUAAUUUGAACAUAGCAAGUGUUAUAUCUUCUUUUAAAGAUUGUAAAGGACAAAUAUACAAUUACAUUUUCCUUUUUGGGUCUCAAUUACAUUUGCAUUUACAUAUUGUUCACCUAGUAAUUUCUUUUAUAAAAUUUAUAAUAAACUCAAAAAAAUAAAUAGUACGAGAAACAAAGUUGAUAGACCCAACCGAGAACAUGCUCACGAGUUUAAAUAUCUUAAUUUUAGUUUGUAGAACAUAAAGAGAAAUAGAAUUGAUCCAUUAUUUUGUUUGCAGAACAUAAAUGAGAAAGCAACGUCAAUAUAUAAACUUAAUUAAUAAAUAUAUAGUUGGUUUUGUUUUACAAUAAAGAAUUAUUUUGUUCUAUAAAAGAGUAAUUGAAUUUUAUAAAUAAAAACACGAAAUUAUUUAUUUCCAUGCAAGAUGAAGUCAAGAUUCACCACUUAUUUGUGUGAGGCAAAAUAAUAAUAAUAAUAAUAUUAUUAUUAUUAUUAUUGUUAUUGUUAUUGAAUAAGAUGAAGUCAAGAUUCACCACUUAUUUCCAUGCAAGAUGAAGUCAAAUUUCAAAGUUCCCUUUACAAAUCGGUUGGAUAUGGCCCAAACUAUAUUAUACCCUUAACCAGACUAUUAGUUUACCAUUCCUGACUAGCUAUUGUAUCCUUUUGGCAAGAAUCAUUGCCAAUUACUUUAUUCGUAGUAUGUAAGAGUCAUUAUCCAACCAUUUGGUAUUCAAUUUCACGUUCUUUGAUAAAUUAGUUUAUAAAAUAUUUUUACAAAAACUCCAUACCAUACAUCUAAACAUCACAUAUGUUCAAAUUAAUUUGAACAUAGAUAGCAAGUGUUAUAUCUUCUUUUAAAGAUUGUAAAUGACAAAUAUACAAUUACAUUUUCCUUUUUGGGUCUCAAUUACAUUUGCAUUUUCAUAUUGUUCACCUAGUAAUUUAUUUUAUAAAAUUUAUAAUAAACUCAAAAAAAUAAAUAGUACGAGAAACAAAAACAAGAAACAAAAUUGAUAGACACAACCGAGAACAUGCUCACAAGUUUAAAUAUCUUAAUUUUAGUUUGCAGAACAUAAAGAGAAAUAGAAUUGAAUAUGAUGAUGAUGAUUUCUUUUUUCAUUUUCAGGAGACCUAUAAUAGCCGGUUGAGGGAGAGAUAUGGGGACGAUCCUUUGACCCUCCGGAUUUCGAUCCGGAUUUGUGGAUGGAGGUCGGAUCGUUCGGUGGACUCGAUAAAAAUCGGCUGUACGGGCUCUCCAACACUACGACCGAGAACUUGCGGUCGGCCCGUAGUGUCUCAACUGUUGGGAGCUCCAAAUCAGUAUCGAGCACCCAAUCUGAGGAUAUCAUGACCUUGAAACAACACACAGCUAAUCUCACCGAGAAAUACGAGCAACUCUUGGCAAAUUAUGAUCAACUCCGCCAAAUUGUCAUGAACAUGACUUCACAGAGUGGUGCUACAUGUCCGCCCCCUUUUUGGCCGUAUAACAACCAGCCUCCUCCUCCUCCUCCUCCAACUCCGCCAUUGUGCUAAUUUAAUAUUUUUUUGAAACACAUUCAAUUUGUAAUGAAUAUUAUUUAACACUAUUUUUUUGUUCUUAAUGUUUAAUAAAAUUUUAUUUGCAUAAUUGGUUUUUUUACUAUUAAUUUAUAUAAUUUUAUGUUAUUUAUUCUAAAUCAUUUUUAAUUUUUUUAAAAUACCCACCGAGGGAUUUACCGACGGAAUGUAUCACCGACGAAUUUACAGACGGAUAACGUUCGUCGGCCUUUCACCGAUAGCUAAAAAAUAUUUACUAUAUAUGCCACUAUCACCGACGGAAUAAAUUCGUUGGUAAGGUUCCAGCGGGAAGUUUUUUUUUUGGCGUGCAAUUUCCGUUUGUAAAACCAUCGAUAAUAUUUUUUUUACCGACAACCUUAGCGACGGAAUGCGGUAUUACCGACAAACAUUAUGCCGACGGACGUUUUUCGUUGGCGAUUUAGUCGGUAAAAAAAUUACUGACAAACUCUGAAUCUCAUACCGACGGAAUAUGUCCGUCGGUAAAACUGUGAAAUCUUGUAGUGAUUUAGAUUUGGGUUGGUUUUUUAUUUUUAAAUCAAUUAAAUGUUUAUUUAAGAUCAUGAAUGGACUUAUUGAGGUACCUUUUACCUAUAGCUCACUUUGAUACCCCCUCCGAUAUAUCUAACUCUUCAAUAAAGGAGCAAUUUUUCAUUACAUUCAGCACAAUAUUUAUUUCUCUAACAUGUAUGAAGAUGGCACGAGUUAAAAUGAUUGUGUAAAUUAAUUUACAAUAACGAGGCCUUCGUAUAUAGUAAUUUAUCCCAGACAAGAUGACUAAAGUACUCAAAAGAUUCAAGUAGACGUUGUUUUAACACCUUGAAGGAUUCUGAAAUUCUGCCUUGCUCGAACGCGCACAAAAUUUGCCUUUUCUUUUAUUCCUAAUCGGAUUCGUAUGCAUGCAAAAUUAAAUCACCUUGAAAACUCUUAAUCUCUAUCUCGGCUUUUAAAUAUAUAAUUUAUAGCCAUUGUAAAUUCACAAAAAAAUAUUGAUUUUUUUUUUAAUCUCUUGGGUUAUAAUAACCAUAUCUAUCCGGUGUUGUUUAUUGAAAUAUUUUUCAGUUAUUUUGGAUGAGUAUAAAAUGAAUUCAUAGUUUUUGAACUACAAAACCUAAGUUUUAUCUUGCAAACACCCCCAAAAACUUUUAGUAUUCUCAAAAACUCAAUUUUCAAUCAUAAAAUACCUUCUAAUUAGCCUAAAUGUGAAAAUCAAACCUAAUAAAAAAAAUUAUGGGUCUAAUAUACUUUUUCUAGCACGGUUAAAUGACAAGAUCAUUUUAAUCGAACUUCUUUUUUCAAGAUGAAUCUAUUAAUAUUAAAAUCGGAUUUUUUAGAUCAAAAUAUAAUCAGUCAAAUCCUUUUUUUUCUCCAUUUUCUGACCACAUUCUCUCCCUCCUCUCAAUAUUCAAUAACUUAAAAUAUAAUAAAAAUGAAUUUUUAAGAUUGAAUCAUAAAAAUUUAAAGCUAUAGAAUUAAAUAAAUCUGAAAAACAAAAACUUCAAGAACCAUAUUAAAUUUUUCUGCAACUUCUAAAAGGAUUGCAUUAUAGGAGAAUAGUUUAAUGCAUGAUAACUUGAGUCUUGCUACACAAUAAAAUUUGUUACAGUAAGAAUAACAAAUGUUUUAAUUUAGAAUAUAACUAGUUAGGUGCUCACACUACAUCGCGGGUUCACAUUUUAUUUUCAUAAAAAAUAUCAUAAAAAUUUAUAAUACAAAUAAUAAUAUUUUUUCAAUAUUAAUAAUCAUAUUUUUUCAAAUUUAUUAAUAAUAUUUAUAACACAAAUAAUAAUUUUUUUAUUAUAAUUGUAUUAAUUAUAAUAAAAAUAAAAUAUUUAUAACAUAAAUGAUAAUAUUUUUAAUAGUAAUACUAUUAAUUAUAAUAAAAAUAAUAAUAUUUAUAGCACAAAUGACACUAUUUUUAAUAUUAAUACUUUAAAUUAUAAAAAAUAUAUAUAUUUAAAAUACAAAUAAUUAUAUUUAGAAACCUAAAACCUAAGAACCUUGGGUUUUGAUAAAGGAUCCAAUAGAAUUAGGUUCUGACGCAAGACCCUUUAAGCUUGGGUCUUGAUACGGGACUCAAGACAAUCGGGUCCUGACACAGGACCCGAUUCGAAAGGUAAAAAUAUAAAUUAUUGUUCUUAUUAUCAUUAUUAUCAAUAAUAAAUUUGACAUAAAAUAUUAUUACCACCAAAGAAAAACUAUAUAGUUGAUUUGAAGGAUAAAAUUAAUAUUAAUAAUAAUAAUAAUAAUAAUAAUUAUUAUUAUUAUUAUUAUUAUUAUUAUUAUUAUUAUUAUAUGUGCUAUAGAUAUUAUUAUUUUUAUUAUAAUUGAAGGUAUUAAUAUUAAAAAUAAUAUUAUUUGUGUUAUAAGUAUUAAUAUUUCUAUUAUAGUUCAAAGUAUUAUUAUUUAUGGUAAAAAUAUUAUUAUUUUUAUUAUCAUUGAAGGUAUUAAUAUUAAAAACAGUAUUAUUUAUGGUAUAAAUAUUAUUAUUUAACUUGUCUGCCUAAAUGUUUAUAUUUUUGAGUCUUUAAAAAACAAUUGUGGUUUUUCUUCGAUAGUAAUAAUAGUUUUUUUUAAUUUAUUGAUGAUGAUGAUGAUGAUAAUUUUUAAUUUUACCUUUCAAAAUAAAAUUUAUGGUUGUUUUUCAAUAUUACUAAUAUUUGUUUUUCAAAUUUAUUUAUUAUUUUAUUAAUAAUAUUAAUUAUAAUUAAAAUAAUAAUAUUUAUAAGACAAAUAAUAAUAUUUUUAUUAUAAUAAAAAUAAUAAUAUUUAUAACACAAAUGAUAAUAUUUGUAAAUUCACAAAACAAUAUUGAUUUUUUUUUAAUCUCUAGGGUUAUAAUAACAAUAUCUAUCCGGUGUUGUUUAUUGAAAUAUUUUUCAGUUAUUUUGGAUGAGUAUAAAAUCAAGUCAUAGUUUUUGAACUACAAAACCUAAGUUUUAUCUUGCCCCAAAAACUUUUAGUAUUCUCAAAAACUCAAUUUUCAAUCAUAAAACACAUUCUAAUUAGUCUGAAAGGUGAAAAUCAAACUUAAUAAAAAAAAUUAUAAGUCUAAUAUACUUUUUUUAGCAUGGUUAAAUGACAAGAUUAUUUUCAUCGAACUUCUAUUUUCAAGACGAAUAUUAAUAUUAAAAUCAGUUUUUUUAGAAGGGAAUAUGAUUAGUCAAAUCCUUUUUUUUUCUUCAUUUUCUGACCACAUUCUCUCUCUCCUCUCAAUAUUCAAUAACUAAAAAUAUAAUAAAAAUAAAGUUUUAAGAUUGAAUCAUAAAAAUUUAUAGGAUUAAAUAAAUCUGAAAAACAAAAACUUCAAGGACCAUAUUAAAUUUUUCUGCAUCUUCUUAAAGGAUUGCAUUAUAGGAGAAAAGUUUAAUGCAUGAUAACUUGAGUCUUGCUACACAAUAAAAUUUGUUACAGUAAGAAUAACAAAUGUUUUAAUUUAGAAUAUAAAUAGUGGGUUCACUUUUUUAUAUAUAUAUAAAACAUAUCAUACAAAUAAUAAUAUUUUUUCAAUAUUAAUAAUAAUAUUUUUUCAAUAUUAAUAAUAAUAUUUUUUCAAAUUUAGUAAUUAUUUUAUUAAUAAUAUUUAUAACACAAUUGAUAAUAUUUUUAAUAUUACUACUAUUAAUUAUAAUAAAAAUAAUUAUAUUUAUAGCACAAAUGACACUAUUUUUAAUAUUAAUACUUUAAAUUAUAAUAAAAAUAAUUAUAUUUAAAAUACAAAUAAUUAUAUUUAGAAACCUAAAACCCAAGAACCUUGGGUCUUGAUGAAGGACCCAAUAGAAUUGGGUUCUGACGCAAGACCCUUUAAGCUUGGGUCCUGAUACUAGACUUAAGACAAUCGGGUCCUGACGCAGGAACCAAUUCAAAAACGGAUAAUUCCAACUCUGGCGUUGGUAACUAUUACGUAGCUAUAAAAUAAAUUUAGAUCAAUAUUUUUUUAUUCCUAACUUUAAAGCUAUUGAAUAAAAAAAUAAACUAAAUUCAUCUUAUUACGCAUUCACAUAUUUUUUAUUUCUUAUGUAGUUAAAUAAAAAAACAAAAAAAACAAUUAAAUCAGUGUUUUUAUUCAUGACUCUAGCGUCAGUGAAUAAACAAAAAAAAUAUUAUUUUUUCAUACAUGCACAUAUUUUUUUUUGCUAAAUAAAAUAAAAUAUAACGAAUAAAAAUAAUAUAAAUUUAAACCAGUAUUUUAUUCCCGACUCUGGCGUUGGUAAAUAAAUCAGUAAAUUUAUAUUAUUUUUAUUCAUGAAUACACAUAUUUUUUUAUUUUUUUAUUUUUUAUUUUUUUGGGGCUGGGCCCAGCUCAGCCCACAUGGGCUGGGCUAGCCCAGCCGGCCCAGCCCGGUCACUGGCCCAAGCCAGUGACCCGGCUGGGUCACAGCACGCAUGAACUAGUUUCAUGCGUGCAUGGCGCUGCGCGAAGGUAAUUAAUUACCUUCGCACACUGCUAAAUGCACUGAACUUUCGAAAGUUAAAAAACGAAGAAAACAGAGGAAGCUUACCUUGUUGCAGGUUGCUUCGCCGGAGUGUCAGCGUGUCGGGCGACGAUCAGUGGUGGCGUCCGUCAACAGUAAGCUAUAAUUCCUCCUUCGACCUCUGCCUUACUGCCCUCUGUUUCCUCUGCCCUCGUCUGAAAAAUUAUUCAUGUGCUCUGUUUUUCAAAUUCUCUCUACUCUCUCUCGGUUUGUUUCUGUUUUCGUUGUUUUAAGGCCGGUAUUGGUGAGGGAAAGGUUCACUUCUGGUAUGGGGUUCUAAAAAAAACUUAAAAAUUCGGCUGGUAUCUUUGUGUUUCUCUCUUGGGGUUUCGUUCGUCCCUCUCUCUCUCUAGCCAACCCCUGUUCUUCGGUGCUCCUCGGUUUAUAUAGAGCUCGGGCGGUAGGCUGAGGGUCGACCACCAUUAAGGCGCCCCUAACUGAAGCCAACGGACGACGAUUACUGCUGCAACGUUCUCCCUCCUUUACUGUAGAAAACGGUCACUGGCUUAAAGGAGAAGAAGAUGAACAGCGUCUUCAAAACGACGCCGUUUGGGAUAUGAGAUGGCCAUUUGCGUUUUGACCCGUGAAGUUUCGCAACUUUUAUAAUUAAGCCCCUGGUUUAAACUGUAAUUUCUCCUGCAUUUCGGCGCCUUUUACAAGUUAGUCCUUGGACUUUAAUCUGUUGCAAUCGUGCCCUAAUUAACCCCAAACUUUGCUAUUUCUUCAAUUAAGUCCCUAAGUUCAUUAAUUUAAUUCAAUCCAAGUCCAAUUAAGUCUCAAAACUUAUCAAUUAUCCAAUUAAGCCCCUGAUUGGAUUAAUUAAAUUAAUUCCAAGAUUAAAUAAGUCUCAAAACGUAUCAAUUUUCCAAUUAAACCCUUGAUUGGAUGAAUUAAAUUAAUUUCAAGCUUACUUAAGUCUCAAAACUUAUCAAUUCUUCAAUUAAAUCCUUGAUUGGAUUUAAUUAAAUUAAUUCCAAGUUUAAUUAAGUCUUAAAACUUAUCAAUUCUCUAAUUAAACCCUUGAUUUGAUUAAUUAAACAAGUAAAAAAUUUAAUUUAAAUCUUUAAACUUCCAAUCAUGUUACCCUUAACCCAAAUUUUAAUUCAUUCUUCAUUUAUUUCAUUUUUAUUAUUUAUUUUUCAUCAUCAUUAUUAUAUUUUUUUUCAUUAUUUUUCUUUUUAUCAUUUUCCAGUAAAUAAAAUAAUAAUAAUAAUUAAAAUAAAAUGGUCAAAAAUUGGGUUAUGACAACAUCUAUGGAAAUUCAAUCAUUUAAAAAAAUUCGGCAGCACCUCCCCUGUACUGAAGACUACCCACAAUUUAUAAACCUGCAAUCUUUACAAUAACCACAAUCCAAUUGACUCCAGCAACAUAAUAUAUACAACCUAACAUCUAUGAAAAUUCAAUCAUUUAAAAAAAUUCGACAGCACCUCCUAUAUAUUAGAGACUAUCUACAGUUUUCAUACCUACAAAUAUUAAUAAUUACACAAAUAUUGCAAAAUCAACUCUAUACAACCUAACAUAUAUAUACAACCUAACAUCUAUAGAAAUUCAACAUCUAUAUUUUUUCAACUAACAUCAAUAGAAAUUCAUAAAUAACAAUUAAAAUUAAUCAAAAUAAUAAACAACAUAACAAACAAUAAUAUCCUAAAAUUAAGAUAAACUAAUUAAACUUAAUUCUAUAUUUCAAUUAACAUUUUAAAUAUAAAUUCAACAACAAUAAUUAUUGCAAAACAAACAAUAAUAUCCUAAAAUUAAGAUAAACUAAUUAAAUUUAAUUCUAUAUUUCAAUUAAUAUUUUAAACAUAAAUUCAAUAACAACAAUUAUUGCAAAACAAACAAUAAUAUCCUAAAAUUAAGAUAAACUAAUUAAAUUUAAUUCUAUAUUUCAAUUAACAUUUUAAACAUAAAUUCUUAAAAUCUAUUGUUUUUUUUCAAUAUUAAUAAUAUUUUUUUUUCAAAUUUAUUUAUUAUUUUAUUAAUAAUAUUAAUUAUAAUUAAAAUAAUAAUAUUUAUAAGACAAAUAAUAAUAUUUUUAUUAUAAUAAAAAUAAUAAUAUUUAUAACACAAAUUAUAAUAUUUUUAAUAUUAAUACCUACAAUAAUAAUAAAAUAAUAAUAUUUAUAAGACAAAUUAUAUUAUUUUUCAUAUUAAUACUUUUAAUUAUAAUAAAAAUAAUAAUAUUUAAAAUACAAAUAAUUAUAUUUAGAAAGCUAAGACCCAAGAAGGAUCCAAUAGAAUUGGGUCCUGACGCAAGACCUAUUAAGUUUGGGUCCUGACGCCGGACCUAAGACAAUCGGGUUCUGAUGCUGGAUUCAAGAGAAUUUGGUCCUGACGCAUGACCCAUUACCCUUAGGUCCUAACACAGGACCCAAGCGAAUUGGGUCCUGACGCAGGACCCAUUAGAGUUGGGGUCCUAGGGCAGGAUUUAAGAGCAUUGAGUUCUAACGCAAACCAAUUACCAUUGGAUCCUAGUGCACGACCCAAGUGAAUUGUGUCCUGAGACAGGACCUAUUAGACUUGGACCCUUAGGCAGGAGCCAAGAGCAUUGGGUCCUGGCGCAUUUGAAAUAAAAUAUUAUUACCACCAAAGAAAAACCAUAUAGUUGAUUUGAAGGAUAAAAUUAAAAAUUAAAAUAGUAUUAUUUGUGUUAUAAAUAUUAAUAUUUUUAUUAUAGUUCAAAGUAUUAAUAUAAAAAAUAUUAUUAUUUGUGUUACGAAGAUUAUUAUUUUUAUUAUCAUUGAAAGUAUUAAUAUUAAAAAUAAUAUUAUUUGUGGUAUGAAUAUUAUUAUUUGCGGUACAAAUAUUUUUAUUUUUAUUAUAAUUGAAAGUAUUAAUAUUCAAAAUAGUAUUAUUUGUGUUCUAAAUAUUAUUAUUUUUAUUAUAAUUCAAAGUAUUAAUAUAAAAAAUGCUCUUAUUUGGGGUAUAAAUAUUAUUAUUUUUAUUAUAAUUGAACUAAUAAUAUUUAGAAUAUAAAUUAUAAUAUGUUUGAUAUUAAUACUUUCAACUAUAAUAAAAAUAAUAAUAUUUAUACCCCAAAUAAUUAUAUUUAGAAACUUAAGACCCAAUAACCUAGGGUCUUGAUGCAGAACCCAUCAGCCUUGGAUCCCGACGCCGGACCACAGAGCAUUGGUCCUGUUGCAGGAUCUAAGAGUACUGGGUCUGGACGCAGGACCCAAGAGAACUGGUCCUGAUGCAGGACCCAUGAGCCUUAGGUCCCGACGCCGGACCACAGAGCACUGGUCCUGUUGCAGGAUCCAAGAGUACUGGGUCCGGACGCAGGACCCAAGAGAACUGGUCCUGAUGCAGGACCCAUGAGCCUUGGGUCUUGACGGGGACCCAAGAGAAUUGGAUCCUGACGCUGGACCCAUGAGCUUUGGGUCUCACUAGGGUUCGCGCUGACCCAGCACACAAGCAGGGAAGCCCGAGCGUAAGGUGUCCCCAUGUGGCGCGCGGGUCUGGCUCAGCGCCUAGGGCUUGCCAGCCCUAGCGCCAGGUGUUCGCAUCCCAAGGCUUGUAGCCCCACCAAAACUGGAACUGACCAUUUUCUCCCCAACCAUCCCUUCAAUGCCAAAUAUAUCCCAGUGAGAAGACAACCCCACCCCUCCCCUGCUGUCCUUGCAAAUCUAUGUGGCAAGGGCAACUUUGUCAUUACACUACUUUAAUCCACAAUAUUUUGUAUCUAGAUAAAUAGUAACAAGGGCACUGAACCUUUUUAGUAUAACAAGGAGAUUUCAAGAAGUAGUUAAAUUUAGGUUAUAUUAGAUACGACUUUUGUAAAUUGAUUUAAUUUAUUUUUUACUUUUGAUUUUAAUUUAUUUUGAAGUAUGUUAGUUAGAAUAGCUACCAGAUUAGGCAUGUAACUUAUGAAAGGGUUUGCAAGCAGAAAACAAUUAGAAAUCAGAGGAAGAUUUAGAGGAUAUAAUAUUUAGGAUCUCUAGCAAAAGCCAGCAAGGUAUCUGCUCGAAAAAACCAUUCAACAUGAGAUUGCUCUGCUAGGAAAACAUGAUAUCAGUAUCAAACUUUUGAACAAUUAGUACAGCAUCAAGUCUCAGUCAUCUUGAAAUAUAUCGACAUCAGCAUACAAAAACAUUUAUUCUGCAUUGCCAGGCCCAUUUCCAAAACCACAUAAGCAUAUGCAAUAGAAACAGAGCAUCAAACUGACAGAGAAAACAUAGUGAUGCAGCAAAUACCCAAGUCGUAGAGCCAUUAAUUUGAGCAGAAAGGAGAAUGAAAGUCCACACAUUCUUCUUCUUUCCACCCAUUAUCUCGGGUCCACUCUCUAUUAGUGCUUGAAUCCUCAGCUACUUCAGAUACCUGUAAACCAAUUCAAGCAUGGCAUACAUAUUUUAACUUCUAAAUCUUAUUAUUGAGCGAAACAAGAAACAAACACACAAAAAGAGAAGCAACAAAUCAAGACAACUCAGCAGCACCUCUGAUUGAGCUCUUAUUGAACCAUUUGGUGUAGUAGCAAAUUUUGUGAUCAGCUUUGGGCAUUCAAACACCUUCAACUUCUCUAAAUGAGGGAAUAAGAAAUCAUAACAUCCGAGACUGAAGCAUACAAUACUUGAUAAUUGUUCUAGCAACAGCACCUGCAGAUUCGGGAGCUCCAUCACCUUCUCAACAUUGACAGGUAAAGCAUUCUCUUCCUGUCCAAAUACUCCCAAUAAUUGAGAAGCUUCUCUUACUUUCAGUAUUUGGAGAUUUGGGAGACCUGAAGCCAUGCCUACUGGGAAGAGACAUUUCAACUUGUUGCAUUUUCUGACAUCAAUUUCACAUAAAUUGGGGAAGCAUAAAGAUUGAAGAUGAUCUCCUGGCACUAUCUGAUCCUUUCCAUCAUCAUUAUCCCUAGCAAUGAUUUGCUCUAAUUCCUCACAACUUUCUAUGUUUAGAAAAUUCAGUUGAACUAGACUAGCAAUCAUGCUGUCUGAGAAUACAUGUGUUAGUCUCUUACACUCAUACACCACCAAAGUAGUCAAAUUGCUCAGCACGAGACCCUUCCACAAACACCUCAUGUCAGGCACAAGCAGGGAGCCCAAGCGCAAUGUUUUCAAACUUGUUAACUCCUACAUCAAAAGACAACAAUGGCACUAAUUUGUUAGAUAUAAUUCCUAGUAUGUUUUGGUAAAUAGAUGAAUCAGUUAUCAACAAAAGGAUACAAGUAGACAUGGCAAAAGGGCAUUGGAAUAUGAAAUCAUAAGUUGCAAGACUGAAAUAGACAACUCAAUAUUAGCAAAUGGAGGUUUAUCGUCCUAUCCAAAUACUUUCAUUAAUUGGGGGAAGAGCCUCAAUUUCACUCAAACUGGGAAAGCAUAAAUCAAGGUAGGAUUUCAUUACAAUAAUUAAUUUCUUACUUCUUAAGCCCUGCGUCAAGAGACAGGGAAUGAUACAGUUAGACAACUCCUUUUAAAUUUAGUGGAUGGCUAAAGGAUUUAUCUCCACUUAUAAAUUACUUCAGUUUUAGAAAUUUGGAGGAAGAAACACAGUGUAUUGAAGUUGACAAUUUAAAAUAAAAAGCAAAAAAAUUAUUGGAGAAAUAUAAAGGACGCACUUGAAGCUUUGCCAACAAAUUACCCAAUUCUUCAUGGCCAUCAAUGAUUAGACAUUGCAAAGAAGGCAAUUGGGCAGCAAAAUUCUUAGGGCCAAAAAAGCUGAAAUUUGAUCUGGAAGAAAGAGACAAUUUUCUUAGUCGAGGGAACUUGAUGAUGCCAUCUGUGGUGAGUGCAUCUCCUUCUCCACUGUAAAAUAUUUGCUUUAAAUUAUGAGCAUAAAAAAUCCCCAUCUCUUCCAGGUUCAGAAGACUCGGAGACACAGAGACAGGGAAGACAUAUUCCAGUUUACCACACUCUUCUAUGAAGAUAGUUUUUAAUCUUGGGAAGCGAAGAGACUCUGAAAUUAUUUCCCUUUCAUCAUCCUUUUCUCUGAUAAUAUGCUUCAAUUCACCGCAAUAUCAUAUGUCAAGGGUUGCUAGCUUUGGCAGACUUUGAGCCAGGGAUGGUGUGAAGAUAAAUGUCAGUUUGUCGAGAGAAUUCAAAUUCAGAUGAACAAGAUUUUGGAGGCUGACAUGCCUAGUAGCCCCUUCCAUAUACAUCUGAGCUCAGGUAAGUCGAUCAGCAGUAACGUUGUUAAAGAUGACAGUAGCGACAGCUCCUUCUCCUCAUUGCUUUCUUCAUCCACCUCACCCAAUUCAAAUACCUCUUCCAAUGAUUUACAGCUCUCAAUAUCCACACUACUUAGAUUUUUCAAAGCUUGCAGCAAUUUUGCUGGAAAAGGAGUGCGAACAUCCCCACAAUCGUUCACUUCUACAAAUCUUAAUCUUUGUAAGAAGCCCUUUUGCUGUAUAAAUAUUAUAUUUUUUAAACCCUUCACUCUCAUAAAAACAAUUUAUAUGAUGCAUAAAUAGGAAAAAAAUUUUAUAAAGUACGUACUUGUAGCUGUGCCAACCAAUUACCCAAUUCUUUGCGGCCAUGAAUGGUUAGUUUUUGCAAAGAAGGCAAUUGGACAGCAAAAUUCCGUGGACCUAAAAAGCUGUAAUUUGAUCCGAGCCGAAGAGACAAUUCUUUUAGUUGAGGGAACUUGAUGAUGUCAUCUCUGGUAAGUGCAUCUCCUUCUCCACCGUAAAAUAUUUGCUUUAAAUUGUCAGCAUAAUAAAUCGUCAUCUGUUCCAGGUUCGGAAGACUUGGAGACACAGAGACUGGGAAGACAUAUUCCAGUUUACCACAUCCUGAUACAAGGAGAGUUUUUAAUUUUGGGAAGCCUGGAGACUCUGGAAUUAUCUCCCUUUCACCAUCCUGUUCUCUGAUAAUAUGCUUCAAUUCACCGCAUUUUUCUAUCUCAAGUGUUUCUAGCUGUGGUAGACUUUGAGCGAGGGACGGUGUGAAGAUAAAUGUCAGUUUGUCGAGAGACCAAACCUUCAGAUGAGCAAGACUUUGGAGGCUGACAUGUCUGGUGGCCCCCUUCCAUAUGCAUUUGAGCUCAGGUAACCCUUGCAGCUCUAACAUUGUUAAAGAUGAUAGCAGCGGCAUCUCUUUCUCCUCAUUGCUUUCUUCAUCAACCUCACCCAAUUCAAAUACCUCUUCCAAUGAUUUGCAGCUGUCAAUAAUCACCUUCUUUAGAUGUUUCAAAGCUUGCCGCAAUUUUGCUGGAAACAGAGUGCAAAUAUCCCCACAACGCUGCACUUGUACGAAUUCUAAUCUCUGUAAGAAGCCCUUUUGGAGCUCAUGGCCAUGGUUGGUCAUGUGAUCAGAGUGCAAUUCUAUAUUUUUUAAACCCUCUAAACUCGUAAAAAUAAUUUGGGACACCGUAGGAAACAACAGCUCAAAUGUCAUCACAUUUAAGGAUGUGGCGCUUGUACCAGCCAAAUUUAAUCUUGUCGAGGUUGGGUAUCCUCCUGCAUCAAACCGAUUCCCUAAUACUAUAUCAUAUUUGUGCAAGCUAGGAAAAACAAAAUCUCUGGGAAUGCAUUCCACCUUCGGUAUCCUUAAUGAUAAUACAGCUAACUGAGACAACGAAUUUAGUUCUUUUAGGCUUGCAUUCAUUCCUCCUGUGCUGUCACAUCCAACAACAUCCCAUUCCUCAAAGCUGCCAUCCCCGAUCAACAAUUCUUCUAACUUCUUCAACCUUCCAAUCAAAUUCACAGGAAUCCUACUGAGCCUUUCACAACCUGUCACAUCCAACAACCUUAACUCCUUGAGCUCUCCUAUUUCAUCAGGUAAUUCUUCAAUGGAUAAGCACCACAUAAGACCAAGAAUCUUAAGUCUCUGCAGCUUUCUCAACCAAAUGAGGUCCUUGCAUCCACACAUGAUCAACACCAAAGAUUGAAGUUUCGUUGAUAGUUCAAGUGAUUGCAAUGACAAACGCCCUCCGUUCAGAGACAAAACUUCAAUUUCUCUUAUCCCUUCAAAAAACCUCUGAGGAACAUUCAAACCAUAAUCCACUUCUAAUAAUAGAACUUUGAGCUUUGGACAUACCAAUCCUUCAGGAAGUUCUGCUAGUUUAUUGCCCAUUAACGAAAUUGUUGUACAACCUUCAAAGCUUGUAUUGCUCAUUGGCCACUUCUGCAACCCAAUGCCAGCCUUUACCAUGAAUCCAUAUUCUUCUGAUGAUGCUAUCUGAAUAGCAAAGUCAUGCAUUUUCACAUGUUCUCCAGUUUCAGUGCCCAACAGCAUGCAACAAUCUUUGAGGUUUUCGAUUGCCACAAAAACUCGUUUCCUUGCAUCUUCGAUGGGCUCCGCAUCUUGAUGUAACCCAUAGCCAACUGCAUAUCUCAUCAAGUCCUCGAUUGGAAUAUCAUAGUCUUCUGGAAAUAAACAGCAUAGCACGAAACAUGACUUGGUUUCCUCGAACUUCAAAUAAUCAUAGCUCAACUUAAGACAUGUAUAAGCAUUUUUUUGUUUGUCAAUUUGUUCCAUGCGCGGAAAUUGAGAGUCUUUGAGCUGUUUAGACGCUACUUCCCACUGAACUAGAGAUUUAUCUCUUAGAGCCCUUCCCACUGUCACAAGUGCUAUAGGCAAGCCAUGGCAUUCUCUCGCAACCUCCCUUGCCACUGUGUUCAAGGUAGAGUCCCCAUCACGUAAACCUGCAUUGAUUCUGAAUAAAGCCAAUGCUUCAUCUUCAGAUAAGACUCUUAAAAACACUUUUUGCUGGCACUCCAUAGAAGAACAUAUGUGUUCAAAACGUGUUGUUAGAAGAAUUUUACAACCCCUGUGAUCAUCACCAAAUGGGAUCCCUAUCUCUUUCAAGUCAAUAUCUUCCCAAACAUCAUCUAGGAUUAUAAGCAUCUUCUCCACUUCCUUCAGUCUAUGCCUUAAUCGAUCUGCUCUCCCUUCUCUACUCUUUUCUUUAAUAUCCAGACGUAACUUAUCUGCCAUUCGAUCCUGGAUGUCUGUGACAUUUGGAUUCUGGGACACCGUAGCCAUCAAAACUUCAGGAAAAAGCUGCAACUCUUUGGCUCUCCUGCCUACUUCUUUCACCAGGGUGGUUUUACCCACUCCUCCCAUGCCGUACAGUCCGAUCAUAUUGACACUGUCAUCUUUGAGAGCUUUCAUAAUCUGUUCCAAAGCUUCUUUUGAUGAUUCUGAGGGCGUGAAUUCCUUUGAUGGAAGAAAUUCUAUGGGCUGAAGAUGAGCUUUGUGGGACACCGUUUUAAACUUUUCGCUAAUUUCUUCAAGUUUUCUGAGAGUCUCCGACUUAUUGGCCAGUGCCUUGCUUAACUUGAAUUGUCGCAUGCAGUUUGGACACCAAGUAAAGCAUUUGCCAUUUUUUCCUAUUUCAUUUUCCAAAGGCUUCACACCUUCAAUCUCGUUGUUUGCAUCUUCCAGCCACUUUUUGACAACUUUUUCAAUUUCUUCAGCAUUCGUUUUAGCAUCUUCGACAAUAUUUUGCAGACGUUCUUUUGCCGAAUACAGAUUCUCCUUUCGUUCUUUGAAUUCUUCAACAAAAUUGUUGAAACAGAACAUGUAACGGAACUGCCUUCCUACUGGUUCCACCAUGAGUUCUGCUAUCUUAGAUAUAAUGGAUCCACCCACACUUUCGAUAGCCAUUUUCCACCACUCUGAAAAUCAGAGAAAUAAGGAUACAGAACGCGAGAGUGAGUCACUACAAGUAAAAGAGGCACAGAGAAUGAGAAAAGGAAUUUUAUUACCUUAUUUUGGGAAAAUAUGUGCGAAAAGCACUGGUACUGAUUGCUCAAUGAAAUAGCGGGAGGAAGAAAAGGAGAAGGCCUUUAGCUCUGUAUGGAAUCCAGCUUCAAAAGCAACAAGGCAAGGUAUGAUCUAAGACGAAUGAAAGGUUCAGGAUAAUCACUUAGACGCCUCCAUGGGUGAUACCAGCUCGCUUCCAACAACAAAUGUAAUUAAUCUAAGCUAUGAGCGGUCAAUGUUUUUUUUAGUUUAGUUUUGUUUUUUUUCUUAAAAAACAGAUCAACAAGGGAAAAAACUUGCAAAGAAGUACAAUUACUGGAACGAACUCAACAAAGGAUCAAACUCAAGCAAUUAAAAGUAAUUGUCUCAUCUCUGUGUCACACACUCAAAGAAUUUCAUUACCUUAUUUUGGGAAAAUAUGUGCGAAAAGCACUGGUACUGAUUGCUCAAAGAAAUAGAGAAGGCCUUUAGCUCUGUAUGGAAUCCAGCUUCAAAAGCGACAAGGCAAGGUAUAAGCAUUUUGAUGACAUAAUUAAGAUAACAUGCGUAGUAAUAUAAAGAAAAUGACAAACAAAUAAAAAAAAAUAAUGUGUACAAGCAAGAAACGAAUGAAAGGUUCAGGAUAAUCACUUAGACGCCAUGGAUGAUACCAGCUCGCUUCCAGUAACACAUAUAUUUAACCUAAGCUAUGAUCGGUCAAAAAAAUAUUUAGGUUUCUUUUUUUUAUAUAUAAAAAAAUACAGAUCAACAAGGGGAAAAAAAAAAGAAAAGACUUGCAAAGAAGUAGAAUUACUGGAAUGAACUCAACGAAGGAUCAAACUCAAGCAAUUAAAAGUAAUUGUCUCAUCUCUGUGUCACACACUAAAGGAAGGAGAGAAAAGAAGGGGAUGGGAUCACGGCAAGAAAGAAGGAGAAAGAAAGGAAUGAGACAAAGAAGGAAGAAAGUAAGGUCACGUAGGGGCCAGUCUUGUAGAAAGUUUGAGAAUUAGAAUGAAAAAGAGGAUAAUAAAGUAGUUCACUUGUCAGAAUCAAAACACAUAAACAUAGGACAAAAACAGGGAGAGAGGCUAUUUGUGUUUUUUAACUGUGUUAGAGUGUAUUUUAUAAUUAUAUUUAAUUUAUAGAAAUAUUAAAUUAAAAGUUUUUAAUAUUUUUUGAUAUUUUUUAAAAAUAUAAAAUAUUAUUUUAAUAUAUUUUGAAAUAAAAAACAUUUCACAAUACCAAAUUAUAGUAUAAAUUUAAAGAGAAAUUGAUUUUCUUGUUCAUUAAUGUUUACUCAGACUCAUUUUACUAUGAAUAUUAAUUAUGGGUUUAUUGAAAAUUUUCAAUUUGAUACUUAAGUUUUUUUUCUAUAAUUGAGCCCUUUUGAGCUCAUUUGCAUAUUUUUUUAAGGAUAAGGGUUAAAAUGAAAGAUAGAGAACUAAAAUGAAAAACUAGGCUAAAAUAGGUGGCGGCUCUAUAAUUUGUUUGCAAAGUUCAUUUUAGUCCUCUAUCUUUUUAAACUAUUAAGUAACCAGUUCUUAUAAUUUUUAAACAUUGCAUUUUGGUAUAAAAUUUUAUUUUCCUCCUUUUUUUAGUUUUUUUUUUUUAGAGGAAAGAGAGAGGGUCGCCAGAUUUCAUCUUAGAGAGAAAACGUUGUAGUUGGGGAAGAUUUUGGCCCCUAAAACAUAUGUUGCUUGAUUUUUAAUUGAGUCUAAGUGGUUUUUAUAAUUAUAUUUAAUUUAUAAAAAUGUUAAAUUAAUAUAUUUUUAGUGUUUUUUUGUGAUUUAAAAAAAUAUAAAAUUAUUUUAUUAUGUUUUUAAUAAAAAAUAUUUUUAAAAAGCAUGUGUCCCAAUACCGAAUUAUUAUAAUUAUAAUAUAAACUAAAAGACACAGUCUUUUAGUUUGGCCUUUGACUUAUAGCACCGUGAAUUAGAACAACGUUAUCAUGUCCUAACCAUAGUUAUUAAACCCGAUCCAGAGGUUGACCUGGCCAAGGUGCCGGGUCCUGAGUUUCAUGGGUCAACCCGGAAAAAAAAAUAAAAAUUAAAGUUUUAAUAUUUUAUAUGAAAAAUUAAGAAAAAAUACAUGUAAAUAUAUGCUAUACAUAUUGUAAAUAAUGAAAUUUAAAAGAAUAUUUUAAAAAGUUUUUUUAUCUCACAUUAAAAAGAUAUUAUGUUAGGCUUUUAAGUUGAAAUAUUUAAACCAAAAAAGUUUUUUAUCUCACAUUGAAAAAAAUAUAACUUUUUUCUUGGAAACAUAGAGUAUAUAUAUUAUAAUACUAAUGGGUUUUAAAUCCCACAUUGAAAAAACAUAGUUUUUUUCUUGUGAACAUAACAUAGUUUUUUUCUUGUGAACAUAGAAUAUAUAUACUAAUGGGUUUCAAAUCCCACAUUGAAAAAAGAUAACUUUUUUCUUGGGAAUAUAGAGUAUAUUUACUAUAAUACUAAUGGGUUUUAAAUCCCACAUUAAAAAGAUACUAUGUUAUCCUUUUAAGUUGAAGUAUUUAAACUAAAAGGUUUUUUUAUCCCACAUUGAAAAAACAUAACUUUUUUUUUUGAAACAUAAUAUAUACUAAUGGGUUUAAAAUCUCACAUUUGAAAAAAAAACACCGGGUCUCGCCCCGGUUGACCCGCCAGGUCGAUCAAGUUUGGUCAGGUCAUUGCAUCGGCCGGUCUUUUGACAAACAUGGACCGGUUCAGCCCCCAGGUCAACCCGCCAGUCCGUUCAGGUUUAAUAACUAUAGUCCUAACUGACACGAUCAAAGAGUUGAUGUCUUAUCCCAAGUGCAAGAGUGUCAAAGUAAUAAAUAACCCGUCAAGACCGGGGUCGAACCACAAGGAGGUGAAUUAUAUAAAUUAUAAUAAUAAUAAUAAUAAUAAUAAUAAGAACAACAACAACAAUGAUGAUGAUGAUGAACAACAACAGGACUUUGAGAUGUAAGAUAAAUGUGAAGAUUAAAUAAUGAUAAAAACAAAUGUCAAGGUUAGAGGAUCCACUAAUAGUAUUAGAGAUAAGUAAAGUAUAAACUCUUUAUAAAUUAUCAACACGAUCAUAUCAAUCAUCUUAUUUACGUAACACCAUAUUUGUCGCACGUCAGAAAAUUCGUGCGGCAUCGGCUUGCAAUUUUAUCGUUGUUAUGCGUUGAUUUAGGGUCUUAGGAGUCGCCACCUAGUAAUUUAUAGAAGGCUACUAGGAAACCGGAUGAACUGGUCUUGUCAGAGAUUCACGAGUAAGAGACUGGUUGUGGUUAGAGAAGGUAUUAGCACCCCUAACACACCCUACCUGAGGUAAGCUGCUUCGUGGACUUGAUGUGUUAAAGAAGUUUUAAAAAUUCUGUUCUUUCAUUGAAUUUUAGAAAUACGACUUCCAUGUAAGUUCAUAAUUCUUUAUCCGUGAGCAAAUCAAAAUAUUAAAUUCUUCUUUAAUCUUUGCAAUUUUAUCAUAAAUAAAAAAAAAAACAUCCAUAACAAAAAAUAUAAACACACACAUACACCUUCACUGUAUUUUUUCUCUUUUCUUUUCUUUUCUUUUUGUUUUUACAUCCACAAUACAAAAUACAAUUUCAAAAGAACAAACUAAACCAAAAUUACAAUAAUAACCCCAAAACAAUCUGGAAUUUACAGGGAACACCUUCUGCAUCACCAGAACAGUGUCAGGCAGACUUCUGGAGCUGCAAGAACAGUGGUCGCACGUCUCCUCCACUCGCCACCGUGGCUGGUGGCGCGUGGGUUCACGCGCCGCCGCUGACAAUGCCCGAAAAUGGGCGGAUCUGCCCUGCUUUCUUCUUCCCUUCCCUUCUCUGCUGGCUGUGAGAACCACCGUUACCUGCAAAGGGGGAAAAAUAAACACAAUGCAAAGCUUCCGAUCCUCUCCUUUUUUAGAUCUACUAUCUUCUGUCUUCUCUUUCGGGUUUUCUGUUCUUCCCUUCUUCAGGUGGCAGGUCUGCCGGCUUCUUCUCCCCUUCCCCUCUGCAUCAGCGGUGGCUAGUGAGGAUGGAGACUGGCUGCUGUGGUCGGGUCUGUUCGUUGACCCGGAGAGGGAGGCCGAUGGGUCGGCUGAGAGAGGAGAGGAGGUGUUCCCGGGCGUGGAUGCUGCUGGAUGCUCUUCACUCCUGUUGGUGGCAGCAAUGGUUGGCCUUGCUGCUGUUGUCCGGCUGUCACUGGAGGCUGGUUGAUGGAGACCUGUGAGAUGGCCGGGGAGGGAGGCCGAUGGAAGGGAACAGUUGGGAUGGAGAGGGACGGCACUGCUGCUGUUCAGCCGCUGCUGGGGCCGAAUGGAGGAGAGACCUGGCGAUGGAAAUGAGAGAGUGAGGGGAUCCUGUUCUGUCAAAGAGAGGGGCGAGUGAAAGGGAGAUGAGGGAAAUGCAGAGGAGGCUGCUCUGGCUUGGGAAAAGAAGUUGGAAAUGAGGGCUAUCUGUUGAUGACCGGGCUGUGGGAGAAGGAAGAAAAAUGAGUGCUAGUCUUGGGAGAUGUGGAAACGGUGGGUGUUGUCUGUGAAGGGGAGGCUGGUCUGGGUGUGUGGGGGCUGUGGCUGAGGGGAAGGAACGGUGAUCAAGGGGGAGGGGGCUGGACUAUGGCCGGCUGUCACUGGUUGAAGGAAGGCCUGUGGGAAAGCUGGAGAGGCAGAGAGGGAAGAAGAAACCGAAGGGAAAACUUGGGGAAAGGGGAGCAGCGGCUUGUGUGAAGGAAAAUGGAGUGGGCAGCUGUUGUAAAAAUGAAUGGGGUUUUGUGUUGUUGGCUGGCCAAGGAGAAGAAAAUGGGAGGAACGGCGUGGAGAGGAAAACCAAAAACAUGGGGGGCCUGUGUUGUUGGCUAGAAAAUGGGGGAGGGCUGGCGGCUUGGAGAAGAUGAGAUAGGUUUAGGGUUUCUCUUCCCCUCUUCUGAUGUUGUCAAAAUUCUCCCCUGUUUGAGUUGUGGACCAGUAUUUAUAGAUAAAAUGUUGCAUGGAUCUAAAAAUUGAUCCCUCAACUUUUUUUAUUUUUUUUGUAAAUUUGAUUUUUCUUAAUUUUUUUGUAUUUUUUGAAAACGAGCAAUAUCAACGUCGACUCAAUGAAGAAAAUCAAUGAUUUUAAAAAUAACGCGUUGAAAGUUGAACGCGUUCCAAAUGUCUUUGAAAAUUUAAAUUCUUUUGAGACGAUGCUAAAAAAGAUGCAAAUGUAUUAAAAAUGUAUUUUUUGGAUUUUCAAUGUUUUUCGCUAUUUUUGGAUUUUUUCUGAAAAUUUAUCAAAACAUGGGUCAAAAAUUGGGUAGCAACAGAUGCCCCCUCUUUACAAUGCUUACGAAGCAAAACUCCUCAAUGUUUUGCAUAGUAAGCUUUGUAAAGAAAAACUUGUCUUUCUGUCACUCAAUAUCCACUCAUCUAAAGGCCUUGCUCUUUUUUUUUGUUCUCUCUUCCUUCUCUUUUCUUCCUCUUCUUUCUUCCUUUCUUUCUUUCUCUUUUUUUUUUUAUCUUGAGAUCCCAUCUGGCGAUCUCCUUUUCCAAAACCAAAGAAUAUGUGUAGCUCGGUCAACCUGAAAUCCCAUCUGGCGAUUUCCUUUAACCAAAGCUACAUGAGAUCCCAUCUGGCAACCUCAUUAAACCAAAACUAAAAAAAUGUGUGUGUAGUCUUAUUAUGACGGGUGACCUACCCAAAAUGAAAGAUGGUCUCAUUAUGACGGGUGACCUACCCAAAUACAAGAUGGUCUCAUUGUGAUGGGUGACCUACCCAAGUGGAAAAGGGAAAGAGUGGUCUCAUUUUUAUGGGUGACCUACCCAGGGGGAAGAAUGGCCUCAUUAUAAUGGGUGACCUACCCAAGUAAAAAAAUAAUGGAGAAUGAUCUCAUUCUAAUGGGUGACCUACCCAGAAAAAAUGGUAUCAUUGUGAUGGGUGACCUACCCAAGUGGAAAAGGGGAAGAGUGGUCUCAUUCUUAUGGGUGACCUACCCAGGGGGAAGAAUGACCUCAUUAUAAUGGGUGACCUACCUAAGUAAAAAAAUGGAGAAUGGUCUCAUUAUGACGGGUGACCUACCCAAAUACAAGAUGGUCUCAUUGUGAUGGGUGACCUACCCAAGUAGAAAAGGGGAAGAGUGGUCUCAUUCUUAUGGGUGACCUACCCAGGGGAAGAAUGGCCUCAUUAUAAUGGGUGACCUACCCAGAAAAAAAAAUGGAGAAUGGUCUCAUUCUAAUGGGUGACCUACCCAGAUGGAAGAUAGAAAAAAUAUGAAGUGGUCUCAUUGUAAUGGGUGACCUACCCAUAUGGAAGAUGAGAAAAAUGUGAAGUGGUCUCAUUAUUAUGGGUGACCUACCCAGGUGGAAGAUAGAAAAAAUGUGAAGUGGUCGCGUUAUAAUGGGUGACCUACCCAGGUGGAAGAUAGAAAAAAUGUGAAGUGGUCGCGUUAUAAUGGGUGACCUACCCAGGUGGAAGAUAGAAAAAAUGUGAAGUGGUCGCGUUAUAAUGGGUGACCUACCCAGGUGGAAUAUAGAAAAAAUGUGAAGUGGUCGCGUUAUAAUGGGUGACCUACCCAAGUGGAAAGAAUGUGAAGUGUGGUCUCAUUAUAAUGGAUGACCUACCCAGAUGGAAGAUAGAAAAAAUAUGAAGUGGUCGCGUUAUAAUGGGUGACCUACCCAAGUGGAAAGAAUGUGAAGUGUGGUCUCAUUAUAAUGGGUGACCUACCCAGAUGGAAGAUAGAAAAAAUAUGAAGUGGUCGCGUUAUAAUGGGUGACCUAUCCAAAGAAAAAGGAAAGAAUGUGAAAAACGGUCUCAUUAUGAUGGGUGACCUACCUAAAUGGAAAAAUGUGACUUACCUAGCAAAAAGACUUGGCAGGCGAAGUCCUGAUAGGAUAAGGCUGACAAACGGCGCUUCCUAAUUGCAAGGUUUACUUGAAGACUCCUCUUGAUGACGGGGUUAAUCUCCUCGUUUCUUUGAGAUUCUCCUACUGGCAGGGUUCAUCUCAUUCUCUUCUCGUUCCAGGAUCUAAACCGAUUCUUUGUCAUCAUCAACUCAAUGAUUCUUUCUUUGUCCACAACCUUGUUGAACUUCAUUGAGGAUCUUUCUGUAACAAAUCACAAGUAUGUGCAAUGCUUUGAGGUUAGAUGACAUGCAUGCAUCCUUACCUGAUGUGAAAUAUAGGUCCCCCCCUUUGAUGAUCCAUCGUCAUAGGGUGCCUUUGUUUGCUAACCAAAGCCUUCUUUGCUCUUCCCAUGUACUGACUCAUUCGUGUGCUAGCCAUCCACUCAAAUGUAAGUGCAGUGCCCAUCUCGGGCUGUCUACGACGAUUACUACUCUCAGUUGUUCUCAAUGUUGACCAUGCUUCCAAGCGUGGUGUUGCUCGAUUCAUCAUGAAGGAGUUGAACAAAUCAUCCAUCUCCUAGAUUCUCUCAAGAAUUGUCCUUUGAUUGGUUGUGCGUGUUUUGCCACUGCCGGUCAAGAGGUUUUCUAGUGUUUAACCUCAUUUUAGAUGGACUUGCCCCCAGUUGAAAUAACACUCUUCAAGUAUAUAUUAUCACCCGCCUUCUUGGAACUGCUAAGUCAUCCAGACAUGCCUCUCAUACUUUGCAGUAAAAGGCUAAUCAUUGUAAGCUCAAAGUUCUUCUCCAUAGAUUCCUCUCAGCUUGUCAAAUCAGAUCAGGAAAGGAAAUGCGUUGGCAUCAUCAAUGAUGUUCAUCACCCAUAUUCAUGCGGUGAAGUGUACAUUUGAGCUUCAAAGCAGAUGGUCCCACAGUCAGUCUUGGUGGGUGCAUCUUUCCAACAUUCAUUCAAAUGCAACUAUGCGAUAACAUCAUUCAAAAGUCAUAGCCAUGUUGGAGAUGAUAAACCAUGAUGAAGAUAUGAAAAUAUCCUUCAAAUGCAGCGUUGUUCAUCAAUUGCUGUUGAAGUUCACUAGAUCACAAACUGUCUUUGAACAAUAUUGCCCCCAGCAAUGAUUUGAAUGCUUGUUCAUCUGUCUAUAAUCAAGAAGUUUUUUUUUCUUUGUCAUUGCCAGAUGCUAAACAUAACUUCGAUGGACUUUGACGACUCAUCAUCUGAUUUUUUUUUUGCUUUGCCCUCAGCUGAUCUGAAUACUGCUUGUUUUCCUACCUAGGAUCCACUGUAUUGCCCCUAGGUGGUCAACUUUUCAAGGAGUGUCGAGAAAUGUUGAUGUCAUUCUUGUCAAGGAUUUUGCAAAUUCAAUCGAUGUUCUUCUUGUUUGACAAUCUUCCUUGUUCUGGAAUCAAAUCUCAUAUUUCAACGCUCAUGUCUAUUCAAAUCUAAUUGUUGAAAUGAAAUCAGAGAGAUGUCAAUUUUGAAAAGUAUUUUCUGGAAAUCAAGCUUGUUUGGUCAAAGAUCCAACACACGCUAUUCAAUGAAGUCCUUUAAUUGUCUUGUAUUUUGAAGACAGAAAUAACUCGUUGUAAGAUUAAAAUGACUUUUUUCGUGGUUCUUUGUGUCAAUUUUAAUCUUUGAUCUUAGGUAUAUCUUUUGAUGGCCUGCGAUGAGGUGACCUUCUGUGGAUUUCAAGAAACAAAAGGCUCAAGUCAAAACUUGAGGAUUCAUCAAGAAAGAUUGUUUUCUUUUUUAGCACCAAUUUUAUUAGCAUGCAUAAUAACAAGUAGCUUAAUCCAUGAAGUCACGACCCUUAUGGAAAAGCUCUUCAAGUUUUGAGAUCGUCAUUUAUCGGUUCAGAUUGCUUACUUGAUUAAAAAAAGGCUUUUUACAGCACGUAAUGCAUGCUAUGGUUCAUGGCUUAUGAAAGAAAGGAAAUUCACAGGCUCAAAAGGUGUUUGAGGGUUUUAAAGACCUAGGAUCAACAUCAAUUAUUCAUCAACUCCUUUUCUAUUGUUGUCUUUGUAGAGACGACAUAGAACCUUGUUAACCUCAAAGAUCAGACUUCUCUUAACAUAAGUCAUAAUGCAAAUCCACCUUUCCUUGAUGAAUAACCAACCUCAAUCAUCUGAUAACAUCAGAGGUUUUAUAAUGGAUAUCAAAAGUCACGUUUAUAGCUUAGUCUUUCUUCUGCUAUUGACUUUUGUUGUCUUUCCUUGAUGUCUUUCUUCUGCUAUUGACUUUUGUUGUCUUUCCUUGAUUGAAAUUUCUUUUGCCAAGACUUGAUAGACAUUCUCUUUCCUUUAUCUUUGACUUGCCUUUAAGUGAAGGCAAUUUCAACUUCUUUUUUUUUUUUUCAUAGCCUUCCUCAAAAUUUUCUUAUAUGCCCCCAGCCUAUGUGUUUUCUUUUAGCCCUCUCUCAAUCAUUGGACUUUUGUUCUAAGCCUUCCUUUUAUCCAUUAAUGUCUUCAAAAUAUCUCUCAUUGCCCCCAGUGUGGGGUGUGGUCCUAGUCAGGGUUUCUUUUUGAAAGAAAAUAUUUUACAAGGCUAAAAAAUGGGACUGCAAGGGAUAUAAUCUUUAGAAAGUGAAGGGAUAUCAAAGAUGACAUUUUCUCAUUUCAAGCAAGGUCGGUUAGAACCGAUAAAUUUUGACCUCAUCCAGUGUAAUGAUUGGGACUUGUAAGAAUAAUGAUUCACGAGUCCAUAACUAUCGAAUCCACUACAUGUCAUUAUGCAUACUGCUAAAACUUAGCUAUAUGAUGUUUUUUUCAGUUUCAGGAGGUAUGAGUUCAAAAUUGUUUGGUCACCUCAUGUCAUUUUCAAGAAUCAAGUCGUUUCUGCAAUCAAAAUAUUUUUAAUCUUCAGGAUUAAUUAAUCUUAAUCGUAUGUUCGAGCUUGAUCAAAAAUAUUUGUGUCAAAAUAGCCUUUGAAAGAAGCAUCGCUUGAUUUCAAAACAACAAGAAGACAAAGAGAAGACAUGUUUCGUUGAAGGGUGAGAUGUGAUCCCAAAACAAAAUGCAGAAUGCUAAAAUCCCAUAACAAAAAUGAUUGACAAUUUGACCCCUUCUUGGAUCACCUACUCUGGCGAUAUCUGUGUUUCACCGAGUCAAUUUCGAUCACUUGUCAUUCUGAGGAUGUUCUGGUGACAACAUGAUUGAUGACAUCAUCUUUCACAAACUCAGCUCGAUUCUUGAAACUCUUGUGUCUGUUCAACUGAAAUGGUUCACGAACCCUCCAUGAUAUUCACAUCUGGUUUGAAUUAUACCACGGUGGUUGCAUGCAAUUUGUCGAAGUCCGGGGCACUAAGUCUGGAAUCUGGCAGAUGCUAGUCGACAAACUUAAGUGGCAGAGGGAUGUCAAUCUUGGCAAAGACAUUUGAGCCAUUGAUGCUACAAUGAGACCUGGCUAAACCACAUAACUAUGGUUUUCCAUCUUCAGAGUCAUCUCCUUAUUCAACUCCCUUCACAGUUCUGAAAUCCACGGUAGAGCCUUCAAUCUUUCCCAUCUUGAUAGUUAGCUCUAUUCUUUUGGCAAUCCUCACAACAUCAUGUCAAUCUUCCAAUGUUGUUGCGGUUGUAUGAGAAUUGUUGGAACCCUCCACUAGCUAGGUAAUCUUGGCAGCAUACAGAAACAUGCAGUACCACCACUGCCGACGUGUGGAAUCACGCGUUGUCUCAACUGGAAGAGAACUUGAUGAAUCUAAAACUCCUUUGUCUCCUCUUUGAUUCCUCACUGACGGCGCAUCAAACAGACACCUGUAGAGGGAGUUCUGCUCCAUUGAAGUUUCAGUCUUAUUCCCGUUUUUCAGCCCACGUUUGUCUCUUCUCCCUACUUUUGUGUUUUAAUUCCAACACUGGUAGGAGAAAAUUGUAGACGAUCUGAAACUACUGCAUCCCUUCUUGGAUUCCUCACUUACAGAUCCACAAACAAAUCUCUAUAGAGAGAGCUCUGCCACAUAGAAGUUUGAUGUCUGCUUAUGUUUUUCAGACCAGGUAUGGCUUUUCAACCCACUACAGUGUCUUCGUACUGAAACUGGUGGCGUAAAUUUUCAUAUCUUCUGAAACUACUACAUCCCCUGUUCUGCUAGGAAAACAUGAUAUCAGUAUCUAACUUUUGAACAAAGAGUUCAGCAUCAAGUCUCAGUCAUCUUGAGAUUUGAAUGCCCAUAUAUAUUCACAUGCUCAUACAAUAACAUUUUUAAAAAUGCAUUAUGCAUUAGAAACAGAACAUCAAACAAAGAGUUCAGCAUCAAGUAGAACGCAUGAAAGUCCACACAUUAAACCAAAAGAAACACAAAUGGGCAAGCAAACAUACGCCCUUACUUCUGGAGGCUUGUACGAUAAUGACUACACACACAACAUUACAUUACUUCUAACUUCUUCAGCAAACACGUAGAUAGAUAAGUCGCAAUCUUCUAUGGUAAAUAAGACUGUUACAAUGUGAAGCCAAUUUGUAUCCCAUUGCCAAUGAAACAGUUGGAAUUAAUUACUUCCCACCCAUCUAAAACAUACUCGCAGCACCAUCCUUGAAAUCAUGUAACAGCUAACCAACCUUGCCUGAUGCAAACAUGAAGAACAAAGACAAUCCAUGAUUUAAUUCAACCAUUAAAAUUUGAAGGUAAAGGAGAGGAUAAAUAAUCUUCAGCUAUGUCACCUGGUUUGGGCAAGAAAGAAUUAUUAGACUAGCAAUCAUCAUCAUCAUCAUCUUCUUCUUCUUCUUCUUCUAUUUCUUUCCACCCAUUAUUUCUGGUCCACUGUCUAUUAAUGCUUGAAUAUUCAGCUACUUCAGAUACCUGUAAACCAAUUCAAGCAAGGCAUGCUCAUUUUAACUUGUAAAUCUUAUUAUUGAGCCAAACAAGAAACAAACACACUAAAAGAGAGGCAAGAAAUCGAGUCAAAUCAGCAGCACCUCUGAUUGAGCACUCAUUGAACCAUCUGGUGUACUAGCAAAUUUUGUGGUCAGCUUUGGACAUUGAUGGACCGUCAACUCCUCCAAACGAGGGAAUAAGAAAUAAUCACACCAUCCGAAACUAAAACGGACAAUACUUGAUAAUUGUUCUAGCGACAACUCCUUUAGAUUAGGAAGCACUAUCUCCUUCUCAACGUUGAUAGGUGAAGCUUGACCAUCCUGCCCAGGAGACUCUGGAAUUAUUUCCCUUUCACCAUCCUCUUCUCUGAUAAUAUGCUUCAAUUGACCGCAUUUACGUAUGUAAAGUAUUUCUAGCUGUGGUAGACUUCGAGCGAGGGACGGUGUGAAGAUAAAUGUCAGUUUGUCGAGAGAAUACAAAUCCAGAAUAUUUAGACUUUGGAGGCUGACAUGUCCGGUGGGCCAUAUGCAUUUGAGGUCAGGUAAAAUUUGCAGCUCUAACUCUGUUAAAGAUGACAGCAGCGGCAUCUCCUUCUCCUCAGUGCUUCCUUCAUCAGGCUCACCUAAUUCAAAUACCUCUUCCAGUGAUUUGCAGCACUCAAUUUUCACAGUGCUUAGAUUUUUCAGGGCUCGCAGCAAUUUUGCUGGAAACGGAGCACGAACAUCCCCACAAUCCCUCACUCGUACAAAUUCUAAUCUUUGUACGGAGCCGUUUUGCUGUUCAUGGGCGGCCAUCUGAUCAGAGAACAAUAUUAUAUUUUUUCACUCUCAUAAAAACAAUUUAUACGAUGUAUAAAUAGGAGAAAAAAAUAGAAAAAAGAGGAUUAAAUACUUUUUAGAGAUUACAUAUUAUUGUUUUAGUUUUGUUCUUAAUUAGAGAUAAGUUGAAUAAUAAUUAGAUGUUUGUGAAAAAAAGGUUAAUACAACUCCUAAUAAUUAGUUUCAUGUAAAAAAUAAAAAUAAAAAUAGUAACUAAGAUUUUUAUUUUAGUUAUAAAGUUAAUAAAUUUUUAAAGAUAUUUUAAUUGACUUCAAAAUUUUCAACACAAAAUUUAUGCUCUUAUAUAUUAAUGAUUUUUUUUGUGAAGUUAUUUGAUGUAAUUUGGUCUAAUUUUUAUCCAGAUAGAUUACCUCCAAAGUACCCUUCCAUAUACACCUCGUGUCAGGCACGGAGUCCAAGCUUAAUGUUUUCAAAUUUGUGAACCCCUGCAUCAAAAGAAAUUUUGUGCACUUUGGAAUUGUCCAUAUAAAACUUCAGCCAAAAACUUAUCAACAAAAGGAUAGAAGUAGACAUGGCAAUACGGCAUGGGAAUAUGAAAUCAUAAGUUUUUGAAGAUAUUUUAAUUGAAUUAAAUAUUUGAACACAAAAUAAGCUAAUAUGAUUUCUAUGAUUAAUUGUUGGCAUUAAGUUUCUUAUAUUUAUAUAUGCUUAGAUAAAACAAAAAAAUAAGCAGUGACGAAGAAAGAAUAAAUCUAACAGAUAAUAUAAAAGCUGCAGGACUGAAACGAACAACUCAAUAUUAGCAGAUGGAGGUUUAUCUUCCUCUUCAAAUACUUCCAUUAAUUGGGGGAAGAGCCUCAAUUUCACUCAAACUUGGAAAGCGUAAAGAUUGAAAAAUCUGGAUAUCAUUUCAUUACAAUAAUUAAUUUCUUACUUCUUAAGCCCUCCAUCAAGAGACAGGGAAUGAUACAGUUAGACAACUCCUUUUCAAUUUAAUGGAUGGCUAAAGGAUUCAUCUCCACUUAUCAAUUACUUCAGUUUCAGAAAUUUAAAGGAAGAAAUCAACAUGUAUUGAAGUUGACAAUUUAAAUUAAAAAGGAAAAAAAAAAAUUGGAGGAAUAUAAAGGACGUACCUGGAGCUGUGCAAAGAAAUUUUCCAAUUCUUUGUGGCCAUAGAUGGUUAGACUUUUCAAAGAAGGCAAUUGUGCAGCAAAAUUCUUUGGACCAAAAAAGCUGUAAUUUGAUCUGGAAGAAAGAUCCAAUUCACUUAGUUGAGGGAACUUGAUGAUGCCAUCUGUGGUGAGUGUAUCUCCUUCUCCACUAUAAAACAUUUGCUUUAAAUUGUCAGCAUCAGAAAUCGUCAUCUUUUCCAGGUUUAGAAGGCUUGGAUACACAGAGACAGGGAGGACAUAUUCCAGUUUACCACACUCUUUUAUGAUAAUUGUUUUUAAUAUUGGAAAGUAAGGAGACUCUUGAAUUAUCUCCCUUUCAUCAUCCUUUUCUCUGAUAAUAUGCUUCAAUUCACCGCAUUUACUUAUGCGAAGGCUUUCUAGCUUUGACAGACUGUAAGCAAGGGACGGUGUGAAGAUAAAUGUCAGUUUGUCGAGAUAAUUCAAAUCCAGAUGAGCAAGACUUUGGAAGCUGACAUUUCUGGUGGGCCCCUUCCAUAUGCAUUUGAGCUCAGGUAACCGGUACAGAUUUAACUCUGUUAAAGAUGGCAGAAGCGGCAGCUCCUUCUCCUCACUGCUUCCUUCAUCAGGCAGCUCACCUAAUUCAAAUACCUCUUCCAAUGAUUUGCAGUCCUUAAUUUCCACCUUCCUUAGAUUUUUCAGAUCUGGCAGCAAUUUUGCUGGAAACGGAGCCCCACAAUCGACCACGUGUACAGAUUCUAAUCUUUGUAAGAAGCCGUUUUGCUGUCCAUGGGCGGCCAUCUUAUCAGAGAACAAUAUUAUAUUUUUUCACUCUUGUAAAAACAAUUUAUAUGAUGUAUAAAUAGGAGAAAAACAUAGAAAAAACAGGAUUAAAUACUUCUUAGAGAUUACAUAUUAUUGUUUCAGUUUUUUUUUCUUAAUUAGAGAUAAGUUGAAUAAUAAUUAGAUUUUGGAGAAAAAAAGGUUAAUAACUCCUAAUAAUUAGUUUCAUGUAAAAAAUAAAAAUAAAAAUUGUAACCAAUAUUUUUAUUUUAGUUAUAAAGUUAAUAAAAUUUUAAAGAUAUUUUAAUUGAAUUAAAUAUUUGAACACAAAAUAAGCUAAUAUGAUUUCUAUGAUUAAUUGUUGGUAUUAAGUUUCUUAUAUUUAUAUAUGUUUAGAUAAAACAAAAAAAUAAGCAGUGACGAAGAAAGAAUAAAUCUAACAGAUAAUAUAAAUUACGUAAACCAUGAGGCAGUUAAAUCUAACAGAUAAUAUAUUUCAAAUGAGGCAGUUAAAUCUAACAGAUAAUAUGUUCUUCCAUAUGAUUAAUUUUUAAUAAGGCAGACAACAAUGAGGCAGUUAAGUUUCUUAUAUUUAUAUAUGUUUACAUAAAAAAAUAAAAAUAAGCAUUUAUCAAUUACUUUACUUUUAGAAAUUGGGAGGAAGAAAGAACAAAUUAUCGCAAUUGACAAUUUAAAUUAAGUGGAGAAAUAUAAAUUACGUACUUGUAGCUGUGCCAACCAAUUACCCACUUCUUCGUGGCCUUCAAUGGUUAAUUCUUGCAAAGGCAAUUGAGCAUCAAAAUUCCUUGGACCUAAAAAGCUGUAAUUUGAUCUGAGCACAAGAGACAAUUUUCUUAGUUGAGGGAACUUGAUGAUGCCAUCUCUGUUAUGAGACAAAGAGACUGGGAAGACAUAUUCCAGUUUACCACAGUAAGCUACAUGGAGAGUUUCUAAUUCUGGGAAGCAAGGAGACUGUGGAAUUAUUUCCCUUUCACCAUCCUCUUCUCUGAUAAUAUGCUUCAAUUCACGGCAAGCAAUUAUGGAAAGUCUAUCUAGCUUUGGCAGACUGUAAGCAAGGGACGGUGUGAAGAUAAAUGUCAGUUUGUCGAGAGCAUACAACUCCAGAUUAAUAAGACUUUGGAGGUUGACAUGUCUGGUGGGCCCCUUCCAUAUGCAUUUUAGCUCAGGUAAUAUUUUCAGCUUUAACUCUGUUAAAGAUGACAGCAGCGGCAUCUCCUUCUCCUCACUGCUUCCUUCAUCAGCCUCACCCAAUUCAAAUACCUCUUUCAAUGAUUUACAGCUGUCAACAAUCACCUCCUUUAGAUUUUUAAAACCUUGCCGCAAUCUUGCUGGAAACAGAGCGAAAACACCCCCACAAUCCCUCACUUUUACAGAUUCUAAUUUAUGUAAAAACAAUUGCUCAAAUGUCUUCGCAUUUAAGGAUGUACCAACCAAAACUAAGGAGGUUGGGUAUCGAUCCCAAAACCUUAUUUCAUAUUCAUUAGCAUACCCUAAUAUUAUAUGAUAUUUGCGCAAGCUGACUGGAAAAACAAAAUCUCUGGGAAUGCAUUCAACCUUCGGUAUCCUCAAUGAUAAUACGGCUAACUGAGACAACGAAUUUAGUUCUUUUAGGCUUGCAUUCAUUCCUCCUGUGCUGUCACAUCCAACAACAUCCCAUCCAUCAAAUCUGCAACCCCCGAUCAACAGCUCUUCUAACUUCUUCAACCUUCCAAUCAAAUUCACAGGGAUCCUUCUUAGCCUGUAACAACCUGUCACAUCCAACAACCUUAACUCCUUGAGCUCUCCUAUUUCAUCAGGUAAUUCUUCAAUGGAUGAGCACCACAUAAGACCAAGUAUCUUAAGUCUCUGCAGCUUUCUCAACCAAAUGAGGUCCUUGCAAUUACACGAGAUCAACACCAACGAUUGAAGUUUCGUUGAGAGUUCAAGUGAUUGCAAUGACAAACACCCUCCCUUCAGAGACAAAACUUUAAUUUCUUUCAUCCCUUCAAAGAACCUCUGAGGAACAUUCAAACGAUUAUCCAGUUCUAAUAAUAGAACUUUGAGCUGUGGACAUACCAAUCCUUCAGGAAGUUCUGCUAGUUGAUUGCCCAUUAACGAAAUUGUUGUACAACCUUCAAAGCUUGUAUCGCUCAUUGGCCACUUCUCUAACCGUAAGCCAGCCUUUACCAUGAAUCCAUAUUCUUCUGAUGCUAUGUGAAUAGCAACAUCACGAACAAGGUCAUGCAUUUUCACAUGUUCUUCAGUUUCAGAGCCCAACACCAUGCAACAAUCUUUGAGGUUUUCGAUUGCCACAGAAACACGUUUCCUUGCAUCUUCAAUGGGCUCCGUGUCGUGAUGUAACCCAUAGUCAACUGCAUAUCUCGUCAAGUCCUGGAUUGGAAUGUCAUAGUCUUCUGGAAAUAAACAGCAUAGCACGAAACAUGACUUGGUUUCCUUGAGCUGCAAAUAAUCAUAGCUCAACUUAAGACAUGUAUAAGCAUUAUUUUUUUCGUCAAUUUGUUCCAUGCAAGCAAAUUUAGAUUCUUUGAGCUGUCUACACGCGAAUUCCCACUGAAGUGCAGAUUGAUCUCUUAGAGCCCUUCCCACUGUCACAAGUGCUAUGGGCAAGCCUUGACAUUCUCUCGCAACCUCCCUUGCCACUGUGUUCAAGGUAGGGUGCCCAUCAAGUAAAUCUGCAUUGAUUCUGAAUAAAUCCCAUGCUUCUUUUUCAGGUAAUUCUCUUAAGAACACCUUUUGCUGGCAUUUCAUAGAAGAACAUACAUUUGUACGACGUGUUGUUAGAAGUAUUUUACAACCCCUGUGAUCAUCACCAAAUGGGAUCCCUAUCUCUUUCAAGUCAAUAUCUUUCCAAACAUCAUCUAGGAUAAUAAGCAUCUUCUCCACUUGCUUCAGUCUCUUCCGUAAUAGAUCUGCUCUCCCUGGAUUAGUAUUCUUUUCUUUAAUAUUCAUCAGUUCUAACUUAUCUGCCAUUAGGUGCUGAAUGUCUUUGACAAUUGGAUUCUGCGACACCGUAGCAAUCAAAACUUCAUCAAAAAGCUGCGACUCUCUGGCUAUCGUGCCUACUUCUUUCACCAGGGUGGUUUUGCCCACCCCUCCCAUGCCGUACAGUCCGAUCAUAUUGACAUUGUCAUCUUUGAGAGCUUCCAUAAUCUGUUUGAAAGCUUCUUCUGACGAUUUUGAGGGCGUGAAUUCCUUUGAUGGAAGAAAUUCUAUGGGCUCAGGAUGAGCUCUGUGGGACACUUUUGUAGACUUUUUUUCUAAAAGUUCUCUGAAAGUCUCCGACUUCUUGGCCAGUGCCUUGCUUAACUUGAAUUGUCGCAUGCAGUUUGGACACCAAGUGAAGCAUUUGCCAUUUUUUCCUAUUUCAUUUUCCAAGGGUUUCGCAUCUUCAAUUUCGUUGUUUGCAUCUCCCAGCCACUUUUUGACAUCUUCGUAAAUUUCUUCAGCAUUCCUGUCAGCAGCUUUGACAUCGUCUUGCAGACGUUCUUUUUCCGAAACCAGCUGCUCCUUCUUUUGUUUGAAUUCCUUAACAAAAUCGUUGAAACAGAACAUGUAACGCAACUGCCUUCCUACUGGUUCCACCAUGAGUUCUGCAAUCUUAGAUAUAAUGGAUCCACCCACACUUUCGAUAGCCAUUUUCCACCGACCUGAAAAUCAGAGAAAUAAGGAUACACAGAACGUGAGAGUGAGUCACUACAAGUAAAACAGGCGCAGAGAGAAUGGGAAUAGGAAUUUCAUUACCUUAACUUGAGAAAAUAUGUGCGAAAAGCACUGGUACUGAUUGCUCAAUGAAAUGGAGAAGGCCUUUAGCUCUGUAUGGAAUCCAGCUUCAAAAGCAACAAGGCAAGGUAUAAGGAUUCUACUGACACUUGUGAGUUAAAGCAGUAAUUCCCAUUAAAAAUGCAUUUUGAUGACAUAAUUAAGAUCAUAUAGAGACAGUGACAAACAAAAAAGAAAGAAACGAGUGAAAGGUCCAGGAUAAUCACUCAGCCCGCUUCCAACCACAAAUAUAAUUAACUAAUCUAAGCUAUGAUCGGUCAAAGUCAAAGUUUUUUUUAGUUUUAUUCUUUUUUUAAAUAAAAAAAACAGGAAAAGACUUGCAAAGAAAUAGAAUUACUGGAAUGAACACAAUAAAGGAUGAAGCUCAAGCAAUUAAAAAUAAAUUAUCUAUGAUGAUCAUCUGUUUGUCACACUCAAUGAAGUAACAUGAUUGACCUUUUACAAUAUUAAAUAAAUAAAUAAAUAAAAGCUAAAAGAACUAGGUUUUUGGUGGCAUCCAGAUUGCGGUUACUUUCUUCAUCCUUCUUUUGUGGUUUUAUUUUAUUUCAGUCCUUCAAAUCUUUUUCUUUUGCUAUUUCAUCGAGUUGCUUUGCUCGAGUUGAUGUGCUUGCCCUAGAAUAUGCAUCAUGCUAGGGAUUACAAUUACAUUACAUAAGAAAUUAUACUUACAGAUUAUAAUUAAAAAUUUCAGUUUUUUUUUAAAAACAAAUUUAUGAGAGAGUACCAAUUUACAACGUGAGUAAAUGAAAGGAGAAUUUUAAAUCUUUUUGUGACAUGGUGACCAGCUGAUCCAAGUAACCAAUAGAUUAUCACCACUUGUUCAACCUAUCUGCACAUUAAGAUAGGGGUAGUCAUAACUAUGACUAGGAGUGAGCAAAAAAACCGAAAAACCGAUUUAACCAAGAAAACCAGAAAAAAAUUAACCGAAAAAACCGAACCGGUAAAAAAAACCGAUUGAACUGGUUAAAAUAUUUAGGAAAAUGUCCGGUUCGGCUUCCGGUUUUGGUGUGCCUAAACCAGCCAACCCGAACCGAACCGAACCGGUUCGGUUUAGGAAUGAAAAAAAAAUAUAAACCAAGCGGGUCGCCUCCUCCCAUUACUUUCCCUUUCAACAACCCUAGCAGACCAUUUAUUUGUUUUCCCUUUCACACAGCCGCCCCCUCCCCUCCAACCCUUUCAAUCUUCAUUCACACUUCACAGACAUAGCCGCCCCCUUCAAUCACCCCUACUCCCAUUAACAGCCGCUCCCUCCCAUUAACAGCCGCCUCCUCUUCACCAGUCAACGAGCUUAGGCUAUUCUCGGACAACCAUUCUUCGAAUCUCGAAAGAAACCGCCGUGCGUGUGAGGUGGCGAAACUGUUACCGCUUCUAGAUCUUCUUCAAUCUAUUGCUUCUAUCAAAGCCGAUUACAUCGCUCAGGUAAUCUUGUCAUGUAAUUACAUAUUUAAUUAAUUAUUGCUUGUUGAUUUUAUAUUGUUUCUAUUUUUCAAUUUUGAUGUGUUAAUUAUUUUGAACAAUGUAAAAAUAAAGGUGGACGAAAGAACACAAUUUGGAAAGGAAAUUGGAAUCGUUGUCCCUGUCUCAGAUUCUCAAAAGACAAUCAAUCGCAAACAGUAUGUCCUCCAUUUUUUUUUCUUCUUUUCUUUCUCACUGGUAGAUUGGAAUUUGAAACUGCCAACAAAAGUUUGUAUUCGAAGUUAGCUUUUUGAAAAUUGACCCUAUUAUAUAUUUACUGUGGCUUAAGCUUUGAGAUAUUGCAUGAUUAUGAAUUAGUUUAUAUGAGUUGAAACUUGAAACAUAGUCUGACAAGGAUGGAUUAACCAAUUGCUGGGAAAAUAGUUUUCAAAUCUCUUUGAAAAAUGUCUGAUGCUGCGACAUAAGUCACAUAACAGACUCGAUUUGAAGGGAAUCUUUGAGAUAUUGCAUGAUUAUGAAUUGGUUUAUAGAAAUUUGCUGGAUUGAUUUUUUUUCUUUUUCUUUUUUAAAAGGGAAUUUAAUUAAAAUACAUUUUUUUCAUCUACUUUUUAAGUUUAAAUCUUAGAAUUAAUAUCCAAAAAAUUUCACCUUUGCUCGCUAAAAUAUAAUUUUAAUCUUAACAAAAAACUAUAUCUUAAAAUUGACUGUGUUGCUAUCCAACUAAGAAAUUGACUCAAGUGGCUUAGUGAUAUAUAGUGGGGACAUUCUAUUUUAGACAUGCAGCUUGUUGCCUUGUUCUACUUUAUUCUAUAAUCUAUUUGAGAAAAAUGUUGUUUAUUUCUUCUAGACACUUUAGUCUUCCAAAUUUCAGUUGUAACCAGCAAGCAUAGAGGUUAUGAUAGAGGUUAUGUAUUGGGAAGAUGAACUAUCUUUUUAUUUGCAGUGGCUGUGAAACUCUCUUUCUGUGUGUCUCUGUCUCGUGUGCGUGUGUAUAUAUGCACCUGUAAUUCUUGCUUCUCUCCAGUUCCUUUCGUUUGCAAGUUACUGUUGCUAGAGUAGGUGCAACUAGUUCUUUCCUCUACAAGUCGGGUUUGGUAAGAUUGAUUAUAAAGAAAAAGGUAUUGGUAAUGCACAAUUUGAUUUUAGUGUUGAUGUUAAGUGUGGCUUGUUUUAUGAUGGAUAAUUAUGUUGACAAUAUUGGGCUUCAUGAAUGAUGAUGCCAGUUUAUUUAUGGUCUUAAUAAGCUAUAUUACUGCUGGAUUUGUGCUCUUUAUUUAUAUGGCAAAUUCUUAUUCAAAUCUUUGAUAUUUAUCGCUAAUGAAACUUCAAUCUUGCCUCAAGUUGUCGACCAAGUCAAAAUUCCUCCUACAAGUAUACAAUAUUGUUUUAUUAUAAUGUUAUAAUGUUAUCGCUAAUGAAACUUCAAUCUUGCCUCAGGUGCUCUUUAUUAUUAUAUUGAUAUUAAAAAUAAUUUUAAAAAAUAAAAAAAAUAUUAUUUUAAAAUAUUUUUAAAAUAAAAAAUAUUUUAAAAAACAACUAUUUAUUCAAGGACUUAAAAUAAAAACCUUAAAAUCACGGCAUGAUAAAAGGAGGAAGAAAGGAAUGGGACAAAGAAGGAAGAAAAUAAGGUCAUGUAGGGGGCCAGUCUUGUAUAAAAUAGAAGAUGAAAAUUAGUAUGAAAAAGAGGCUAUUUGUUUUUUUACUGUGUCAGAGUGGUUUUUAUAAUUAUAUUCAAUUUAUUAAAAUAUUAAAUUAAUAUAUUUUUAAAUGUUUCUUGUUAUUAUAUAUAUAUAUAUAUAUAUAUAUAUAUAUAUAUAUAUAUAUAUAUAUUCUAAUAUGUUUUUAAAUAAAAAAUUAUUUUAAAAAAAUAUGUGUCACAAUACUAAAUUAUAGUAUAAAUUAAAAUAUAAAAGAGUUCUCUGUUUAUUACUAUUUACCGAGACUUAUUUUAUUGUAGAUAUUAAUAGUGAAUUUUUUUAAAAUUUUUAAUUUGGUAUUUGAAUUAUUUUUUUUUCAUAAUUAAAUAUCUUUAUACCCAAAUUAAAACUCAAUUGCAUUUUGUUUUUUAAGAAUAAGAGUUGAAUUCAAAGAUAAAUGCCUGUAAUGAAAAACUCUGUAAAAAUAUGCGGCAACAUUGUAAUUGUUUGCAAAGUUCAUUUUAGUCCCUUAUCUUUUUGAGCUACUAAGUAACAUGUCCCUAUAAUUUCUCAACAUUACAUUUUAUCCAGAAUCUCGGAUUAUGCUUUAGGGACUAAACUGAAUUUUUUAUAAAUUGAGAGACCAAACUGAAAUUUUAUCAUCUUCAAUCUCAAAUCUAAAAUUUUCACAUAUCACCUACUGAUAUAACAAGAUUUCUAACUCAAAUUCACCAUUUAAACAAACCAUAACUCAAAAUCAUCAUUUUUACUUAAAAUCUUUCAAAAUCAACUAAAUAACUCAUUAUUCAUAACAAUCAAUACAUAAUAUUCAAAUCAAUUCAUCAAUCAAACCCAAAACACAAUAUUCAAAACCCUCAUAUUCAACAAAACAAAAAAUUAAAGCUAAGAAAAACACAUUUAUACACAUCAAAGCGUAAAUAUUCUUAUCUUUUAAUUUAUUUUCUCUAACUAUCUUAUCCUUUCUUUAUCUUUUCCUCUUUUCUCUUUUUCUUCUUUCACUCUCACGGUUUUUUCUCUAAGAAUUCAAAUCUCUCUUUUUUUUUUCUAUUUAUAUUUAUGAACUAUUUGUUCAAUUACUACAAUACCGUUCAUUUAUUUAUACCUACUUCUAAGCCUCCAUGAGUUUUGUUGUCUUUUUCUAUUCUCUUUUAUUUCCAAAUCAUCACAAUAAAAUUGUUUUCUUUUUAUUUAGCUGCUAAUUUAUGCAGCUUUAGCUCUUGUUCUCUUUUCAUGUUUAGCAACUCUGAUCUGUUCCUUUCUUUACAUGAUAUAAGAGCAGGUUCUUACCUCUUGAAGUCUGCUGGAUAAACCUAUCAGCAGAAGAUCCUGAAGCGAUCCCAAAUCACAGCUUCAAUCCCCACCACAACCAAUCUCCUCUUUCCCGUAGUCUGUCGUCCUCAAUUGGGAAAUGAUCUCAAAAAAUCACUUGAUGCAACAAGUAGGGUAGAGAAAUAUAAGACUUCAACAAAGAAUCAAACUCAAAAAAAUAAAAGUAAUUGUCUAUGAGAAGCAUUUCUGUGUCACACACUCAAGUAAUAUGAUUGACCUAUUACAUUAUACAAAAUAAUAAUAAUAAUAAUAAUAAUAAUAAUAAUAAUAAUAAUAAUAAUAAUAAAAGAACUAGGUUUUUGAUGGCAUCCAGAGUGCUGUUACUUUCAAACAAAGAGGCUUGUGCAUGCGGUGUUACGCUGUUCAUGUAGGCUAAGAUAUCCUAUGAAUACAAUUGUAAAAUCAUACAAUUGUAUUCUUUUUAUUAAGCUGCUAAUUUAUGCAGCUUUAGCUCAUGUUCUCUCUUCUUGUCUUGCUAUUCUGAUUUUAUCUUUUUCUUUGCAUGAUAUAAGAGCAGGUUCUUACCUCUUGAAGUCUGCUUCAAUCCCCGUAGUCUUCCGUCCUCAAUUGGGAAAUGAUCCAAAAUCAACAACCGGUUCGGAGAUAGUUUGAGUGAAAAGAAACGGCUGAAAGAUGAAAUGUGAAGGUUAUGGUGAGAAAUUAGAUGACAAACUUACUUUGUCCUCCUAAUGCUUUUGCUUUCAUUGUUUCGAAAGUAAAAGAGACAUAAACAUAAUCAGUGUGUUUUCUGUUUAGCAAUAGCUAGAAAGGUAUCUGCUUAAAAAGACCAUUGAACAAGGGAUGACCCAUUCAGCAAGGGAUUCUGCUAGGAAAACAUGAAAUUGUUCUUCUAUUUGAUAUUUGUUUCAAUCUUCUAAACAAAUAGUACAGCAUCAAGUCUCAGUCACCUAUUCACGAAAUUGUUGUAUUUCUAAUGACUAUGCUAAUAAAAAAGUUGAGCCAGCAUGACACAUGAAAUUCAAAAAUAACAAAAUAACAUGAGAAAAUAAAUAUUUAUAUUAUAAUUAUGCAUCUUAAAAAAUCACUUGAUGCAACAAAUAGGAUAGACUUCUAGGAAAUUCUUUCACUGUAAAAUGGCUGAAGGUUCUUUUAUGAACAUUUAUAUUAAAAAAUUGGGUCAAUUGAUCUUUGUUAUUUAACAUGAAUAAAGUGUUGAUUUAGUCUUGUAGUUAUUAUAUCAAAGUUUUUAUUAGUUUAUGCACGAUCCCUUAUUUUACUUGCUUUAUUUUUUUUAAACCCAGCUUAGUUUCAAUCUCGAAUCUAUCGGGUCCCACUACCAGAUAUUCGCUAAAUACCAACGGAUUUACCGACGAAAUAUUUUCUGUCGGUAUUUUGAGGUCGAAAUUACCGACGGCCACUUUCCGUCCGUAAUUCAGUCGGUAAAAACCGACAAAAACUUUUCCGUCCGUAAUUCAGUCGGUAAAUACCGAUGGAAAUUUUCCGUCGGCAUUUACCGACUGAAUUACGGACGGAAAAGUUUCUGAAUUUUAAAAAAGGCGGGUCGCUGACGUGGAGGUUUUGGCGGGUUUUUUUUUUCCGACGGAAUCACCAACGGAUUCAAAAACGACUGCCCGUACAGUGCCCGUAAAGUGAUGUGACCGGUUCACCGUUUAAAUUUCCGACGGACUCACCGAGGGAUUUGAAAUGGCAGAUCCGUACGGUGACAUGUCUAUGUUUCCGUCAGAAUCACCGGCAUAAUAACCGACGGAGUGUCCGUCGGUAAAACCGUCGGAAAAAGUUAAUAUAUGACAGCUCUGCCGACCCUCUCAUCCCCUAUUUCUCCUUCUUCUUCCUCAUCCCAACUCUCCCCAUCUGCAAACAACCAGCCCCCCCUCCCCCCUAAAAAAAAAAAAUCUUCCUCAUAUCAGCACAAGAAGUUAUAUUUCUUGAAGUUUUGUGGUCACGGCAUCCGCGCGUGUUCUGAUUUAUCGACGGAUUUUAUCAAUUUUUGUAAGUAAUUAUAUCUUUUUAAAUUUUAACAUUUAAUUAAAUGUCAAUUUUAUUGUUUUUUUAGUAUAUGUAUUUUGUUAGUAGAUGUACAUGUUUUAUUGUUAUUUCUCAAACAAACUUGUAGUAUAUGAAUGUAUAAUUUUGUACCUGUUAUGGUUUGUUUUAGAUUUUGUAAGAUUGUAUUUGUUUGUAAAUUAUUAUUUCUUUAUGGAAUUACCGAAUUACAUGUGCUAUUUUGAAAUAAUUAAUAGCUUGGUUAAUGGGCCCGUUUAAAGUUUUAUCAAUGGUAUUGUGGAGUGGUAAUUUCUGUAAAUUUAUAUUUUUUAAUUCGUAUGGACGUUGAUAAAUGAUAAUGAAUAUUUAAUAUUUAUGAGAAGUUGUGAUUGGUUUGUUGGAUAAUCUCGAGUUAAAGUAAUAUUUGUACAAGUUUAUUUACCUAACUUAGUUAAUUAAUACAUGAUGUCAUCAUAAUUUUAUAGAGGUUCGAUAUAAGUCAUGGAUGAUCGUUCAUGGAUGUAUCGAGAUUCACCCCAAGGAUUGCGGAGGAUGGAUUAUUGUAAUGGGGUUCAGGGUUUUAUUAAUUUCGUAACAUUUAUUCCCAGAAAUUUUACUGGAGGCGGUAUUAGGUGUCCAUGCAGGAAGUGUGAAAAUAAAAAGUAUUUGCAUCCAGAUGUUGUAAUGAUACAUCUUCUACACAAAGGGUUUAUGGAGAAUUACCAGUGUUGGUAUGCACAUGGAGAAGUAUUUGUUAGCGAGAGUGAGAGGAGAAUGGAAGAAACGGUGGUUGGGUCUACUUCUAGUGCUAGUAACGUGCAUGAAACGGCAAAUGACAACACUAAUCCUUACAGAAAUAUGGUUAUGGAUGCAAUGAGAAUGAAUCAAGGUAAUGGCAGUCAAUGUCCAAUCGUAGAAGAAGAACCUAAUGUAGAUGCAGCUAGGUUUUUUGAUUUGUUGAAAGAUUCUGACGAACCAUUAUGGGAUGGCUGCACGAACCACAGUAAAUUAUCGGCUGUAGCACAGGUGUUCACCAUCAAGUCAGAUCACGGGUUGAGUGAGGCCGGGUAUGACAAGAUUAUUGAAUGGGCAAGAAGCAUUUUACCUGAAGGGAACAGGCUGAAAGAGAACUUAUAUGCUGCGAAGUUCAUGAUGAAACCCCUCGGUUUAGGAUACCAGAAAAUUGACAUGUGCCCUAACUUCUGCAUGUUAUACUACCUUGAAAAUGCUGAGAUGACUGAGUGCAUGACAUGCGGGCAUUCCCGUUACAAACCUAGAACUGGCAGGGGAAAGACUCUAGUGGCAUAUAAAAAACUUAGAUACUUCCCGAUCACACCUAGACUGCAGAGGUUAUUCAUGUCACCAAGGACUGCUGAGCACAUGACAUGGCACCAAGCACACCAUGCGGUUGAUGGAGUGAUGGUUCAUCCUUCUGACGGCGAAGCGUGGAAACGCUUUAACAGUGUUCAUCCUCACUUUUCAGCUGAAUCAAGGAAUGUGCGUCUUGGGUUGUGUACAGACGGAUUCAACCCAUUUGGGUCAUUUGCUGCUCCUUAUUCUUGUUGGCCGGUCAUACUCACAGUUUAUAACUUGCCACCGGGAAUGUGUAUGAGGCCGGAGUUCAUGUUUUUAUCUAUUGUCAUACCCGGUCCAAGAAGCCCGGGGCGGAAUAUAGAUGUUUGUCUUCGACCGUUGAUUGAUGAGUUGACGCAGUUGUGGUCCUCCGGAGCUCUGACUUAUGAUAUAUCGAGGAAACAAAAUUUCCUUAUGAGGGCGGCAUUGAUGUGGACUAUCAAUGAUUUUCCAGCUUAUGGAAUGCUUUCUGGUUGGAGCACGCAUGGGAAACUCGCAUGUCCAUAUUGCAUGGAAAACAACAAGGCAUUCACGCUAGCAAAUGGAGGUAAAGCUUCUUUUUUUGACUGUCACCGUCGCUUCUUGCCACUUCAUCACAGGUACAGAAAGAACAGAAAAGAUUUCUUUGCUGGCAGAGUUGAAAAAGAUGUUGCAUCCCCGCGUCUUUCUGGUGAAGAAUUGCAUGAUGUUGUCUUAGAGUACGGUGACAUUGUGUUUGGCCUUCAAUCAGGAAAGCAAAAGUUUCCUGGUUUUGGUUUGACCCAUAAUUGGGUAAAGCGAAGUAUCUUUUUUGAGCUUCCUUAUUGGAAGACCAAUCUGCUUCGCCAUAACCUUGACGUCAUGCACAUCGAAAAGAACAUGUUUGAGAAUAUUUUCAACACCGUCAUGGAUGUGAAGGGGAAGACAAAGGACAACAUCAAGGCUAGAUUGGAUAUAGCUUUAUACUGUAACCGAAAAAAUAUGGAGUUGGUUUAUGAUGAGUCACGGGUCGCAAAACCAAAAGCAAGCUUCGUGUUAGAGAAAAACGCACAACUGCUAGUCUACAAAUGGCUUAAGAGUCUGCGUUUUCCGGAUGGACAUGCAUCGAACAUAUCAAGGUUGGUUAAUAUAGAGGACUGCAGAUUGUAUGGAAUGAAGAGUCAUGACUGCCACGUGUUUAUGCAAACACUCAUCACAUUAGCUUUUCGUGAUUUGUUGCCAAAGGGAAUAUGGGAUGCACUCACGGAGAUCAGUCAUUUCUUCAGAGAUAUAUGCUCCAGCAAGUUGAAUGUUGAUCACAUUGAGAGGCUUCAAACGAAUAUCGUCGAGACACUGUGCAAACUUGAGAUGAUAUUCCCUCCAUCAUUUUUUGACUCAAUGGAGCAUCUCCAUAUACAUCUAUCGUUCGAGGCAAAAGCUGGAGGACCGGUCCAAUAUAGAUGGAUGUACCCAUUCGAACGGUUAGAUAUUACAGUUGCAAUGUAAUUCAUAUAUAAAAGUAUUUUAUAUGUUUUUCUUAAUUGAAAAUACUUGAUUAAUAUUUCAGGUGCGGUCGCAGCUAGUUCGUCUAGCAGCGAGGAUGAUAUUUCCUUAGGUGCCUCUCAAGAAGAGGCACCUACACCACCUGCGCCGUCAACCGAUGCUGCCUCUUCCAGCGGUACUUCACAGCGCAGAGGCGGCGUGCCUUCGCAGCGGAAUCAAUUUACCCGCAAGUACGAGGCACAGUGGAAGGACGACCUUUCAAUGUAAGUUUGUUAAGGUUUUAGUUUUUUUUAAAAAAAAUUACAACAUAAUUUAUCAAGUAAUCACUAUUGAAUUUAUUUCAUUUAUUUUCAGGUUCACAAACAUUGAAGUCGCCCGAGUAAUAUCAUCGGCGUUUAAAUCGUCGAUGGAGAUUCCAUUGUUUCAAUGGAGUCAGAUAUCCAAGCAUCCUGAAUGGAUGCCUCAAAUCAAUGCAUGGUUUAACAGGUUUGAGGUUGGUAUUAAUUUAUAAUUUUCAGCUUAUUAAUAUAAUUGUAUUAUUUUUAUUUAAACUUGUUUAUUUAUACAAAGCACAAAUUCUGCUAGGACAUUGAGCAUAACGCUGUUGUGAGGAGGGUGUGGGAAAAUCACGCGGCAACUAGGUAAGAUCGAAAACAAUACAUGAUUUUUUUUAGACAAAAAUUUAUGUUUCGAAAUGUAAUUUUUGGUUGCGUGAAGCAGGUUGCGUGAUUUUUGGUAUGAAGCACAGAAAAAGGCAAAAAAAACCGCGAGGGAUAGGGGUUUCCAAGGCUGGAACGAUGUUGCGGUUUGGAGGGAUUUCAAACUGAUAUACAUCCCGGAAGAUAUAUGGCCGCACUAUCUUGAGCACGUGACGUCUGAGCAGUUCACACGACGCUCACAGUCCGGUGCUGGCAACCGGAAUCGACCAAUUCAUGGCGGGGUGAGAACUCACACUGGCAGCUCCGUUCCGUUUGCUGCACAUGCGAAACGGAUGGUAAGAUUAAUUUAAAUGAAAUAUAUCGUUAAAUUCAGUUGUUGUUAAUAUAUCUUUUUUCAUUAUAGGCUGCGUCUCUUGGACGUGAGCCGAGCCCGAUGGAGCUGUUUGUGGAGACGCACGUGCGGAGUCAAGACCGCCAGAAGGGGGCGCAACAGUUCGUUGAUAACCGUGCUCAGCAUUUCGUGGUAUGUUUGUUCAACCAUUUUAUUUUCUAAGUUAUUAUGUUUAUUGUAUUGAAUAUGAUGAUUACUUUUUUUAUUUUAUUUUCAGGAGACCUAUAAUAAUCGGUUGAGGGAGAGAUACGGGGACGAUACUUUGACCCAUCCGGAAUUCGAUCCGGAUUUGUGGAUGGAGGUUGGCUCGUCAGGUGGACCAGAUAAAAAUCGGGUUUACAGCCUCUCCAACACUACGGCCGACAACUUGCGGUCGACCCAUAGUGUUUCAACCGUUGGGAACUCCCAAUCAAUAGCGAGCUCCCAAUCUAAGGAGUUUGUGGCUUUGCAGCAACUCAACGAGAAAUACGACAACCUACAAGCGGAGUACGCACAACUCAAAGCAUCUCAUGCACAACAAAGAGCGGAGUCUGAGCAAUUCAAAGCGUCUCAAGCACAACAAAAAGCGGAGUAUGAAGCGGCUCAUGAACAGCAAAAAGCGGCUUAUGACCAGCUUUACGAAAUGAUUAUGAAAUUGUCAAAUAGCGGAACAUGUGCGCCUAAUCCUUUUUGGCCGUAUAACCACCAGCCUCCGCCCGGAUCUCCUCCUCCUCCUCAAGCUCCAUCAUCUUUAUAUUAAUUUGUAAUCAACAUUAUUUACCUUUAAAACUUCAUUUAUUAUUUUUCUUGAAACAUAUUCAGUUUGUAAUGAAUAUUAUUUAACUUUUUUUUUUUAUGUUUAAUAAAAAUUUUAUUUGCAUAAUUGGUUUGUAUAACAAUUAAUUUAUAUAGUUUUAUAUUAUAUAUCCUAAAUAAUUUUUUAAAAACAAAUUAAGAAAAAAACUAUUACCAAGGAUUUUACCGACGGAUGAAUUCGGUCGGUAUUUUAAACUUUCACCGACAAACUUACCGACGGAAUUAAUCCGUCGCCAUUUAACAGUAGCUUCCACCAGUACCGACGAAUUUACAGACGAAAAUAUUCCGUCGGUAUUUCAUACAUUCACCGACCGAUAUCACGACGGAUAUUUUCCGUCGGUAAUUUCAAUUUCACCGACGGAAUGAAAAUCCGUCGGUAUAUUUCAAGCGGGAAUCUUUUUUUUUUGGCGCGCACGUUCCGUCUGUAAAACCGUCGGUAAAUGAUUUUUUUGUUUUUCCGACUGAUAUACCGACGGAAUGAGGAAUCACCGACGAAGGUAAAGCCGACAGACGUAUUCCGUCGGUAAAAAAAUCACCGACGAACUUCUAAUCACACACCGACGGAAUUUUGCCGCCGGUAAAACUGUGAAAUCUUGUAGUGUCCUGGAUCGACCCAUAAAGCCAAACCAAGUUUUAAAACUAUGUUAUCUUAGCAAAUUUAAUUAUCCCAAUUCUUAAUUUUCAAUUGAAAAUGCUAAAGAAUUCCCCACUGGGAGCAAAUAAUAAUAUGUUAAGCAUGACAAAUUUUAUUUAAAUUAAAAAGCCAAAAAUGAACGCAUCUACUCUUGCAAGAAUGGACUCAAAAGUUCAGCUAGUCCGCAUAAUUAAAUAGUACUGUUACUGUAAACUACUAGGAAAUUCAUGGGUAGAGCCAAAAUGUUAACAAUAGCAUUGAUUCGGUCAGGGGCUCUGGUGUAUAGAGAGGACCUUGCCGUUAGAAACUAUGGAGCCCACUAUUUAUUAAUCCAUUUUUAUUUACUACUUAUUACUAUUUAAUUAUUUUUAUUUACUAUAUUUUUGUUUGUGAUACCCAGUACCAAUAAAAUUUGAGAUUCCUUCAAUUUUUUAGGUGCAUGCAAGUCUAAUGGCUUCAUGUACAAAAGCAAUUCAAGGGUGUGUAUCCUUAACUAUCAGGCUAACCUUUACAGGCUUCGCUAGCAAUCAAUAAUUAUUUUUUAAUGAAUUCAUUUUUUAUUUAAAAUAAGGAAAAGGACAUUGGUGAAUAAAUUGUUUCCUUCCUAUUAUAAUUGUUAGACCUUACCAAAGGGCUAAUUUAGAAAAAGAUUAUAACUUAUAGGUCACCAGGGCCGAGGUCAACUUGUAAUUAAGUAGAUCAAUUUAAAUUAAUUGUUUUUAUUUAAAUGAUAAUGUUUUGUUUUUUUUUCUUGAUAUUAAUUUGGCUAAUUUUUAUCAAAUCAAAUCACUAAAAACUUAACCAAAACAAAUUUCAUCAAAUCAAUAAUAUUUUAUGUAGUUGAAUUAAAAAUUCAAUUCAAUUCUAGCUCUGAACCCUGAUUAAGCAUACAGGUUUAAAAAAUAUGCAUCUCACUUGCAGCUGUGGUUUGCUGCGGGCAUUUGGUAAUUGGGAGAGGCUUUAGUUUCGUACCUGUUGAUCUGCUUCAUAUACACUUGGACCUCUUAUUUUAUUUUAUAUUGGUUGGAUCCAAACUUAAUCCAAUACAAAAUUAACAUAUUUAUUAUUUAUUUAAGAUAAAUGAUAUGGCUUUAACAUAUUAGCGUACACUUAAUAUGAUUAAAUUUAAUUUAAUUAAUUAACAUCUCACCGCAAUAAAUUUUACCAUUUGCAACCAUAAACAGUUGACACCUUAUUAAUAUAAUCAAUAUAGUAGAAAAAUUAUAGUGAUUUAAAACAAUUCAUUAAAAUGUUCGUAAAUGUUUUUAUUUUGUGAUGAUGGUUUUCGUGUUAUCUUUUAUGUAUUGUCGCUACCGUACAUGAACGCCUGACAUGAGGGUUAUUUGAAAUCAUUAUCUAGUUAUUUAGUUUAAGGUCACUAAGAAACCUAUAAAUACUAGUCUUGUUAGAGAUUUGAGAGUAAAUGACUAGUUGUGGCUAAAGAAUGUAUUAACACUCUUAAUGCACCCUACCCAAGUAAAUUAUUUUGUGAUUAAACGUGGUUUAGAGAUUUUGAUGAUUUUCUGAUAUAUCUAUAGUUUAGGAUUGGGAUUUGCUUGUAUGAAUAAAUUUGGUGUUUAAUAAUUUAUCAUGGAUUCUUGUACCCAGAUAAAUUCUUAGAAAAAAAAGUUCUUCAUAAUUUGUGUACGUAUUACGGUAAAAAUUACUCUCAAUAAAAAUUCAUGAAUAUUUAGAAUAACUUUGAGGAUUUUCUAAUCAACUUCAAUAUUUCAAAUAUCAGCCUCACUUAUAGGUAUAGCGUUUUAUAUCAAUAUUUUUAACCAUUAAUUCUCAUUAAUUAAAAAAUAGUGGUUUAUUAAAAUAUUGACCAAAUUCACAUGAAUUUAAUAAACUAGUUAUUAAAUUUUAAAAUGCAUAUACAUAUAUAAUAUUUUAAUUUGUUUUUAAAUAAAGAAUAUUUUUAAAAAGCAUGUGCCAUAAUACCAAAUUAUAGAAUAAAUUAAAAGAGAAAGGAGUUUUCUCUUCAUCACUAUUCACUUAUAUUCAUUUUACUAUGGAUAUUAAUAGUGAAUUUUUUGAAAAUUUCCAAUUUGGUACUCAAUUAUUUUUUUUUCACAAUUGAGCUCUUUUAAAUCCAAAUUAAAGCUUAAUUGCAUAUUUUUUCAAGGAUGAGGGUUGAAUUGAAAAACAUAGGACUGAAGUGAAAAACUCGAAUAAAAUAAGUUGUGGUUUUGCAAUUUGUUUGCAAGUUCAUUUUAGUCCCUAUAAUUUUUUAUCAUUGUAUUUUGAUACCAAACUUUAUUUUCUUCUGUUUUUAGUUUUUUUGUGUAAGAGAGAGAGAGAGAGGAUCACCAUAUUUUGUUUUAGAGAGAAAAAGUUAUUUUUAAGGAUUGUGACCACCAAAACAAUUGAUUUUUGUGUUAAAUUGUUAUGUCUUAAUUCAACAAGGUUCCUUGAAUGUUUUCUAGGUGUUUUGGGUUAAAAUGGGUUGAAGACAGGUUUUAGGUUAUAAUUAGGUUUUUUACCAAAUUGAUCAAAUUUUUUUAAAAAAAAAAACAAAUCAAGAAGAGAAAAAGACUUGUAAAAAAGUAGAAUUACUGAAGGAAGCUCAACAAAGAAUCAAACUCAUGCAAUUAAAAAUAAUUGUCUAUGAUGACCAUCUCUGUAUCACACAUUCAGGAAAUAUGAUUGACCUAUAACAAUAUUAAAAAAAACAAAAAAAAAAUAAGCUAAUAGAUGGUCGCCACGUGUUCAACUUUAUCUAACCUUAGCAAAGGAUAGAAAGUGGGAGAGAGAGAGAGAGGUUAAAAGGAUUAAGAAAAAGAAAAAAGGAAAGGCAGAAACGGAAGAAGACAUUGAAAGAAAGAAAAAAACGAUAAGUUAUUUAACGUCUUUUUAGGGGGGGAAAAAAAAGCUUGUAACACCGUGCAGACCAAACAGAAGAGACAUCUGUUUAUUUAAAGAAAAAAAAAAUAUAUAUAUAUAUAUAUAAAUACUCUCUCUUCCAAUUUCCUCUCCCAGCUGAAUUUCGGCGACCGCCCACACAACGAUAGCCUACACAACCACCAGCCAUGCCACCUUUCAAGACCCCAUCUCUCAACCUCAAAACCAAAAACAACUCUUUCUCCAUUUAUCCGAACCUCAUAACUCCAGGAAGGUGAAGGACUAAACCAUAGUGGCAAAAAUCUUAAAGGGUUCUAAAUUGUCUGUUACUUUCCCUUAAUUUUCUAGACAAGCAAAAGGAGCUAAACUUAUUCCCGACCAAAACGUCAAGAAUUUCAGUAGAACAAAAGAAGAGAUCAUUACUUGACCAAAAACAACUAGUCAGCACCCAAAGAAACCGAGUGAAUGAGAGAAAAUUAAAGAUUAAUAGCUAGAAAACAAUAAACAGAUCCAAGAAUUUUCUGUAUGGUUUCCAAGAAAAUGAAACGAAAUGAGCAGCACAACCCUCUUUCUCCUCCAAGAAAAGAAAGAAAAAGAAAGGAAAGAAACAAAGAAAGUCAAACUUGGCUCCUCUUUUAGUGUUAAAAAAAAAAAGAAGUUAGAGGAAGUGGGCUGCCUUUUUUCUGCUGUUCAUGUGGUGUUCUGCUGUUCACGCAGACUAAGAACUCCUACCAUCGUAAAAUCAUACAAUUAAAACACAACAAUAAUAAAGUAAUAAGCAGCUAAUUAUGUGCGAAAACAAGAGAAAUAAGGAUACAGAACGUGAGAGUGAGUCACUACAAGUAAAAGAGGCGCUGAGAGAAUGGGAAUAGGAAUUUCAUUACCUAAACUUGAGAAAAUUGUGCGAAAAGCACUGGUACUGAUUGCUCAAUGAAAUGGAGAAGGCCUUUAGCUCUGUAUGGAAUCCAGCUUCAAAAGCAACGAGGCAAGGUAUAAGCAUUUUGAUGACAUAAUUAAGAUACUAUGCGUCGUAAUAUAGAGACGGUGACAAAGAAUUAAAGAAAAAUAACGUGUACAAGUACUCACCAAGCAAAGAAAGAAACGAAUGAAAGGUUCGGGAUAAUCACUUAGACGCCUCCAUGGAUGAUACCAGCUCGCUUCCAACAACAAAUAUAAUUAACCUAAGCUAUGAUCGGUCAAUGUUUUUUUUAGUUUUCUUCUUUUUUAUAUAUAAAAAAAACAGAUCAUCAAGGGAAAAGACUUGCAAAGAAGUAGAAUUAAUGGAACGAACACAACAAAGGAUCAAACUCAAGCAAUUAAAAGUAAUUGUCUAUGAGUACCAUCUGUGUCACGCACUCAAGUGAGGAGAGAAAAGAAGGAGAAAGAAAGGAAAGGGACAAGGAAGGAAGAAAGUAAGGUCACGUAGGGGCCAGUCUUGUAGAAAUUUUGAAAAGUAGCAUGAAAAAGAGGAUAAUAGAGUAGUUGUCAGAAUCAAAACACAUCUAAACAGAGGACAAAAACAGGGAGGGAGGCUGUUUGUUUUUUUAACUGUGCCUGAGUGAUUUUUAUAAUUACAUUUAAUUUAAAAAAUAUUAAAUUAAUAUAUAUUUUUAAUAUUUCUCGUUAUUACAUAUAUAUAUAUAUAAUAUUUAAUAUAUUUUUAAUUAAAUUUUUUUUAAAAAAAGUAUGUGUCACAAUACAAAAUUAUAGUAUAAAUUAAAAGAAAAAGGAGUUUUAUGCUCAUUACUAUCCACUAGACUUGUAGAUAUUAAUAAUAAAGUUUUUGAAAGUUUUCGAUCUAGUAUUUGAAAUUUUUUUUUUUUUGCAUAAUUGAAUUUAUUUAAGCUUAAUUGCAUAUUUUUUAAAAGGAAAUAGGUUGAAUUGAGAAACAGAGAAACUCGGCAAAAAUAUGUGGUUAAAAUCAAUCCUUUUUAAAAAAAAAAAAAAAAAACUCCUUAGUUGUUAAGGAAAGAUUGGUAGUGUGAACAAAUCACCAAAGUCAGCAGCAAGGAAGUUCCAGGAAGUGGGCAGCCUGUUUCAGGGCUACCUGUUUUUGAGAAUUAUGGAAAGUUAUCCCUAACUCAAAAACGGCACCAAUUAUAAGUUCAUUAAAAAAAAUCUGGAACACAACAGAUGGAAAAAACUCGAAACAACUUGUAUAGAAUUUAGGCAAGAAGAAUGAGCCAAGAUUUCAAGUGCAAUGAAAUUUGUCUCACUUUGUUUUUUUAUUUAAUGAUACAAGAUAUACCGUCCUAUUUCAAGGGUAAAAUAGAAUGGAAUAGACAACCUUUAAAGGGAGCAUAUACCACAUAUGUGUAGCUGGAAUUCGAUAGCCUUUCUCCAAUGCUGACAUGUGCUUUACAUGCAUGCACCAACAUUUCACAUCGGCAAGUGAGGAUUUGGUAGCUCAUCUUAUUAAUAGUGUUGGUUAAUGACUUGUCAGACGCGUUUUGAGGUCAUGCGUGGUCAUCAAAAACAAAUUUGUGAGGGCGAUAAGGUCCAAAAUGGACAAUAUUUGACAAGUUGGAUCGGACUAUGACAUUUGGUAUCAAAGCUGGCCUCACUAACUAUCCAGUUGUGCUGAUGGGGUCAUUGAGCUCCUUAAGGGGGUGAAUUGUAAUAUCUCACAUCGAUGAAUGAGGAUUUAGAAGCUGACCUUAUUAGUAGUGCUGGUUGCUAACUUGUCAGAUGCGUUUUGGGGUCAUGCGUGAUCACAAAAAACAAAUUCGUGAGGAUGAUAAGGCCCAAAACGGACAAUAUUUGGCAGGUUGGGUCAGGCUGUGACAUAUUCGAUAAUAACUCUUCAAUUAAGUCCUAAAUCUCAUUUCAUCUUUUCAAUUUAAUCCCUAAUUUGACACCAACUCUUCAAUUAGACCCCAAAGCUCAUACCACUUGAGGAAAGCCCUCUUCUUUCAAUUUAGCCCCUCAUUUAUCUUUAAUUUAAUAUCGAAUUUUAUUCGAUCCAAGCCCAAAAUAGGCUCAAGCGAAGACAAAAUAAAGGAAGGAAAGAAAAUGAAUAAUUGCCCAACCAAGUUAACGUAUUCUGGUCUUUUCUCCAUGAUUCGGGUUGAACAUUUGACAUUUAUCCUUUUUUUAGAGGCUUUUCUCUAUGUUCGUUAUGACGCUGUACACGUGCGACAACCAUUAAAUCUAUAGUUAAUUUCAUUUUUUGAUAAAAGAUAAUGCCAUCAGUAUAGAAUGGUUACCAACUGUUAGUUUAAUAAGCCUUGUAUCCAAUCGGUUAGUUACACGAUAUAUUAUUAUAUUCAUGUAAAUACAUAUUUAUUAUUAAUAAAGGCUUAAUUUAACUUUAAUAUUCAUAUAAUAUUAGAUUAAUGAAUCUAGAGUGUCAUAACCCUUUUUGGGUUUUUCCCCAAAUUCAUUUUUUCUCUUCUAAAAAUUAAAAAAAUAUAUAUAUUUAGACUAAAAAAAAUAAUAACAGUGAGAAGGGGAUGCCAAAACGCCUGGAAAAUAACUAAAAAUUGGUUGAGGAGGUUUAAAAAUACAAGGAUUGAAAUUUGGCAGUAUAUCAUUGACUGAUGAGAGCCCGAUUGACAAAGAAAAUUCAAUUUGAGGAAGAAAUGUCUAAAAUCAGAUGUUUAUUGGACUCAAUUAAAUUUAUUAAAGGUUAAAUUGAGUUUAUAGAGGGUUUGAUUGCAAGAACAAUUGAUUUUGGAGUCAAUUUGGGCUUUAUUUGGAAGAAAUUAAAGUUCUGAGGUCAAAAUAUAAUUUUAAGGAGUUAAUUUGGUCAAAUCAGGGGCUUAAUUGCAUAAAUAUUGAAGUUUGAUGGCCAAUUAGGGACUGAAUUGAAGAAAUCUCAAACCAAGAACCAAACUGGAAAAGACACGUAAAUAGAGAGGCUGUAAUUAACCGAAUAAGGGGCUAAAUUAAAGAAAUUGGAAGUUUAUUUAUUAAUUAAGGGUCAAAUUGCAUACAUCAGAGACCAAGGACUAAAGUGAAAAAGGCGGCCAACUUCAGGGCCGACGAUUGAAUUUGACAGGGAUGCAAUUGAAUUGAUUUUUAAAAUCAAAAUAGCAAUUUAGGACUUGAUUGAAUAAAUCACAAAUUGAAGACUGAUUUGGACUUUGACACGAUUUUGCCGCCAUUUUCAUUUUGCUUAAUAUUGGUUUGUAUUUUAAUACUGUAAAAAUACAAAUCCGAUAUUAAAAUACUUGGUUUUUGUCAAAACAUAAAAUAUAUAUAUAUAUAUAUAUAUAUAUAUAUAUAUAUAUAUAUAUAUAUAUAUAUAUAUUUGUUUCAUGCAUACGUCCAAGUCUCUCAAAGAUAAAAAAAAAAAAAAAACCAUAUUGUAUUUUCAUACUACAAAGAAAACUUCAAAAAAAAAUAUGUUUUAACAUGCAUUUUGGCUUUAAUAACCAGUUUAUUAAAGUCACGAGAAUUUGGCAAAUAUUUAAAAAAUUUCAAAAAAAAUAUUUGUUUUUUUUAGUAUUAGGGAUUAUGAAUUUAUAUGUAAAAUGUAUUUUCAAUAUUAAAAGUGUUUUUCUUUUGAUGACAUAAAACAUUUAGGUGUUUACCUGAUAAGAUAAGAAUCUCUUUAUAGAGGAGGAUUUUUCUUAAACCAUAGAUAGACUGACAAUUAAAAACCACAACAAGACCUUAAAUUUUAUCAAACAACAAAACAAUGCAGCUUACAUUAGGUAGGGUGUAGUUGGGGUGCUAAUACCUCCCCUUUAUGCAACCAGUCUUCGUACCCGAUCUCUAAGACCAAUUAGGGUUCCUAGUGACCAAAAUACUAGGUGGAAACUCCCAUUCUAUUUUCCACUGAUAAAAGACAAGAAUUCCUUGUCUCCCCACAUUUACCAGAUAGAUAUACAUUUACUUGAGAGGGUGGACGUUUAUCGUGACACCGCACACAUGCGACAGAAUGGCGACUCCACAAGGUACCUUGUGGAUUAAUCUUUGUUUUUGUCUGAUUAUCGUGUUUUAUUGUUUGGUUUGUGUGUUAUUGUUAAUAUGCAUUUUCUCAUUUGCUCAUACGCUUUAAUUUUGUACAUAUUUGUUCAUGGAUUGUAUAAAAUUGUUUCAUGCAUCAUUCACAUUUUAUGAGAGUUUAUACUGAGAAAAACUUUAGGUUAAGUGGGGGACUAGUAGCUUACCUUACAAUUUUUAGUCGAGGUUUAAGUUUGUGUAAACCUCAACUCUUUGCUGAGUACUUAGAUUGAUAAUGAUUGGUACACAUGUCAUCUCAUUACCUAUUAAGCCCUUAUAUUGCCUUUACGAGGGUGAUCACUGGGACAACAAGAGACCCUUUUAAGACUAGGUAGAAAUGCACCCAUCAUGUAAUGGCCCAAAACCUAUCCUUAGAGUAUAAGCUCCCUAAUAUACAUGUACAUAUAUUUGCAUCCAUACAUACAUCAAUUCAUUGUAAAUAACAUACGUGCAUCAGAUUGAAAUAUAGGUCCCUAAAAAGUGUACAACACCCGACUUUGAGCAAGAAACAUAGAAGAUGGAGAGCGUGCUCACCGUGAUGCCUAUUUUCAAGAAGAGUUGGAGUCUCUGAAGACAAGCAUGGCUCGCCUUACUAGCUUACUCGAGCAAACACUGAGAAAUACCUCUGGUGAAGGCCCUUCUAACCGGCUAGUCACCGUCAAUUAGGCUUCAACUACAGUUUAGCCUGAAGAAAGAAUGAGUGAACAUGGUCAAGAGCCUUAAUAAAAUCCAACAUUUGUACAGUCAGCGACACUUGCAUUAGCCCCGACAGUCAUGAAGGUAUUUGCUAAUGAGUCCCAUAUGGCCAAUUCAUCUGAUAGCAUUGAUCAAGAUAAAAUACAGGCAUUGGAAGCCAGAAUCAAAGUCAUUGAAGGGGUAGACUUAUAUGACCCAGUUCGGGCAGCAAAGAUGUGUCUGGUCCCAAAUAUGGUUGUCUCGAAAAAGUUUCAUGUUUCGGAGUUCAUCAAAUAUAGUGGAAUACAAUGCCCCAUGACUCACCUCAAGUCUUACUGCAAUAAAAUGGCAGAGAUAGUACAUGAUGAAAAACUACUGAUGCAUUUUUUUAGAGAUAGUUUAAGUGGGGCAAUAUUGAGCUGGUACAUGAGAUUGGACAACACAAAAAUCUAGAGAUGGAAGGAUAUGGUGGUUGCUUUUGUCAAGCAGUACAAGUACAACAUGGACAUCACUCCCGACAGAAUCAACUUGUCCAAUAUAGAGAAAAAGGAUAAAGAAAGCAUAAGGGAAUACGUUUAAAGAUGGUGGGAAUCAGCUGCUCAAGUACAUCCCCAACUUCUGGACAAAAAGAUUGGCACUUUAUUUGCCGACACACUCAAGGCACCAUAAUGGGUAGUUUGGCCCAGCAAUUCACUAAUGCUGUGGUAGUGUGUGAACACAUAGAGCAAGGCGUCAAGAGUGGUAGAAUUUCUGCACCCAUUGAGAAUAGAGGUUUCGAAUGAAAAGAGGUUAACCAUAUUGAAGAUGGCUACAAGGGUAGGAAAAACUUAUCCCAAAACUACCAUACUUCAUCCCAAAUUGCCGACAUAAAAAAACCUGAGCCCCAAAACUUUCAAGCCAAAAGCCAAAUUAGAAAUUACCAAAGGGUCCAAGAACAACUACCUCCAUUACCGCUACCAUUAAAUGAGAUGUACCAGAAGUUAUUAAGCAUCAGACAUAUAGCUCCCGAACCUCUAGCACCUUUGCAACCCCCUUACCCCGGCUGGUAUAAGCCAGAGCUCACUUGCGAAUACCAUGCUAGUGUUGCUGGACAUGACAUUUAUAUUUGCAACACCUUUAAGAGAAAGCUUCUGCAAUUAAUUAAGGCAGGGUGGAUAGCAUUUGAAGACACUCUGAAUGUGAACACAAACCCUCUACCUAAUCAUGCUUAAAGCAGUGGAUUAGAAAUGCACUAGCAAUCGAAUGUUCGGGGAAUUUGAAAUCAUCAAUGGGCCAGGUAGGGUGCGAAAGGGUAGCAUAAAUUUUAAAGGACUCAAAUUCCAACCACAGUUGUUAUCCCCAUCAUCCCAAGAAUUAUUACAGGGAGGCUAGCCUAAAAGGAGAUUUACCAAAAUGAAAGGAUGAGGCCUGCCAUAUUAUUGCCUUUUGUUUAAUCAUGUUGGUUUCAACUAUUUCAGUCUUGUCGGUAAUUUAGCUCAUAAUGCCACAAGACUUUCUUUGUCAAAUAAGCCUUCUUGUUAAUAAGAUCAUGUAUUUUCCUGUGCUUAUAACAUGUUUUCCUUUUUCCAAAAUAUGCAUGAUCUCACAUGUUCAUAAGAAUUUUAGGAAUUCAAAGUUUGGUAUAAAAAUAAAAAUCAUAUUGGUGUUUGUCCAAAACAAAUAAAUUCUGGAAAUUCAAGUGAUUCCUUAGAAAGAUAAGUAUACACGUAGAAAACUUGAAAAAACAAAUAAACAAAUAAACACAUAAAAAAAAUCAUAAGGUGACUCCAAAGUUAAGUUUUAUUUGAAUAAAUAAUGAGAAAUCACUUUGCAUACUCGCAUGAAAGCAAGACGUAUCGAUCUUAAGUGCAUGUGUUUGAGAUGAGGAAAUGCCUUCUUUGAUAAUCGCUUCACGAGGCUAAAAUAUAUCCUUUGCAAUCCCUUUUUGAGUCUAGUAACAUUUUUUGAAAAUAACCUUGGCUAGGAUCACACUCAAACUAGGGUUAAGUGCGAGAGACACAGAAAAGACCUUGAUGAUUGAAGUGCCCAAGCAACACUGGGGGCAUAAAAGAAAAUUCUCAAUCAUCAAAGGUGCCCAAACAAAGCUAGGGGUAUGAAGAAAAAUCCAAAGGAUCCAAAAAUUUUAAGCAUACAAAAAAAAAACAAUUAAAUAAUGCUCAAAACCAAAUGAAGAAAAAAAAAAUAAAGAGAAAGAGCCCAACAUUGGGGGGCACGAUAAACCAUUUUGAAAAGACAUUCCAAAGACAAAAGGUCAGGAAACAAGCACUAGUGAUCCUUAGUCUUGAAAUCCCGUGAAAUACCUUUUGAGCCUACAAAUAUCCUUUUCUUCAUAACCAAGAACCCAAGCCUAUAUUACAUGCCUAAUCAAGCCCUUUCUGAUCAAAGACAAGCAAUCUGGAUCGGCAGACAAUGCUUUCUCAUACAACCCAAAUUAUUAUUCAUGUAAAUAAAAUAAAUGCUUUGAAGACUGGUUCUUUGUAACCCUCAAAUUAAAUCUUAAACCAUUUUUUACCAAACCCAAUGUCACUUCAUGUUUUUCACCAAAAGCAAAACGAAAGGUUUUCAUCACUUCUGAAAACCUCUUCAUAGGAAUCACUUGAAUUUCUUCAGAACAAGUUUGCUUUGAAUCGAUGUCAAAAUGAUUUCUGUGUUUGGAAUAGCUUUUAAAUUCCAACAUUUUUGCAUCAGAACAACUCCUUGUCAAAACUUCCUUUACAUAGCCUCAUUCCCAAACCCGAAUUAAAUACUUGGGGGCAUGAUCAAGUUGGGAGGCAAUAAAAAAUACAUGGUAGGGCAGACUUUAUAAUUCUUUUUCUAAGAAAAAUGUUGGGUAGAAUUGGCAACCCUUGAGAUAUAGGUUAGAGGGCAAAGAAGUAGGAUGAUAUGAAGCCUUUCUUAGAGGUCAAGAUCACAAGAUAUGACUCAAGUAAGCAAGAGCGAAAAAGUCAUCGAAAUUUACUACUUACACUCCAACUUUUGAGAAAAGAAAGACAUCAUGAAGAAAUGAGGACCUAUAUUUCUCAGGUAAGUAUACAUGCAUAUCAAUCAUAGUGCAUUACUUUCAACAUUGUCAGAUCGGUGUUUCACCAUCACCUUUUGGGUAGGACAUUUUAUAACCCUACCUCAUUUUGAGUGUGCCUUUGAGCCCUUAUUUUCUUUUCGAGUAAGUCUUUGAGCCCUCAUCUCAUUUUAAGUGCGCCUUUGAGCCCUUACUUCGUUGUCAAGAUGCGACUUUGAGCCUUUGCUUCCUUUGGAGUGCGCCUUUGAGCCCUCAUUUCCUUUUGAGUACGUCUUUGAGUCCUCAUCUCUUAGGUAGUGCAUUUUAUAACCCUACCUCAUUUUGAGUGCAUCUUUGAGCCCUUACUUCCUUUUGAGUGCGCCUUUGAGCCCUCACUUCAUUUCGAGGGUGGUAGUGUAUUUUCUAACCCUACCUCCUUUUGAGUGCGCCUUUGAGCCCUCACCAUCUUCCUGGAUAGGUCAUCCAUUACAAUGAUGCUAUUUUUACACUUGGGUAGGUCACCUAUUAUAAUGAGACCAAUCUUUCCUUUCCCACUUGGGUAGCUCACUCAAUACAAUGAGACUAAUUCUUCGUAUUUUUUUGCCUAGGUAAGUCCCUCAUUAUAAUGAGACCAUUCUUCCACCUGGGUAGGUCACCUAUUAUAAUGAGACCACUAUUUCCUUUUUUUUUCCCUUUGGGUAGGUCACCCAUUGCAAUGAGACCAUCCUUUUUUCUAGGUAGGUCACCUAUUAUAAUGAGACAACUCUUUUAUUUUUUUUUUCCCUUUGGAUAAGUCACUCAUUACAAUGAGAUCAUUUUUUUUCUAGGUAGGUCACCCAUUACAAUGAGAUCAUUUUCCAUGUUUUUUUUACCUGAGUAGGUCAUCCAUUACAAUGAGACCAUUCUUUUUUUUUCCACUUGGGUAGGUCAACCAUUACAAUGAGACUAUCAUUUUUCUGGGUAGGUCACCCAUUAUAAUGAGGCCAUUCUUCCACCUGGGUAGGUCACCCAUUACAAUGAGACCACUCUUUCUUUUUCCCCUUUGGUGACCACUAUCAUUUUUUUGGGUAGGUCACUCAUUACAAUGAAAUCAUUCUCCAUGUUUUUCCACUUGGACAGGUCACCCAUUACAAUUCGACCAUUUCAAAAAUCUUUGAAUUUCACCAGGAAAAAAAACCUUUCGACCAUUUAAGUUUGCUUUCUAGCCCUCAAAUGCUUUCCAAACAAUUCAUCAUAUGGUGAGUCCGUUAUCUUUUUUUUUCUUCUUUACAAAGCUUAUUAUCUAAAAUCUCUUACGAGACUUUCUAUCGUAAGUAUUGUAAAUAGAGGACAACUGUCAUAACCUAUUUUUGGAUUAUUCCCCAAAUUUAGUUUUUCUCUUCCAAAAAUAAUAUAUAUAUAUAUAUAUAUAUAUAUUCGGACUAAAAAAUAAACAACAAAAAAAAUAAACAAAAUAAUAACAGUGAGAAGGGGAUGCUAAAGUGCUCGGAAAAUAACUAAAAAUUAGUUGAGGAGGUUUAAAAAUACAAGAAUUGAAAUUUAACAGUAUAUCAUUGACUGAUGAGAGCCCGACUGACAAAGAAAAUUCAAUUUGAGGAAGAAAUGUAUAAAAUCAGAUGUUUAUUGGACUCAAUUAAAUUUAUUAAAGGUUAAAUUGAGUUUAUGAAGGAUUGGAUUGGAAGAAAAAUUGAUUUUGGAGUCAAUUUGGGCUUUAAUUAGAAGAAAUUAAAGUUCUGGGGUCAAAAUAUAAUUUUUGAGAGUUAACUUGAUCAAAUCAGGGGCAAAAUUGCAUAAAUAUUGAAGUUUGAUGGCCAAUUAGGAACUUAAUUGAAGAAAUAUGAAACUAAGGACCAAACUGGAAAAGGCGCGUAAAUAGAGGGCUGUAAUUAACUGAAUGAAGGGCUAAAUUAAAAAAAUUAAAAGUUUAUUGAUCAAUUAAGAGUCAAAUUGCAUUCGACCAAGAACUAAAAUGAAAAAUCAGCUAACUUCAGAACUGAUGAUUGAAUUUGACAGGAAAGCAAUUAAAUUAAUUUUUAAAAUUAAAAUUAUAAUUUAGAACUUGAUUGAAACACUUAAAAUAAAAAACUUAAAAUCACAGCAUGAUAAAAGAAGAAAGAAAGGAAUGGGAAAAGGAAGAAAGAAUAAAAAAAUCCCCUAAAAUCACGGCAUGAUAAAAGGAGAAAGAAAAGGAUGGGACAAAGAAGGAAGAAAGUAAGGUCGCGUAGGGGCCAGUAUUGAAGAAAAGCUAAAAGAACCAGGUAAUCCAAGGAACCAAUAGAUUAUCGCCACAUGUUCAACCUUAUAUUUAUUGUGACAUGGAGAUAAAGAUAAUCUCAAAAGCUAAUAGAUGGUCGCCACGUGUUCGACUUUAUCUACCCACUAGGAAAGGAAUCAAAGGAUAGAAAAGUGGGGGAGAGAAAGGUUAAAAAGGCUUUAAAAAAAAAAGAAAAGGAAAGACCCGGUUGAGAUAAGAGGGGGGACGUGGAAAUAGAAGGAGAAACGGAAGGAGACAUAGAAAGAUCGGAGGAGAGUAAGAAAAAAAUAUAUGAAUAUGUGAUGUCCAAUUUCUCAUAAAAAUUCUCUGUUUUUUUCUCUCUUUUAUUUGGAAUUUCUUUGGACACUUUAAUAAAAUAAUAACAAAAAAAUUAAAAUAUUGAUGAAAUUAAUAUUCAUUCAAACACAGAUUUACUGUGUACUAUGAUAUUAUUAUUUUUUUAAUUUUAAAAAACACGGCUUGGAUAAUAUUUCAAGUAGUGUCGUAAAAAAUAGCGUGUUUGUUUUUUAUUUUUUAAAUAAUUUUAAAUAAUAUUUUUUUAAUUUUUAUAUUGAUAUUAAAAAUAAUUUUUAAAAAAUAAAAAAUAUUAUUUUAAUAUAUUUUUAAAUAAAAAAUAUUUUAAAAAAACUACUUUAAAAACCUUAAAACCACGGCAUGAUAAAAGGAGAAAGAAAGGAAUAGGACAAAGGAAGAAAGUGAAAGGGAGAAAGGAAGAAAGUAAGGUCACGUAGGGGGGCCAGUAUUGUAGAAAAUAGGAGAUGAAAAAUUGGUAUGAAAAAGAGGAUGAUGGAGUGGUUGUCCAAAUCAUAGUGGUUUUUAUAAUUAUAUUUAUUUAUAGAAAUAUUAAAUUAAUAUAUUCUUAGUAUUUUAUAUGAUUAAAUUUUUUUGUUGAUUUAAAAAAUAUAUGCGUAUAAAAAAUUAUUUUAAUAUAUUUUUAAAUAAAAAAUAUUUUUAAAAGUAUGUAUCACAGUACCAAAUUAUAGUAUCAAUUAAAAGAAAAUAGGGUUUUAUGUUCAUUACCACUCACUUAUACUCAUUUAAUUCUUAUACUCAUUUAAUUGUGGACAAUAACAGUAUCUCAUUUGAAAACUUUCAAUUUUAUACUUAAAUUUUUUUCAUAAUUAAUCAUUUUUAAUUAAAAUUAGAGUUCAAAUGUAUAUUUUUUUUUAAGGAGGAGAGUUGAAUUAAAAAACAGGGACUGAAGUAAAAAAUUCAGCUAAAAUAGGUAGCGACUCUAUAAUUUAUUUACAAAAUUUAUUUUAGUUUCUCAUCUUUUCAAGUUAUUAAAUAAUAAGUCCGCAUAAUUUUCCAACAUUGCAUUUCAAAUUUUUUUUAUUAUUAAUACUUUUAAUAUAUUUUUUUGAAAAUAAUUUUAAAAACGGUGUUUUCAUUAAUAUUCCUUUUCUAUGAUUUGUUUUUUUGGCAUUAUGUAGUCUUUCUUCAAUUAUUUUUAAUUUUGUUGCUUUGUUUAAUUUUUUAAGAGGUUAAUAAUAUUUAUCUGUAAAUAUUUGUUAUAUAUUUCAGAUAGAUUAAGUAUUUAAUUUUCAUAAUAAUUUGAAUAUGUGUAGCGUUGCAUAGUUUUUCUUCCUUUUAUGAUAUUAAAAAAAAUUAUGUGUGUGUUGAUUUCUAUUAUCGAUUGAUUUUAGUAAAUAAAUUCAUUAAAUAUAACCAAAUAAAUGAUCCAUAUUGCAAUAUUAAAUACUUUAUCUAUAUUUGUUUCUUAAUUUUUCCACUUGCACUUUUAAUUAUCGGUAAUGACUUCAUUUUUUCAUUUAUUUACACAAUUGUUUGUGAUUUAUUUAAUUUGAUGCGUGUAUAAGUUUUUCGAUUUACAUUUAGAAUUUUUUUAAUGUAAAAAAACACGUUGAGAAAUUCUUAUUUUUAUGAUUUUAGUUUGAUCCUUAUUCUUAUAAUUUCUUAUUUUCUUUCUAACCCUUUUAUAAAACAAAAAAUUGUUUAUAAUUUCAUCCUUCAAUUGAACAUAAUGAUGUAUUUUUUUUAUUAUUUAUAUUCUUGUUUGUUAUUAUUGCUUUUUUUCUUUAUAUAAUUCAUAUAAAACCAGCUUAUUUAAUCGGCCAAGACUAAAUAAAUAAAUAAAAAGAUAUACUGUGUCUUCCCAUUUCCUCUCCCUGGUGAAUUUUGGCGACCACCCACACAAUGAUAGCCUAAACAACCACCAGCCAUGCCACUUUUCAAGACCCCAUCUCUCAAUCUCAAAACCAGAAACAACCCUUUCUCAUAAUUCCGGGAAAGUGAAGAACUAAACCAUAGUGGCAAAAAUCUUAAAGGGUCUAAAUUAUCUCUGUUACUUUCCCUCAAUUUUCUAGACAAGCAAAAGGAGCUAAACUUAUUCCCGACCAAAACGCCAAGAAUUUCAGUAGAACAAAAGAAGAGAUUGUUACUUGACCAUAAACAAUUAGUCCGCACCCAAACAAACUGAGUGAAUGAGAGAAAAAGACUAAUGGCUAGAAAACAAUCAACAGAUCCAAGAAUUUUCUGUAUGGUUUCCAAGAAAAUGAAACGAAACGAGCAGCACAACCCUCUUUCCCCUCUAAGAAAAGAAAGAAGAAGAAAAAGAAAAAGAAAAAGAAAGGAAAGAAACAAAGAAGUUCGAGGAAAGAAAAAGUAAGGAAGAUGAAACCAUAAACCUGCAAGUCCUACAAAUCAUAAACAUUGACUUUGAUUUUUCCUUUAUAAAACCAUAAACCUGCAAGUCCUACAACAUGAAGACUUAUCAGAUCCUAAUGAAAAGCUGUCAAAAUCCUAUCAGAAAUUAAGGAAGAUGACGUUACGUUAACUUCAAAUCUGAGGAUUAAUUGUAGCAGAUCUUAUAGGGUUCAGCUGAUUGCUUUACUUGUUUAAAUAAUUCUCUUGUAAGCCUAAUGGUUCACGUCUUCCAUCAUUGCAACCUUUUUUUCUGUGAUUGAAAAAUCUAUAAUAGGAACCUGCACUGCAUCCCUUCUAUGCUGUUGUUCUUUCUUCUUGUUUUGCUAUUUUGAUUUUAUCAUAUUUUCUAUGAUGAAAGUUGAAGAAAUUCUACUUCGAAACUCAAGACAAAGUCUCUCGAUCGGACUGCAUAUUAGUGGGUUGCUCAUUGGGAUUUCUAUAAACAACUGAUUCUAAUAUUGCAAAGCAACAUUACGAAAAACUGAAUAUUUCACACAUAGUCUAAUAAAAGUAGAUUCCAUUGUCAAUUCCUUAACAUUUUCCAAACAAAUCCAUGCUCCUCAUUUUAUACUUUCUUGAGGGUUUCUAUUCUCUUAUUACCAAUUUCAGUGAGUUUCAUAAUAAGCUGCUUAGAAAGAAGCUAUCUAGCAGGAGGGUGGGGCUACUCUUAGCCAAUGAAAACAGCUUCACAUGCUAUACAGCAACGUGAAAAAAAGAUUCUCAGCCUGUUCUCUCUUUAAUGAACACCCUCUUGGAUUCUCUAGCAUUAGCCAACAAGGUAUUUGCUUGGAAUUACUUCCACCUGAAAACAACAGUUAACCUAUUUAAUAUACUUAACUAAGUAUCUAUUUCAUAACCUUAUAUAUUUUUUUAAUUAAAUUAGUUAUUUUUUUCAAAAAUAAAAAAAGUAAACGGUUUUCCAAAAAUCUAAUUCACAAUAAAACAAAUAAUGAAACUUGAUAAUAAUUCAUUAAAUAACCAUCAAUUAUUCAUCAAACCAAUCUGAAAAAGCUCAUAUUAAAGCUAGGGACCAAUCUGGAAUUUUAUCAUAUUUUUAGGGGUCAAAUUAUAAUUUUAUCAAAUUAGAAGACCAAACUAAAAAUAUCAUAAAUUCAUGACUAUACUAGAAUUCUGCCCAUAAUUCAUCAUAAAUUCUGCCCAGAAUUUCAAAUUAUGCUCCAAGGACCACUAUAGAAUUUUAUCAAAUAUCUAGGGUUAAGUUGUAAUUUCAUCAAAUUGGAGGACCAAAGUGAAAAUAUCAUAAAUUCAUAACUAUACUGGAAUUCUGCCCAUAAUUUAACUUUAAUUCUGUCCAGAAUCUCGGAUUAUGCUCCAGGGACCAAUCUCUAAUUUUUCUAAAGUUCAAGGACUAAACUGUAAUUUUCACAAAUUGAGGGACCAAACUGAAACUUCAACCUCAAACCCAGAAUUUACACAGAUAACCUACUGAUAUAUCAAGAUUUCUAACUCAAAUUCACCAUUUAAAUAAAAUCAUAACUCAAAAUCAUUAUUUUUACCUAAAAUCUUUCAAAAUCAACUAAAUAAUUCAUUAUCCAUAACAAUCAACCCAUAAUUUUUCUGUAAUGUAAUUGUAAUUCCUAGCAUAAUGCAUAUCCGAGGGCAAGCACAACAACUCAAGAACAAAGAAACUCGAUGAAAUAGCAAAAGAAAAGGACUUGAAGGACUGAAAUAAAAUAAAACCAAAAAAUAGGGAUUAAAAAAGUAACCGCACUCUGGUUGCCAUAAAAAACAUAGUUCUUUUAAUAUUUUUUUUUUAACUAUUGUAAUAGGUCAAUCAUAUUACCCGAGUGUGUGACUCAGAGAUGAUCAUCAUAGAAAAUUACUUUUAAUUGCUUGAGUUUUAUCCUUAGAUGAAAAACUUACCUCGUCCUCCUAAUGCUUUUGCUUUCAUUGUUUCGAAAGUAAAAGAGACAUAAACAUAAUCAUUUCCUUCCUUUUACUUUCCACUUCUUUGUAAUGGAUUGCAAACGGGAUGGUGCUUAGUGAGGCCAGUUUUUCUUUUCCUUUCUAUUUAAAAUCUUAUGCCUAAUUGGGUGAGGAAAUUAGUGGAGCAUUAGACUUUUUAAAAGACAACAAAAGGAAGCAAUGUCUCAUCUUUUGAUAUGGUGGUCUUCCAUGAUCAGUUUGUUGAUGAAGAUAUCGAAAGAUUCGAGUCUCCGUUCUAGUUCAGGUUGGAUGCAAGGCCGAAAGCUAAGCUUCUUUUAAUUAUGAAUUGUUUAUGCAAAGGAAACCCAGAAGCUUGAACAAACAGAAAUGCCUUGUUGAUUUCUCUGCUACUACUCAUUAUUUCCAAUAUUAUUCCAUUAUCUUACCCGAAAGCAAUUAUACAAGAAAUUUCAUUAUCCUGCCCCAAAGGCAGUUUAUUGCAUGGACUUCCUUUAACCUAGCUCCUUGAAGGCAAUUUAUUUGAUGAAAAUUCCUUUAAUCCACCUCAAAGACAAUUUAUCUUAGGGAAUUCCAACAACCCUUAAGGCAUUUUAUCAAAGGGAAUUCCAAAAACAAUUUAUUUCUUGGACUCAGUAUUCUUUGAUACUAGUUAUUUAUAUAUAAUUUAACAACACUUAACCAUCUUACAUUUAAGAAGAAAUUCAAAAGUAAGGAUAACCCUUAUCUAGAGCUCCUGUGGUUCUUGCUCCCGAGAGAAUUGGCUCCACUCCGGACAAAUCUACUAUCAGAAACCCAAGUUUCAACCAAUCAAUAACAUCAACACCCAUUUUAUAUUAAUGCAAUAAGUUUUUCUUAACCAAUUUACUUGAUGCAAGUUCUUAUAAUAAAAGUGACAGUAUUCAAGGUGAAGACAAGCAGAAGGGCGUGAUAGAGUUUGACAAAGAUGAAGCUAGUUCCAAUAAAGGGAAACACUCUAUGCAGGCCAAACAACAGUGGAAAUUCUUAUAAUCCCACCAAUCAAGGAUUACAGGACCCUAGUCCUUCCCAAACCAAUUUGAACUCCCCGUAGAGAAAACAUCUCCAAACCCAUUUUGAAUCACCCACAACAAGCAUCUCCACAACCUGUUCUGAACCCCCCCACAACAAGCAUCUCUGCAACAUGAUUUUAUUUCCUUGUGUGACAGGGAGGUCAAAAUUGAAAGAUAUUACUAUUUUCAUUAAUUUUAUUAAAGCUUAAUUAUUAUUUUUUUUCCCUUUUCUUUUAAAAAUGUUAUCUCCUUGGUAAGGAAUCCUUGGUUCCCAACAGCAACUGUAGCAUAGUUAAAAAAAUAUCUAAACUCCACCGAAAGUAGUGGAGCCUUAGAAUUUUUAAAAGACAAAACGGGGACAAGUGAGAGACGAAGAAAAAGACAAAAGUAAUCCCAUCUAUUGAUGUGGUGAUCCAAGAUACACCAUAACAUGGUGUUCUUCCAUGAAGUCUAAGAUACACCGUCGUGUUGUUUCAUAUAUAUUUUUAUAUAUGAAAAUAAUAAAGCUACCGUUUAAAACAACUCUGAAAACAAAAUUUUUAAUAAUCCAUAAUUUUUAAGCAAACAUCACUUAUAAGCAAAUAAUUAAUGAUGGUUAGUUAAACUAAUUCAUUGUUAGGCGGAUAUAUAUUAAGGUUAAGAACCCUCUAUCUAACACUAAUAACUAAUCACUGAUAAUAUUUAUGCAAAACUUGUAGCUUAGGAUGAACUCUCAGAGAUGUGGGCGAGGCAACUCAAAGUAGAAGGGAAGGGGUAACCUCUGAUAACAGAGAAAAUUGUAGAGUAAAGCAGGACCGAAUUUUCUUAAAUUAACAACAGAAAUCUACAAUGAACAGUUCUCGAGAAGAAACUCAAGAAACGUAUAUAAAGCUACAUGAUGACAUAAUAGGAACCUGCAUUGCCUCCAUUCUAUGAUGAAAGUUCAAGAAAUUUUACGUCGAAACUCAAGACAAACUCUCUCAGACUACAUAUUAGUGGGAUUUCCAUGAACAACUGAUUCUAUUGCAAAGCAACAUUAGGAAAAAUUGAAUAUUUCACACAUAGUCUAAUAAAAGUAGAUUCCAUUGUCAAUUCCUCAACAUUUUCCAAACAAAUCCAUGCUCCUCAUUUUAUACUCUCUCUCUUAUUACCAACUUCAUUGAGUUUCAUAUAAGCAUAGUCAAUCACACAACUAAUAUGUGAAUUCACAAUUUCUUACCGAAAACAUUUUAUCAGUGCAAGUUAAUACAUAAUUUUACCUCUCCUCUUGGUGAAAACAUAAAGACACAACCACCGAGCAGAUCUCUGGUAAUGGUCUCUACAAAUUCCCUACAGUUCCUAUUGCCAACAAACUCCUCUUGCCAUUCCCUAACUGCAUUGAGCCAGCUAAUCUGGAUGAAAGAAAAGACUUCAGCCAUUCCCUAACCUUAAAGCAGACCCAACUUUGUAGCUCAUUACCAGUUAAGUAAAAGUUAUCAAUAGCUGUGUAAAUCAUUGAAACUGCCACAAAAGCCCCAAAUUAGUUAUGAAUUGGAUUCGAUAAGGGAAAGAGGGGAAGAGGGGAAAUGGGUAACGGAAAAUUAAAGAGAGAUGAAGAUCUGCGCAGGGCUACCUGUUUUGAGAAUUAUGGAUUUUUAUCCCUAACUCCAAAUUGCACCAAUUAUAAGUUCAUUAAAACAAAUCUGGAACAGAACAGAUGGAAAAAACUCGAAACAACUUGGCUAGAAUUUGGGCAAGAAAUUCAGAACGGCCAAGAUUUUAAGUGAGAUAAAAGUUAUCCCAUUUUGUUCUGUUUUUUUUUAAAAAAUUAAUAUGAGAUGUACUAUCCAUUUCAAGCGGAACAUAAUGGAAUGAACAACCUUGCAUCGAAGACCUAAUUUUAGUGAAACUCAAGUUUCUUGUGUCAAAGAAAAUGUUCUAAAAAAAUGUUUUAAGCAUUAACAAAAUCUAGUUGGCCUAGGCAAUCCACUAUUGUUGCUGUUACCGUUGGUGCAUACUCCAUUACACCAUUGACAUAGUGCAACUGUUUUUCUUUCUUUCUUUCUUUCUUUCUUUUAAAAAAAUCCAUGUUAUGUUUUUUAUUUGAAGCUUUUUUGUUAAUAUCUUUCGCAAUUGGCCUUGGUAUUUUGUUUCCAUUUUCUCUGUUUCCUUCUUCUGUAGUUAGAAAACAUCAUGUCUUUGGGUUUGCGCUUGAUACAGCAAAAUUAAGGACACAAUAAUCAAAGAACACAAAAUUUUAUAAGGGAAAGGGGUUGCAGUUGUGAACCUAAAAUUUACAAAUUUAUUUUCUCAAUAAUAAUAAUAAUAAUAAAGAAGUUUGCCUUCUUAAAAGGUUUACAAAACCUUAAAUAGGUUAGGAACCUUACCUCAACAAGGGAACAGAAAAAAAAUCCAAAAUUAUAAAUGAAACAAGCAUAAAAUCUGAAAUAAGCAAGAAAUGAAAAUAACAAAAAACUACCAAAAUCAGGGGCAUCAUUGAGAUUUUUAAUAUCUAAAGAUCUAAUGAUUUGUAUAAAAAUUUGAGCACAUUAAUCCAAUAAUCGAAAAAACAAUUAUGGCUCUUUUGAGCUGUUAUUCUAGUCUAGCACGAUCAAACAUUCUCUUGGGUUUAGACUUGUUCUAUUGGUUCAUAAAUGCAUUUACUAGGCCAUCAACAUUAAUUGUCUAAGGCAAAUUCUCAUCUAGUUGUGGUAGACUCACACCUGACUGCUUAUAAAAUUGGUUGGUUUUUUGUUUUCGAAGAGAUUUAAAAUUUGAUGCAAAUGAAAGCUAAAAACACAAUAAUUAAAGGGCACAAAAAAAAUUAUAAGCGAAAAAGACUGCAGAUGUGAACCCUCAAAUUCACAAGUUUAUUUUCUCUAAAAUAAUAAUAAUGAAAUUUGUCUUCUUAGGAGGUUUCCAAAGCCAUAAAAAUAUCAAGAAUCCUACCUUAACUUGGAAACAAAAACACAAACUCAAAAUUACAAAGGAAAAAAGCAUAAAAUCCAAAAUAAGCAAGAAAUUAAAAAAUAACAAAGAAAAUCACAAAAAACUACCAAAACUAGAGGGCUCAACAAGAUUUUUGAUAUCUAAAGAUUCAGCAGUCCACGCAAAAAAAUUUGCAUGGUCCAACGGUCGGAUAAGAAAUUGUGAUCAUUUUGAGCUAUUAUACACGACCAAAUCUUCUUUUGAUCCUAUACUUGUCCUAUUAGUCCAUAAAUGCAUUUUCAUAACCUAUCUUUUUUUUUUUUCUACUAUAGAUGGUGUUUGACCAUCAUCGUCAUAUGGUUUGACUUAGUUGUACCGGUUUUUAAUAAGAUGAACUUUAUAUAUUAUGGGUUUACAUUUACUAUUUUUUAAAAAUGUUCAUUAUCGUUUCGAUCUCUAUAAGUCCAUUGUUCACAACUGAAGUCCGUACCUGCAGCGGAUCACAGGCAAUGAAACUAUACAAACACACUAGAGACUCAAGAGUAAACAUGCUACUAUAGUUAGCAGGUAAGGGUCAGGUCAUUUGUUGUCUGGUUUCAAAUAGAGUUUCAACUCAUUUAAUAAAUAUAUAUACAUGGCUCAUAGUUGGAUUAUUUGUGUUUUUGUUAUUUGUUCUUCCCAGUAAUUGUACCAGAAGCUGCUCUCAUAUUUGAAGGAAUGCAAACAAUAUAUUGUUAAUAUGAAACUUAUGAUGCCUAGGAAAUUGCCAUUUUUCUCAUUUUUAAUUGGAAGAAAAAUCACAAGUAUGUUUCUGUUAGAAAUAACUUCUUAUUUCAAUCAGAAGUGUGUCACUAAAUUGAUUUAUAAGUAAGUUUUUAAAUUGUGGAUUAUAUCUUAAUUACAUUAUAUUUUUUUAUUAACAAAAGUUUAUUUGAGUUAUUUUUAUUAAAAAUACUUAUAAUUUAAAAUUAUUUUAAUUCUUUUUUAUCAUAAAUUAUUUAUUAAAAACAACUUAGAUUAUCGCUUGAAAUAAAAAAUUCUUAAUUCAAAAGUCAUUAAAAAAUUCUUAAUUUAAAGAAGCUAAUAAUCUAAAAGGAGGGUGGGGCUGCUUAGCCAAUGAAAACAGCUUCACAUAUGAAAACAGCUUCACAUACAACGCAACAACGUGACACAAAGUAGAAAAAAAAAGAAAAAGAAAAAUUUCUCAGUCUGUUUUCUCUUUACUGAACAACCUCUUUGAUUCUCUAGCAUCUGCUUGGAAAAACCAUUCAACAAGGGAUUCUGCUAGGAAAACAUGCAAUUGUUCUUCUAUCUGAUAUCAGUUUCAAAAUUCUAAACAAAUAAUGCAACAAGUCACAUUUAUUCCAGACCUCAAGCUGCAUUGCCUAUUUCAAAACCACAAAGAGAACAUCAAACAGAACAACAAAUACCCAGUCGUAGAGCCAUUAAUUUGAGCAUAAAGGAGAAAGAAAGUCCACGCAUUAAACAGUAGGCACACACAUGAGUAUACAUUAUGCCCUUGUUUUUGAAGAUUCAGACACUUCAAAAGAAAACUCACGCUCUUAUUUUUGGGAAGUUCUUGUAUGGUAAAUAAGACUGUUACAAUGUGAAGCCAAUUUGUAUCCCAUUGCCAGUGAAACAAUAGGAAUUACUUCCACCAAUCUAAAACAUAUUCGCAGCACCACAGCUCAAAGACAUGAAUCUCUGUGAAAUCACCUAAGGUCGAGUUGCUCAUGUAAUAGGCAACCAACCUGCCUAAUGCUAACAGAAGAACAAAGACCAUUCAUGCAUAUCCAUUACCUGUUUAGCAUGUUUUUCAAAUUCCAAUGCCAAACUAAUCAUCCUACCCAUCAUCAUCAUCACCACCAUCUCCCUUCACCACCUUCCUUCAUCUCCUUCACCACAUACCCACCCAUUAUUUCGGGUCCACGUUUUACAAGUGCUGAUUGGCGCAGAGCAACCAGUGCUUGAAUCCUCAGCUACUUCAGAUACCUGUAAUCCAAUCCAAGCAUGGCAUACACAUUUUGGCUUCUAAAUCUUAUUAUUGAGUGAAACAAGAAACAAACACACAAAAAGAGAAGCAAGAAAUUAAGACAAUUCAGCAGCACCUCUGAUGGAGCUCUUAUUGAACCAUUUGGUGUAGUAGCAAAUUUUGUGAUCAGCUUUGGGCAUUCAAACACCUCCAACUGCUCUAAAUGAGGGAAUAAGAAAUCAUAACAUCCGAGACUGAAGCAUACAAUACUUGAUAAUUGUUCUAGCAACAGCACCUGCAGAUUCGGGAGCUCCAUCACCUUCUCAACAUUGACAGGUAAAGCAUUCUCAUCCUGAAGCCAUGGCUACUGGGAAGAGACUCUUCAACAUGUUGCAUUUUCUGACAUCAAUUUCACAUAAAUUAGGGAAACAUACAGAUUGAAGAUGAUCUCCUGGGAAUAUCUGAUCCUUUCCAUCAUCAUUAUCCCUAGCAAUGAUUUGCUAUAAUUCCUCACAACUUUCUAUGUUUAGAAAAUUCAGUUGAACUAGACUAGCAAUCAUGCUGUCUGAGAAUACAUGUGUUAGUCUUUUACACUUAUUCACCACCGAAGUAGUUAAAUUGCUCAGCACGAGAACCUUCCACAAACACCACAUGCUUGUGUCAGGCAGGGACUUCAAUUUUAAUGUUUUCAAACUUGUUAAACUCCUAUGCAUGCUCCACUUAUCAAUUUUAAUGUUUUAGCUCUUCAUUCGUCUCUCCAUUUAAAGCUAUAAAAUAAAAUAAAAUAAAAAUAGCUAACAAUAUUACCCUUUUUUUUAUUGACAAAUGCUACUGUUUUUUUCUUUUUUUUUUUCUUUUUGUCAUUCUAAAUAGAGCAUUUGCCAAUAAAAAAAAAUUAAGGCCUGGAAAUGAUGUUUUGUGAUUGGCCCAUCAUUAAUUUUGUUAUCCAUGCACAGUAUAGACCGGCCCGGGAAUGAUGUUUAAACUGGGAAUAAUGAGUUUUCUAUGGGCUUUGGAGCAUUGUGUGACACUUAACAGUGUGCACUUCAGGCCCAUUUAAGAAGAGAAAAAAGGGACAGGGAUAAAGUCUGAAGUAACGGUCAGAAAAGAAACCGAUAAAUUAAUUAAAUUGAAAAAAUUAAAUUAUAAAAAAAAUUAAUUAAAUAAAUUAGAAUAUUUUUAAAAAAUUAGUUGAGUUUGAUUUUGAUUUCAUAAAUUUAAAAUUAAAAAACCGAACCAAAUAAAAAAACCCAUUAAAAAAUCCCAAAAUUACCAAAAAAACAACAUAAUUUUUAAUUUUAAAUAUAAAAUAAUCAAACCAAAUCGAAAUCGGUCAAUUGAUUGAGUUUCAGUUUUUAAUAUAAAAUAAUUAAACCAAACCAAAACAGGUCAAUUGGGUUUUAUUUUCUAAUAUAAAAUAAUCAAAUAAAAUUAAAAUUGAUCGGUUGGAAUCGGUUUUAAUUUUUUUAUAUAUUUUAUAAAAUUUGAAUUUAUUAUUUUUAUAAAUAAAAAAAAUAAUCACUCUCGGUCUAAAGUCAAGACAUUGUGGUAUAUGACAUCAUUGGCAGGGUACUAUUCUACCACUAGAUCACUGGCACUUGUUGGUAUCAACGUGUGGAAUAGCUAAUUAAAUAUAUAUAGUCAAAUAGGUAAUUGAAUAUAUAUAAUGACACGUAUAUUUCCUAGUCAAACGCAGGAGCAAAAAUUUCAAAAUAGCAGACAACGUUUUUGACAGAAGUCUUGUACCAUUACUUCUAUCUCGCUUUAUUCUCUUCUAUAUAUAUAUAUAUAUAUAUAUAUGGUGAAUUGACUAGAGCAUGCAUAUAAGACUUCUUCUAGUCAUGAUGGUCAGUGAGGUUUUUGGUUUUAAAAUCAACAACUCCACUUAAAUUUCUUAAACUUGAAGAAUAUGCGAAGACAAUGCAUUUUUAAUAUGCUAAUUAUUCCUUGUACAGAAACAAGAAGGGAUUCUCCUCUACAUUAUUGUCCCAAUAUAUCAAACAUUGAUAAAGAAAAAAUGCAAAUCAAAACCAAGGCUCCCUCCCCACUGUUUCGUUUUAUAUGCUCUUGGAUCUUGAUUAACUAAUGAAGGAAACAAUUUGAAAACAUUAAAAUUGUAUCAAGAGACAGGGAAUGACACAGUUAGACAACUCCUUUUCAAUUUAGUGGAUGGCUAAAGGAUUUAUCUCCACUUAUCAAUUACUUCAGUUUCAGAAAUUUGGAGGAAGAAAUCACAAUGUAUUGAAGUUGACAACCAGAAGCCCAAAAGAAAACAAUUUUGACGAAUACCCACCAAACAGUUGAAGUGCUGCUGUAACUGAGAUUUUUUAUUAUAUGUAUUUUUUGUGGUCCAAUGGAUAAAUAAUUUUUUUUUCUUUUAUUUUAUCAGCUUAAUUUUGCAUGUGGAAUAUUGAGUUUUCUGUUAUUUUUUCAGACACAGAAUUGAAUCCUUUAUAUAUUCUUAAAACCAAAUUUGAAUUCUAAGUUCCUAAAUGAAGGAAUAAUAAAGAUUGUUGCAACUUGCAUGUACAAAUUCUCCUUCAAAAAAUUAACAAAUAAUAAAGUCUCCUAUGUUAAUGAAGAUUUAAUUAUAACUUAGCCCUGUAAUUUCUUAAAAUUAAUUAUUUAGUCUUUUAAGUAUAAUGGAUGUCGCACCCGACAUCGCGGCGGCCCUAAAAAUAAUCCUCGAAUAUGAAAAAAGAACAGAUUUCUGGCAUCUUGCUCUUUUAGAAGAAAAAAAAUGUCUUAUUUGAGGAGUCGCCACCUAUUAUUAUGGUCACUAGGAACCCUAACUAGUCAACAGAGAUUCUAUGGCUCGGGAUUGGUUAUGUAAAAGGGAAGAUAUUAUCACCCUUUAAACGUUCUGCCUAAUGCAGAUUGCAUUGCUGGUUUUGUCUUAAAUUGCUAAAUGUUUAUUAGUUUAUGCUAUGAUAAUUUGUUUAUAAUAUUCCUGACUCUGGCGCCAAUGAAUAUUCGAGCUCGAAUAAUUCCAACUCUGGCGUUGGUAAAAAUUCGUUGCUACGAAAAAAAAUUAGAUCAAUAUUUUUUAUUCUCUACUCUAGCGCCAAUGAAUAAAUAAAUAAAAAUAAAUUUAUUUUUACGCAUGCACAUAUUUUUUUAUUUCUUAUGUAGUUAAAUAAAAAUUAAAUCAGUAUUUUUUAUUUCUGACUCUGGCGUAAGUGAAUAAAUCAAUAAAUUUUUCUAUUUUUUCUAUUUUUAUUUUUUUUUGUUUUGGGGGUUGGGCCCAGCUCAGCCCACAAGGGCUGGGCUGGACCCAGCUGACUCGAUUGGGUCACUGGUCUAGACCAGUGACCCGGCCGGGUGGCAAACGCACGCCUGCCCAAUGAAUUAUAAUUCACUUGCUACAGUAGCAAGUGAAUUAUAAUUCACUGCUACUGUAGCAGUGAAUUAAAAUGCAAAAGGGUAGAGAUGAGGGACGACUGACCUGGUGCAGCAAGGCGUAGCCGGAGACGAUGGCGCACUGUGCUGGACAAACGACGCUGCCUCCUCUUGUUCUUCCUCUCUUCUUCCUUCUCUUCCUCCUUUUCUUCCCUGGUUCGUCCCUGUAUUUCUUUCCUGGAGUGCCCUGUUUCUGGUGCAGUGGCUGCUGAAGAUGGAGCUCUGGAGUUGCUGCUUCUGGAGGCGACGAAAACGGUUGUGACGCUGGUGGUGACUCUUGUCUACUGCUUUCCUUGGUCUUCCUUAUGUGCUUCCUCUGCUCAGGACAUCAACGAUGGUGAUGAAGAUGUUAGGUGCUGCCGGUUGAAUGGAAGCUUGCUCCCCUGUUUCUGUUUUUCUGCAUUCGUCUUCCCUAGUUUUCCUUUCCUAAGCUGUGAUAAGAUAGGAUUUAGAGGAAGAAGAGAUAAUAAGAUAAAAGGUGAUUGUUUAUUGAUUGCAUGCCUUUCCUCUCGAAACAGUGAGCCUAAAUAGGCCAUUCAAUACAACUGUAAACUAAAUAAUAGGAACUCCAGUAGUGGAGAGCUGAAGACUAGGGAUUCUCUGACCCAUUCAAUUACUUAAUUAAACAAUGAAAUAAAUUAAACAAUGAAACAAACAAAACAUAAAGUAAUUCCACGUAGACUCUCUCCAUGCAGUAGUAGCAAGAGAUCCACGUGCCCAAUGCUCUUAUCAUUCCCUCUCCCUCCCUUGAAUUCUCCUUGUCCGCAAGGUUGAAUUGAGGAUAAGUUUUUGCAAAUCGCCACAAAUUUUCCCACGAAGAAUCUUCUGGCAAUGCCCCCUUCCAUUGCACCAAGAUUUCCGUUCGUGGCCUGUAUUUCCCCUUCUGGAUAACCCUUCUAUCAAGGAUUGCUUCUGGUUCUGGUAACACCACAACAUCUGACAUAAUUGGAGGAAGGGUGAUCACCGCGUCCUUGGCUAUAUCUCCCCACUGUUUCUUGAGUAAACUGACAUGGAAAACAUCAUGUAUGCGUGACCCUGUGGGAAGGUCUAAUUUGUAUGCCACUGGUCCAAUGCGAGCGAGAACCUUGAAGGGGCCAAAAAACCUGGGUGAUAACUUUAAGGAACUCCUGAAAGCUACCGUUUUUUGGCGGUAUGGUUGCAAUUUUAAGAACACAUAAUCUCCAACCUGAAAUGUGACUUCCCGACGAUGCAAAUCUGCCCGAGAUUUCAUGCGUCCCUGUGCAUCAAUUAAAUUCCGUCUGAGGUCCCGCAGGAUGACCUCUCUUGUGCGCAGCAUUUGAUCUACUGCUUGAAGCUUUGUAGUUCCUGGUAUAUAGGAGAUCAUAGAUGGAGGAGGGACCCCGUACACAGCUUCAAAUGGAGAAACCUUCGUUGUUGAUUGAAUGGCCGUGUUGUAACCAUAUUCAGCCCAAGCCAGCCAUUCCAUCCAUGCCUUUGGGUGGUCGCAAGUGAAACAGCGCAGGUACUGUUCCAAGGUCCGAUUAACCACUUCGGUUUGGCCGUCCGUUUGCGGAUGGUAACUGGAGCUGUAGUUAAGUGUCGUGCCAUGUAGCGUGAAUAAGGACUUCCAGAAGGAGCUGAUGAAGAUUUUAUCCCGAUCACUCACUAUAGAACGCGGCAUGCCAUGUAAUUUGACCACAAUAUUUAAGAAACACUUCGCAACCGUCACUGCAGUGUAGGGAUGUUUAAGUGGCAUAAAAUGGUUGUAUUUGGAGAGCCGAUCCACCACAACCAUGAUAACACUGUAACCUUGCGAAGAUGGUAAGCCCUCGAUAAAAUCCAUAGAUAUGUCCGUCCAAAUGAGCUGUGGGAUUGGGAGAGACUGAAGUAACCCCGCUGGCCUUAAAGUUUCAUGUUUACAACGCUGGCACACCUCACAUUCUCUAAUGAAGUUCUUGACAGAUGUUCGUAUGCCAGGCCAUAGAAAGCUGGAGGAGAUGCGGGUCAAGGUCUUUAAAUAGCCAAAAUGUCCACCUGCAGGGAAUGAAUGCCCAUCGGCCAAAACAGCAGGUAACAAAGAGGAUGUAGGACUCAAGUGUAUCCUCCCUUUCUGCAUCCAAACCCCAUCUCUUUGAACCAGUUUUAAAGUGGGAUUGGUGGCCACAGUGCUGUAAUAGGGCUGCUGCUGGACUUCUUGUUGUAGAGUUUCCCACCAGUCUGUAAUAGGAGCUGAUAUAGCGUGUAAUUGUGCUGCUGCCACGCGAGAGAGAGCAUCAGCUCCCUGAUUUUCCUUGCCCUUGCGAUACUGAAUGCUGUAAUCGAACCCCAUAAUCUUCGGCAGCCAACGGGCUUGAGAAGGGGUGGUAAGUCGUUGCUCGAGAAGGUACUUCAAGCUUUGAUGAUCGGUCUUGAUCACAAAGGUUCUGCCCAAUAAAUACGGCCGCCAUUUCCGCACUGCCUUCACUACUGCGAGCAUCUCCUUGUCAUACGUUGACAGUAAUCUAGACUUGCCCUUCAAGGCCUCACUGUAAUAAGCAAUUGGCUGAUUGUCUUGAGAUAAAAUUGCUCUCAACCAUCACCACACGCAUCACACUCCACUGCAAAUUGUUGUGCAAAGUUUGGAAGUCGCAGCACAGGUGGGGACGUGAGGGCUUGCUUCAGUUUAUUGAAAGCCAUGAGCGCCUCCUCAGACCAGCGAAACCCCUCCUUGGAUAGGAGCUGAUUUAAUGGUGCAGCUAUGACGCCAAAUCCUCUCACAAAUUUUCAGUAAUAUCCAGCCAAACCGAGAAACCCACGGACAUCCUUGGGAGUUGCUGGAAUUGGCCAAUUUUGGACGGCUUGGAUUUUGGCAGGGUCCACUGCUACUCCUUCGGCAGAAAUGAGGUGCCCCAAAUAACCCACGGUAAGCACUCCAAACUGGCAUUUUGAGAGCUUUACAUACAGCUGGUUGUCCGAGAGAAUACGCAGCACUUGACAGAGAUGUUGUAAGUGAUCCAUCCAAGACCUGCUAUACACCAAAAUAUCGUCAAAAAAUAACAAUAUAAAUCGCCGUAAAUGAGGGCGAAAGAGGUCAUUCAUGAGACUCUGAAAAGUUGCUGGGGCGUUUGUCAAUCCGAAUGGCAUGACCACAAACUCGUAGUGACCGUCAUGAGUGCGGAAUGCGGUUUUUGGAAUGUCUUCCGGCUGGACUCUAAUCUGGUGAUACCCGGAGCGCAAGUCCAGCUUUGAAAAGAACUUCGCGCCAUGUAAUUCAUCAAGCAACUCAUCAAUGACCGGAAUGGGAAACUUGUCUUUAAUUGUGAUUUCAUUGAGCGCCCGAUAAUCAACACAAAAUCGCCAAGACCUAUCAGCCUUUUUAAUCAACAAAACCAGAGAAGAAAAGGGGCUGCGACUGAGGCGAAUAACUCCAGAUUGUAGGAAUUCCUUGACCAGUUUUUCAAUCUUAUUUUUUUGAUAGUACGGGUACCUGUAAGGCCGGUUGUUGACUGGAGAUUUAUUGGACAUCAAGGGAAUUUGGUGGUCAUGGCUGCGCGUAGGUGGCAGCGUUGUAGGCUCCUGGAAAACAUGUGCAAAAUCUGAAAGGAUGAGAUUGAGGUCAGGUGACCACGCUGAGGCUGUCUUUGGCAUUGUCUCCGUUUCUAUAUGCACAAAAUACCCCACACCUGAUAAGUGGAUCAACUCCUUAUCACUUAGGGGAGCGAGUUCAGUGUUUGAUAGUCCUCUCAAUGUGUACGUCUGGCCUUCUUGUUUAAAUGACAUGAUGAGCUUUUUGUAAUCGGUCUUGAUGGGGCCUAAAGUCUCCAGCCAUUGCACUCCUAAUACGGCUUGGCAGGCUAUCACUGGAAGCACAAAGAAGUCUGCGCGAACAAUGAUUCCUUGAAUCGAUAAAGAAAGGCCUAAGCACCGCCCAGUACACUCAAUAAUCUCCUUGUUCCCAACUGUGACUUGGAUGGUUUUGCCGCGAAUAACAUGUAGUCCCAAUUUGGUUGCCGUGGACUGAUCAAUAAAAUUAUGGGUGCUUCCCCCAUCAAUGAGCACUGUCAUAGCCGUGUUUCCUGCUCUACCAAUGACACGGAAAGUCUGUGGGUGGUUUGUUCCCACCAGAGCAUGAAAUGAUAUCUCUGGAAUGUCUUCCUCAGGCGUCACAAUCUCCAUGUCCACAUCGUCUCCUUCCUCCUUCUGCUGCACAUCCACCAUCAUGAACAACUGAGGCCGUGAACAACGAUGCCCGGGAACAUAUCGCUCAUCACAAUAGAAACACAACCCUUUUUCACGUUUCUCCCUUGCCUCCUGACCUGUUAUCCGUCGAAUUGGUGCAGUUGGGUGAGUUGUUCAUUGAGCCGGGGCAGGACCCAAGAGUCCCAUGGUGUUUGUGUGUGGUUGUUUCGGCUGGAAUGAAGGUGUUGUCGAUGGUCUGACUGGAUUGUUGAAUUUCCUUUGGAAAUGAUUUCGUUCUUCAAUUAAAUGAGCCACACUAAUGGAUUCAGAGAGAGUUUUUGGUUGCUUAACUCGAACAUCCAAACGAAUUUCAUCUUUUAAUCCCGCAAUAAAACACCCUACCAGGAAAUUUUCUGGGAGGUCAUCAACCUUGUGAGACAGUUUCUCAAAGGCUUCUUGAUAUACAUUCACAGUCGUGGUUUGCUUAAGUCUGGACAAUGCUUCUGACGGAUCAUCAUACUCAGUUGGUCCAAAACGGUGGAGAAGGGCUGAGACAAACUCAUUCCAGAGUAAUUGUCCCUUGCUUUUCGUAUACCAACGAUACCACUGCAAGGCGACACUCGACAGAUGAAAUGACGCCAAUUGUACUUGUCGUGGAGCGUCAAUGUUCUGGAACUCAAAGUAUUGUUCUGCCUUAAAUAUCCAGCCAGUGGGAUCCUCCCCUUCUCCAGAAUAGGUUGGAAAAUUCAACUUGAGGGUAGUGUGGUUUCUGUCGGCAUUGAAGGUUGCAGACGACCUGUCGUGAGAAGUACUUCCCCCAGCAUAAGGAUUUACUUCCCUCUCACUGGAACGAUGGGAAUGGGCGAUCCUCAUCGCUUGUAGCUCUGUCAUGACUCCCUGAAGGGCGUCGUUGACUCGAUUGAAAUUGUGAUUCAAUUCGUCAAAAUUGGCGUCGUGUCAUCCGAGAGUUUCUGUGAUCUCAGCACGAAACUACGCAUUAGUUUUACCACGCGUGUCCAUGGAUUGAACAGCUCUAAUACCACUGAUAAGAUAGGAUUUAGAGGAAGAAGAGAUAAUAAGAUAAAAGGUGAUUGUUUAUUGAUUGCAUGCCUUUCCUCUCGAAACAGUGAGCCUAAAUAGGCCAUUCAAUACAACUGUAAACUAAAUAAUAGGAACUCCAGUAGUGGAGAGCUGAAGACUAGGGAUGCUCUUGCUAAUCCCGUUACUUAUUCUCUAACCCAUUCAAUUACUUAAUUAAACAAUGAAAUAAAUUAAACAAUGAAACAAACAAAACAUAAAGUAAUUCUACGUAGACUCUCUCCAUGCAGUAGUAGCAAGAGAUCCACGUGCCCAAUGCUCUUAUCAAGCUGUUGCUUGUGAUAUUAUUGGAAAACGAAGACGCAGACGAAGACGAUGGUCGAUGGUGAUGGAGGUCUGCACCCAGGAGAUGGGGGUUCUUCCCCUGCGUUUUUCUUGUUGUUGUUCGUCUCUGUGUUUUUUUUUCUGUUCUCUGUUCUGGGUCUCCAGUGGCUUUUCGGUUAUGCCCUCCCCUCUCUUCUGUCUUCUCUCCCCUUUUCCCCCGGUUUUGCUCUUUUUUCCUUUCAUCCUCUUCUGCUCAGUCGUUCUUUGGCUUUUAUAGCCAGAGAAAAUAAUGUCGUUUCUUCCAACCAUAAAGUGUGAUAAUUGCAGAAGUAAUGGCUGUGCGGCGGUGGGCGUCCGUUUCGGUCGGGUGAGGAAGAUGAACAGUAACGGGCAACGGUGCUGUUUUGGUAUUCACAGUUGUAUGCCUUUUGGCCCUUGAAGUUUUGAACGUUUUGUAAUUAAGCCCCUAGUUAAAUUGUAAAUGGACCCCUGAAUUUCGACGCCUUUUACAAGUUAGGCUUUGGACUUUAAUCUGUUGCCAUUGUGCCCCCAAUUAACCCCAAAAUUUGGUAUUUUUUCAAUUAAGUCCCUGAUUUCAUUAAUUAAAUUAAAUCUAAGUCCAAUUAAGUCCCAAACUUAUCAAUUCAUUAAAUAAGCUCUUGAUUUUGUCAAUAAAACUAAUCCAAAGUUUAAUUAAAUCUCAAAACUUCCAAUUUUGUUGCCAUUAACCCAAAAUUUUAAUUCAUUCUUUAUUUUUAUCAUUUCACUCAUUUCAUCAUCAAAUUUUUUAAAUAAAAUAGAGAAGUCAAAAAUUGGGUUAUGAUAAUGAAUAAUUAAAAAAUCUAUUAACUUGUGUUGACCACCCUCCAUUUACUAUAUUUUUCUCUAAAAAAUGCCUUCCUUCCUAAUGAAAUUUCCUCAAAUACAUACUUUUUUUUUUAGGAAAUGUUCCAUUUUCCUCACUUCUAGAAAAAAAAAAUUAAAUGCUUGUGCGCAUGGGCUUGACCUUGCAGAUCCGCACACAAGCCUUUGAUGGGUGGGCCAAGCACUAGGCCUGACUUUCUAGAUCUAACAACGUAUGACCUCAUUUAUUUUUUUUAAUUAUUAUUAAUACCUAUAUAUAUAUAUUUAUUUAUAUAUUUGAAAAUAUUUUUAAAAAUGAUGUUUUUAUUAAUACUCGUUUUCGUUGAUUUUUUUUUUUGCCUUAUUUAGCGUUCAAUUAUUUUUAAUUAUGUUGGGUAUGUUUAGUUUUUUAAGAAGUUACUAUUAUUUAUCUGUAAAAUUUUUUUAUAUAUUUCAGAUAGAUUAAGUAUUUAUUUUUUUAUAAUAUUUUGAAUAAUUAUAGCCUUGCAUGGUAUUUUUUUUCCUUUUAUGCUAUUCAAUAAAUUUUAUAUGUGUAUUGAUUUCUAUUAUAAAUUAAUUUUAGUAAAUAAAUUAAUUAAACAUAACCAGGGUUAUUUAUUUAUUGGUAAUGACUUUUUUUUUCAUUUAUUUAUAUAAUGAUUCAUGAUUUAUUUAAUUCGAUGCGUGCAUAAGUUUUUUAAUUUAUAUUUAUGAUUGUUUUUAAUGUAAGAAAACACGUUCAUAAAUUCUUAUUAUUAUGAUUUCAGUUUAAUCCUAAUUUUUAUGAUUUUUUAUUUUUUUUCCUUAGCCUUUUAUAAAAGUUUUUUUGUUUGUAAUUUCACCCUUUAAUUUAAUAUGAUGGUGUAUUUGUUUUUUUAUUUUUUGCUUCUAUAUAUAUAUAUAUAUAUAUAUAUAUAUAUAUAUAUAUAUUCCCGUCUUUUGUUUUUUCGUUUUAUCAGCUUUUGCAUGUGGAAUAUUGAGUCUUCUACUUUUUCAGCCACAGAAUUGAAUCCUUUAUAUAUUCUUAAAACUAGAUUUGAAUUCUAAUGAACGAAUAAUAAAGAUGGUUGCAUGUACAAAUUCACCUUCAGAAAACAUAUAAUAAAGUCCCAUAUGUUAAUGAAGAUUUAAUUAUUAAGAAUAUAAAUUAAAUUAAAUUAAAUAUUGAAAAAACUAAAUGAAUUCCUUAAUAAAUAAAUAAAUUCUUUCUUUAGAAAGCAUGGAAAUGCCAUGACACUGGCUUUUUAGAGAGAUGAAGAUCUGGAGCACAACAGCCAAGAAAGUUAUCGAUAAAAGGAAGAUGGGAAGAGGGGAAAUGGGUAACGGGAGAGAGAUGAAGAUCUGCGCAUGGCUACCUGUUUUUGAGAGAAUUAUGGAAAGUUAUCCCUCACUCAAAACGGCACCAAUUAUAAGUUCAUUAAAAAAAAUCUGGAGCACAAUAGAUGGAAAAAACUCGAAACAACUUGUCUAGAAUUUAGGCAAGAAGAAUGAGCCAAGAUUUUAAUUGCAAUGAAAUUUAUCUCACUUUGUUAAGUUUUUUAAAAUGAUACAAGAUAUACUACCUAAUGAAACAAAAUGGAAUCAACAACCUUUAAAAGGAGUAGAGAUCACUUAUGUGUCUCUCAUAUUCAAUAGCCUUUUUCCCAUACUGACAUGUGCUUUACACUCACCAACAUUUUUUUUCUUUUUAUUUUAUAAUAUUCAACAUCGGCGAGUGAGAAUUUGAUAGCUAACUUUAUUAGUAGUGUUGGUUGCUGACUUGUCAGACACGUUUUGAGGCCAUAUGUAGUCACCAAGAACAAAUCCAUGAGGGCGAUAAGGCCCCAUAAAGACAAUAUCUGGUAGAUUCAGUCAGGCUAUGACAUAUUCGAUAAUAACUCUUCAAUUAAGUUCUAAAUCUCAUUUCAUCUUUUCAAUUUAAUCCCUAAUUUGACAUCAACUCUUCAAUUAGACCCCAAAGCUUAUCUCACCUGAGGAAAGCCCUCUUCUCUCAAUUUAGCCCCUUAUUAUCUUCAAUUUAAUAUCAAAUUUUAUUUGAUCCAAGCCCAAAAAAGGCUAAGCGAAGAUAGAAUAAAGGAAGGGAAAGAAAAUGAAUAAUUGCCCAACGGAGUUAACGUGUUUUGGUCUUUUCUCCAUGAUUUGGGUUGAACAUUUGACAUAUAUCCUUUUUUCUAUAGUUUUUUAUCCAUGUUCGUUGUGACGCCAUUGGUAUAGAAUGGUUACCAACUGUUAGUUUAAUAUGCCUUGUAGCCAAUCGGUUAGUUACACGAGACAUUAUUAUAUUCAUGUAAAUACAUAUUUAUUAUUAAUAAAGGCUUAAUUUAACUUUAAUAUUCAUAUAAUAUUAGAGUAAUGAAUCUAAAGUAUAAAUAAAGUUUAUGAGACAAAAAUGUUUUGCAAAGGAAAUUAUAAAGUUGUUAUAAUUAUGAGAUUUUUAAUGCAUCAAAGUAUAAUUCAUAAAAUAUUCUUGGUCGAUGCUCUCUUAAAUACUGGAUAUUAAUUAGAGCUAUAAAGACUGAUACAUAUUAUGUUUUUUCCUUUAUGAAAUGAAGCAACUGUUCUCAUAAGUUGAGCUAUAAGGGAUACCUAAAACUAAUAUGUAUAUGCUUGUCAUUAGACAUGUACACUGAAUUGACCGGCAUGAGAAUUCCAUAUGAAGAGAUUAUUUAUGUCUAUGGAAAGACUCACAUGACGGUUGUAUAUGUAAUCCUUAGACUUGAGAUCACUAAGUUAUCUUAUAUAGAGAAUGUUAUGCUUUGAUCCUGUUACAUGUUAUCUUAAUUGAGGUAACAAAAUGAUAGACAUUGGGUAUAUCAUGAACUAUAUGAAGGUACUUGAGUAAUCAAGAGAGGAUUUCAUCACCCUAUGUGAAUUAGAAAAAAUGUUCAAUCUGUUCUCAAAUAAUAUUGACUGAGAAAUCCGUGGCCAAUGUGGAAUGAUAUUUAAAAAGGAUUUCAAAUCUUAUUCAAAUAAUCAAUUGCUAUCAUAUAGAGAAUGACAUGAUUUAACAUGGCAAACAUGCUUCAUGCUUUAAUGUUAAAUAAGAACAUUAGUGAUAAAAUGGUAUUAAUUACAAUGAGAAACUGGUAAUUGAAACCACUAAUAACUUUUCUAAUAUUUAUGGGAUCAUGACACGUUACUAGACAAUGCAUAUGAUCUUCAAAUCUUCAAUUGUAAUUUAUUUAAUUAUAAUUAUAAUUUAUAUUUGGGUUAAUAUAUUAGGAACCUAAUAUGUCAUACACAUUAAGAAUUAAAUUGUGAUGAUUUAAUUAAGUAUAACUUGAUUAAAAAAAAAUUUAGAAAUUAAGGACUACAAUAUAAUUAAUACAAGGAUUAUAUUUUUAGAUCUAGAAAAAUCAAGGACUUGAUUGAGUUAAUUUAUAAAAUUAUCUUAAAUUAAUAUAUGGAUAUUAUUCAAGGGGAAAAUUGAUAUUUUGUCAAUUUAUAGGGUUUUUCAUAUUUCCUUAUAAAUAGUAAGUGUCGCACGUGUGCGGCGUCGUGACAAAAACAUUCACCCUCAAAAUCUUAUCUUAUAAUGUGGCAAAUGUGGGGAGACAAGGAAUUCUUGUUUUUUAUUAGUGGUAAAUUGGAAUGGGAGUCGCCACCUAGUAUUUUGGUCACUAGGAACUCUAGCUGGUCUCAAAGAUCGGGUACGGGGACUGGUUGCGUAAAGGGAAGGUAUUAGCACCCCAAAUACGCCCUACCUAAGGUAAGCUGCAUUGUUUUAUUGUUUGAUAAAAUCUAAGAUCUUGUCGUGUUUUCUCGUUGUUGGUUCGUCUAUGGUUUAAGAAAAGUCCUUCUCGGUAAGGAGAUCCUUAUCUUAUCGGGUAAUUCUGACGUCAACCAAAGAAUUUAAUAUCCGAAAUACGUCUUACGUAUAAGGUCAUAACCCCAGAUAUUAAAAGAAAACAAAAUAAUUUUUUUGGAAUUUUUGAAAUAUUGGCCUAGUUCUCGUGACUUUAAUAAACUGGUUAUUAAAGCCAAAAUGCAUGUUAAUAUAUAUUUUUGAAAUUUUCUUUGUUAUAUGAAAAUACAAUAUGAUUUUUUUUUCUUUUAUUUUUGAGAGACUUGGUCGUAUGCAUGAAAACAAAAUAUUUUUUAUUUUUUAAAUUUUUUUAAUGUCUUGACGAAAACCGGGUAUUUUAAUACCAGAUUUAUAUCUUUACAGUAUAAAAAUACAAACCAAUAUUGAUCAAAAUGAAGUAAAAAAUUUGCAGAAAAUCACAUAUUUUUUUAAAAUUCUUUUUCCGGGCUGGGCCCAGCCCGGCCCAUGUGGCUGGGCUGGACCCAGCAGGUUUCUACCCGCAUGCGUGCGUGAACAAUUCACGCACGCCUGCUACAGUCGCGAUGUAAUUAAUUUUCAUGUGCACAGUGUUUGUGCAUUUUCUGCAAAGUUGGAGAAGUUUACCUGGAAGCAAGACGAAGGCAACAACAGCUUUGGACCUCUAUCUUCACCUUUUCGUUUGUUUUUCUUCUGGUUCCUCUGGUUCUUCCUGUUUUUUUCUGUUUCUGUUUUCCGUUCUUCUUGUGGUUCCUUUCCUUUCGUCUCUGUCUUCUCCUUCCUCCCGGUAUUCUUUGUUUUUUUUGGUUCCCCUCCCCUUUUCUGUUUCUCUCCUCCCUAUCCUCUGCUUCCUUACGCUCUCCCUCUGUCUAUCUCUCUUUUUGUUCUUUUCAAAAGAUUUCCCACCCUCUGUUUCUUUCUCCCUAUGCUGCCCAGUUCUCCUUCCUUCUCGUUCUUUUUCUAUGUUUUCUCCCUGCUCCCUUCUUCUCCCCCUCUUCGGCUCAGUCUUCUUCUGCUGCUUUUAUAGGUCAGAGAAGGCUUUGUGCUGGUAACGGCUGGCUUGGUAACGGUUUGAAGAGGGAUGACAGCCGUGACACAUGCCCUAUAAUUGAAGAGAAUUGGCACUGUUGCUGCAAGAAAACGUCUCUCGGCCUUUAGUGCUGAAACGGCUGGAAGAAGACACUGAAUAGUGUUUCAAGGCAACGGCCCCGUUUUUUGCAAUUUUAAAUGAUAUUUAUGAUUUGGUCCUUGGAUGUUUUUACAAUUUGUAAUCAAGCCCUCGGAUAAAUUAUAAUUGGAUCCCUUGAUUGUAGCACCUUUUCUGUUUUGGUCCUUGGUUUUGAAUUGUUUCAAUUAAGUCCCUAAUUGGCCAUCAAACUUUAAUAACUAUGCAAUUAAGCCCCUGAUUUGACCAAAUCAACUCUUUAAAAUUAUAAUUGGACCCCAGAACUUUAAUUUCUUCCAAUAAAGACCUAAAUUGACUUAAAAAACAAUUUUUCUUGCAAUCAAACCCUCCAUAAAUUCAAUUAAACCUUAGAUAAAAUUUAAUUGAGUCCAUAAACAUCUUAUUUUGAAUAUAUUUUUUCAAAAAUUGAAUUUUCUUUGUCAACAGAACUCUCAUCAGUUAACGAUAAACUGUCAAAUUUCAACCUUUUGCAUUUUUGAACCUCUUCAACCAAUUUUUGGCCAUUUUUCGGCAUUCUAGCAUCCUUUUCUUACUCCUAUUAUUUUUUGGAUUUCUUUCGAAUAUUUUUUGAUAUAUAUUUCUUUUUGUAUUUUCUCAUUUUUUUGUGGGAACCCAAAAAUGGGUAACAACAGUAAGCUAUGCCUUUUAUUUUUUAGGAGUUGUCUGUUAGACAAAAAGACUACGUAUGUCACAUAAUAAAGAGAUAACACUCUAGGCAUAACAAUCCCUCUCUCUUAAAUAGGGACUUGAGAGAUUUUUCACUAGUGGUUCAUGUGAAUUACUAUUGAAGGACAAACAAUUGGACGACUUCUAGUUUACAACAACCCAGUCUUUAAAAAAUUAUUCAAAACCGAAGAUGAUCAAAUCUUUAGGUAAUAAAUCCCUAAACAACUCUAGAUCUGUUUAACAAAAUUCCAGAAAUUCCCGAAUAAUUUUAGGCUGUGUUUGUUUUCCGGAAAGUGGUUUCCGGAAAACCACUUUCCAAACUUUCCUGUGUUUGUUUGUUAUUAGGAAAGUUGGUCAACGGAAAACACUUUUCAGUCAAAGGCAAAAUUUAGCUUGGUUUUUAGAAAAGUGUUUUCCUUUUAUUUUAGGCGGAAAACACUUUCCGGAAGUUGUGCAAAAUUUAGAAAUGUCAUAUUAUUUGCUGAUUAUAUCAAAAUUGGUCCUGAAACUUUUGAUUGCUAUAUAUAUAUAUAUAUAUAUUUUUUGUUUUGAAUAUUUGUUUUUCAAUUUCAUCCCUUGGAAUUUAAUUUUUAUAUUAACUUUACUCCUCAUUUUUAUAAUUGCUAUUUGAUUUUCCCUUAUCAUUUUUUAAUUAAAUUUUUUUAUCUAUCAAAUUUGGUCAUCAUUCUUUUGAUUGUUACUUAUUUUAUUUGAAAUAAUUUAUAAAAUGUUAAUUAUUAUUAUUUUAAUUUCUUCAUCUUUCAAUUUUUUUAUUUUUUAGAUUUGAUCUCUAUUAUUUUGAUUAUUAUUUAUUUUAUUUGAGAUAAUUUAUGAAAUUAUAUUUUUUUUCAAUUUUAUUCUCAUUCAACUUUUUAAUUUGUAAGAUUUAUUCCUCGUUAUUUUAAUAAAUUUGAGAAAAAUAAAAUAUUAAUACGUUAUUUUCCAGCUUAUUUUCCAUGACAUAACAAAACACAGGAAAAUGUUUUCCAACUUAUUUUCCAUGACACUGCAAUUGGAUGACUCAUAUUUGAUUUAUGGAGCUAGCUAUGCUAAGGGAAUCAUGCUUGUAUCACCUAUACUAAUAAUAAUAAUUACAUAUUAACAAGCAUCAUUUGAUUAGUAAGUUUCCAAAUUCUAUCCACAAAUAUUAUAACCUCUUAAUUUAUGCAAGAACUUAGCUACAUUUCAUGCAAGCAAUCCCUAACUCUAGUAUUUUGUCUGUGUUAAAAAUGGAGACUUCUUGGUGUUCGCCGGAGCUUGGGUAUAUACCAUAUUUGAACAAAUAACAAUGUAAAAACAUCUUUUAACGAUAUUAAAAUCAUUUAUUCAUUUAAAGUAUCAAUAUUGUCAUUUAUAGUGAAACAUUUAAUUUUACUACAUUGAAAAUACGUUGACCAAUAGAAUCCCCGCCUUCAGCUAACCCCCAAUAUGUCUUGAAUAGCAAUGGCCAUCCUUUGGCCAUCAUGCCAUAAAAGCCUCAUUUGGAGCCAAUUCCUCUCUUUCUUGCCACUAUUUAGCUUCCGACCAUUCUUCGCGUUUCACUUUUCUUCAAAUGUUUUCACCAAAACAAAGCUUCAACCUUUAAAUUGUUGCUUAUAAAGUCGAGAUCCAAGGGAUUAUUUAAGAUUUUAUGGAAAUUACGUAUUUCAAAUAUUUUAUGUUUAUUUUUCUGAAAUAUCGUUUGAAGCAAAAGGCAAAAAAGAAUUAAAAAUUUUUUUAAAGUGUUUUUAAAACACAAAAACAAACAGAGUUUGUUUUUUAUUUUUUAAAGAAUUGUUUUUAAAAAAUAAUUUUUUGUAUUCUAAAUUAAUUUUUUUAUUAUUUUAAUAUAUUUUAAAUAAAAAAUAUUUUAAAAAACAUCUACUUAAAAAAUAUUAUUUUUCUGAAAUAAUACUUUUCUCUAUAUUUGAGUUUAGUUUAAAAUANNNNNNNNNNNNNNNNNNNNNNNNNNNNNNNNNNNNNNNNNNNNNNNNNNNNNNNNNNNNNNNNNNNNNNNNNNNNNNNNNNNNNNNNNNNNNNNNNNNNAUUUUAAUGUUUUUUCAUGCUCUAGCAAAUGAGGCACGAAAAGAGAACCUGAAAUCACGGCAGCAAAUAAGGAGAGAAAUAGGUGUUUGUUUUUUAUUUUUUAAAGUAUUAUUUUUUAAAAUUAAUUUUUUGUAUUCUAAAUUAAUUUUUUUAUAUUUUUAUAUUAAUAUUAAAAAUAAUUUUUAAAAAAUAAAAAAUAUUAUUUUAAUAUAUUUUUAAAUAAAAAAAUAUUUUAAAAAAGAGCUGCUUAUUCAAACACUUAAAAUAAAAAUCUUAAAAUCACAGCAUGAUAAAAGAAGAAAGAAAGGAAUGGGAUAAAGAAGAAAGAAUAAAAAAAACUCCAAAAAUCACGGCAUGAUCAAAGGAGAAAGAAAAGGAUGGGACAAAGAAGGAAGAAAGUAAGGUCACGUAGGGGCUUGUCUUGUAGAAAAUGUGAGAAUUAGCAUGAAAAGAGGAUAAUAGAGUAGUUGUUAGAAUCAAAAGACAUAAACACGGGAGAGAGGCUGCCCCUUACCUCCUCCUGGGAAGGAAUAUAUGUCAGACUAUACAGCCUUUUUCAAUUCAUUAAUGUCGUUCUCUGUUUGUCUUCUAAAACCUACUCCCAUCAUGUACAUGUAUUAUUUUCUUAAAAUUGCUCUAUGGAAUUGCAGGCCAUGCUCGUUUGAUUUUUUUAAUAACAAAAUUCUUUUCAUGCUCUUGCAAAUAAGGCAGGGAUGGAGGCCUUGAAAUCACGGCAGCGAAUAAGAAGUGAAAAAGAGCCUUUGUUUUUGCUUUUUUAUUUUUUAGUAUUUUUGAAACAAAUUAGAUUUUUUUAUUUUUUUUAUUUUCUAUUAUUUUGAUAUAUUUCUAAACAAAAAAAUAUUUUAAAAAACAACCACUAACACAUUCUUUUUAAGCUAUUAAGUAACCAGUCCCUAUAAUUUUUCAACAUUGCACUUGGGUACCAAACUUCAUUUUUCUCUUUUUCAAGUUUUUUUUUUGGUGGAGAAGACAGAGAGGGUCGCUGAAUUUUAUUUUAGAGAGAGAAAGUUGUUGUUAAGAAAGAUUUUGGCUACCGAAAUCGUUGAUUUUUGUAUCAAAUGGUAACCGCCUAUUUUUUUCAUGUGUUCAUACUUAAAACCUUCUUAAAGAGUUCUUAUCAAUGGUUUUAAAACCUCUCUCUCAAGAUCGAAAGGUUAGAAAUAACUCUCUACCCUCUAAGUCUAAUAAAACCAUCAAGUACUCUUAAAACCAAAACCACAAUUGCAAAAACCAGUUUAGUACAAGAACUUCUAACUAUUAGCUUUUAUCCAUAACCCUCUCACUUUGAUCAAAUGGUUAAACUUUCAUCAAUCUUUGAGGGAAUCCACAAAAAAACCUAGAAAAACAUAUAAUUACUCUUGAAAAUUAGAGCCGGAGAGGAGGAGAAAAAAAGAGGAAAAACAUGGGGAAAUAAUUUGUUAAUAGACUCUAUUAUAAAGGUUCAAGAGCCUAGAAGGUUUAACCAGCUUUAGAAAGAAAAAAAGUGAAAGGAAAAGAAGGAAGGAAAUGAAAAUAAAAAAAUAACAACGUAAUUUUGAACUUAAAGGCCUAAUUUCAGUGAAAGUUAAGAGCAUUAGAGACUAGACCGUGCUUAUACCAAAGACUCUCAUCGUUGAAGGAAUGCAAACAGUUGUUAACGAGACACUUAUGCUGUUCCAACAUUCAAAGAUUGUUGAAUCUAGUACCGGUGCUCAUUCUGGAUCUAGUACCAAAAGGAGAAUAUAGAAAGAGAUAGUAGUGAAUUAAUUAUGUUUCAUUCAGUAGUAAGAAACAAACGGGGGCAAUGCAUUUAUAAUAGCCAGAGAGGGGUUUUUAUAUACAUUCNNNNNNNNNNNNNNNNNNNNNNNNNNNNNNNNNNNNNNNNNNNNNNNNNNNNNNNNNNNNNNNNNNNNNNNNNNNNNNNNNNNNNNNNNNNNNNNNNNNNACUAGAUAUAAAGAAAAAGUACAAAUUCCAACAAAAAAUACAUGUUUGAAGGUUCAACAAAAAUGAUUUGCUAAUUAGCUAUAAGCUUGAGAAAGAUAAAUAAUGAGAGUGUGAGUUCAAAAACUCAGUGAGUAGAUAACGUUCAAUAUACAUACACGAGGUAAUACAACAAUGAGGAAUAUAUAUACAAUUAUGGCUUUAGAUUCUUAUAGGAAGGUUUCUCAAAUAGGCCAUAACAAGGUUAUCAUAAGGUAAAAUUCGUUAGAAAAUCAAAAUGCAAUAACAUGAGGCUCUGUACUAUGGGAUGAUCAGUCCACACAGGUUGAUGACUCUCCCAACCAACUAGGGUUUCAAAUACAAUGUGCACUAAGACUAACACUACCCUGUUAGUAUGAGCAUUCUAACUGGCAUACCAUAAGUUCAUAUCAUAAUCAAACAAACAAAUUCAUAUCUCAAGGCCCAACUCAUGACAUUAAUAAAACAAGAAGCUAUCAAUUCAGAAGUCAAUUUAGAAGUAUAUAUUGGCUUAUAUCAAAAAUUCAAAUUCAACAAUUAAUCAUGUUUUAUCAUAACAAAGAUAAUAAUCAACAUAUAUAUUAUCAAGAAGCACGAUCCAAUUCAUAUUAACAGCUCAAAUAUUUAUACUAUUUCUCAUGCAUAUGGAAAAUUAUACACUCACUUGACUUAAAAGUGAACAGAACUCGAAAGCAAAUACCGAAGAAAAUCCUACUGAUAUUCCGCAUAUAGAAUAUCAAGAUUAUCUAAAUACAAAGAAGACAUAUUAUAAAAUGACUCGAAAAGAACAUACAACCUAUUUAAUACACUUAACUAAGGGUCUAUUUCAUAACCCUAUACAUUUUGUUAAUUCUAAACUAGUUAUUUUUCCCAAAAACCAAAAAAGUAAACGGUUUUUCAGAAAUCUAAUUCAUAAUAAAACAAAUAAUGAGACUUGAUAAUAAUUCACUAAAUAACCAUCAAUUAUUCAUCAAAACAAUCUGAAAAAGCUAAUAUUAAAGCUAGGGACCAAUCUGAAAUUUUAUCAUAUUUUUAGGGGUCAAAUUAUAAUUUUAUCAAAUUGGAAGACCAAACUAAAAAUGUCAUAAAUUCAUGACUAUACUGGAAUUCUGCCCAUAAUUCAUUUUCAAUUCUGCCCAGAAUCUCAAAUUAUGCUCCAGGGACCACUAUAGAAUUUUAUCAAAUUUCUAGGGUUAAAUUGUAAUUUCAUCAAAUUGGAGGACCAAAGUGAAAAUAUCAUAAAUUCAUAACUAUACUGGAAUUCUGCCCAUAGUUUAUCUUUAAUUCUGUCCAGAAUCUCGGAUUAUGCUCCAGGGACCAAUCUCUAAUUUUUCCAAAGUUCAGGGACUAAANNNNNNNNNNNNNNNNNNNNNNNNNNNNNNNNNNNNNNNNNNNNNNNNNNNNNNNNNNNNNNNNNNNNNNNNNNNNNNNNNNNNNNNNNNNNNNNNNNNNCAGACCCACAUGCCUAGGGUCUGCAGACCCGCUUGCGGUUUGCAGACCCUUAUCCCUGGAGUUGCAGAACCCCGCGCCUGGGGUGUGCAGAACCGGGAGCAGGGUCUAGACCCGCUCAUCUGGGUUUGAAGAACCCCACUUCUUCUAUCGUGCCUGGGGUCUGCAGCAUCCUCCCAGGGGUUGUAGACCCACACAACUAGAUCUGCAGACCCCGUAGAGAAAAAUAACAAACUUGAAAAAAAAAAUGAAAACAAAUAUAAUAACUAAUAACAAUUAUUUUUAUCAUUAUUAUUAUUAUCGCUAAUAAAUUUUAUAAAAACAUUAUUACUAUCAAAACUUGGACUAGACAAGUUUAAUAUUAUUAUUACUAUACUAAAUAUUAUUGUUUUCAUUAUAAUUAAAAGUAUUAAUAUUUGUGUUAUAAAUACUAUUAUUUUUAUUAUAAUUAAAAGUAUUAAUAUUAAAAUUAUUAUUAUUUUUCUUAUAAAUAAUAUUAUUUUUAUUAUAAUUAAUAUUGAAAAUACUAUUAUUUGUAUUAUCAAUAUUAUUAUUUUGAGUAUAAUUAAUACUACUAACAUAAUAAUUAAUAAAUUUGAAAAAAAUAUUAUUUAUAUUGAAAAGCAAUAAUAGAUUUAAUUUGAAGGGUAAAAUUAAGAAUUAUUAUUAUUAUUAUUAUUAUUAUUAUUAUUAUUGUUAUUAUUUAUUGUUAUCAUUAGUAAAUUGAAAGAAACAAAAUUAUUAGUUAUUUUUAUCAUUUCAGCUGGGGUUGAAUUUUCUUAUUAGAGCAUGUUUGGUUUUGGUUUUAAAAAUUGCUUUGAAAAGAAUUUUAUUUUUUUUAUUUUUUUCUUUACUUCAAAUUAAUGUUUUUUCCUUUAAUUCAUAUUAAAAUGUUUUUGUAAUAUUUUGACGUGAUUAUAUAUUAAAUAGAUUUAAAAAAAAUUAAACAUUGCAGGAUUCAAAAUAGUCUUGGGUCCAGGUUGGGGCAGGACCCUAGAUCUUACAGGUUGCAGGACCCAAAAUAGCCUUGGGUCCGGCCGUAUGCAUGACCCAAAAUAGCCUUGUACAGUUGAGAACAUCUCAUGCAUGCGACAUCCAAUGCAACAUAAUAUAUAAAUUGCAAUGCAUGUAAUUAAUGGGGGGGAAAUUCAUGAAUGAAUUGAAAGAUAUAUAUCUUAUGGGAUAGAUACAACACGAGAAGAAAAAACCAUUUAGAGAAACAGACAAUCUCGAUUGAUGAUCAUCCUAUUAUUAGCAUGAAAGGUUGAAAAAGAAAGAAUUCAUACAAGGAGGUUGGCCUUGAAUUGGCAUUGCCUUAUUCCAAGCGCUAGCUAGCUUAUAAUAUUAUUCACUAGCUAGCUAGCUCGCUAGCUCCUCUCCCUAGCCUUCCCUGCAUCGAUCUUCUGCUUUGCAACCUCUUCCUGGAGCGACUCGAUGGAGGCAUUGGGGAUUCUUUUCUGGGUCACAACGCGGAAGCCCUUCGUAACUUAAGUAUUUUGGUUUUCUUGUAAUGGUAUCUGCUACAUCUCCUGCAACAAACGUGGUCAUCAGGAGCAUUAAAACACCAAAAGCCAUCAAUCCUUUGGACAUUGACAUUGUUAAACUAUGAUGAGAGCAGACAAUACACAAAUGUUGUUCUUAAAAGAAUAUUGAUUCGGUGACAAUAAAAAGCAAGGUCUGGCAUAUAUAUAUAUAUAUAUAUAUAUAUAUAUAGCAUAUGCAUGGAGUGUUUGCCGUUUAUAGCACAAUUUCUUGUGGAUAUUAAAAUAGUUAAUUCUCUUUGCUUUUUCAGAUUAUAGCCGCACCACUUAUAGCACAAUUUCUUGAAGUUGAUACCCACAUAUAGCUGGGAGCUCAAAUGGCCACAUCUUGCAUUAGACAUUGAGAGCUUAAUUGGAGGUCUUGGUCAGCUAAAUUCUCAGCAUCCCUGAUGAGGAGCACACAUUGCGUGGUUGUGACUUCACUUGAGAAAAGUACAUCCAAGAAACAAGGAGAGAUAUGCUACCAAAGAAAAGAUGUCGUGAGUUCGAGCGUCCAGGUUUGGAUCAUGGGAACGCAUACACAACCACAUGCCCACCCAGCUGCAAGAGCUCCAAGUCUGCAAUAUUGAUCUUGUAUUGUAUGUAAACUUCCAACAAAAGUGAACUAUAUGUUAGAUCAUUAGAGAAGGUUUUCCAUGUAACAUGACAUAACAAUAUUAAACAGCAUCAGGACAAAUAUUGCGAACAUAAUAUGUUUGGUUUAGGUGCGCGCGCCGCCUCUUAAAAAGCAUGUCGAAAUCCAUGCUUUCUGCGAGGUGCACCGCCCGGCGCACCUUACAUACAAACACAUUGUAAUUAGUGUGACCAAAAAGAACUCUUGGUGCGAUUAUCCAAGACCACAAAUCACACUCUGCAACGAGAAGUGUCCCCCAAAGACUAAACAAAAAGAAAAAAUAAAAGCAGCUUCCAAUCGUUUCAUUACUUGACUCACCCAAUAACAAAAGCUCUUCGUCUUCUCAAUAAGGAAAUUAAUACAUGCAAGCUGCCACAAGAUUAAAGCACUUAAUGCAGAGAAAGGAGGAGUCACUGCAAUCUAUUCUACUUCCCAGAUGUUGCAGUCAAACUUAAAAUGUGAAAAUCAAAUAUGGUAAAGGCCACGGCUCUACAUAUAAAGAAAUAGACACCUGGGAUAUGAGAGUUCUUAUUGUUAAAUAAUAUUUAUGUAGUCUUAUUUAUUAAGGGUAGAAUAGUACUUUCAGUUUGACCUAUAUAUACUUUAUUUGUAUUGAGGUUAACACAAAGCAUUCAUAAUAAACAGUCUGAGGGAAGAGAUAUGAGCCUACGUUUAAGUAUUUGAUCUCGAUUACUUUAACAUGGUAUCAGAGCUGGUUUUAUGGCACGAGGUUAAUCCCGUACACAGCUUAUGUCAAGGUAACCGAGCUCGAUAUCUAUCCUCAAUUAUUUUGGUAUUUCGUCUUCCCUUCAGCUUUGCAAUUUUGGUAAUUCCGUUCAGUUUCUGCAAAUUGUUUUGUGUUUUGGAGUAAUCGUAUAGUUUGAGAAGAUAUUUGUUUAGUUUCUGCAAUCUCUGUUCAGUUUCUGCAAUUUGGUAUUUUGUUUUCCGCUGCUUUUGCAUUCUGGUUCUUUGUGAUUGUUGAUUAUGGCUACUGAAAGAGAUGAUUCGCUUCAGUCUGUGAGUGUGAGGUUGGAUGGGAAGAACUAUUCGUAUUGGAGCUAUGUAAUGAGAAAUUUUCUUAAGGGUAAGAAGAUGUGGGGAUAUGUUAGUGGAACUUAUGUGGUACCUAAGAAUACUGAAGAAGGAGAUACUGUCUCGAUAGAUACAUGGGAAGCAAACAAUGCAAAGAUCAUUACUUGGAUCAACAAUUCUGUUGAGCAUUCUAUAAGUACACAGUUGGCAAAGUAUGAGACAGCAAAGGAGGUUUGGGAUCAUCUGCAACGGUUAUUCACGCAAUCAAAUUUUGCAAAACAGUAUCAGUUAGAGAAUGACAUACGAGCUCUUCACCAGAAGAAUAUGAGUAUUCAGGAGUUCUAUUCUGCCAUGACAGAUCUUUGGGAUCAAUUGGCUCUUACAGAAUCGGCAGAAUUAAAAGCAUGUGGUGCUUAUAUUGAACGUAGAGAGCAGCAACGAUUGGUACAAUUUUUAACAGCACUUCGCAGUGAUUUCGAAGGACUUAGAGGUUCAAUUCUGCAUCGUUCUCCACUGCCCUCUGUUGACUCUGUUGUCAGUGAGUUAUUGGCUGAAGAAAUACGUCUUCAGUCUUAUUCUGAAAAGGGAAUUCUUUCUGCUUCGAAUCCUUCUGUACUAGCAGUACCUUCUAAGCCAUUCUCUAAUCAUCAGAACAAGCCUUACACAAGGGUUGGCUUCGAUGAGUGCAGUUUCUGUAAGCAGAAAGGUCAUUGGAAGGCUCAGUGUCCUAAGUUGAGACAGCAGAAUCAAGCUUGGAAGUCUGGCAGUCAGUCACAAUCUAAUGCUCAUCGAUCACCUCAGGGUUAUAAACCACCACACCACAAUACUGCAGCAGUAGCUUCCCCAGGCUCUAUUACCGAUCCUAAUACUUUAGCUGAGCAAUUUCAGAAGUUUCUCUCCUUGCAGCCACAAGCAAUGUCCGCUUCUUCCAUAGGUCAGUUGCCUCAUAGUUCCUCAGGUAUGUCACACUCUGAAUGGGUCUUGGAUUCUGGUGCUUCACAUCAUAUGUCUCCAGAUUCCUCAUCUUUUACCUCAGUGUCCCCUUUGUCCUCCAUUCCUGUUAUGACUGCUGAUGGCACUCCUAUGCCCUUAGCAGGUGUUGGUUCUGUUGUCACACCUCACUUGUCUCUCCCUAAUGUUUAUCUUAUUCCAAAACUCAAAUUGAAUCUUGCGUCUGUUGGUUAAAUAUGUGAUUCUGGUGAUUAUUUAGUCAUGUUUUCUGGUUCUUUUUGUUGUGUACAGGAUCUGCAGUCUCAGAAGCUGAUUGGGACAGGUCGUAGGGAGAAUGGGCUAUAUAUUUUGGAUGAGUUAAAAGUGCCAGUUGCUGCUGCUGCUGCUGCUGCUACUGCUGAUUUGUCUUCCUUUCGUUUGAGUCUUUCAUCUUCUAGUUUUUAUUUAUGGCAUUCCCGUCUAGGUCAUGUUUCGUCUUCUCGUUUGAGAUUUUUGGCAUCCACAGGAGAUUUAGGAAAUUUGAAAACUUGUGACAUUUCUGAUUGUAGUGGAUGUAAACUGGCAAAAUUUUCUGCUUUAUCUUUUAAUCGAAGUAUUUCUGUUUCAUCUUCACCAUUUGAUUUGAUUCAUUCUGAUGUAUGGGGACCUUCUCCUGUUUCCACAAAAGGAGGGUCUCGAUAUUAUGUCUCUUUUAUUGAUGAUCAUACUCGUUAUUGUUGGGUUUAUUUAAUGAAACAUCGUUCUGAAUUCUUUGAGAUAUAUGCAGCUUUUCGAGCUCUUAUCAAAACUCAACAUUCUGCUGUGAUCAAAUGCUUUAGGUGUGAUUUGGGUGGGGAAUACACCUCUAAUAAAUUUUGUCAAAUGCUUGCCUUAGAUGGAACCAUCCACCAAACUUCAUGUACAGAUACUCCUGAACAAAAUGGUGUAGCUGAAAGAAAACAUAGGCAUAUUGUCGAAACUGCUCGUUCUCUCUUGUUGUCUGCUUUUGUUCCUAGUGAAUUUUGGGGAGAAGCUGUUCUUACUGCUGUAAGUUUGAUUAAUACAAUUCCAUCUUCUCAUAGUUCGGGUCUAUCUCCUUUUGAAAAGCUAUAUGGGCAUGUCCCUUAUUAUUCCUCAUUUAGAGUCUUUGGUUGUACUUGUUUUGUUCUUCGUCCUCAUGUAGAACGCAAUAAGCUAUCCUCUCGAUCCGCUAUUUGUGUCUUUCUGGGUUAUGGUGAAGGUAAAAAGGGGUAUCGUUGUUUUGAUCCAAUAACUCAGAAACUUUAUGUGUCUCGUCAUGUUGUCUUCCUUGAGCAUAUACCUUUCUUUUCUAUUCCAUCCACUACUCAUAGCCUGACAAAAUCUGAUCUUAUUCAUAUAGAUCCUUUUUCUGAGGAUUCUGGUAAUGAUACCUCUCCCUAUGUUCGAUCAAUUUGUACUCAUAACUCUGCAGGUACUGGUACUUUACUCUCUGGCACAUCUGAAGCUUCAUUCUCAUCUACAGCCCCUCAAGCUUCAUCUGAGAUUGUGGAUCCACCUCCACGUCAGUCCAUCCGCAUUCGUAAGUCCACAAAACUACCAGAUUUUGCUUAUUCUUGUUAUUCUUCAUCAUUUACUUCCUUUUUAGCUUCUAUUCAUUGUCUCUUUGAGCCCUCUUCCUAUAAAGAGGCAAUUCUUGAUCCGCUUUGGCAGCAAGCUAUGGAUGAGGAACUUUCUGCUUUGCAUAAGACAGAUACUUGGGAUCUGGUUCCUCUACCUCCUGGUAAGAGUGUUGUUGGUUGUCGUUGGGUGUAUAAGAUCAAGACUAAUUCUGAUGGGUCUAUUGAGCGAUACAAAGCUAGGCUGGUUGCAAAAGGAUACUCUCAACAGUAUGGUAUGGACUAUGAGGAGACAUUUGCCCCGGUUGCCAAAAUGACUACUAUUCGUACUCUUAUUGCCGUAGCUUCGAUUCGUCAGUGGCAUAUUUCUCAGCUUGAUGUUAAAAAUGCAUUCUUGAAUGGAGAUCUUCAAGAAGAAGUUUAUAUGGCACCCCCUCCUGGUAUUUCACAUGACUCUGGAUAUGUUUGUAAGCUUAAGAAAGCACUAUAUGGUCUCAAACAAGCACCUCGUGCUUGGUUUGAGAAAUUCUCUAUUGUGAUCUCGUCUCUUGGCUUUGUUUCUAGCAGUCAUGAUUCUACUCUUUUUAUUAAGUGCACUGAUGCAGGUCGUAUCAUUCUGUCUUUAUAUGUUGAUGACAUGAUUAUUACUGGUGAUGAUAUUGAUGGUAUUUCAGUUUUGAAGACAGAGUUGGCUAGACGAUUUGAAAUGAAGGAUUUGGGUUAUCUUCGAUAUUUCCUAGGUAUUGAGGUAGCAUACUCGCCUAGAGGUUACCUUCUUUCUCAGUCAAAAUAUGUUACAGAUAUUCUUGAGCGAGCUAGACUUACUGAUAACAAGACUGUAGAUACUCCUAUUGAGGUCAACGCGAGGUACUCUUCUUCUGAUGGUUUACCUUUGAUAGAUCCUACUUUAUACCGUACUAUUGUUGAGAGUUUGGUAUAUCUCACAAUUACUCGUCCAGAUAUUGCAUAUGUUGUUCAUGUUGUUAGUCAGUUUGUUGCUUCUCCUACUACUGUUCACUGGGCAGCUGUUCUUCGUAUUUUGCGAUAUCUUCGGGGUACAGUUUUUCAAAGUCUGUUACUUUCAUCCACCUCUUCCUUGGAGUUGCGUGCAUACUCUGAUGCUGAUCAUGGUAGUGAUCCCACAGAUUGCAAGUCUGUUACCGGGUUCUGUAUCUUUUUAGGUGAUUCUCUUAUUUCUUGGAAGAGCAAGAAACAAUCUAUUGUUUCUCAAUCAUCCACCGAAGCAGAAUAUCGUGUCAUGGCAUCUACUACCAAAGAGAUUGUUUGGCUACGUUGGUUACUUGCUGAUAUGGGAAUUUCCUUUUCUCAUCCUACUCCUAUGUAUUGUGACAACCAGAGUUCUAUUCAGAUUGCUCAUAACUCGGUUUUUCAUGAGCGCACUAAGCACAUUGAGAUCGAUUGUCAUCUUACUCGUCAUCAUCUCAAACAUGGCACCAUUGCUUUGCCUUUUGUUCCUUCUUCCUUGCAAAUUGCAGAUUUCUUUACCAAGGCGCAUUCCAUCUCUCGUUUUCGUUUUCUGGUUGGCAAACUCUCGAUGCUUGUAGCUGCCGCAUCGUGAGUUUGAGGGGAGAUGUUAAAUAAUAUUUAUGUAGUCUUAUUUAUUAAGGGUAGAAUAGUACUUUCAGUUUGACCUAUAUAUACUUUAUUUGUAUUGAGGUUAACACAAAGCAUUCAUAAUAAACAGAUUAUUCAGAAUUGUAGCCUCCUUUUUGUAUUUGAUCUCAAUUACUUUAACACUUAUACCAUGCCUCAAGGACAAAUGAAGGAGAGCAAAGCAUCUCCCGGAAAAAAAACAUCAAAUCAAGAGUCUUGCAAUCCACAUGCAUUAAAGCUUCUUUCAUAAAGGACAGAAGCUUUGAUUUCCAAAUGAGACAGCAAAAAAGAUAUGUCACUGAUAUCCACUUGUAAUUAAUAACCACUUCAUUUAUUUAUUCUAGGACAAAAAACCAAAACAAUCUUGGAUCACAUAGGAACAGGAAAAGGCCUUAAACUCUGACGAACAAGGCGGAGCUAUUAUACAUAGGAUACUUCAGAUGAACUGUUGAUUUCCAUUAUGCUUCAUGCCAAACGUGAGAACCCAACCUCCUUUCCCACCCAUAUCCACAUCACACAACCCGAUCAUCGUCGCAUAUUAAUUUCAUUACAUAAUAUGACACUAGGAUGCAUGUCAUGAUGAAACAUGGAUGAGAUUAAAACUCAUUGACAUAAAUCUGGUCUUUUAAUACAUGUCUCAGAUAAUUAGACCUGAUGAUUAAGAUUAUAAGUUCAAAAACAUAAAUAUAUAGCCAUACGCAAGAGUCUUAGAUUCUGGAAGCCAACAUUUCCAGCAAUACAUGUCUAGGCAAGACAUUGCAUAUCUGAUUCUGAGAAUCACAGCAAAUAUGCCCACUCUAUCAAACAUACUUGAAUGCAGCCAGUCUUAUUUGACAGGCAACUAAAACUAAACAUGAAAAAAGUUUCAUAUUAAGAAGAAGCAGUGAUCAUCUAUGAUCUACCAUCCUCCUAAAUCCUAGAACCUUUUAAUUUUUAACACAAAAACUAGUGACAGCACCUCAACAUGAUAGAAUUGAGAAGGAGAAGCUUCAACGCAAUGCAUGCAACUCAAAGCCAAUAUAUAUUACCCUUUCACUUAGACUACCAUCACAUUUCUAAGCAUCGAGUUUCAAUCUACUAGUUCAUUCCAGAAACAUUCUUCAACUAAGACAAAAUGCCGAACCUACCUGGAAGGCAGGACCCCCUCAGCAGAAUUCAUGAUGCUCCAGCAACCCAUGAAUGCAAAGAGGAACAAUCUUCUAAAAAUGACUUCCAUUGGAGGAAGUUCGACAAAAUUGAGUAAAUUCUUGACCCAAGGAGGAGACUCCUCCACUUUCUUCUCUAUCCUGGUCUUGAAAUUAAUUUUUGUUUCUUUCCUCUGUCUAAAGCUAGUCAUCAACAAUUUCUCAAAGGCAGCUUCUAUUGAUUCUUCGCUUCUUUCAUGCCCAGCAUAUUGUUUCAGGAGAAAAUUGCGUGAACUCCAGACUUCCUCUUCAGAAGCGUAAGGACUGACACCAAGACGUUUAAAAGGGUCCCAAACAUUCAUGGAAGGGAAUUUCGGGAUGUUACCUGUUGAGUUUGAACACGAUUGUGAUAGGUCCCUGUCACAGCAAGUAAUUAAAGACAAGAAACAAACACAAAUGUAUUCUGCUUUGGGCGAGAAUAAGCCACAAUUGAUAUUAUUGAAUAUUGAAUGAAUGCGUUCUCUGUCUCAUAGCAGAGUUUAAAUACAGGAAUUGAAAUAACAACUUUCCUAAAAUACUGGCAUGACUACAUAAAAUCAGGAUGACUCCUGCUACAUAGCUGGCAUUUAUUUGCUGAAUAAAACUUGACUCCUUCCUCCCGUGCACUAAGGCACUGCAGUGAGAAGACCCCCUUGACUCGUUCCUCCCUUGACUAGCUCUUCACAGCUCAAUAAACCUGCGAUUCUUCUUACGAAUUCUGCAUGAUCUUCUCGGCUCCAGCUGUUGCUCAUCCCGUUGUUGUAGUUCAUCACUUGACUCCUUCAAUUGCUGCUGCUGCUUAUCAAUACCUCCCUCUUUUAAGGGAACCUUGUCCUCAAGGUUCAGAUUCUGAAAUCGCUCCCGUAACGCCACAGCAUCUUCCCACGUGGCAUCAUCAUUCUGCAGAUGUUUCCAUUUGACGAGAAUUGCUUCGACAAACCGAGACCCUUUCUUGAUCCAACGAGUGUCUAGGACAGCCUCAGGUUCAAUCAGCAUCUCUCCCGCAGCAGACAUAGGUGGCAAUUCGAUUGAUUCAACCACCUCAUCUCCAAUUUUCUUUUUGAGCAAGGACACAUGAAAGACUGGAUGAAUUCAAGCCUGUGUAGGCAAUUUUAGCUUAUACGCUACCGCGCCAAUUCUUUCUGCAAUCUGAUAAGGACCAUAAUAGCGGCUAGCCAACUUUUUGCAUACACUCCUGACCACGGAUUGUUGACGGUAAGGGUGAAGUUUAAGAAAAACCCAAUCUCCCACCUGAAAUUCAAUAUCACGUCGCUUAGAAUUAGCAAGUUGUUGCAUGCGAUUACUAGCCGCAUGCAGGUUUGCCUUGAGCAGACUCAACAAUUCGUCCCUAGAGGCGAGUUGCUGAUCCACUUCAUUCACCGGAGACAUGCCAAUGUGGUAAUGGGGAAUUGUAGGUGGUAAACGUCCAUAGAGGGCCUGAAAUGGUGUCAUUCCUGUAGAAGCAUGAUAAGUUGUAUUAUACCAGAAUUCGGCCCAAGGUAGGAGGGAAUUCCAUUUUGCUGGCUGGUGGUGAACAAAGCACCGAAGAUAUUGUUCGACGCAGCGAUUGACCACCUCUGAUUGCCCAUCCGUUUGUGGAUGAUAUGCGGAACUCAUCUUCAACUUGGUACCUGACAAUUUAAAGAACUCACGCCAAAAAUGACUGAUAAAGAUAGGAUCUCUAUCACUGAUAAUGGACCGCGGCAUACCAUGUAGCUUCACUACCCCGUCAACGAAUUUCUCGGCCACAAUUUUGGUCGUAUAAGGAUGAGCCAAUGCCAAGAAAUGUGCUGACUUACUUAGGUGAUUAACCACAACGAAAAUUGUGUUCUUGCCACCCGAUGUCGGGAGACCUUCAAUAAAAUCCAUCGUAAUAUCAUCCCAAACCUGACAGGGAACAGGUAAUGGUUGUAAUAAACCCGCCGGUGAUAGUGUGUCUGAUUUUACCCGUUGACAUACGUCACAGGAUGCGACAUAUUCCUUCACUAUGCGAGCCAUUGAUGGCCAAUAGAACUGGUGUGCCAACCGUUUGUAAGUGCGCAACACACCCGAAUGCCCUCCAAUAGGUGAAUCAUGGAAUUCACGUAAUAGUUGUUGAAUGAUGUCCGAGUUGGGGGCAACUACUACUCAAUUUUUAUAGUGGAGCAACCCAUUCCGCCGUGUAUAUGGGCUGCCCGAAUUUUCAGCAGCGAGCUUGCCAAUUUUCUUCAUGUAAGGAAGAGAAACAGCUUCGGCCUUAAGCUGAUCCCAUACGGUACUUUGUGGAACAGAUAAGUGCGAAAGGCAAGGGCUUCCCGUCAUUCGUGAUAAAGCAUCCGCAGCUGAAUUCUCCUUUCCUGGCUUAUACACAAUUUCAUAAUCAUAGCCGAGUAAUUUCGAUACCCAUUUCUGCUGUUCUGGGGUAGUAAUACGCUGCUCCAAGAGGUACUUCAAGCUGCGUUGAUCGGUUUGGAUCACAAACUUACGGCCUAACAAGUAUGGUCUCCACAGCUGGACAGCCACCACAAUAGCCAGCAUCUCCCUCGCAUAAGUUGACCAUGCACGCUUGGAUAGCCCCAAAACGCGACUCAUGAAAGCUAUUGGCCGCCUUGUUGGGUCAGAACAGCGCCGAUGCCAUCACCGGAAGCAUCAGACUCAAUCACGAAAACUUCAGCAAAAUUAGGCAUGGCAAGUGUUGGGGUGGACGUCAUUGCGGUCUUUAAUGCCUCAAAAGCUGCCUCGGCUUCAUCAUUCCAGCCAAAUUGACCUUUGGUAACAAGGAUGUCAACGGUCGAGCAAGAAUUCCAUAAUUGCGGACAAAUUUCUUGUAAUAACCUGUAAGACCUAAAAAUCCACGAAGCUCAGAUAUAUUAGUAGGUCUUGACCAGGAUAGCAUAGCCUGGAUUUUUGCUUGAUCAACCUUAACCCCCAUUGGAGUAAUAAUAUGCCCCAAGUACUCCAGUUCUUGUUGACCAAAAGCACAUUUCUUCAAUUUCGCAAAGAAUUGGUACUGCCUUAGAAUUUCGAAAGCCUUGCGAACAUGUUCAAGAUGCAUGGUCCAAUUGGGACUAUAGAUCAAUAUGUCAUCAAAAAAGACUAAUACAAAUUUGCGAAGGUAUGGUCGAAAUAUGGCAUUCAUAAGGGCUUGAAAAGUAGAGGGUGCGUUACACAAACCAAAUGGCAUGACUAAGUAUUCGUAAUGACCAUUAUGAGUGCGAAAAGCAGUUUUAUGAAUAUCAUUUGGUGCUACCCUAACCUGAUGGUAACCAGCUGUCAAAUCUAGUUUGGUAAAAUAAACAGCCCCAUGCAAUUCGUCUAACAUGUCAUCUACUGUAGGAAUAGGAAAUCGGUCUUUAAUAGUUACUGCGUUAAGUGCUCUAUAAUCGGUGCAAAAACGCCAUGUGCCAUCUUUCUUUUUGACUAACAAAACAGGUGAUGAAAAAGGGCUAGUGCUUGAUCUUAUAAAUCCCAAUUUUAACAUGUCUUGAACCUGUUUUUCAAUUUCAGCUUUUUGAAAAUAGGCAUACCUGUAGGGUCUGACAUUGACCGGUUCUGUCCCUUCUUUGACAGUGAUGGUGUGGUCGAUCUCCCGGACCGGUGGCAAUUGAGCUGGAGUUUGAAAAAUAUCUCCAAAUUCCUCCAACAUCUGCUGCAUUUCAGACUCAACUUUGCUAACAGGCAUCUCGACUUCGGUUUGUAGACAGAUAGCAAACAUCGUUUUGCUUUGGCGCAGCUCCUUCGAUAAAUCCUUGAGAGACGCGGGUUGAAUGUGUUGGCUGUCAAUUCCCUGUAAUUUUUGCAUCUGAUUCUUCCACAUAAAUUCCAUGGUCAUUUUCUUCCAAUCACAGGCUACUGUUCCCAAUUGUUCAAGCCACUGCACUCCCAAAACCAAAUCUAACCCACAUAAAGGUAUGGCAUAUAAAGUCAGCAUAAAUGGGAUACCUUGAAGUAGGACGUGUAUGUUUUCAAAUAUGCCUUGACACUUCAAUGGAUUCCCAUUUGCCACCUUUACGUUGAAGGGCUGUGUGGGUAUCACUGGUAGGUGUAGCCAAUUAGCAAUCCGCUCGCUAAUGAAAUUGUGGGUGGAGCCACUAUCAAUGAGGACAGUCAAUUCGUGAUUUCCAAUUCUUGCCAUGAUGCGCAUUGUUUUGGCAGUCGACCAGCCAGUAAGAGCAUGUAGUGAAAUUUGUGGUUCAUCAUCUUCGAAGUCUUCGUCAUCUUGCAGAUGUGUCUUUUCGUCUCCUUCCAGUAGCAACAAACGGGGUCUUUGACACUUAUGGCCAGGAGUGAAUUUUUCGUCACAAUUGAAGCAGAGACCUUGCGAUCGGCGCUUCUGCAUCUCGUCCCACGCCAGGCGUUUCAUGGGCAUAACUGCUGCUGGUGAUUUUGUGGGUGAAAAAGAAGCAAUUGGAUUCUGACUAAUGGAAAAUGGCUUACGUCGUUGGCGAAGUAAUUGCUCAUCUCUCAUUCUGGCAAGGCUAAUUGCCUCUUUCAAGGAUUUGGGUUUAAACAUCCUAAUCCCUUCUGCAAUGUCAGGUUUCAAGCCUCCCAUAAAAGUUCCCACCAAUGCCUUCUGCGUCCAGCCUUGCACACGGUUACCCAGCCUUUCGAAUUCUUUUUGGUACUCCCGUAGUGAGCCCCCUUGUCUCACCCUUGACAGUGCUUCAUCGAAAUCUUCACAUUCUGGUGGUCCAAACCUUGCCCAUAAUUCCUCCUCAAAAAUUGGCCAUGUCAUCUCCUUGUCUUCCUCUUUGUAAGCACGUCGCAGCCACUGCCACCACUGGUUCGCCUCCCCUUGAAGAUGAAAAGAUGCCAAUGACACCUUUUGUGUUUCCACAGUACCUUGGUAUUCGAAGAAUUGAUCAACUCUGUUGAACCAUUCAGUGGGGUCGUUGCCCGAGUAUAUGGGGAACUCAAGCUUCGCCAGUUUUGAAGAGAACAUCUGUCUGUUCCCCUCAGCUCGUUCUGCAAUGUCUUCACGUUGAUAGCGCGGGCGUCCAUUGCGCUCAAUGGAUUGGCUGCUGGAUCCUUCUUUGUUGGACAGUAACGCCUCUGUCAGCUUAUUGAUGUUGACUUCCAUCUGCUGCAUUCUGUCAACAAGAGUAAUUUCCAUUCGGCUCAUUCCAUCUUGCAGACCUCCCAAUCCGAUUUCCAAAUUUUCUAUCCGCUCCUUGUUUGUUGUCAUUGUUAACCUGGCUCUGAUACCAAUUGAUAGGUCCCUGUCACAGCAAGUAAUUAAAGACAAGAAACAAACACAAAUGUAUUCUGCUUUGGGCGAGAAUAAGCCACAAUUGAUAUUAUUGAAUAUUGAAUGAAUGCGUUCUCUGUCUCAUAGCAGAGUUUAAAUACAGGAAUUGAAUAACAACUUUUCUAAAAUACUGGCACGACUACAUAAAAUCAGGAUGACUCCUGCUACAUAGCUGGCAUUUAUUUGCUGAAUAAAACUUGACUCCUUCCUCCCGUGCACUAAGGCACUGCAGUGAGAAGACCCCCUUGACCCGUUCCUCCCUUGACUGGCUCUUCACAACUCAAUAAACCUGCGAUUCUUCUUAGGAAUUCUGCAUGAUCUUCUCGGCUCCAGCUGUUGCUCAUCCCGUUGUUGUAGUUCAUCACUUGACUCCUUCAAUUGCUGCUGCUGCUUAUCAACUGCAUUGGCAUCCAAUAAGUGAGGACAAUCUUGUAUCUUCCAAGUGGCAGUAGAAUUUAAUUAUAACUACCAUUAUUCUUAUCUUUAGUUAGUAAUAUAACUCUAUUUAUUGUUUCUAGUACGUAGGACAUGUUGUAAUGAAAACCUGUUAGUUAUUUGGUGUGAUUCCAAGGAGUGAUUCCUUUGAAUGAUAUCAGGCUCUACUUAUUUUCCUCUAUCAAUACUUUCUUGCUAUCUUUUAUACCAUGUUCAUUAGUUUACAUAAAUUGUUCCCUUAAUAUCCUUUGGUAUUAAUAUUAAUUGAUAUCAGAACAAGUUUUGAAUUUUUGAUCUGCUAUGCCUGGAACCGCAGUGGAAAUUCUUAUAAUCCCACCAAUCAAAGAUUACAAGACCCUAGUCCUUCCCUAACCAAUUUGAACUCCCCGUAGAAAACAUCUCCAAACCGAUUCUGAACCCCCCACAACAAGCAUCUCCACAACCUAUUCCGAACCCCCCACAACAAGCAUCUCUACAACAUGAUUUACUUCCUUGUUAAACCAGUUAGAAGAUGCUCUCAGAAUGGUAAGCUUCGAAGAGCUGCAGGAUGCAAGCGUGUGCUGAAGAAGCAAGAGGACAAUUGCCCACAUAAAUGGCAAAGGGGGUGAUUGUUGGAAUAUUGCCAAUUAUGUGGCUGCCAUUGUCAAAGAAGAUGGCUGCAAUGGUGGGUUGUUGGUGGCAGCCAACAACCAUUGUCUAAUGUCAAAGUUUGGUAAGUUUGGCAGCCACCAUUGUUGACAAAAGAGUUGGAGGAGCUGCCAUGAAUGCCUAUAAAUAGAGGCCUACAUUAGAGAAGCAAAGUGAGAGAAGAAAGGAGAGAAAACGUGAGUGUGAGUUGAGAGAAAGAGAGAGCUGCAAUGGCAGCAGCCUUGCUGCCAUUGCAGCAGCUGCAACAGCUGUGUGUGAGAGCUGGGAGUAGAGUAGAGUGAAUGUAAUCCUCCUCCUCCAUAUAUAUUGUAAUCCUUUCUCUAUAUAUCUCAAUAAUAUAGACUCUCCCGUGGAUGUAGGCGGUUUUGCCGAACCACGUAAAAUAUUGUGCCAGUGUGCUAUCCCUCCUUUGAGCAAUUAUCAGUACACCCCCGGUCGGAAAUCCCCAACACAGAGUUGAUCAAGGAGGAGAUGUGGCUAUAGAUGAAGAAGAAGUAGGAGAACAUUAGCUCAAUUCAGUCUACAGUGACAGGGAGGUCAAAAUUGAAAGAUAUCACUAUUUUCAUUAAUUUUAUUAAAGCUUAUAAUAAAAGGUUGUGUUUUUAAUUGGAUUUAUUUUUAUAUGGCGUGGCUUCUUUUUUUAAAAUGCAAUCUGCUUCCCUUUAUAAUACAGAAAUCCAGUUUUGAGUUUAUGUAACUAUAUUAACAAAACGAUUAAAUGCUUUCGUGUCCGUUUAAUUAUUUAUAUAAAUAAUAAACCCAGUUAAUAUAUUUUGCAAUCAGUUUAUGGUUUAUUUAUCUCAUAGUUGAGUUAGUUAAUGUAUGUUUUUUCAAAUUAGUAGCAAAGGCGUGUGGGCUUGUCUCAGGCUCACAUGCUAGUGCCUGAGUUGUACUGUAAUAGACCCUAUCAUAUUAGGCCACAUAAGCCCGAGUGGUUGGAAUUUUUUUUAUUGGUCAUUUUUUAUUUUUUUAAUAUAAUUUUUUAAUUUUAUAUUUUAUUGUUGAGUUUUUUUAUUAAGUUUUAUUUGUCAAUAUUGAAUUAAUUAUAAAUUAAUUUUUAUAUUUUUUAUUAUAUAUAAACCGAGUAAAGUAUUUGGUGGGUUAGCUAUAAACCUGAACUUUUUAUUUUUUUAUUUUUUGGACUAGUAAAAGACAAAUUAAAAAAACAAAGUAAUCUUAUUUGAUAUGUUGUAAAUUUUUUUUUUAUCUAAUAAUUUAAAUUGAAAUCUCAUUUAAUAAUUUAAAUUAUUAAAUUGAAAUAAAUUUUUAAUACAAUGAUUUAAGAUGUACCAAGAUAUGGUUGUAGUUUUUAUUUUUUUGCCUUUUUCUUUAAAAAUGUUAUCUCCUUGGUAAGGAAUCCUUGGUUCCCAACGGCAACUGUAGCAACGUAAAAACAAAUCUCUAAACUCCACCGAAAGUGGUAGAGCAUUAGAAUUUUUAAAAGACAAAACGGGGCGCGACAUUCAUAAUUUAUAAACAGAUGCGAUAAAAUAAGUCAUACUGCAUGUUUUCAUUUGGCAUUUAAUUCCAUGAACAUGGCUUUUUUAGAUUAAUAUAGUGUUUGGACUAGCUUGUAUAUCUCGAAUAAUCUCAAGAGAUCUUGAAGUUAACAACGUACCAUAUAAGGCUUUAAUAGCAAUGAGAUUUGUAGGAUUCGAACUAGUGAUAUUUAGAAAACAAACUUAGUGACUAACUAGUUGAGCUACACCCCUUAAAAUUCCAUGAACAUGAUCUUACUUUUCGAUCAAAUUAAUGUGACCAUAUUAUACUUGUAAUCAAACCAUUAAUUGACUGUUCUUGACUAGCUAUUGUUUCUCAUUGGCAAGAGUCAUUGCCAAUGAUCAUAACAUGUUAGUGAUCUAUUGCAACUAGUUCUAGUAUCGACAGAGUUGUUAUUUAACCAUUAAAUCAAUUUAUAAAACAUUAUUGACUAGCUAUCUAACACUAACAACUAAUCACAGAUAAUAUUUAUGCAAAACUUGUAGCUUAAUACGAACUCUCAGACAUGUGGGUGGGGCAACUCAAAGUAGGAGAGUGGUAACCUCUGAUACAUAACAGAGAAAAUUAUAGAGUAAAGCAGGACGGAAUUUUCUUAAAUUAACAACAGAAAUCUAGAUACUUCAAUAAAUUAACACACUGACUAAUAAAUCCCCCCCACCAUCAUCCAGUUAUCACAGGUGCAUCUACAAUGAACAGUUCUCGAGAAGAAACUCAAGAAACGCAUAUAAAGCUACAUGAUGACAUAAUAGGAACCUGCAUUGCCUCCAUUCCAUGAUGAAAGUUCAAGAAAUUCUACUUCGAAACUCAAGACAAAGUCUCUCAGACUACAUAUUAGUGGGAUUUCUAUAAACAACUGAUUGUAUUGCAAAGCAACAUUAUGAAAAACUGAAUAUUUCACACAUAGUCUAACAAAAGUAGGUUCCAUUGUCAAUUCCUUAACAUUUUCCGAACAAAUCACAGUUGCUCCUCGUUUGAUACUUUCUUGAAGGUUUCUUUUCUCUUAUUACCAAUUUCUGUGAGUUUGUGAUUUUUUAUCUGUACCGUAUCAUCCGAACAAUUACUAGAACCACACAACUAAUAUGUAAAUUCACAAAUUCCCUACAGUUCAUAUUGCCAACAAACUCCUCUUGCCAUUCCCUAAUUGCAUUGAGCCAGCUAAUCUGGAUGAAAGAAAGGACUUCGACCUUGAAAUUAGCAUCAUAGUCAUGGAACCUUAAAGCAGGCCCAACUUUGUAGCUCAUUACCAGCUACGUAAAAGUUAUCAAUAGCUGUGUGGAUCAUUGAAACUGCCACAAAAGCAACCCAAAUUAGUUAUGAAUUGGAUUCGAUAAAGGAAAGAGGGGAAGAGGGGAGAAGACAGAUGAAGAUCUGCGCAGGGCUACCUGUUUUGAGAAUUAUGGAUUUUUAUCCCUAACUCAAAACGGCACCAAUUAUAAGUUCAAUAAAAAAAAAUAUGUAACAGAACAGAUGGAAAAAACUCGAAACAACUCGGCUAGAAUUUAGGAAAGAAAUUCAGAAUGAGCCAAGAUUUUAAGUGAGAUGAAACUUUGUUCUUUGAAAAAAAUAAUUAAUAUGAGAUAUACUUUUCAUUUUAGUGAACCUUAAAGCAGACCCAACAGUUAAGUAAAAGUUAUCAAUAGCUGUGUAAACCAUUGAAACUGUUACUGUAGGUGCACACUCAAUUACACCAUGGAUUCACAUAGUGCAAUUGUUAAUUUUUUUUUUAAAUUCCAUGUUAUUUUUUUAUUUGAACCUUUUUUUGUCAACAUGUUUCGCAAUUGGCCUUGGUAUUUUGUUUUCAUUUUCUCUAUGUUUCCUUCUUCUGUAGAUAAAAAACAUCAGGUCUUUGGGCUCGUACUUGAUAGUGCAAAAUUAAUGACACAAUAAUCAAAUAACACAAAAAUUUUUAUAAGCGAAAGGAAUUGGAGAUGUAAACCUAAAAUUCGCAAGUUUAUUUUUUCUAAAAUAAUAAUAAUAAUAAUAAUAAUAAUAAAGUCUACAUUCUUAGAAGGUUUACAAACCUUUAAAUGGGUCAAGAACCCUACCCCCAACUAGGAAGCAAAAAUAAAAAUUCAAAAUUACAAAGAAAAGAAGCAUAAAAUCCAAAAUAAACAAGAAAUCUAAAAAUAAUAAGGAAAAUCACAAAAAUUACCAAAACUAGAGGCCUCAAUGAGAUUUUUGAUAUCUAAAGAUCCGACGGUCCGCAUUAAAAUUUGAGCACAAUCUAACAAUUGAAUAAAAAAUUAUGACUCUUUUGAGUUGUUAUUCUGGUUUAGCGUGACCAAACCUUCUCUUGGGCUUAGACCUGUUUCAUUGGUCCAUAAAUACAUUUGCUAAGCUAUCAACAUAAUUUAUCUAGGGAAAAUCUUCAUCUAGUUAUGGCAGAUUCACACCUGACUGCUUAGAAUCACUAAUUAUUAUAGGAUUGACUACAUCAAAAUUGGUCGGUUUUUUUUGUUUUCAAAGAGAUUUAAACUUGAUGCAGAUGAAAGCUAAAAACACAAUAAUCAAAGAACACCAAAAAAUAUAUGAGCGAAAGAGAAUAUAGAUGUGAACUCUCAAAUUCCCAAGUUUAUUUUCUCUAAAAUAAUAAUAAUAAAGUUUGUCUUCUUAAGACGUUUACAAAGCCUUAAAUAUGUUAGGAACCUUACCUUAACUAGGAAACAAAAACAUAAACCCAAAAUUACAAAGGAAAGAAACAUAAAAUCCAAAACAAGUAAGAAAUAAAAAAAUAACAAGGAAAAUCACAAAAACUACCAAAACUAGAGGCCUAAACAAGAUUUUUUAUAUAUAAAGAUUCGAUGGUUCACGUGAAAAUUUGAGCAUGAUCAAAUAAUCAGAUAAAAAAUUAUAACUUUUUGAGCUUUUAUUCUGGUCUGACACGACCAAACUUCUUCUUGCUAAACUUGUUUCAUUGGUCCCUAAAUACAUCUCCAUAACCUUUUUUUUUUGUUUCACUAUAGAUAGAGUUUGACCAUUAUUAUAUAUGGUUUGACUUAGCCGUAUCGGUUUUCAAUUAGAUCAACUUUAUAUAUUAUGGGUUUACAUUUACUAUUUUUUAAAAAGUGCUCACAAGUCCAUUUUUCACACCUCAAACUCGUAACUGCAACGAUUCGUAGGCAACGAAACUAGUUAAAGACUAGAGAGUAAACAUGCUACUAAAGUUUGCAGGUGAGGGUUUAGAUUAGAUUAUUUGUUGUCUUGUUUCAAAUAUUAGAUCAGUCUCAACUCAUUAAAUAAACAAGUGGUGCAUUGAUCCUUGGACUCAAAUCAUAUAUACACGGCGAGCUCAUUUGUGUUUUUAUUAUUUGUCCCUCCCUGUACUUGUAGCAGAAGAGAAGCUGCUCUCAUCUUUGAAGGAAUGCAAACAAUUGUUAAUAUGAAACAUAUUAUGUACAAAUUAUAAUAUUUGUAAGAAGCCGUUUUGCUGCCCACCGGCGGCCAUCUGAUCAGAGAACAGUAUUAUAUUUUUUAAACCCUUCACUCUCAUAAAAACAAUUUAUAUGAUUAUAAAUAGGAAAACAUAAAAAAAAAUAGGAUUACAUAUUUUUAGAGAUUACAUAUUAUUGUUUUAGUUCUUUUUCUUGAUUAGAGAUAAGUUGAAUAAAAGUAGUAAUAAUUUAUUUUUGUGAAAAAAGUUUACUACAACUCCUAAUAAUUAGUUUCAUGUAAAAAAUAAAAAUAAAAAUAGUAACUAAAAUUUAUUUUAGUUAUGUUAAUAAAAUUUUAAAGAUAUUUUAAUUGAAUUAAGUAAUUCAACACAAAAUUUAUGUUCGCAUACAGUUGUUGUAACCCAUUUUUGGGUCCCCACACAAAAUACAAAAAAAAUAUAUCAAAAUAAAAAAAAUAUUAUAGAAAAAUAAUAGCAGUGAAAAGAGGAUGUCGGAGCGCCCAGAAAAUGAUCAAAAAUUGGUUGAGGAGGUUUCAAAAUAUAAGGAUUGAAGUUUGACAGUAUAUCAUUGACUGGGGCUUAAUUGCAUACAUAUUGAAGUCUGGUGGCCAAUUAAGGACUUGAUUUAAGAAAUCCAAAACCAAGGACCAUAGUGAAAAAAGCGCGCAAAUUGAAGGGCUAAUCUGAAAUUGGACCCAUUUUGGCACCAGUUUUUGUUUAAAUGAAAUGGCACGUUUUGAUAAAAAACAACGCCGUUUCAUGCAUUGCACAAAAAAAAGAGAGCAAACGGUGCCGUUUUGAACGGCACCAUAAGCCUUCUUCUUCCCCUGUUGAGAACAGGGGAAGAAAAAGCAUUUUUGAUGUAACUAUAUUAUUUGAUAGUUUCACCCACAUUUAACUAGUGUUUAGCCUAUGUUAUAUAUAUAAAAUGCCUUGAUAUUCUUUGUUUUAUGUUUUGAAGGCACCUUUAGAUGAAAGAUGCAAAAAGGAGUAAAUUGAAGAUAAUUGGCAGAUUUGAUGUUCAGUCGAUGUUUUGUGCAGAGCAUGAGCUCUAAAAGUCAAAACGAAGUGAUUCUAGUGGCAUUAGAAAUCUAACAUCCAUACCUUUCUGUAAAUAUAAGUCAAGAAAAAUAAAAAUACAACGAGCAUGGAAAUCACAUCCUUCAAAGUCAAAACUCGCAUUCUGCCAGUGUUGACCUUUGUCCAUUCAAAAUUCAAUAUCUGGAGCUGUAGAUAUCCAAUUGAUGUAAACUCAAUUGUUUUGGAUUCCUGACUCAAAGGUGUCUAUAAACGCUCCAAAUUUCAGCCACAAAUGAUGUCAUAUGAGGGAGAUAUGAGUUUUCAAAGAUGACAACUGAAUUCUGCCAGCAAACAGGUUUCGUGAAGAAACGAAUCCAAAUUACAUCCCGAAGCAUCAAAACCGACAUCCAAGUUUUAAUUUCAUCAAUUUAGCUCCUCAAGUAAAUCAAUCCAGAAGGUCAAGGAAGGCAGCCACCAACCUCAAGCCACCAACCUCAAACCACCAACCACAAACCAGCUGCCAGCCACUAGCCGCCUUCACACUACCACCAUCUCUUGAUGUUCACACUUGAACUUUGAUUUUUCUUACUUACAAUUUAUGUAUAAAUAGGCAGCUAAGUUUAUGCUAUUGAGUGAGCCAAGAGGGAAGGAAAGAGAGCCAAGAGGGAAGGAAAGAGAGCCAAGAGAGAGGGAGAGGGAGUGCAGUAGAAUAAAGAAAGAGGGGUGGCAGCCAUAAGAGAAGAAACACAAACUCUCCCCUCAACAAAUCAGAAAUCAUGUAUUCUUUUAUCUUUAGGAGUAGUUUUUCAAUAGAUAUGCAAGGCUAAGCUCGUUUUCUUGGUUGCAAGGACGCAAAAACCUUCAGAUUUAAAGAACCGUGAGAUUUAUUCUUCCAUUUAUUUUCAGUUUGUAUUAUGAAUGAGUAUGUUUGUUUUCCUAUGCAUAUUUUCUAUGAUUGUUUAUCUUAAUUGCUAGAGCGGACUCUAAGUUAUUAUUGUGAAUAAUCUAUUGCUAAGUUUGAUAUCAAAACCGGAGUUGUGGUAUAUAAACGUGUGAAGCAAGUAAGCUUGAUAAUUGUAGCGGAACUACAUUAUUAAACUUAGGGAGAACAUUCGAUCAAAGCAACACAAGCUGACAACUUGGUUGUUAAGAUUAAUGAAUUUAUCUAGAUCUUAAGGCUGCCAUUGGAUUAAACCAUUAGUGCGGACACUGUGAUUGUUUGUUGGUUAGGGUUAGUUAUACGGCGGAUCCGUUAAUUAACCAACAUUAAGAAAAGAUAAAAAAUUCAGAAUAUAAACUGAAGUUUCGUUUCAAGGAUCGGUUCUGAUUUCUGUAGGUGGAUGUGUGCUUGCGACCAAGGUUUGUUUUCUUGAUAUAUUUCAGUUUCAAUUGAUUUUGUUUGUUAGUGUAAUUUCUACCAUAGUUUAGAUCAUUGCAAAUCAAACCCCCCCAAUUAUAUAAUGUAUAGCAUAAAAAUCUGAACUAAACCUUCCUCGUGGGAUCGACCCCUUGCUUGCUCUAUACUAUCUUGUGUGUUUUAAGCUAGGGUAAUUAAUUUAUGCGACCGCGACAUCGCAACAAUUUCCCCCCCAUUUUUUUCUCCUCUCUCUCCCAAAACCCAAAAAACCAACGACGACCCGACUUGUCCUUUCACUGACACCACCACGCCCUCAUGCCGAAAGACCCAUACCCUACAGAGGUAGGGGCGGCUGUGCAGUAGCUGCCCCCAUGCCACCAUGCCCUGCACCAUGGCACAGGACAGGGCAUGGUGGCCCUCUCUCCCUCUACCUAUAAAUAUAAAGGGAGUGCGGGAGAGAAGAGGGGGGAAAAAGAUUUUUUGAAAGAGAAAGGGAGGAGAAACCGAGAGAGAGACCGACUGUUUUUUAAGGAGGAAAAGAGAGACCGAAAGAGGGGAAACAACAGUUUUUUUAGAGAGAAAGGAGUGAAGAGAAGCAGACCGAAACACUAGAAAUUAAAGGGGAGAAAAGAAAAAGGAGGGAGACCGAGAGAGAAGACAGAGGAGAGAAAGGGAAGCCAUAAAAGAAGCGGGGAAGAACAGGAAGUGACAGGGGAAGAAAAAAAUACUGGAGAAGAAGAACAACCACAGCUGCCACCGUGCUUCCUCUCCACCGACAUAGCGCACCACCUGACCGUAGCUGACAGCCCCGAAGAGACAGAGGAGAAAAGGAGAAGAUAACGGGAAAAAAAACACAGAGAUGAGGGGGCUGAGAAGAGAAACAGAGGAGAGGAGAGAAGGAAGGAAAACGCCGCCGCUGUCACCGCCGCUUUCCACCACCGCUGACGACCACAACCGUUCUUUCCCGCUCCAGGUAACUUUCUCCCCUUCCCUUGUCGUUUUUAGUUGUUCAUCUUCAUUUUGCAUGCAGACGUGAGCAAUUCACGUUCUGCAGCAAAAUGUAGAUUAAUUAGCUAGUUACUAUGUUAGGCACAGUAACUAGCUAAUUAUAUUUUGCUGGUUACUGUGUGCAGCACAGUAACCAACCCUUUGAUUGCUUAUGGGCUAGAACAUCAGCCCAGCCCACGCGGCUGGGCUGAGUCCAGCCCACAGUAUAUGGGCCGGGUCAGGCCCAGCCCAGGAUGGUUGGGCCAGAUCCGGCCCAAGUUUUUUUUUGGUUAAAAGAAAAUUUCAAAAAUAUUUUUUCAGAAUUUUAUAAUUUCCCCGCAUAUUUUUAUGUCAUUUUGAUUAAAAGCAAUAUUUUUUAUGUUGCUAAAAAUACAAAAUCCGAUAUUAAAAUACCUGGUUUUCGUCAAAACUUUCAAAAUACAAAACAAAAACUUUGUUUUGAAAAAAAGGAAAAUGUUUUUGUGCAUACGGCCAAGUAUCUCAAGGCUAAAAAAUCAUAUGGUGUUUUUCAUACACAAAAAAAAAACAAUGUUUUUGCAUGCAUUUUGGCUUUGAUAACCAGUUUAUUAGAGUCAAGAGAACAUUGGCCAAAAUUUCAAAAACUACAAAUUUUUUUUUUUUUUUGUCUUUUAGUAUCCGGGGUACGAUAUUACAUGUAAUACAUAUUCCAUAUAUUAAAUGUUUUUCCAACGUUAGAACGGUUAGGUUCUACCCCAUUAAAGAUAAGAACCUCCUUAUUGAGUAGGGCUUUUCUUGAGUCUUAGAUAGACAGGACCAAUAAGUAGAAAACACGACCAAACCUUAGAUUUUGAUAAGACAAAUAAAACAAUGCAGCUUACCUUAGGUAUGGCGUAUUUGGGGUGCUAAUACCUUCCCUUUACGCAACCAGUCUCCGUACCUGAUCUCUGAGACCAGUUAGGGUUCCUAGUGAUCAUAAUACUAGGUGGCGACUCCCAUUCUAUUUUUUUCACCGCUAAGAGACAAAGAAUUCCUUGUCUCCCCACAUUUACCAGAUAUAUAUCCAUACAUUGAGGGUGGACGAUCGCCGCGACGCCGCACACGUGCGACAGAAUGGCGACUCCACUGGGGACCUUGUGGACUAAGCAUUGUUUUGUCUGAUUUUUUGUUGGUUUUGUCCCUGUUUUGUUAUUAAGAUGCUUAUUUUAUUUACACGCUUUAAUUUUUGUACAUAUUUGUUCAUACAUUGUAUAGAACUGUUUCACGCAUCAUUCUUUUUAUGUGAGAGUUUAUAUGAGAAAACUUUAAGUUAAGUAGGGGACUAGCAGCUUACCUUAUGACUUUUAGUCAAGGUUUAAGUUUGUGUAAACCCCAACUCUUCGCUGAGUGCUCAGACUGGUAAUGAUUGGUCCAUAUGCCAUCCCAUUACCUACUGAGCCCCCAUAUUGCCUUCACGAGGGCGAUCACUGGGACAACAAGAGACCCUUUUAGAGACAGAAUAGCCAACCUACCCUUGUCAAGCAUAAAAGAAUUAGAACCGGCCUUUAGGGUGUAUGCUCCACUGUACAUGUUUUGCAUAAUACAUUAAACCUAACCAUAAAGCAUAUUGGUUUUCAGGUCUUUUUAACGAUAAGAUGGCCAUCAUUACCAAAGUUACUACUGUGGAAUAUGGGCAAAAUUCUGAAUUGUCACAACUAUCAGAGGGAGACGGCUCUAGAUGUAAUGCAAGGAAGCUUCCAAUAGUCAAAGACCUGAAUUGUAUGGUAAAUGAGAUGAAGAGAAUAUUGGUUCAUAGUCAGAACAUUGAUGAGGCGGCAUUUUCCGUGAAGUAUGGGCGAUUGUUAGAAAUUACGAAGAUAGAAGUAUUGAACCCAGCAAUCAAAGCCUUGAUUAACUUUUGGGAUCCUGAUUAUAGAUGUUUUUCCUUUGGAAAUGUGGAUUUGUGUCCCACUGUAGAGGAGUAUGGAAUGUUGAUGGAGUUUCCCAAGCACCUGCACAAGGUUUAUUUCCCUUUGAGAAGUGACAAAGUAAUUCCCGAAUUGUCAAAAUUGCUGAAAAUUCCAUAUCUGAGCAGAUUUUUAGAGAAGAAUGCCAGCGGUUUAAAGUGGAAAUUCCUGGAGAUUGAACUAGAAAGGAAAAAAUCACAAUAUGGAUCGAUGCUAGAAAGAGACAGGUUAAUCGCUCUGGGGAUAUAUGGUCCUGUAUUAUUUCCAAGCUUAACAGGGGUUAUAAGCCUAGAAGCUGCUGCUGCAUUUGUGGAAUAUGAAAAUACUCAUGUCAACCCUAUAACUGCCAUAUUAGCUGAGACCUUCCUGACCCUCAACCAUUUCAGGAAGACUGGGAAAGGCGCAAUGAGAUGUUGUACUAAGUUAUUAUACAUCUGGAUGGUAAGCCAUAUUGAAACCAAAAAGCCGAUCUUUAAUAAUUUUUGGUGGUUUAACCAAAAACCUUUGAAGUUAGUAGAAGAAGAAGAAUGGGGAAGCUUGGGCGAUCAGGGUUGGAUGAAAAAACUGCAAGAGUUACCAAGUAGCAACUUUAGUUGGAAAGCCCCUUGGGUCAAAUCGGUUGAUAUCCUAGUAAGUUGCGGACAAAAAUGUUGGGUACCUUUAGUUGGGAUCAUAGGUUAUGUCAGCUAUGCUCCGGCCUUGGUGAUAAGACAAUUAGGCGGCAUACAACACAUCCCAAGAACUGUGGGACUCGCUGAAUUUUCCAGGUUUUUCAAGGAUCAAUCCGCGCUAGAAGAUUGGAGCCAUUUGACUUUAAUGUGAAAGGAAUCUGAAAGGUUAAGAGACCCCAGCUCAAGUGAAGGAUAUGAAAAGUGGAGGAAUUUGACCCCGACUGCCGCUCCUAGAAUGCCAUGUUCUGAAGACGGGCCUUCACGAAUUAUAGAAGGGUCAUUCAAAAGAAAAAAGGUCAGUAAUGAGGAGGACCUUAUGGGGCAAUUGGAAAGGCUCCAAAUAGAAUUGGGAAAGAGUAAGGUAGAUAAAACAGCAUUAGAAAUGAUGAUGAUAGAGGGAGACAAAAGCCGAGUAUUUCUAAACGUACAGCUCGAAUCUAGAGAUGUAAAAAUAAUGAUGUUGGAGCUGCAACUGAGCAAAGGAAAAGUUGUAAUGGAAGAGUCCGAGAAAGAGAGGGGAACGCUGAUUUUGGAUUGGAUGCAGAGCAGCUCUGAAUUGGAAGCAUUAAAAGCCAACUUCAAUGACUAUCAGAUGCUGAAUAAAAUCAGGAUAAAUUUUUGCACGUUCAAGCGGAGUUAAUGGACCGAAUCGAGAAGUAUGAUGAGUUAAACAAGAAAUGUGUGAUGGUAAAAAGUCGGCUAGCCGAAUUGCAAGAGUUCGAAAGAAAGGGGAAGGAAGAGGAGGUUGUUAAAGCAGAUUUGGCAACUAAGAAAAAUGAAAUUAGGAUGCUGAAAGCGAAACUUGAUAGAGAGCGGGAAAAGGUAAGACAGUUGACCGAAAAGUUGGAAGCUUCAAAAAAACAUAAAGAACAGAUCGACACCAACAACAAUACCUUGAAUCAGAACAACAUGUUGCUUAUGGAGAAGAUGGCCAAAGUAGAUGAGCAAAUGGAUGAAGCUGCCAUUCAUGCACGGAUUAUUAGAACCAAUGCCCGAAGGGUGGGGAGGGACAUCUUUUGUUAUCGACAAAGCUUGGCUGAGACUGAUGCCUUCUUAGAAAAGAUUGAGAAUUGAGGCCUUGCUUUCCUACCAGUGGCUAGAAAUAUGGAUGAAGAGGAAGAUUGAUGUAUUUUUUUUCUUUUUUUGUAUCCUCUUUUCUUUUUGUAUCCUCUUUUCAAGAGAUGUAUUAGCCAAUAUUAUUAAUGAAAAGGGGCCUUGACCCAUCUUUUGUGAAAUAUCUCUUAUAGAGUAAGGUUAAGUCUACCAAAGCAACAACUUGAGCAAAACUACCCCUGAUAAGGAACGUGACAAAGGAGUCCAUACCCAUUACGCAAGCGAAAUGUUGGCCAUCGAUCGUUUUUGAAAAACAAGCUCACAUUACAUAUGCAUCAUGCAUUGUUCAUUAUCAUACAUUCAUUUACAUUUUUCCAUCCGCUCCAGAUCGUGAAACAUAGGUCCCCCACCCAAGGUCCACCACACUAGGCUAAGAUCAAGAAUGGAGAACGAAGAGAGGGCCAUUCUAGAAUCCCGCUACCAAAGUGAAUUGGAAUCCGUGAGAAAUGAAGUUUCCCGGAUGACCAAUCUGCUUGAGCAACUUCUAAGAGCCAAGAAUGGGGAGGGAACGUCUACCCAACCACCCAUAGGAGCACCACCAACUCAUGUCCCUGGGGUAUCUCAGAACUUGAGGGCAGAUUCAGUAACGGAACAACACUUUACACUAGCCAUUCCCAUCCAGCCCACUCAAUCUCACAUCACUGUAGAUUUAACAGCGAAUGGGCCUUCCGAUAAUAGGUCCACUGGUUUUAUGAACGACGACAAGAUAUCCGCUUUGGAAGAAAGGUUAAGAGCAGUUGAGGGAAAUGAUUGGUUUGACCCCAUGCGAGCUUCUGAAGUAUGCUUGGUACCAAACAUCAUGGUACCAAAAGAUUUUAGGAUACCAGAGUUUAUAAAGUACACUGGGUUGGAAUGCCCACACACUCACCUUCAAGAGACUUGUCGACUUUGGUUUUUGUAUUUUUUUUACAACAUGCAAGAAAAUUUACAAGCAUUUAUAUAUAAAAAAAUAUCAAAAAUACCAGUUGAAACCCAAAAAAUUACCUGAGUGUCACUGUAUAGGUAAAAUACUGAAAUACCCUGGAAGUUCUCCAAAAAUUACGAAAAUGCCACUGGCGGCGCGUGUGGCACACGCGCGGCUACUGUUGGCUGCGGCGAAAUUUUCUGGCGAGAUUUCUGGCCAACAAAUGGUUGAUUCUGGCAGAUCUGAGGGCGAGGAUUCUGAUGGUGGUGGUUGUGAAGGUCUUUGAUGGCUGAUGAGUGAGAAUCGACGACUUGAAGCUUCUGUGGCAGCCGACGAUCGCGACCCUUUUCCGACCAAAUGGGGCGGAGACAACGCUGAAAUCGGCCAGGGUUUUGCUUUAUAUGAGGAUAGAGACCUUUCUGUGGUGGUUUGGAAGCUUGAUAUGGCCGGAGAUGGGAGAUCGGAAGAGAGAGAGGGAGUUGCCGGCGAGAGGAGAGAGAGAGUCCGAGAUUACGCUACGGUGUGAACGCGUGUAUGGUAAACAGGUACCUCUGAACACUGUGCGCCGUUGGAUCUCGGAUGAAACGAUCGGAUGGCUGUGAUUGGCCUGAUCUGCAGGUUGAUCGGACGGUCCGGAUGAACAGAGGUAGGAUCUGGUGUGGCGCGGUGUACCGAGAGAUUGGUACACCGGGUGACGUGGCGAAACUGGAUCUAAGCUUAGAUUAUUUCAAGGGCUGAGAUGUGUCUGGGUUUUAAUCUAGUGUGGUAAGCCCUAUUGUAUCCUAUUAAAUCAACGGUUCAGAUCUAAACACUAUUAGAUCUAACGGUUAGGAUAUAUUUGGUAUUUUUCAUAUUGUAUUUUUAAAAAAUCAAUAUCCACUCUCAUGAAGAAAUAGUGAAAAACUUAAAUAGUAACCUUGAUAUUCGUUUCUUUUCUUUCUUUUUCUUACCUCUCCCCCUUUGUUCGUUUUUCUCACCGGCUAUUUAUAGCCAAUCAACAGGGGACAUCAAAAUCUCAACAUUAUCUACUUGCAAGAAAAAAAUCGUCGAUACAACUGCCCCGCCUGCUGUGACAAAAAAAGUUUGCAUUAUUGAUUUUUUUAUUUUGUUUUAUUAUAUAUAAUAAUAAAUAUUUAUAUGGAUAAAACUAAAACUCAAAUUAGUAUUAGAAAAGCCCGUUUCAACCGCUAAAAAUCAAUUUUAAUGACCGAAAAUAAUAGUUUUGACCCAAAAUAACCUGAAACUCAUUUUUUACCCCGAUCGACAUGGUUGGACCCGUAUGGACUCGGUGGACUCGGUUUUGACCGAAUAUGACGGUUUUGACCCAAAACGGCCCGACACUUAUUUUUUACCCUGGUCGACAUGGUUUGACCCGUAUUGACUCGGUGGACUCGGUUUUGACCCGAAACGGCCUGAAACUCAUUUUUUACCCUGGUCGACAUGGUUUGACCCGUAUUGACUCGGUGGACUCGGUUUUGACCGAAAAUGACGAUUUUGACCCAAAACGGCCUGAAACUCAUUUUUUACCCUGGUCGACAUGGUUUGACCUAUAUUGACUCGAUGGACUCGGUUUUGAUCGAAAGAUGCGGUUGACUCGAGAAAAAUAUAUUUUUAAAUUUUCCUUUUUCUUAAUUGUUUUGGAUUUUUAUAAAUAAUAAUAGAAAUAAAAUAACAUUCAAGAAAAUCUUGGUGAAUCCAAAAUUGGGUUACAACAGUUGCACCCUCUUUACAAUGCUUACGGUGCAAAGGCAUUGGAAAAUUCAUUUUCUUUUGACUUUGCAUAGUAAGUUUUGUAAAGAAAAACGAUGGAAGUGUUGAAAAAUGCACAGAUUUUUCGGUUGGUCUAAUUGUUAUGGGCGACCUGCCCAAGUGAAAAACAUGAAAGUGUUUUCAAUAUUGGUUUUGUGAAAUACAUGAAAGUGAUUUCAGCAAUGGUUUUGUGAAAUACAUGAAAGUGAUUUCAACAAUGGUCCUAUUUUCCAGAUGACCACCCCGAUGAUAAAAUGCGAGGAAACUCGCAAGUGGUUUAAUUGUUCCAGGCGACCUGCCCGAUGAUAAAAUGCGAAGAAACUCGCAAGUGGUCUAAUUGUUCUAGGCGACCUGCCCAAUAGUGAAAUGCGAGGAAACUCGUAAGUGGUCUAAUUGUUCCAGGCGACCUGCCCGAUGAUAAAAUGCGAGGAAACUCGCAAGUGGUCUAAUUGUUCCAGGCGACCUGCCCGAUGAUAAAAAAUGCGAGGAAACUCGCAAGUGGUCUAAUUGUUCCAGGCGACCUACCCGACAAUGAAAAUGCGAGGAAACUCGUAAGUAGUCUAAUUGUUCCAGGCGACCUGCCCGAUGAUAAAAAAAUGCGAGGAAACUUGCAAGUGGUCUAAUUGUUCCAAUCUAAUUGUUCCAGGCGACCUGCCCGAUGAUAAAAAAUGCGAGGAAACUCGCAAGUGGUCUAAUUGUUCCAAGCGACCUGCCCGAUGAUAAAAUGCGAAGAAACUCGCAAGUGGUCUAAUUGUUCCAGGCGACCUGCCCGACAAUGAAAAUGCGAGGAAACUCGCAAGUGGUCUAAUUGUUCCAGGCGACCUGCCCGAUAGUGAAAUACUUGAAAGUGAUUUCAAUAUAUUUUUGUGAAAUACAUGAAUGUGAUUUCAGCAAUGGUUUUACGAACCGACCCUUCUGUGAAAUACAUGAAAGUGAUUUCAACAUUUUUGUUUUGUGUGAAAUUCAUGAAAGUAAUUUCAACAUUGGUCCUAUUUUCCACGUGACCACCCCGAUGAUAAAAUGCGAGGAAACUCGCAAGUGGUCUAAUUGUUCCAGGCGACCUGCCCGAUAAUGAAAAUACGAGGAAACUCGCAAGUGGUUAAUUGUUCCAGGCGACCUGCCCGAUGAUAAAAUGCGAGGAAACUUGUAAGUGGUCUAAUAGUUCCAGGCGACCUGCUCGAUGAUGAAAAUGUGACGAAACUCGCAAGUGGUCUAAUAGUUCCAGGCGACCUGCCCGAUGAUAAAAUGCGAGGAAACUCGCAAGUGGUCUAAUUGUUCAAGGUGACCUGCCCGAUAGUAAAAUGCGAGGAAACUCGCAAGUGGUCUAAUUGUUCUAGGCGACCUGCCCGAUGAUAAAAUGCGAGGAAACUCGCAAGUGGUCUAAUUGUUCCAGGCGACCUGCCCAAUAGUGAAAUACUUGAAAGUGAUUUCAAUAUAGUCUUGUGAAACACAUGAAUGUGAUUUCAGCAGUGAGCUUUAGGGUUGAUUGAAAACUUCUAAAGGAAGUCAUACCUGUAUGGUUGAGAUCUGAUUUGUAAAUCGAUCUCCGAGAUGAUGAAAUCUUCUCAAGAAAGUCUUAUGUCUACGGUCGAGAUCUGAUCUUCUGUACAUCGAUCCCAAAAGAUGAUGAAAGCUUCUCAAGGAAGUCCUGUAUGUACGGUUGGGAUUUGAUUUGUAAAUGGAUCCCAAAGAUGAGGAAGGCUUCUCAAGGAAGUCCUGUAUGUACGGUUGGGAUUUGAUUUGUGGAUCCUAAAAAUGAGGAAAGCUUCUCAAGGAAGUCAUGUAUGUAUGGUUGGGAUUCGAUUUGUGGAUCCCAAAAAUGAGGAAAACUUCUCAAGGAAGUCUCGAUUUCAAAGAUGAUGAAAGCUUCUUAAGAAAGUCUUAUAUGUACGGCUGAAAUCUGAUUUGUAAAUCGAUCUCAAAGAUGAUGAAAGCUUCUCAAGAAAGUCUUAUAUGUACGGCUGAGAUUUGAGCUGCCGUUCAAAACGAUGGUAGGAGUAAAUUCCUUAUAAAUCACACAGUAUUUGGCAAAAGACAUCAUCAACUUCUUGCAUUUUCAAUACUCUCAAAGUUCUUAACUUUUGAAGCUUUAACCAUGUCUUCUUCUUCUUCCAAUGCUAACCCAAACCCUGUUCCUGCAGUAGAGCCUGCAGUUUGGCGUACUACCUUUGAAGUGAAUGGUCGUCCAGUUACAAUAGAGGAUACUGUAAUGGACAAUGAAGAUAUUGCUGUAGCCGUGGCUAGAGAUAUGAUCCUUCCUCGUGAUGAAAUAAUGCUGGCAGCCAGGACCGAUAUUGAAGUAGUGAAUCAGUCACUUGCUCUCAGUAUCAGAGCUACUUCGUCUUUGGUGAACGUUGCAGAGCGUCUUCAUGCUAGAAGACUUGAGUUGAAUACUCAGGUUCUUGAUCUCCAUCAUCAGAUUGAGAAUUUAAGGAAUAGACUCCGUGAUGAGAGACGUCACAGAAACAACUUGGAGAGGAGAAACCAAGAGCUAAAUACACGUGUUGACUUUUGGAGGGAUUAUGUUAACACACGACACCUCGAGUUCGAGGAAGAGAUGGAGCGCAUGCAUAAGCAAUUUGAGGAAUUCCGAGGCAUGAUUAACCAUCAAGAUGAAAAUAUCCCUGAUCGUCCUCGCACUGUUUAACAUUUGUACUUGUAAACCCCUUUUUCCAUGAAUAAAAAUCCAUAUUUCUUGUCUUCAUUUAUGAAUUUUGCUUUUGUGGAAUUGCCAUCUUUGAUGUGAUUUAAAAGAACUUCAAUUCAUGUGAGUCUCGUUGGAUCCCAGUGGGGAUAUUGUUUCAUAAAAUAUCUGCAAAACAAUUAUGCAAUGCAUGUGAAGUUAGAUGAUAUGCAAUGCAUCUUACCUGUUUUUGAAACAUAGGUCCCCCCUUUUUGAUGCUUCAUCGUCAUAGGGUGGCUUUGUUUGCAUUCCAAAACCUUCUUUGUUUUUCGAUGCAUUGGCUCAUUCAUGUGCUAGCCAUCCGCUCAGUUGUAAAUGCAGUGCCCAUCUUGGGUUGUCCGUGAUGAUUACUGCUCUCGCUGUUUAUCAAGCUUGACAAUGCCCCCAAGUGUAGUGUUGCUUGAUUUAUCAUUAAGAAGCUUAACAAAUCGUUCAUCUCCUGGAUUCUUUCAAGAAUUGUUCUCUGAUUGAUUGUGUGCAUCGUGCCAACACCUAUCAAGAUUGUCAAUCAGUUAUGAACUCACCUCCAGUUGAAACAUACCCUUCAAGGAUAUGCGGUCAUCCACUUUCAUGGAACUGUCAUGUCAUUCAGACCUGCAUUUCAUACUUUGCAGUACAAAGCUCAUCGUUGUAUGCUCAGCUUCUUUCUCAAUAGGUUCUUCUCAACUCAUUUAACCAGAUUGUGAAAAGAAGUGUCUCAGCCUCUUCAAUGAUGUUGCUUUUAUCACCCAUACUCAUGUGGUGCAAUGCGCAUUUGAGCUUCCAAUCAGAUGGCCCCACGGUCAGUCUAGGUGGGUGCGGUGUAUCCUUCCAACAUUCAUUCAAAAGCAAUCAUGUGAUAACAUCUUUCGAUAGUCAUAGCCAUAUUGGAGACGAUAAACCAAGAUGAAGAUAUGAAGAUGUCCUUCAGGUACAUCUUUGCUCUCAAUUGUUGUCGAGGUUUACUGGAUCAUAAACUGUUCUUGAACAUCAUUGCCCUUAAUUGAUAUGAAUGUGCUCAUUCACUGAUUAUCUUUCUUUGAACCAUAUUAUCCUCAGUUCAUUGAUUCAUCAUUUGAUCAUCUCUACCCCCCAGCUGAUUUAAAAACUGUUUGUUUUCCUUCUCAGAGGUCCAUUGUAUUGCCCCCAGAAGUGUCGAGAAGAAUUGAUGUCAUUUCUGUCAGGAAUUUGCAAACUCCGUCGAUGUUCUUAUUUGAAAAUCUUUCUUAUUUUGGAAUCAAAUCUCACAUUUCAAAGAUCAUGUCAAGCAAAUCUGAUUGUUGAAAUGAAAUCAGAGAGAUGUCAAUUUUGAAAGUAUUUUUGGAAAUCAAGCUUUGUUGGUCAAAGAUCCAACACACGCUAUUCAAUAUAGUCCUUUGAUUGUCUUGUAUUUUGAGAGAAAAGAAAUUGACUCGUUGUAAGAUUAAAAUGGCUUUUUUCAUGGUUUUUUGUAUCGAUUUUAAACUCUAAUUUUGGGUAUAUCUUUUGAUUAUCUGUGAUGAGGUGACCUUUUAUGAAUUUCAAGAAAAAUAAGGUACCCGAGGCAAAACUUGAGGCUUAAUCAAGAAAGAUGGUUUCUUUUUCUUAGCACCAAUUUUAUCAGCAUGCAUAAUAAUCAGUAGCUUGAUUCAUGAAGUCACGACCUGUAUGAAACAACUCUUCAAGUUUUGAGAUCGCCAUUUAUCGGUUCAGAUUGCUUACUUGAUUAAAAAGGACUUUCUAAAGCAUGUAAUGUAGGCUAUGGUUCCUGGCUAUGAAAGAAAGGAAUUUCACAAGCUCAAAAGGUGUUUGAGGGUUUCAUGAACCUAGGAUCACCAUCAAUUACUCAUCAAUCUCUUUUCCUCACGUUGUCUUUGUAGAGACGGUGACAUAUAACCUUGUUAAUCUCUAAGAUUAAAAUUCGUUUAACAUAGGUCAUAACGCAAAUCCAACUUUUCUUUAAUGAAUAGCCAAUCUAAACUUUUGAAGAUCAUAGAGGCUUUACCAUAGACACACCAAAAGACAUAACACUUGAUUUUUCGUGUUAACUUUUGGUAUUUGUUGUGUCUUUAUCAAUCUUUGGCUUUCUUCUUUUAGCCCUUUCUCAAUCAUUGGACUUUUGUUCUAAGCCUUCCCUUUGUCCAUCGACUCUAACAUUGUCUUCGUCUUUUCUAGGAAAAGACUCUCAUUGCCCCUAGUGUGGGGUGUGAUCCUAGUCAAGGUUUUUUAUGAAAGAAAUAUUCUAUCAGCUCAAAAUGGGACUGCAAGGGAUAUAUAUUUCAAGAAUUGUGAAAGGAUGAAACAAAAAUGGCCUUUUCUCAUCUCAAGUAAGGUCGGUUAGAACCGAUAAAUUUUGACCUCAUCCAAUAUAAUGAUUUAGACUUGUAAGAAUCAUAAUUCACGAGUCCAUAACUACUGAAUCCACUACGUUUCAUUAUGCAUACUGCUAAAACUUAGCUAUAUAGUAUGUGGUUCAAUUUCAUGUGUGAGUUCAAAAGUUUCUUGGUCACCUCAUGUCAUUUCAACAAGCUUCGAGUCAUUCAAGCAAAAUAAUUUUAAUCUUCAAGAUUGACUAAUCUUAAACGCAUGUUGGAGCUUGAUCAAAAUAUUUUGUCAAAAUAACCUUUGAAAGAAACAUCUCAUGCUUUCAGAACAACAAAGGGACAAAGAAAAGACAUGUUUUGUUAAAAGAUGAGAUAUGAUCCCAAAAUAAAAUGCAGAAUGACAAAACUCAUAACAAAAAGGAUCGACAGUUUAACACUCUUCUUGGAUCAGCUUUUCUGGUGAUAUCUGUGUUUUGUCAAGCAUUUCAAUCACUUGUCAUUAUGGGGAUGUUGUAGUGACAAUAUGGCCGAUGAUGUCAUUUUCACAAACUCAACUCGAUUCUUGAAAUUCUUGCAACUUUCAAAUGAAUGGCACAAAAUCCCCCAAUGAUAUUCAAAUCUCUUUUCUGGAUUAUACCACCUAGAAAAUGAUGGUUGUAUGGGAUUUGGCGGAGUCAUGGCAAUAAAUCCGGAGUCUAAUAGAUGCUGGUAGACAAACUCGAGUGGUCGAGGUAUGUCAAUCUUGGCAAAAAUAUUUGAGCAGUUGAUACAUAAUUAAAGCUUCCCAUCGUUAGAGUCAUCCUUUGAUUCAUCUCUCAUUAUUGUUCUACAAUCCUUGGCAGAAACUUCAAUAUUUCCCCUCUUCGUAGCUUGUUCAAUUCUUUCGAAAAUCCUCACAACAUCAAUAUCAAUCUUUCCAAUGUUGUUAUGGUUAUUUGUGGAUUGGUAUAAACUUUCCAAUAGCCAGGUAAUCUUGGUAGCGCACAGAAACAUUCAGCACCACCAUUGCCAACGUGUGGAAUCAUGCGUUGUCUCAACUGGAAGAGAAAAUGAUGAAUCUGAAAAUGAUGAAUCUGAAACCCUUUUGUCUCCUCUUCAAUUCCUCACUGGCAGUGCAGCAAACAAACACCUAUAGUGGGAAUUCUGCUUUGUUAAAGUUGCAAUGUUUGCUCUUUUUUUUCUCAGAGCAGCAUCCGAUACUGCAAUGUCUGCUUUGUUAAAGUUGAGAACAAGGGUUGUCAUUAGUUGAUGACUGAAGGCAUUGUUGUCAUUGUUCAUGACUAAAAAGGAGAGGUACAACUUCAAUGGAACGUGGACAAGUAGUGUUCUCAGCAAGAGCCUGUACAGACGUUCCCUUUCCACUUUUGAAGCUCAACAUUUAUUCAAACAGAUUUAUGAGUCGAGCCACUUCACCUUUACUGCUCUCAACUUCCUUUUGAUAAUAAACCUAUGUCUAACCCCUGUCUUUAUUUUCCAUCUUCAUCAGUCCAGUAGACCUCAGGUGGGGGAACUUAUGUUUCAACCGUGUGCAAGCUUGAUAAAUGAAUGAAAUGCGCAAAUGGAUGCAAAAUGCCAUAUGGACUAUGCAUGCUUGUUAUUUGUUUCAAGUUUUCCUUUAGCUUAUGACGAGGAAUAGACCAGAUCAGAUUCUCUUAAGAAAGUUCUCAAUGAGGACUCCAAACCUACAGGAACUUGAACCGAUUUAGGGGAGAAAUUUGAUUUUUAUUGGAUAUUCUUCAGUUGUUUUUCCCUCUACUCUCUUAGCAGAAGUAACCCUACCGGGAUGUUUCCAUGCCUUUUUCACUAACUCUAAUAAUUUCUUCGAGGUCUUGAAAUCUUCAUAAAAUGUUGGCAGUUUGGUAGUCAUUGGAAUAAACUGCUCAUGUAAGAUCCCACAUCGAAAGCGAGCGUCCAACGCCAAGGCCUUAUAAAUGCAUGUUCAUCUUAACUAGUAAGACGCGUUUAAAACCCUGAGGGGGACCUGGGUGGAAGCCCUGGAAAUGGGUAGACCGGGGGGCCUAGAAGGGACAGUAUCUGACAGGGUGAGUGUGCUGCUCUACUCUGAAAGACGCGUUUUGAGGCCAUGCGUGGCUGCCAAGAACAAACCCGUCAGGAGACUUGGGUGGAAGCCCUGGACAUGGGUGAACUAGGAGGCCCAAAGCGGACAAUAUUUUGCUAGUGAGGUAGGAUGUUACAGCUCAAAUCCAAAUUGUUGUAAAAUCAUGUUAGGACAAUAACUAAUACAGCAGCAGGCUCCUAUCACAACGGGACCCAUGGAUACUCACCAUAAUAUGCCAGAUAAGAUUUGAAGUAAGAGUAUCGACUCCUCCAAUGAAAUUGAGAUUUACUUAGAUUUAGAAACAUUGAUUCCCAUGUGGUUCUUGCUACUUCAUGCAAGUGUUUUUCAGCAAAAUUCUCCAGCUUAGAAUAAAGAUGCCAUGGGGUACCAACCAAACCUGAAAUCUUCCCCUCGAUCAUAUGACUCACAGUCCAGACAAACAAUAACUGCAAGCAACAUCUUAAACGACCCCUUCCAGCUUUUCUACAAUAAUUCAAGGAUGAGAAAGUUUCUGCCAAUAUUGCUGUAGCCGGGUUAAUUUUAAGGGUCACCACAUUUUUAAAUACAUUGACAGCCUCAAAAUCGAUCAUUCCCUCUGUAGAUGGGAAAAGAACCAAACCAUAUAUGCCUAAGGCCAAAAUUCUCAAUCGAAUUUCAUUGCUUUUAUCGUGUAAUCUCCUCUUGAAUAUGGCUUCUAGUUCAUUCCAAAACCAACCUUGGCUAUUUCCUCGUUUAGUUGCAUGAGAUUUUGCUAGUUGACAUUCUAUCUGGGUAAUCCAAGCAAAGUUAGAAAGUGCAUGCUCUAUAGGUGUGUAAAAGUAUACCUUUUCUGACUUGGGACAAUUUAGCAGGGAUUCAUACUCCUCAAUAGUAGGAGUCAUAUCCACAGUAUCAAAAGUGAAGCACCGAUAUUCUGGAUCCCAAAACCCUAUCAUGGCCUUAAAACAAGCAUGUUGGACCCUAAUUUUCAGUAAAUGUGAUAGAUCCCCAUAUUGUUUCUGAAAAGUGAUUUGAUCAUGAGAGGAUAACCUUUCCCAACAGUCUAGCAGCUGUCUUGUACCAAGUGGUCUGUCAUCUAAUUUAACAUGCUCUGGCAACUGAGACUCAAAUUCUGAUGGCAAACAAUCCCCUUCAUCAUGUUGGCUCAAUUCUGAUCUGGUAAAAAAUUCCUCAAUAGUAAUGGGUUUUUCCAUCUCACACUUCUUGUAAGGAUCGGUGGAGAUUUAAUGAGCACAUGAAAUGUAUAUGAACAUGUAUGUUCAUGCAUUGACAUUUGUUCGUGUCCUAAUGGGUAUAUCUUACUUGAUAGGAUCUAGCUCAUAAGGUUUGGUUCAGUUUAAUCUAUCCUUAAAGAUAUUUUUUGGUUCUUAGAUUGCCCGAAUUACCCAUGGAGUAAUCGGCCUCUUAACCUUAUACAACAUGAGUAUGGGAAACAAUUUCCACAAUACCCGUUGCAUAGGGUGAGUUACAAUCCAAGCGAAAGUCCAAAUGAGCAUCAGUGGACAUAAGUCACACUUGCCACCUGAAUCUCUCUUUUCUAAUCUUAAACAGGACGAGCUCGGGUCCAGAGCUUUUAUGGGUUCACCGUGAAGUGUGUGAAUACACAAAUAAAUAACAUGCAUGUAUGUGGCAAUAUGGAAAAUUGAAAAGAAUCACAGUAGAUAUUGCAUAAAAUAAAUAAUGCAAAUAAGAUAAAUGCCUAAAAAUAAAUAGCGAUAAGAAAGAACAAAUGAAAAGCAAAUACAAGCAGUUGGCUCAACCCUAAGUCCCCAGUGGAGUCGCCAUUCUGUCGAUACACGACGUCGGGCGACUGCUUCCGCUUUUUUUGUUUAUUUAACAAAAAGGGUUUUUUUUUAAUUGGGGGAAACAAAGAUUUUAUUGGAGUCGCCAUCUAGUAAUUUGAGGGAACUAGAAAUCCCAAAUUAGACACUGGUCCCAGAGAUUCAGGUACGGGGUUAGUUAUGAUUAAGGGAAGGUAGACACCACCCUUAAAACAUCCUUUCAAAGAAAGGUUACCCUUACUUGUGUGUUUUUUGUUUGAUUCAAAUGCGAUUAUAUUUUGGGCUUAUUUGUAAUUAUUUUAAAUGAUUAAUGUCGGUCCCUAAAAAUAGGAGACACGUUAAAAAUGACAUCAGUCCCUAAAAUUUAGGAGACUCGUCUAGAAUAUUAACGUUUAUUCCUAAAAAGGAGAGUUACGUCUGGGUUACCAAAAGAAAUAAUGGAUAUAAUCCAUUAUAUUUUGGGUUUAUUGGUAACUUGUUUUUUUUUAAAAUGGUUAACGUCGGUCCCUAAAAAUAGGAGACGCGUUAAAAAUGACAUCAGUCCCUAAAAAUUAGGAGACUUGUCUAAAAUAUGACGUUUUAACCCUAAAAAGGUGAGAUACGUCUGGGUUACCAAAAAAAAAAUAAUGGACAUAAUCCAUAUUUGGUAUUUGCAUUUUUGACAUCGGUCCUUUUUUUUAAAAAAAAAAGAGAAGUGUUGACUUUGGUUUUUGUAUUUUUUUUACAACAUGCAAGAAAAUUUACAAGCAUUUAUAUAUAAAAAAAUAUCAAAAAUACUAGUUGAAACCCAAAAAAUUACCUGAGUGUCACUGUAUAGGUAAAAUACUGAAAUACCCUCGAAGUUCUCCGAAAAUUACGAAAAUGCCACUGGCUAGAUUUCUGGCCAACAAAUGGUUGAUUCUGGCAGAUCUGAGGGCGAGGAUUCUGACGGUGGUGGUUGUGACGGUCUUUGAUGGCUGAUGAGUGAGAAUCGACGACUUGAAGCUUCGGUGUGAACGCGUGUAUGGUAAACCGGUACCUCUGAACACUGUGCGCCGUUGGAUCUCGGAUGAAAUGAUUGGAUGGCUGUGAUUGGCCCGAUCUGCAGGUUGAUCGGACGGUCCGGAUGAACAGAGGUGGGAUCUGGUGUGGAGCGGUGUACCGUGAGAUUGGUACACCGGGUGACGUGGCGAAACUGGAUCUAAGCUUAGAUUAUUUCAAGGGCUGAGAUGCGUCUGGGUUUUAAUCUAGUGUGGUAAGCCCUAUUGUAUCCUAUUAAAUCAACGGUUCAGAUCUAAACACUAUUAGAUCUAACGGUUAUGAUAUAUUUGGUAUUUUUCAUAUUGUAUUUUUAAAAAAUCAAUAUCCACUCUCAUGAAGAAAUAGUGAAAAACUUAAAUAGUAACCUUGAUAUUCGUUUCUUUUCUUUCUUUUUCUUACCUCUCCCCCUUUGUUCGUUUUUCUCACCGGCUAUUUAUAGCCAAUCAACAGGGGACAUCAAAAUCUCAACAUUAUCUACUUGCAAGAAAAAAAUCGUCGAUACAACUGCCCCACCUGCUGUGACAAAAAAAGUUUGCAUUAUUGAUUUUUUUAUUUUGUUUUAUUAUAUAUAAUAAUAAAUAUUUAUAUGGAUAAAACUAAAACUCAAAUUAGUAUUAGAAAAGCCCGUUUCAACCGCUAAAAAUCAAUUUUAAUGACCGAAAAUAAUAGUUUUGAUCCAAAAUAACCUGAAACUCAUUUUUUACCUCGGUCGACAUGGUUGGACCCGUAUGGACUCGGUGGACUCGGUUUUGACUGAAUAUGACGGUUUUGACCCAAAACGGCCCGACACUUAUUUUUUACCCUGGUCGACAUGGUUUGACCCGUAUUGACUCGGUGGACUCGGUUUUGACCGAAAAUGACGGUUUUGACCCGAAACGGCCUGAAACUCAUUUUUUACCCUGGUCGACAUGGUUUGACCCGUAUUGACUCGGUGGACUCGGUUUUGACCGAAAAUGACGGUUUUGACCCGAAACGGCCUGAAACUCAUUUUUUACCCUGGUCGACAUGGUUUGACCCAUAUUGACUCGGUGGACUCGGUUUUGAUCGAAAGAUGCGGUUGACUCGAGAAAAAUAUAUUUUUGAAUUUUCCUUUUUCUUAAUUUUUUUGGAUUUUUAUAAAUAAUAAUAGAAAUAAAAUAACAUUCAAGAAAAUCUUGGUGAAUCCAAAAUUGGGUUACAACAAUGUCAAUGGAAAAGAGAAGCCAAGAGUUAGUAAGGGCUUAUGCGCAAAGAUGGAGGGAUGAGGCAACACAUGUGCAACCCCCUUUGAUAGAGACGGAGAUGGUGACUUUGUUCCAAACUGAGAUCAGUGGGUUAACUCGGAGUGGCCGGUGCUUCACGCCCGAGGAGUUGAAGAAAGCAAAAGGCAAAGAAGUGGUAGAUCUUGACAAAGCACUAGAAGUUAAUAAGCCAAUAACUGAAGAGGAGUCAAAUGAAUUUUUAAAGUUGAUAAAGCAUAGCGAAUAUUGCAUAGUAGAUCUACUAAAAAAGACUCCAGCAAGGAUUUCCCUUAUGUCCUUGAUACUAAGCUCUAAGCCGCAUCGAAAUGCUUUGCAAAAGGUAUUGAAUGAGGCGUAUGUGCCCCAAGACAUUGAACAGAAAACCAUGGAGCAUCUGGUGGGGAGAAUCCAUGCAACUAAUUACCUGUACUUCACAGCUGAUGAGCUUGAUGCUGAAGGUAUCGGACAUAACAAGCCCUUAUACAUUACUGUUAGGUGCAAGGAUUGCCUCAUAGGAAAGUGCUCGUCGAUAAUGGCUCAGCUCUUAACGUGUUGCCAAAGCACAUGCUGAAGAAAUGCCAAUUGAUGAUUCUCAUAUGAAGUCGAGUACUGUGAUGGCCAGAGCAUAUGAUGGCUCACUUGGGCCAAUAAUUGGGACUGUAGAAGUGGAGCUAUAUGUGGGGCCACAAAUGUUCUUGGUGACCUUUCAAAUUAUGGACAUCCACCCUUCCUAUAGUAUGUUGUUAGGAAGACCUUGGAUUCAUGUGGCUGGGGCGGUAACUUCAUCAUUACACCAAUGCUUGAAGUAUAUCAUGAAUGGGAUGUUGGUAACUGUCAAAGCUGAGGAGACAAUAUCCAUGAUGAAGAAUGUGGCCAUACCUUUCAUUGAGGCAGAGGAUCGCAAGGAUAACAAUAUCCACUCUUUUGAGAUUGUGAACACUGACUUGGUACCUAAGAACACAGUACUAAGAAGGCCAAGGAUCUCAGAAGCAGCAAGGAUGGCAGCUCAAUGCUUCUUGGAACGCGGGAUCCCAUUUCAAUAUAACCCUAUCACUAGGGUACCAGAAAGGGUUAAUCCGAUAAAGAUGAAAGGUGUUGAUCAAAGAUUUGGGCUGGGGUAUAAACCUAAAAAAGUGGAUCAUCGGUGGGCUGCUGGUCGAAGAAGGGAAAGAAGAAUGGCUAGGAUUGAAGGAAGAGAGCUUGAAGAAGAAAAGCUGGAAAUCCCUCCCCUUAGAGUGUCGUUCCCAAAAGCUGCAUAUGUAAUGCAACCCGAUGAAGGAGCAGAAAGCCUUGGUCAAGAACUGUCAAAUAUGAGCAUAAACACCUUGGAGGAGAAUAAGGUGGAAGGAGGUGGCAUGAAGACGGUAGCGGGAAAGAAAGAUGAAGCACUACCACAACUAACUAUCCACACUUUGGAAGAAGUCUCUGCUAAGACCUUUGUACGAAAGCUGGCUGAAGGUGAGAAGUUUCAAAACUAGGUGACUCAAUAAGCCCUAGUAGUAUUUAAAAUGUAAACCAACUUUGUUUGCCUUAACAUGCUUUUGUCAUUGCUUUUGUUUGCUUUAUUUUCCCUGGUUGACAAUCGAGGCUCAUGAUGUCAAUCAGAUUUUGUCGUUGUCAUUGAGCCCACCUUUGUUUUAAAUAAUGAGAUCAUGCGUUUUCCAAAUUUAUCUCUUUAUUCAUGCAUUUACACCAAACACUUUCCGCUUUCAGGAACUCUGAAAGUGGAUCUUCCACAACAUCAUAUACACUUAGCAUCAAGAAUGAAUGGCCAAACUUUAACGAACAUGUGAUCACUAUGGAAGAAGAAGAAUGGGAUGAAAGCAAUAUUAGGGAAUUUACAAAGUUAGUAGAGCAACAUGAACAAACCUGGGAACCAACUACAUAAGAACUAGAAACCGUAAACGUGGGUAGCGAUCAGAUUAAAAAAGAGUUAAAAAUAGGGACCUUAAUCACUCCUAAGGAAAGAGUAGAGGUAAUUGCCCUACUACGAGAAUACGCAGAUGUUUUUGCUUGGUCUUACGAGGAUAUGCCUGGUUUGGAUAGAAAUAUUGUCGUACAUAAGAUACUGCAGGAGGAAGGUUGUAAACUAGUCAAACAGAAGUUGAGGAGAGCCCACCCGGAUAUUUGGAUCAAAGUUAAGGCAGAACUCGAAAAAUAGUGGAAUGCAGGCUUUCUAGAAGUAGUUAAAUAUCCACAAUGGGUAUCCAACAUUGUUGUCGUACCAAAGAAAGAAGGAAAGAUUAGAGUUUGUGUGGACUUCCAAAAUUUGAACAAAGCUAGCCCCAAGGAUGAUUUUCCUCUGCCACAUAUAGAUGUUUUGGUCGACAAUGCUGCACGUAGUUCCACAUAUUCCUUUAUGGAUGGUUUCUCGGGAUACAACCAGAUAAAGAUGGCUUUAGAAGAUAAGGCGAAAAUAACUUUUGUUACACCAUGGGGAACCUAUUGUUACAAGGUUAUGCCAUUUGGUCUGAAGAAUGCAGGAGCCACCUAUCAGAGGGCCAUGGUGACUCUUUUCCAUGAUAUGAUGCACAAGGAAAUUGAGGUGUAUGUAGAUGAUAUGAUUGCCAAGUCCAAGAAGGGAGAAGAUUAUGUAAAGGUUCUGAGGAAGUUAUUUGAGCGUUUGAGGAAGUAUGAACUAAAGCUCAACCCGGCAAAAUGUUCGUUUGGAGUUAAGUCUGGAAAGUUGCUAGGAUUUGUGGUAAGUGACAAAGGUAUAGAGGUGGAUCCUGAUAAAGUGAAGGCCAUCCAAUCCAUGCCAUCCCCAAAGACAGAGAAGGAGGUGAGGGGAUUCUUGGGAAGAUUAAACUAUAUUGCCAGACUUAUAGCUCAACUAACCACAACAUGUGAACCUGUCUUCCGGCUACUGAGGAAAAAGAAUCCUGGGAUUUGGAAUGAGGAGUGUGAGGAAGCAUUCAAUAAAAUCAAGCAAUACUUACAAAGUCCGCCUUUGCUUGUUCCUCCUAUAUCAGGAAGGCCUUUAAUAUUGUAUUUGACAAUAACUGAAACAGCUAUGGGAUGUGUAUUGGGUCAGCAUGAUGAAACCGGAAGGAAAGAAAGGGCUAUUUAUUACCUGAGUAAGAAGUUCACCGAAUGUGAGUCUAGAUACACGGUGAUAUAAAAACUCUGUUGUGCAUUGGUAUGGGCGACAAAAAGAUUACGACAUUACAUGUUGUAUCACACCACUUUGUUGAUUUCAAAAGUGGAUCCACUAAGGUACAUCUGUGACAAGCCCUAUCUCUCAAGCCGAAUUGCAAGGUGGCAGGUUUUGUUGUCAGAAUAUAACAUAGUAUAUAUGACAAGGAAAGCCGUGAAGGGGAGCGCGAUUGUCGACCACCUGGCUGAUAAUGCUGUUGAAGAUUAUGAGCCAUUGGAUUUUGACUUCCCUGAUGAAAAUGUAUUAUCAAUAGUGGGAGAAGAAGAGAAGAAAGAUUGGUGGACCAUGUUUUUUGAUGGGGCAGUGAAUGUUUAUGGUAAUGGGGUCGGCGCGGUGAUAAUCUCUCCUGACCAGAAGCAGUAUCCGGUUUCAGUUAAAUUGUAUUUUGAAUGCACCAAUAAUACAGCUGAAUAUGAGGCUUAUAUCCUGGGUUUAGAAGUUGUGUUAGAGCUGAAGAUCAGAAAGAUAGAUGUAUAUGGUGACUCAAUGUUGAUUAUCUGUCAAGUGAAAGGAGAAUGGCAAACCAAGGAAGAAAAGUUGAGGCCAUACCAGGAAUAUUUAUCAGCACUGUCAGAAGAAUUCGAAGAGAUAAGAUUCACCCAUCUAGGAAGAGAAGGGAACCAUUUUGCGGAUGCUUUGGCCACGUUGGCUGCUAUGGCUACGAUUGAUCUCGGGCAUAAGGUACAUCCUGUACACAUAAACAUCAGAAAUAACCCAGCUUACUGUUGCUCGAUUGAAGGAGAGGUAGAUGGAAAGCCUUGGUAUACGAUAUCAAGAAUUUUGUGCAAAAUCAGGAAUAUCCAGUGGGAGCUUCGAAGAUGGAUAAGAAAACCCUAAGAAGGUUGGCCAUGGAUUUCUACCUCGACGGAGAGAUUCUGUACAAAAGAUCAUUUGACAGAACCUUGCUAAGGUGUUUGAAUGAGACAGAUGCUAAAAAUGCUUUACGGGAGGUACAUGAAGGGGUUUGCUCAACUCAUGCUAACGGGCAUAUGGUAGCAAGGAAAAUACAAAGGGCUGGUUAUUUCUGGAUGACACUAGAGAAAGACUACAUCGACUAUGUCAGGAAAUGUCACAAAUGUCAAGUGCAUAGUGAUAAGGUCAAUGCGCCUCCGACUCCUCUGAUUAAUCUAGCAUCUCCCUGGCCAUUUGCAAUGUGGGGGAUUGAUGUGAUUGGACCUGUUAACCCAAAAGCUAGCAAUGGGCAUAGAUUCAUACUCGUAGCUAUUGACUAAUUCAUGAAAUGGGUAGAAGUUAGUUCAUACGCCCAUGUAACACAGAAAGUGGUGAAAAGGUUUAUAGAAAAAGACUUGAUUUGUCGUUAUGGUCCACCAGAAAAGAUAGUGACCGAUAAUGCACAGAAUUUCAACGGCAAAAUGAUCAUGGAGCUCUGUACCAAAUGGAAAAUCAAGCAUUCAAAUUCCUCACCAUACAGGCCCAAGAUGAAUGGUGCCGUAGAAGCAGCCAACAAAAACAUCAAGAAAAUUAUCCAGAAAAUGGUAGUCACUUACAAGGAUUGGCAUGAGAUGUUGCUGUUCGCUCUCCACGUAUAUCGCACUGCAGUAAGGACCUCAACAGGAACUACUCCAUAUGCUCUGGUAUAUGGAAUGGAGGCGGUGAUGCCUUUGGUAGUAGAAAUCCCUUCGUUGAGGGUGUUGAUGGAUUUAGAAUUAGAAGAGACUGAAUGGGCCAAAGUAAGAUAUGAACAGUUAAACCUGAUCAGUGAAAAGAGGUUGGCUGCAAUCUGUCAUCAUCAACUCUACUAGAAAAGGAUGGCCAAGACAUAUGACAAGAAGGUUAGACCUCGCAUGUUCCAAGAAGGAGAUCUAGUGCUGAAGAAACUAUUGUCUUUACCAGGAGAAGAUCAAAGCAAAUGGGCCCCAAAUUAUGAAGGUCCUUAUGUAGUGAAGAAGGCUUUCUCAGGAGGAGCUCUGAAGUUGUCUAGAAUGGAUGGAGAAGAUCUAGCUAGACCUGUGAAUUCUGACUCUGUAAAGAGAUAUUACGUCUAAUGUGUUCAGUUUUCUCCCAAAAUGAAUAAAGUGAAGUUUGGCUAUGAUUUCUUUGUGUAAAGAACCCUUUUUUUUCAUUUGCAUUGAUCUCACAACACUUAAUUUGUUUAUUUUCAAAAAAAAUCUUGGAAAGAUUUGGCUUUGUGCAUGAUUAUAAGGAAUGUAUCAUAAAAUGCUCAAAGAUGAAGUUUAAGCAUUUCCCGUUAAGAGGUGACCAAACCAAACAAACCCAACGCUGAGAUAAAACCUUGCCCCUAAUAGCAUUUUGAAUUGUAUGGAUAAAUGGUUAGGUAAUCAUCAUUGUAAUCACUCGGAUGUUUUUCUUUCGAGAUAAGAACAAGGUUUAUCAAUCCUAACAAUGUGCGUCUUGAAAUGAGGAAAGGCCAUCUUUGUCAUCCCUUCACUUUCUAAAGAUUUCAUCCUUUGUAGUCCCCAUUUGAGCCGGAUUGAGUUUAUUCUUUAUGAAAACCUGACUAAGACCACACCCCGCACUGGGGGCAAUGAGAAAUCUUUUGUUAGGAAAGAUAAAGAUAAUUGUAGAAAAAAAGGGUAAAGAAUGGAAGCCUAACAUUUAAGAAGAGAAUAAGAAGAAAAGGGAGAAGGAAUUUGAGCAAAUUACAAAAAAAAAAAAAGAAGAAGAAGAAGAAGAAGAAGACUUGGAUCUUUGAAAGUCCGAACCCAAAACUUGGGGGCAUAAAAAAAAAAGAAGGGGGGAAAAGGAAUAAAGAAAGAAGAUGAUGGUUUGAUAAUGCUUUAAGACUGAGAUGAGGAUCCUUAAGCAAGCUUCUCCAAAUGCAACCUAUGAGACAAUUUCACAAAAAACAAAAGAUAGAAGAAGAGUGGUCUUAAGUCUUUAAACCCUCAAACACUAUUGAGCCUUAAAGCAUCCUUUUCUUUCAUAGCCCGUAGAUGUAACCUACAUUACAAGCCUUUAAAAGUCCUUUCUGAUCAAGCGCACAUAACUUGGGUUAAUAAACGAUGGUCUUAUAACUCAUAGGACUUAACAAAUGAGAGAUAAUCCGCUUUUGUCCAUGCAAGAAAAAGGCUAAUAUGAGACAUUUCCCUUUUUCUACACAGCCUUUUCAAAUAAUUACUUAAAACCUGUUGAAAAGAUUAAACAGAAGAGCCUUUGAAAAGAAAAAAAAAACCUAAAGACAAACCGCAAACCGAUAAAACCCUCAUUGGGAAUCGCUUAAAAGAGUUUUCAAUAUGUAUGUUGAAAGUUUCAGUUGUCAUGAACAAAUUCAAGUCUUUUAAAGAUUCUUUUUGAGGAAGGAAUUUUUUGUGCUGGAACGAAAACCAAAAAACCCUUAAUUUGAGAAAGACAAAUUAAAGCAUUGACAAGAGCAUGAUAAAAAGCAAUGGCAAAUCAUGCAUUUUUGGAAAAGGUUCACCUAACGGAAAAGGUCAGGGAUUUCUUCCCUAAAAAGUGAUGGGUAGAAGAAACAUCAUAGGAAAUGGAUCCAGCAUGCCAUUUCGAGCACGUGAACAAGAUCGUAUUAAGAGAGAGUUUCAGAAAAUUGAAGGAAGCGAUGGGACCUAUGUUUCCAAACCAGGUAAGGAUGCAUACAUAAGCAUUGCAUCAAACAUUUUUGUUGAUUUGUUACAGGAAAAAUCCUCAAUAUAGUCCGGCAAGAUUAGAGACAAAGAAAGAAUCUUUGAGUUGAUGAACAACGAAGAAUCAUGCUUUGGACCCUGGAACGGGAGAAAGAUGAGAUAAACCCUAACAUUAGGGAAAUCUCAAAGAAAUAAGAGUCUUCAAUUCAAACCCUAUCAUCUUGAAGAAGAAACAUUUUUUGGUUAAAGAGGAUUGCCAAAAGGGAUCUCAGUUUAACCACCACAUGAAGAUUUUAGCUUUGGUUGAAGGGAGUCGCCAGAUGGGAUUCCAGGUUGACCGAGCUACACACAGGCUUUGGUUCUGGUUAAAGGGGAUCGGCGAAAGGGAUCUUAGUUUACCCUAACCACACAGAGACUUUGGUUCUGGUUAAAGGGGAUCGACGAAAGGAUCUCAGUUUAGCCUAACUGCACAGGAGUUUUGGUUCUGGUUAGAGGGGAUUGGCGAAAGGAAUCUCAGUCUAUCCUAACCAUACAGGUUUUUUGGUUAUGGUUAAAGGGGAUCGGCGAAGGGAUCUCAGUUUAGCCUAACCACACAAAGACUUUGGUUCUGGUUAAAGGGGAUCGGCGAAGGGAUCUCAGUUUAGCCUAACUGCAAAGGAUUUUGGUUUUGGUUAGAGGGGAUUAGCGAAAGGAAUCUCAGUCUAUCCUAACCACAUAGGAGUUUUGGUUCUGGUUAGAGGGGAUUGGCGAAAGGAAUCUCAGUCUAUCCUAACCACACAUGUUUUUUGGUUCUGGUUAAAGGGGAUCAGCGAAGGAUCUCAGUUUAGCCUAACCACACACAGAUUUUGGUUCUGGUUAGAGGGAAUUGGCAAAAGGAAUCUCAGUCUAUCCUAACUACAUAGGAGUUUCGGUUCUGGUUAGAGGGGAUUGGCGAAAGGAAUCUCAGUCUAUCCUAACCGCACACAGGAGUUUUGGUUCUGGUUAGAGGGGAUUGGCGAAAGGAAUCUCAGUCUAUCCUAACCACACAAUUUUUUAGUUCUGGUUAAAGGGGAUCGGCGAAGGGAUCUCAGUUUACCCUAAAUACAAAGGAUUUUGGUUCUGGUUAAAGGGGAUCGACGAAGGGAUCUCAGUUUAUGUUAACCACACACAGAUUUUGGUUCUGGUUAGAGGGGAUUAGCGAAAGGAAUCUCAGUCUAUCCUAACCACACAUGAGUUUUGGUUCUGGUUAGAGGGGAUUGGCGAAAGGAAUCUCAGUCUAUCCUAACCACACAGGAGUUUCGGUUCUGGUUAGAGGGGAUUGGCAAAAGGAAUCUCAGUCUAUCCUAACUGCACACAAGAGUUUUGGUUCUGGUUAGAGGGGAUUGGCGAAAGGAAUCUCAGUCUAUCCUAACCACACACACGAGUUUUGGUUCUAGUUACAGGGUAUUGGCGAAAGGAAUCUCAGUUUAGCCCAACCACACAACAGGACUUGGGGUCCGGUUGAAGUUUUAGGUCAACCAAAUUUUGGGAAGACCAGUUUCGGAAGACCAAUUUUGUUUAUCUUUACAACACUUACUACGCAAAAUCUUUGCUCCGUAAGCAUUGUAAAGAGGGGGCAUCUGUUGUAACCCAUUUUUGGGUCCCCGCACAAAAUACAAAAAAAAUUAUAUCAAAAUAAACAAAAUAUUAUAGAAAAAUAAUAGUAGUGAAAAGAGGAUGUCGGAGCGCCCAGAAAAUGGUCAAAAAUUGGUUGAGGAGGUUUAAAAAUACAAGGAUUGAAGUUUGACAGUAUAUCAUUGACUGGGGCUUAAUUGCAUACAUAUUAAAGUCUGGUGGGCAAUUAGGGACUUGAUUGAAGAAAUCCAAAACCAAGGACCAUAGUGAAAAAAGCGCGCAAAUUGAAGGGCUAAUCUGAAAUUGGACCCAUUUUGGCGCCAAUUUUCGUUUAAAUGAAACGGCGCGUUUUGAUAAAAAACGAUGUUCGUUUCAUGUAUUUCACGAAGAAAAAGAGCAAACGGUGCCGUUUUGAACGGCACCAUAAGCCUUCUUCUUCCCUUAUUGAGAAUAGGGGAAGAAGAAGCAUUUUCCCCCCAUUUUUUUCUCCUCUCUCUCUCUCCCAAAACCCAAAUAACCAACGACGACCCAACUUGUCCCUUCACUGACACCACCACGCCCUCAUGCCGAAAGACCCAUACCCUAUAGAGGUAGGGGCGGCUGUGCAGUAGCCGCCCCCAUGCCACCAUGCCCUGCACCAUGGCACAGGACAGGGCAUGGUGGCCCUCUCUCCCUCUGCCUAUAAAUACAGAGGGAGUGCGGGAGAGAAGAGGGGGGAAAAAAGAUUUUUUGAAAGAGAAAGGGAGGAGAAACCGAGAGAGAGACCGACUGUUUUUUAAGGAGGAAAAGAGAGACGGAAAAAGGGGAAACAACAUUUUUUUUAUUGCUUAUGGGCUGGAACAUCAGCCCAGCCCACGCGGCUGAGCUGAGUCCAGCCCACAGUAUAUGGGCCAGGUCAGGCCCAACCUAGGAUGGGUGGGCCAGAUCCGGCCCAAGUUUUUUUUGGUUAAAAGAAAAUUUCAAAAAAUAUUUUUUAGGAAUUUUAUAAUUUCCCCGCAUAUUUUUCUGUCAUUUUGAUUAAAAGCAAUAUUUUUUAUGUUGCUAAAAAUACAAAAUCCGAUAUUAAAAUACCUGGUUUUCGUCAAAACUUCCAAAAUACAAAAAAAAAACUUGUUUGUUUUGAAAAAAAGAAAAAUGUUUUUGUGCAUACGGCCAAGUAUCUCAAAGCUAAAAAAUCAUAUGGUGUUUUUAUACAUAAAAAAAAAAAACAAUGUUUUUGCAUGCAUUUUGGCUUUAAUAACCAGUUUAUUAGAGUCAAGAGAACAUUGGCCAAAAUUUCAAAAACUACAAAAAUUUUAUUUUGUUUGUCUUUUAAUAUCCGUGGUACGAUAUUACAUGUAAUACAUAUUCCGGAUAUUAAAUGUUUUUCCAACGUUAGAACGGUUAGGUUCUACCCCAUUAAAGAUAAUAACCUCCUUAUUGAGGAGGACUUUUCUUGAGUCUUAGAUAGACAGGACCAACAAGUAGAAAACACAACCAAACCUUAGAUUUUGAUCAGACAAAUAAAACAAUGCAGCUUACCUUAGGUAGGGCGUAUUUGGGGUGCUAAUACCUUCCCUUUACGUAACCAGUCUCCGUACCUGAUCUCUGAGACCAGUUAGGGUUCCUAGUGAUCAUAAUACUAGGUGGCAACUCCCAUUCUAUAUUUUUCACCGCUAAGAGACAAAGAAUUCCUUGUCUCCCCACAUUUACCAGAUAUAUAUCCAUACAUUGAGGGUGGACGAUCGCCGCGACGCCGCACGUGCGACAACAGUUAUAUAUUAAUUCUAAUAAAAAAUAUAUAUGGUUUCUAUGUUUAAAUUUUGGUAUUAAUAACGCAUACAACAAUGAGGCAGUUAAGUUUCUUUGAUAAAAUAAAAUCAUUUAAAAAAUAAAAAUAAGCUAGUAUGUUUGUUACAUAACUAAAAAAAAAAUUGAUUUUUUUUAAAUUAAUUUUUAAAAUCAUUUUAAUAGACUGAUAUUAAAAAUAAAUUUUAAAAAAUAAAAAAUAUAUUAUUUUGAUAUAUUUUUAAGAAAAAAACAUUAUGAAAAGAAAUUGUUAAUAUUGUUAAAAAUAUAUUAAUAUUUUAAGGAAAAAAUAAAAGAAUUUUUUUUUUUCAAAUUAAUUUUUUUCUUUUUUGUAUAUUUUUGUGGUUACCAUAUCAGACAAAGUAGAGGUUGAUUUCAACAUGCUUCCUGCAAGCAUGAUAAACCAAAUUCAUUAUGAGAUAUAUAGCCUCAAGAUUAUCACAUCAUAAAGAAGAGUAGAGGUUCAAAUCCCUAAAUCUAUAAAUAAAUAAAAAAUGAACUAAGCAAUUUUAUCUCGAAACAACAAUGACACUAACUUAAUGCUCAGCCUUGGUACAAAUUAUGUCAGCACUUCCAUGCCUUGUGAUCUUGACAAAAAUAUUUUUGGUCCUUUUAGUUUAGAAAUGAAACUUUUCAGUACAAAACUUUAUUUUACCUAUAUAUAUAGUUCUUGAGUUUGAGAAAAAAAAGAAAGAUUUGUUGAAAAACUACAAAGGAGAGAUAAAAUUAGUCUAUUUAGAUUUGGAUUGAUUUUCUAAUUUUAAAUCAAUUAAAUGUUUAUUUAAAAUCAUGAAUGGAUUUAUUGAAGUCACUUCUUACAUAUAGCACAAUAUUUAUGAAGAUGACACGAGUUAAAAUAAUUGUUUAAACACACACUAUAUAUUGUAAUGUUGUCUGCAUAUAACUGUCAUGUAAGGGCUUCCAAUUCGCCUCUCCGUAUUACAGCACUUUACAAAUUAUUAGAUCAUUUGAUACUACACACAACAUUUGAUAUUUUUAACCAUUCACAUACAUGAAAUAAAACCCAUGGAAACAUGACACAAACGUCGACUGCAACUGCAACAUUAUACUAAUGAGUGUAUUUUCUAAAGUCGAAAGAGUGCUACCCAAUCUAGGUUCAAGUGGGAUGAUGAAUUGAAGAGCAGUUGUUAUUUGACACUGCAAUUAGAUGUCUCAUAUUUGAUUUAUGGAGCUAUGAUAAGGGAAUCGUGCUUGUAUAUUUACAUAGUAACAAGCAUUAUUAAAGAUGGUACACUAGUAAGUUUCCAAAUGCUAUCAGCAAAUAUUAUAACCUCUUAAUUUAUACAAGGAUUGAGCUAAAUUGCUUUAUCAAAUAUUUUAUGUUUUUUUUUUUUUGAAAUAUUGUUAUAGACAUAGAAUCAACAAGUUUAUGUGACAUUCUAUAUUGAUUUUGUUAUAUUUUAAUCACUAAAAGUAUGGGUUUCAGAAAAAUAAAAACCAAACAAAAAAAUUGAAAAAAUUAAAAAUUUUCAAACCAACCCAAUCCAACAAAUUUGAUCAUUUUUCGUCUGGUUUAGUUCGGAUAUUUUUUAGUUGAAACAAUUACUAACCAUUUUCAAAAGAUAAAUAUUGACAAGCCUUUCACCAAAACCAUGUUCAUUUAUGCUGAAUCAGGCCAAAUCAGGUUCAGGUUGCUAACUCAAACUAACGCAAUCCAAAAUUAAAUGCAUAUAGACUCUGGGUUGGUUUAGUUUAUUGAUUAUUAGAAAUGUCAAACUGAAACCGAACCGAAAUAAAUGAAUAUUUCUAACUGAGACGCCCUAAAAUACUGAAAAAAAUGGUUGGUUUUGUUUAGUUUGGUUUGGUUAUAGCAGAUACCCUGACAAUUUACUUUUUCACUCGACCUCAAACAAUAAGCACUAUUAUUAUGUCUUUAAUUGAAUUACUAUAAAGUAUAAAAAUAUAUGUGGAUAAUUGAAAAUUUGCUUAGAGUUGCUAAUAAUUCACAACUGCAACAACCAUCACGACCAGGUAAUGCUUGGGAAUGGGAUCAUGUAAUUGUGGAGAUUUGUCUAGAUUUUCUAGAUAAUAAUUUCAACCACCCUCUCCUUUCCUCAACCACUAUCACUCACCUUUCAACCACCAUCAACUACCCUCUCCUUUUGUCAACCAUCAACACUUCUCAACCAAGCUGCCAAGGCUCUCAUUCCUUCUAUAAAUGAAGACAAAGAGAGAGCAAGAUAAAGUGUAGUGCAGAGACAGUGCAAGUGAGUGCAGAGGAGAGGAAGUGUGGAGAGUGCAAGUGCAACUUUGAGAGUUGUGAGCAGAUUUGAGAGAAACACCAAGUGUAAGAGUGAAACACUGGGAUUUUGGGAUUGUACUAGGGUUGAGUUGAGUGUUUGUAUCAUUCCUCUAAUAAUAUAUGAUUGUGCAUCAAAAGUAUCAUUAAGUCUCCUAUUUUACAUAUAUAUUUAUUAUUUUUAUUUGGGUUUUUUAUAAUAAUUGAUGUGCUUUUUAGUAAUGAAGUUUUUUUUAAUGUUUCGAUAGGAUUUUGGAGCUUAAAUGAAUUAUUUCAGAAAAUUCAACGUCGGAAUUCGGAACAAAGAAUCGAAGAGAAAUUUAGUUGAAGAUUGAAGCAAGUCUUGGUUCAAAUAAGUGCUCCAAAUUUUCCCCAAAAAUCAAUUCUAUUCCAAUUCUAGAAAAGAAUAUCAUAUGAUCUAUUUCAAGCCCAAACAUGCCUUAUGUUGUGUGCAAACUUCAACCAUCAAACACUCAAGGUUUCAAUGUCAAUCUUAGCCCAAAUAAUAGGUACAUUUCUAUCCUUAUUUGAUGCUUAAAUCAGCCCCAAAUCAGCCUCCAAAUCAGCCGAAGCACAAUCCAUGAUCUUACAUGCCCACACAACAAAUAACAUUUGAUUUAUUUUGGGUAAUUCAUUGAUCCAAGAGGGAAAGAACAUGGAUGGAAAGCUGGAGGGGACAUUGUGACAUUAUUUUGGGUCAAAAGAAGAAAGAGACAGCUCAUAAAGGAGGAAGAAAAACGUGCACCAAAGUGUUCUCCAAGCUGGCCUGGUUUGAUUUUCCAGAACACCUUUCGGUGUUUCGCCCAUAACUUUUGACUCAGAUGUCCAAAUGAGCUGUUCUUUAAUGAUGUGAAAAUAUAACAGAAUGGCCUAUAAAUAUGUCUCCAAUAGCCAUUUCCAGGGGAGGCUUCAAAAAGGGUCUAAUUUCUGUCCAAAGUUAGAGUCAAAUUUGUGUCCGAAUUUUUACUGAAAUUGUGUUGUGUGCUUCUUUAUAGAUUUUGGUUCUUUAGCUUGUAAAAAUCAUUAUUUCAGUUUGAUUCAAGUUAUUUCAUGUUUAUUAAAGUGUUAUUAUAUAUAAUCAUGGUUCGCUAAUCUCUUUCUUGGAUCCAAAUCAAGGAUGAUGGUGGUUGAGGUGAGUUUUUUAAGAUAUGAAUGAAUCUUAAUGUCUAUCUUUUCAUUUUCUUUAUAAAUGUUUUAUUAUUGCAAAGAAAUUUUAGAAAUCAUUUAGGUAAUGUUAUAAUCUUGAAUUUUUAUGCACAAACCUUAGUUUUGGUAUAGAGAUUGCUUGAUUCAAUGUCUUACUUAAUAUGAAAAUACUUGUUCAUUCUUAAGCAAUAAUCAAUCUUCAUCUUUUUAAACUUCAUUGUAAUAUCUUCUGAUCUAAUAUCACCAUCGUUGAUAUUAGGUUGAGUUAUCUUAUAUAUGUUUGAAGGAAUCACCAAUACAUCACCAUUAAAAUUGAUUUGGACCAAGACUUACUUUUUCUUGUCAUUUAAAAUCUAUUUACACUUUUUCAUCUUUGAAAACAAAUUCAUCAAUCAUUUUCAACCAAGUUAUUGUUAAUUUAAUUUCUCUUGAGUUUUUUUGUUACCUAGCUUAAUUUCCAGAUCUAGCUCUCUGUGGAUAUGACCUCAAUCUUACUGAGUUAAUUGCUACAUCGCACACUCGUGCACUUGCGAGUUAAAACAAGCCGAACAUAAAAAGCGGUCAAGCAAUUUUUGGCGCCGUUGCCGGGGAGCUAGCAAGCAAAGGUAACAAAUUUAUAUUUGAUUAUUGAAAAAUAAAAAAAAAUACAUAUAAAUAAUAAAUCAAAUGGCUGGUUUUACCGCCUAAAAAAAAAUUGACCUCAACUUUUCGGAUAUUGGACUGUGGACUAAACUAUUAAUUAUUGGAUUUUGGUUGGUUCAACCAUUUUUCUUUUAUUUUCUAUUCUAAUUAGUUUCUAAUAUUUAUUGUUUAUAUUAUAAGGCUGGUUUUACCGCCUCUUGUUUAUUUUAUUUUAUUUUGUUGUUAUUAUUUUUCUUAUAUUUAUUGUCUGAAGUGCUUAGCCGGUAUUACCGCCUCUUGUUCAUUUUAUUUUAUUUUGUUGUUUUGUUGUGAUUAUUUUUCUUAUAUUUAUUGUUUGAAGUACUUGGCCGGUAUUACCGCCUUUUUAUUCAUGCUUGUUAUAAUUAUCUUUUAAUUUUUAUUGUUGUUAUUAUUGCUUAUUAGUUGGAGUGUGAAUUUCUUAAUUUGUUAAAUUUUUAUUUUUGUGCUAUUACUUUAUCUUUUACAUUUCAUUUACUUUUAUUUGCAAUCUUCUUUUUCUUUUUCUUUUUUUUUUCCUUUCCUUUUGUAUUCAUAUAAUUGUUAUAUUAUUAGCUUUUUUUAUCAUGGCUAAUGUUGAAGAUGUAGAGGGUGAAGGGAGUGUUCAAGGUAAUGGACCUCCACAAUUCAAUGAUCAACCUAAUUUUCGAGUACACCUUCGUGUAUUAUCUUUCCUCUUAACCAACAAGCUUUCAAUUUGAAACCGGGCAUGAUUCAACUUCUUCCCACAUUUCACGGUAUGGAUUCUGAAAAUCCAUACAUACAUAUUGUCAUAACCCAAUUUUUGACCAUUUUAUUUUAAUUAUUAUUAUUAUUUUAUUUACUGAAAAGGAUAAAAAAAUAUGAUGAUGAUGAUAAAAAAAAAAUAAUGAUAAAAAAACAAGUAAAAUGAGAUAAAUGAAGAAUGAAUUAAAAUUUGGGUUAAGGGCAACAUGAUUAGAAGUUUUAGGGUUUAAUUAAACUUUGAAAUUAAUCUAAUUAAGCUUGGAAUUAAUUUAAUUAAUCUGAUUAAGGGUUUAAUUGGAGAAUUGAUAAGUUUUGAGACUUAAUUGAGCUUGGAAUUAAUUUAAUUAAUCCAAUCAAGGGUUUAAUUGGAGAAUUGAUAAAUUUUUAGACUUAAUUAAGCUUGAAAUUAAUUUAAUUCAUCCAAUCAAGGGUUUAAUUGGAGAAUUGAUAAGUUUUGAGACUUAAUUAAGCUUGGAAUUAAUUUAAUUAAUCCAAUCAGGGGUUUAAUUGGAGAAUUGAUAAGUUUUAGACUUAAUUGGACUUUGGAUUUAAUUAAAUUAAUGAAAUCAGGGACUUAAUUGAAAAAAUAGCAAAGUUUGGGGUUAAUUAGGGAUACGAUUGCAGCAGAUUAAAGUCCAAGGACUAACUUGUAAAAGGCACCGAAAUGCAGGGGCAAUUACAGUUUAAACCAGGGGCUUAAUUAUAAAAUUCGGCGUCGUUUGAAAGAGCACUAUUCAUCUUCUUCACCCGAAAACAAGAAGAAAACGCAUGCCUUUAUUGCAUUAAAAUCCAUGCAAAACGCAUGCCUUUAUUGCAUUAAAAUCCAUGCAACCGCAUGGCAUUCUCUGGUUAUAAAAACCAGAGAAGGAGAACCGGCAAAGAAAAAAAGGAUGGCAUAACCGAAAAGCCACUAGAGAAACACAGAACCGGGGAAAGAAUAGAAAAAAAAACUUUCGUUCCUCUGUUUCUUCUCAAAGAAACAGAGGAGGCCACGAGCAGCGGAGGAAGAAAGCAACUAGCCCACCAGUCCUCCAUCACGUCUCCGUUUCCCUGCUUACACAGAGGAAGUAACACCGGGAACACAACAAGACGCAAGAACAGAAACUGUACAGAGGGGAGCAAGUUUUCUGCCCCUGUUUCUUCUCUAAGAAACAAAGGCGUUCGUGCCUCACGAUCGUGAGGCACGAACGCGUGAAGAAAGGCCAUUCUCUGGCUUUAUAAGCAAGAGAAGGCCGCAGAGAAGGAAGAAAAACUGAGGAGAAACAUGAAAAAGAGAGGACAGAACCGGUGGACGAGAAGAACAAACACAGACGGCCGCGGACGAGCGGGGAAGACGACUAGCAGGGGAACAAACCGAAACAAAAAAGAAGAAGACGACAGAACAAGGAAAGCUAAAACAGAGGAGUAGACAGAAAGCAGUAACAGAGAGGAGUAACGCUGGUCAGUUGUCAUCCCCGUCUUCCAGUGCAGCAACAGGUAAGUUGCGUUGCCCCUCCCUGCAUUUUAAUUGCAUGUUGCUGUAACAGGCGUGCGUGAGCGGUUCACGCACGCCUGCGGGUAAAAAAAUAGAAAAAUGGCCAGCCGGGUCAAGCCUUUGACCCGGCUAGGCCUGCUGAGUCCAGCCCAGCCCAUGUGGGCUGAGCUGGGCCCAGCCCAAAAAAAUAAAAAAAUAAAAAAAACAGAAAAGUAAAAAAGGGUAGAAAAAAUAAAAAAAAUGUGUAUGCAUGAAUAAAAAUAAUGUAAAUUUACUGGUUUAUUCACUGACGCCAGAGUCAGGAAUAAAAAUACUGGUUUAAAUUUAUAUUAUUUUUAUUCGGUGUAUUUUAUUUUAUUUAGCUAGAAAAAUAAAAAAUAUGUGCAUGCAUAAAAAAUCAAUUUUUUUUAAUUUAUUCACUGGCGCUAGAGUAGGGAAUAAAAAAUAUUGAUCUAAUUUUUCGUAGCUACGAAUUUUUACCAACGCCAGAGUUGGAAUUAUUCGAGCUCGAAUAUUCACUGGCGCCAGAGUCAGGAAUAUUAUAAACAAAUCAUUAUAGCAUAAGCGAAUAAAUGUUUAGCAAUUGAAGACAAAACCAACAAUGCAGUUUGCCUUAGGCAGAACGUUUAAGGGGUGAUAAUAUCUUCCCUUUUACGUAACCAAUCCCGAGCCAUAGAAUCUCUGUUGACCAGUUAGGGUUUCUAGUGACCAUAAUACUAGGUGGCGACUCCUUAAACAAGAUCUUUUCCCCUAAAAGAACAAGAUGCCAGAUAUCUGUUCUUUUUCCAUAAAUCUAGAAUUAUUUUGUGGGCCGCUGCGAUGUCGGGUGCGACACAUAUUAAGGACUUUGAAGAGGUAUGUAAUACUUUUAUUGAUAGAACAUGCACCGAGGAAACCAUUCGGCUUAAAUUGUUCCCAUUCUCUCUAAAGGAUAAAGCCAAGCUUUGGCUAAACUCCUUGCGUCCUAGGUCUAUAGGUACAUGGAGAGAAAUGCAAGCUGAAUUUUUGAAAAAAUACUUCCCCACUCAUAGGACGACAACCUUACAACAUCAAAUGAUGAAUUUUUCUUGUAGUCCAAAUGAGUCAUUUCACCAAGCUUGGGAAAGGUUCAAAGACUUGUUAAAUGCAUACCCCCACCAUGGUUUUGAGAUGUGGAGGUUAGUGAGUUUCUUCUACGACUCUCUUACCGCAGAUUUUAAAAAGCUAGUGUCAACCAUGUGUAAUGGUGAGUUUUAUGACAAAGAACCAAGUGAAGCCUUUAAUUUCUUUGAUCAAUUGGCUGAAAACACAAAGCAAUGGGAGACUUCUCUCCUACUUCAUGUUGAGUCUAGAAACACCAUUUCUCAUUCAAGUGGGAAGUUCCAAUUGAAAGAGAUUGAUGACCUCAAUGCUAGAUUAGCCUCAUUGGCUAGGAAAGUAGAGUCUCUUGAGAUUAAAAAAGUGCAUGUCAUGAGUGAACAACAAGAGGAAAGUUGUGUUGUUUGUGAGAGCAAAGGGCAUAGGACAACUGAGUGUCCUACCAUUCCAGCCUUCAAGGAAGUGCUAUAUAGCCAAACUUCUGAUUCAAGUAAUGUUAGAAAGCCAUUUUCAAACCAAGUAGGCAAUCCCUACUCUGAGACCUAUAAUCCUGGAUGGAGGAACCAUCCAAAUUUUGGAUGGAGAAAUGAGGGCCCUUCAGUACCUCAAACAUUUCAACCUCCACCCCAACCAUUUCAUGCUACCACACAUAACACGUACCAAUCACCUCAUAAGAGAUCCCUAGAGGAUACUCCAACAAUUCAUGCAAACGCAAGGAGGAAUCAAUAACCAAGCUUACAAAUUUCAAGACCAGACUAAUAGGACCUUAGAUGACAUUCAAAGUCAACUAACCAAGUUGACUCAAUCAUUAAGCAUUCAAGAGAAGGGAAAGAUCCCAGCUCAACCAAUGUCAAAUCCUAGAGGUUAGGUACACAUGAGUGAAUCCUCAUUUAGUGAACCUUCAAACCAUGAACAAGUCCAAGCCAUCACUACCCUUAGAAGUGGAAAGAUUAUUGACAAAGCUAUAGGUUUUGGGAUUCCUAGAGGUAUUGUGGAGGAGAAAUCUAGGGAAAGUGAAGAGGGAAUCAAAACACAAGUGACAAAUGAGAGCUUGAGUGACAAAGAAGGUGAGAUAAAUGAGAAAGAAAUGAGUGAGAAAGGAGAUGAUUCAAGAAAAAUUGGAGUCAAAGUGAGUGAUUUAGAAUUUGUUCCUAGAGCACCAUUUCCACAAAGGUUAGGGAAGCCUAAACAUGAUCUUAUGAACUCGGAAAUCUAUGAAUUGUUCAAACAAGUGAAAGUCAACAUUCCACUCAUUGAUGCAAUUAAACAAGUCCCCUCUUAUGCAAAGUUCUUCAAGGACUUAUGCACAGUCAAAAGGAGAUUGAAUGUGAAAGAAAGAGCCUUUCUAACUGAACAUGCUAGUGCCAUCAUCCAGUUUAAGACUCCUCCCAAAUACAAAGAUCCUGGUUGUCCUACUAUUUCAUGCAUUAUUGGAAGUCAUAAAAUAGACCAAGCUUUGUUGGAUUUAGGAGCAAGUGUGAAUUUGAUACCCUACACUGUUUACGAACAGUUAGGUUUAGGAGAAAUCAAGCCUACUCAAAUCACCCUUCAAUUAGUUGAUAGGUCAAUCAAGAUUCCCAGGGGUAUUGUUGAGGAUGUGUUGGUCCAAGUAGACAAAUUCUACUUUCCUGUUGAUUUUGUAGUGUUAGACACCGCACCUAUUCAAGGUUCUAAUGCUCCCAUCCCAGUCAUCUUAGGUAGACCUUUCCUAGCUACAUCCAAUGCUUUAAUUAACUGUAGGAAUGGGGUGAUGAAAUUGUCUUUUGGGAACAUGACUGUGGAGAUGAACAUAUUCAAUGUCUCGAAACAAAUUGGUGAACAUGAGGACAUUAGAGAGGUAGAUUUGAUCCAAACAGUUUGUCAAGAACACUUUGAGAGAGAGUGGUUCAAAGAUCCAUUGGAGAGAACUUUAAUUCAUGAUGAAAGAUUUUGUUCUUUGGAAUGUGUUGAUGAGGAAGUAAGAGAACUCAAGACUUAUCUAGAUCCAAUGCCUAUUAUGUCAAUAGGUCAAUGGACCCCAUCGUUUGAGCCUUCGAUUUCACCCCAAAUGAAAGUUGAGGCAUCUCUUGUCCAACCUUAUAAACUAGAAAGGAAGCCUUUACCGAGUGAUCUUAAGUAUGCAUUUCUAGGGGAAGAUGAAUCAUAUCCUAUUGUGAUUUCAUCAAAACUUAGCAUAGAGCAGGAACAAGAACUUUUGAGAGUGGUGAGAAAACACAAAAAAAGCAAUUGGGUGGACUAUUACUGACUUGAAAGGAAUUAGCCCUCUUUUAUGUACACAUAGAAUCUAUCUUGAAGAAGAGGCUAAAUCUGUGAGGCAAAUGCAAAGACGACUGAACCCAAACAUGAAGGAAGUAGUAAGAGGUGAAGUGCUUAAGCUACUUGAUGCAGGUAUCAUUUACCCCUUGCAAACUCAAAAUGGGUUAGUCCAACCCAAGUUGUCCCUAAAAAAUCUGGAGUCACGGUAGUGAAGAAUGAAAAUAAUGAGCUAGUACCAACUAGAAUCCAAACUGGAUGGCGUCUGUGCAUUGAUUAUCUUAAGUUGAACAUGGUGACCAGGAAGGACCAUUUUCCGCUUCCAUUUUUAGACCAAGUGCUUGAAAGAGUAGCCGGAAGAGCUUUCUAUUGUUUUCUUGAUGGAUACUCAGGUUACAACCAAAUUGAGAUUUCUUUAGAAGACCAAGAAAAAAUCACUUUCACUUGUCCUUUUGGUACCUAUGCUUAUAGAAGAAUGCCUUUUGGCUUGUGUAAUGCACCAACCACUUUUCAAAGGUGUAUGAUGAGUAUCUUUAGUGACAUGGUGGAAAUUUUUUUUGGAAGUUUUCAUGGAUGAUUUUUCAGUUUAUGGGGAUUCUUAUGAGUUGUGUCUAAUGCAUUUAGAAAAAGUUCUUGAAAGAUGUGAAGAGAGCAAUCUUGUACUUAAUUGGGAGAAGUGUCAUUUUAUGGUGACACAUGGCAUUGUCUUAGGUCACAUUGUCUCUUCAAAAGGGAUAGAGGUAGAUAAGUCAAAAGUUGAAGUCAUUCAAAAAUUACCUAGCCCUAGGACUGUGAAAGAUGUGAGAUCGUUUUUAGGACACGCUGGUUUUUACCGAAGAUUCAUUCAUUCUUUUAGUACCAUUCCCAAACCAUUGUGUAACUUGUUGUCACAAGAUGUUCAAUUUGAUUGGACAUCAAAAUGUCAAGAAGCUUUUGAAAAGCUUAAAGGGUUGUUGACCACUACACCAAUCAUGCAAGCUCCUGAUUGGUCUUUACCAUUUGAACUGAUGUGUGAUGCUAGUGAUUUUGCAGUAGGGGCUGUUUUAGGGCAAAGAAAAGAUAAGAAGCCUCAUGUCAUUUAUUAUGCUAGCAAGACUUUGAAUGAUGCUCAAUUGAAUUACACUACAACUGAAAAAGAACUCUUAGACAAGUUUAGGUCUUAUUUGGUUGGAUCUCUUGUUAUUGUUUUCACUGAUCAUGCAGCAUUGAAAUACUUGCUCACAAAACAAGAUGCCAAGCCAUGUUUGAUUCGAUGGAUCCUUAUAUUCCAAGAGUUUAACCUUGAAAUUCGAGAUAAAAAAGGAGUAGAGAAUGUAGUGGCUGAUCAUUUGUCCCGUCUUUCAAGCUAUGAGACCAUAAUUGAUGAAUCUCCAAUAAAUGAAUUCUUUGCUGAUGAAAAUUUAUUUUGUGCAGGUAUUGUUUCCUACAUUGGCUCUCCAUGGUAUGCUGACAUAGCAAAUUACCUAGCCACAAGUCAGAUUCCUUCUCAUUGGUUUAAACUUGACAAACAAAAAUUCUUGCGCAACGUGCGUACCUUUUUUUGGGAUGACCCCUACCUAUUUAAAUACUGCCCUGACCAAAUUGUUAGGCGGUGCAUCCCUGAUCAUGAAAUUCCAAGUGUCAUUAAUUUUUAUCAUGCAUUAGCCUGUGGUGGGCAUUUCUCUUCCAAGAAAACCACUGCCAAGAUCUUGCAGUGUGGUUUUUAUUGGCCCACCAUGUUCAAAGAUGUCCAUGCCUUCUGUGUUGCAUGUGACCGAUGCCAACGACUAGGUAACCUCACUAGGCGUAACAUGAUGCCCCUAAACCCCAUUCUUGUUUUGGAAAUAUUUGAUUGUUGGGGGAUUGAUUUCAUGGGACCUUUCCCAAGUUCAUUUGGUAACCAAUUCAUCCUUGUAGCUGUUGAUUAUGUGUCUAAAUGGGUGGAGGCCAUUGCAUCUCGAACCAAUGACCAUCGAGUUGUGGUCAAAUUCUUGGAAGAAAAUAUUUUCUCUCGUUUUGGCAUGCCCCGGGCUAUGAUUAAUGAUGGGGGAAAACAUUUUUGUAACAAGCCCAUUGGGAUUUUGAUGAGAAAAUAUGGUGUAAUUCACAAGGUCAAUACCCCCUAUCAUCCACAGACUAGUGGCCAAGCUGAGUUGACAAAUUGGGAGAUCAAGAACAUUUUAGAGAAAACAGUCAAUCCAAACCGUAAAGAUUGGUCCCUACGACUAGUUGAUGCUUUGUGGGCAUAUCGCACUGCUUACAAGACCUCUUUAGGAAUGUCUCCUUAUAGGCUAGUUUAUGGAAAGCCUUGUCAUCUCCCUGUUGAGAUUGAGCACCGUGCAUAUUGGGCCAUCCGGCAAUUCAAUGACAAUGAAAACGAGGUUGGAAAAAAUAGAAAGCUUCAAUUGGAUGAAUUAGAUGAGCUGAUAAAUGAUGCAUUUGAAAAUGCAAAAAUUUCAAAACAUAAGAUGAAAACCUUGCAUGAUAAACAUAUUCUUAGAAAAUCCUUUCAUCUUGGUCAAAAGGUUCUCUUGUAUAAUUCACGAUUACAUCUCUUUCCUGGGAAGUUGAGGACAAAAUGGAUUGGUCCAUUUGUGAUUAAAUCCAUCUCUGAGCAUGGUGCAUUUGAGGUAGAAAAUCCUAAGAAUGGAAAUGUUUUCAAAGUAAAUGGUCAUCGAUUGAAACCUUAUCUUGAAAAUUUUGUGGCUGAAGUUGAGACAUUGGAUCUUGAAGAUCCAAUACCAUUGUAGUAUCAGAAGUAAUGAGCUUUUUAUUUUUAUUUUUAUUUUUUUAUUCAUUUUUAUUUUUCUGUUUUUCAUUUUUUUUCUUUCUUCCAUCGCUUAUAUUUUCUUGUUCAUGCAUUAGGGACAAUGCAUUAUUUUAAGUUGGGGGGUGUGAGGUUCUUUAUUUUUCAAAAAAAAAAUCAAUGUUUUCUUUUAGUUGUGAUAUGCAGGUAAAAAAAAUCAAGCAAGAAGUCAGCUCAUGUCCAAUUCAAUCAGACAUUCAUCCUUGAAAACAAAAGGGGAGUAAUAGUUUUCUAAUCUUUAUACUUUUCUUCUCUUUUUUUUUUACAUUGAGGAUAAUGUAAAACUUAAUUUUAGAUAUUUGAUUAUGUUGAAUGCUUGAGAUGACCAUGCAUGUUAAAAAAAAAAACUUGCAUUCGUAUAUGAAUGAGACUUGUUUAGGAUCAACAUUACAUUUUUGGAUUCAUUAUUGUGUUGAACAUUGCAUGCUUUAAUUUGGGAUAGAUAAUAUCUUAUAAAGCAAGAUAUAGCAUACUUUUUUUUAAGAUUAUUGAAGUACAUCUUUCCUUGUAAAAGUUGUGUGAGUUGUGUGAUUAUGCAUGAAAGAUGAGUGUGAUGCUUUACUUGUGAUCAUCCCUUUUGAUCUAGUCCUAAACAAGGUUUAAGUAAAUAGAGUAAUCAUUAUUACACAAAUGUGUACAAAGUUCUAUCUACUCCAAUGUUUUGAGUUGCUCAGUAACUAGGGGUAUUCAUCAUAAAUGUUUAUCUUUACGUCAAACGGCAGCUUGAAAUAUGAGUAUGCAAAGCACUUUAAGUUUGUGACUUUGUGAGUAACCGGGUGCAUUCAUCACAAAUGUUUGUAUUCGCGUCAAAAGGGAAGUGACCACUUAAAGAAAAAAAAUAAAUAAUAUCUUCAAAAAAAAAGAGAAAAAAAAGAAAAGAAAAAAAAUAUAUAUAUAUAUAUAUAUAUAUAUAUAUAUAUAUAUAUAGAUAUUUCUCUAGUUUGCUACCUUGUUUGUAGUAGUGAGAAGGGAAGAUUACAAGUUGAGUUUUCGCGUGAAUCAAUUAUGUUGGUUGCAUGAUAAAUACAAUUCUAGAAAAGAAUAUCAUAUGAUCUAUUUCCAGCCCAAACAUGCCUUAUGUUGUGUGCAAACUUCAACCAUCAAACACUCAAGGUUUCAAUGUCAAUCUUAGCCCAAAUAAUAGGUACAUUUGUAUCCUUAUUUGAUGCUUAAAUUCAGCCCCAAAUCAGCCUCCAAAUCAGCCCAAGCACAAUCCAUGAUCUUACAUGCUCACACAACAAAUAACAUUUGAUUUAUUUUGGGUAAUUCAUUGAUCCAAGAGGGCAAGCACAUGGAUGGAAAGCUGGAGGGGACAUUGUGACAUUAUUUUGGGUCAAAAGAAGAAAGAGACAGCUCAUAAAAGAGGAAGAAAAACGUGCACCAAAGUGUUCUCCAAGCUGGCCUGGUUUGAUUUUCCAGAACACCUUUCGGUGUUUCGCCCAUAACUUUUGACUCAGAUGUCCAAAUGAGAUGUUCUUUAAUGAUGUGGAAAUCAAACAGAAUGGCCUAUAAAUAUGUCUCUAAUAGCUAUCUCCAGGGGAGGCUUCAAAAAAGGGUCGAAUUGCUGUCCAAAGUUAGAGUCAAAUUUGUGUCCGAUUUUUUACUGAAAUUGUGUUGUGUUCUUCUUUAUAGAUUUUGGUUCUUUAGCUUGUAAAAAUCAUUAUUUCAGUUUGAUUCAAGUUAUUUCAUGUUUAUUAAAGUGUUAUUAUAUAUAAUCAUGGUUCGCUAAUCUCCUUCUUGGAUCCAAAUCAAGGAUGAUGGUGGUUGAGGUGAGUUUUUUAAGAUAUGAAUGAAUCUUAAUGUCUAUCUUUUCAUUUUCUUUAUAAAUGUUUUAUUAUUGCAAAGAAAUUUUAGAAAUCAUUUAGGUAAUGUUAUAAUCUUGAAUUUUUAUGCACAAACCUUAGUUUUGGUAUAGAGAUUGCUUGAUUCAAUGUCUUACUUAAUAUGAAAAUACUUGUUCAUUCUUAAGCAAUAAUCAAUCUUCAUCUUUUUAAACUUCAUUGUAAUAUCUUCUGAUCUAAUAUCACUAUCGUUGAUAUUAGGUUGAGUUAUCUUAUAUAUGUUGAAGGAAUCACCAAUACAUCACCAUUAAAAUUAAUUUGGACCAAGACUUACUUUUUCUUGUCAUUUAAAAUCUAUUUACAGUUUUUCAUCUUUGAAAACAAAUCCAUCAAUCAUUUUCAACCAAGUUAUUGUUAAUUUAAUUUCUCUUGAGUUUUUUUGUUACCUAGCUUAAUUUUCAAAUCUAGCUCUCUGUGGAUAUUACCUCGAUCUUACUGAGUUAAUUGCUACAUCGCACACUCGUGCACUUGCGAGUUAAAACAAGUCGAACAUAAAAAGCGGUCAAGCAAUAUACAAUCUGCUGCCUCCGUGGACGUACCCGGUUUUGGGGAACCACGUAAAUCUGCUUGUGUUGUGUUUUAUUUGUGUUUGCUUUCGGUCCAGUAUGCACAACAAAUUGGUAUCAGAGCAUUAGGGAAGCUUAAACACAGAAAAACACAUUUUUCAGCUCUCUGUUCAAAGUUGCAGAAUUUUCAAAUUUCUCAGAUCUUGAUUUUGAUCAGCUGCGGAGAUUCCUCUCGUUGAUACAAGUCCGGAGAUAUAAAGAUCAUCGAAAUCGGAGUUGAAACGAGCCCUGUAGAGCUCGUCGAAGUUUCGCCUGAAAUCUGCUGGAAAAACCAAACAGUGCCGGAAUUCUCGCCUUAGAAGACAGCCACGUCAUCCGACACGUAAGCGAUGAGUCAUCAUCCACAUCAUCAACAGGGGUCCACAUCGCCCUGUCAUCAGCCACAUCAUCUAACAGUGACAGAAUAUUCUCUUGACAUAGUAAGAAUAUUCCGUUAACAGUAAGAGAAUAUUCCCGUGACAAAAUAUUCUUUAUCAGAGACAGAAUAUUCCUUUCCUAAGUCAACUCGGUCAGAUUGGUUUUUUGGCCAACUCAGUGAUUUUUUAGCCUGUUUUUGGCCGAGUCAAGCUGGUUCCUAGCAUUUUCAACCAUUCCGGACGCGACCGUGGUGUCCGUUUUGUGAAACAGUACACAUCGAAGUUACUAUUUUGGCUCUUUUGAGCAUAAAAGUGCAUGUUUUAACAAUUUCAGGAGUCCAUUUGUAAUCCAAAGACGUUCUAAUGGCUGAUAUUCCAGAAGAAAAAUCAGCGGGGAAUGCUAGUAUACCUCCAUAAUACAUCCCGGUAUCAAGUACCAAAUUUGAGGUGGAGAAGUUUGAUGGGAAAGGUAAUUUUGGCAUGUGGAAAUGUGAAGUCAUGGAUAUGCUUGUCCAAAUGAAUUUGGAUUUCACUCUAGAAGAUAAACCGGAGGAUUUGGAUGAUAAAAGCUGGGAAAGGAUAAAUCGGUUGGCUUGUAGUUCCAUCCGACUUUGUCUUGUAAAGGAUCAGAAGUAUGCCUUUCCAGAACAAAACUCUGCAAAGGAAUUAUGGCAAGCACUGGAGGACAAGUUUAUGAAUAAGAGUAUAGAGAAUCGUCUCUACAUGAAGAAAAGGAUCUUCCGUUUUCAGCACAAGAAAGGUACUUCCAUGAAUGAGCAUCUGAAUGAUUUCAAUAAAAUGAUAGCUGAUUUGAAGAAUUUAGAUGUGGAAAUUGAUGAUGAAGAUAAAGCUCUGUUGUUAUUGAAUUCACUGCCUGACACAUAUGAACAUCUCGUCACCACUUUACUGNNNNNNNNNNNNNNNNNNNNNNNNNNNNNNNNNNNNNNNNNNNNNNNNNNNNNNNNNNNNNNNNNNNNNNNNNNNNNNNNNNNNNNNNNNNNNNNNNNNNAGAUUGUUCACAAGGAGUCAACGUCAGAAGCAUUGACAGUUAGAGGCAGAACAAACCCCAGAAGAUUUCGAGGACGAGGGAGAUCUCGCUCAAAAUCCAGAGGAGAAUCAUCAAACAGACGAUAUCUUGCAAAAGAUUAGUGUGCCUUUUGUCACAAAAAGGGCACUGGAAGAAAGAUUGUCCAAUCAAGGGCAGUAAGGAAAAAGAUGAACCAACUGUGAACGUUGCACGAGAUGAGGAUGAACAAGACUCUGCAUUCAUGGUCUCAUCACCAGAAAACCAUUCUGGUGAAUGGAUUCUUGAUUCUGCAUGUUCCUAUCACAUAUGCCCUAACAAGCACUUAAACUUGUCCUCCUCGUGCAUACAUACUUGUGCCUAUUUUUAGAGAAUGGGGUGUGAUCAGUCACGGUUCCUGUUAUUACUUCAGUUUCAGAACUUUUUUUUUCCUUCUCGUGCAUACAUACUUGUGCCUAUUUUUAGAGAAUGAUGGGUCAAGCCUGUUCAGGCCUCAAGUUUAAAUUGGUGUGUCCAAUCUUGUUUAUUUGAGAUGAACUGUUUCAAGCUUCUUGUGAAUUCUGGAAUAGACGGUUAUGCUUUGGUUUUAUUAAUCGUGAUGUUUGUGUUUAAUCAUGUUGUUCGUGUUUUGACAAAAUAUAAAAAAUGUUUUCUUGUGUGUUGCAUAUGUUUAAUACCCUAAUAUGUUUUUAAUGUUUUAUUUAUAUAAAAAAACAAAUAUUUGAAGUUUCAAAAAUAUGUUUUCGCAUGGAUUUCUUAAACACAACACAAAAAUUAUUUUCUUGCAUCUUGGAUUUUACAACAUGUUUGUAAAUUCCAAAGGGUGUUGGCCAAUAUUCCAAAAAUAUAAAAAUCUUAUUUUUGGGAAUUCGUUUUUAUUCACUAUUAAUAUUUGGAUAAAGAAAUCCCAAAAAGGAUAAAUAUCCAAAAUAUUAUUAUGAAUAAUUUGUUAUUCAUUAGUAAUGUUUGGAUAAAGAAAUUCCAAAGGGGUUAAUAUCCAAAAUAUUAUUAUGAAUAAUUUAUUAUUAUUCACCAUAAAUGUUUGGAUAAAGAAACCCCAAAAAGGGGUUAAUAAUCAAAAUAUUAUUGGGAAUAAUUCAUCAUUGUUCACUGAAUAUUUAGAUAAAGAAACCCCAAGUAGUAAAUAUCAAAAAUAUUUUUUUCUAGGAAUAACAAGUCAUUAUCCCUCAAUAAUAUAAGGGCAAAUAAACCUAUAAAAGGUAAAUGUCCAAAAUAUUUUUAAUAGGAAUACAACUUGUUUAGUUUUAACAUAAGGGCAGAUUUAUGCCUGAAAUUUUAUUUAGAACCAUUUAAUCGCACCUCUGAUUAGUACUUAAAAGUGCAUUUUUAUCAAGGUUUUAUAUCAUCAUUUUGCACUUGAAGUAUCAAUAACUCCUUAACUAAAGCAUGUUUUAUAAUAACAUAUCUAAUUAUAUAAGACACCUUUAAUUUAUGGUAAAUGUUCAUCUUAAAUGCAGGCCUAUCACAUAAAUGAAAGAAUUGAUUGAUGAGUUGAAAUACUGAAAUUGAAAGGACAAAGAGAUGGCCAAACUUAGAAAAGAGAUGCUAGUGCAGUCCAAACUGGAACACUGUUCGAUAAUUGGGUCAUAUCUGGAGCUGUAGAUCUUGUAUUUAGGUCCAUUUUAUAUGGAUGGAAAGAUAAGACAUAGGCCUAUAACUUUCAUGUGGAGCCCAAGAUUUAACAAGGCCGUUUUCAAGUCCAAAUUGUAGCAACAAAAAAGAAGUCUGAAUCUGUUCUACAGCCCAGACACUGUUCAGUGUUCAGCCCAUAUCUCAAGUUCUAGAAGUCCAAAUGAUCUCAAAUGUUUACCCUGGAAAGAUGAGACAAUUUCCUAGAACUUUCAUGAUUUAAGUUUGUUCAAAUUAUGACGUCAUAAAUGACGUUUUUGGCAGACAAGAAGAUAAGAAUUGUCACCAAGUCAAGAUGUGGCCACCCACUCAUCAAUUAGUCAGCAAAUCAAUAGUUCUGAAUUUUGGCCUAUAAAAUGAGGCAUUUGCCAUGUAUUUAGGCAUCUUGGUUUUCAGAUCAAGAUCAUGCUCUUGCUCUCUCUUUAUAUUUUGUAAUGCUUAAGUUUUGCUUAUAUUAAUCUCUUGCUUAUGCUUUUCAUUUCCUUUCCUUGUUUAUUUAUGUUUCUCUCUUUCAUUAUGUUUAACUAAGUUAAUUAUGUCAAGGUGAAAAGGGUACACUAAUGGUGUAAGAAUAAGUAUAAUAUAAACUUAACAUGGACCUUAAUGUUGGAUACUAACAUGCUUUAUAUUUGUUAUCUUGUUCACUUUUAACACUUUGCUUGUUAAAUGGUUAAUCUAGAUUUAUGUUGUAUAACACUUGGUACAACAAAUACUUGGCACUUUCAUAGCCCAUACUGUAUGGUAUAACCGACACCUGAGCUAUGAAAGGAACUUGAUUUGUUGUUAACAUAAGUUAUAAUAAUGAAUGCCUGAAAACAUUUACAAGUAUUAGCAUUAUUCGAAUAAGAUAACUAAUGUAAUCAUUUUAACAAUUUAUAAUCCGAUUGGAACCUCCUUUGUGUGUGGUUUCCAGUUGAGUAGAGUUUAUACUAUACUUGUUUGAAAUACCAUUAGUGGAUCCUCUAACCUUGACAUUUGUUGUUAUCAUUGUUUAAUCCUUACGUUAAUCUUCCAUCUCAAAAGUUCUCAUCAAUUUCUUCCUCUUCUUCUUCACUAUUAUUAUUAUCACUGUUAUUAUUAUUGUUGUUGUUGUUGUUGUUGUUGUUGUUGUUGUUGUUACUUUUGUUUUAUUGUUAUCUAUAAUUUAUACAAUUAACCUCCUUGUGGUUCGACCCCGGUCUUGCCGGGUUAUUUAUUACUUCGACACUUCUGCACUUGGGAGAAGACAUCAAUCUUUUGGUCGUGUCAAGUUUUUGGCGCCGUUCCCGAGGAGGUAAAUUCUUGUACAAAUUAUAGUAUUUAUUUUAUUUUACUUUUUUACUUUUCUUGUAUUUAACUUUGUUUCUUUGGUGUUGUUUCUUUUUCUUUUGUUUUCUUCUUCCUUUUAUUCUCUUUUUACACGUGCAUGAGAGUGUGGUCACGUACAUUAAGUGGUAGACUUUGUAGGGUAUCCUCAUCAUUUUCAGAAAAUAUGGCUGAAGAAGAUAACCAAUCGCUUCAUAAUGAGAAUAAUGAGAAUAUUCGGGUUAGAACUCUUAGAGACCACAUGAAUCCCACAAGAACAAGUGCACCCUCAUGCAUAGUUUUUCCUCCUGAUGCAUCUCAUUUUAAUUUUAAGACAGACAUUAUUCAACUUUUACCAUCUUUUCAUGGCUUAGAUUUAGAAAAUCCAUACUUGCAUUUAAGGGAAUUUGAGGAGGUUUGCAACACGUAUAAUGACUCAAAUUGUAGCAUGAACACCAUUAGAUUGAAGCUUUUUCCUUUUUCAUUAAAAGAUAAAGCUAAAACAUGGCUACAAAAUUUGAGACCUGGAUCCAUUCGUGCUUGGGAUGAAAUGCAACAACAAUUUUUUAAGAAGUUUUUUCCAUCCCACAGAACAAACUCUUUCAAAAGACAAAUCAUUACUUUCUCUCAAAAACCAAGAGAAACAUUUUACCAAUGUUGGGAUAGGUAUCGAGAAUUGCUUAAUACUUGCCCCCAUCACGGUUUUGAAACAUGGAGAUUAGUUUCACAUUUUUAUGAAGGGUUAACUCCUAGAGAUAGGCAAAUGGUUGAAUUGAUGUGCAAUGGAACUUUUGAGGAUAAAGACCCUAAUGAAGCAAUGGAGUACUUAGAUUUGCUAGCUGAAAAUGCACAAAAUUGGGACACCACAGGUACUUAUGAGGCACCAAGUAAAACCCAACCUCAUACAUCUAGUGGGGGUAUGUACAACCUUAGGGAAGAUCAUGACCUCCAAGCCAAGUUUGCAUCUUUAGCUAAAAAAGUCGAAGCGCUAGAAUUGAAAAAGAGUGGUCAAUUAAAAUCUGUUCAAGACAUUGCAUGUCAAAUCUGUGAAACCAACGAACAUUCAACCAAUGACUGUCCAACCUUGCCUUCUUUUAAAGAAUGUCUCCAUGAACAAGCCCAUGCAUUAAACAGUUUUCAACGGCCCAACCAUAACCCAUAUUCGCAAACAUAUAACCCUGGUUGGAGAAAUCAUCCAAAUUUCAGUUGGAAGAGUGAGAACAAUAAUGCUCAAACUUCACAGCCACCGUUUCAAGCACAUCAUAAUUUCCAAAAUUCUCAUAGAUAUGCACCUCCUUAUGCUCCACCUCCUAGAAGAAAUCUUGAGGAAACAUUGCAUGCAUUUAUGGAAAAGCAAGAGGCAAUUAACACUCAACUUGCUCAAAGCAUGACAGAUUUUAAAGAUACUCUGGCAAAAUUGACAUCUGCUCUCAGUUUCCAAGAGAAAGGUAAGUUUCCAUCUCAACCACAACAAAAUCCAAAGGGGCAAUACAAUGUGAAUGCAAGUAGUUCGGGAAGCCAACACAUGGAUCACGUAAAAUCAGUCAUCACUCUUCGCAGUGGUAAGGUUAUUAAAAAACCCAUUCUUGAACCUUGUGAGAAUGAUGAUGAGUCAAUCUCUCUGAGGGUAAGGAAGGGGUUGAAUCUGAUCAUUGCAAAGAAAAGACUGAUUCUCCGCCAGCACUUCCAUUUCCUCAUGCCAUGACGAAACAAAGGAAAGUCAAUCACAACUCUGAAAUUUUUGAAACCUUCAAACAGGUAAGGAUCAAUAUACCUUUGCUGGAUGCUAUUAAACAGGUUCCUUCUUAUGCUAAAUUUUUGAAAGAUCUGUGCACUGUGAAGAGAAAACUGAAUGUGAAAAAGAAAGCCUUUUUAGCCGAACAAGUAAGUGCCAUUCUUCAGAACAAUAAUGCAUUGAAAUAUAAAGACCCUGGUUGUCCUACAAUUUCAUGCUUUAUUGGAGAACAUAAAAUUGAAAGAGCUUUACUUGAUCUUGGAGCUAGUGUGAAUUUACUUCCAUAUUCAGUUUUUCAAAGUCUCAAUCUAGGUGAGUUAAACCAACUUCUAUAACUCUUUUACUUGCCGAUAGAUCUGUAAAAGUGCCUAGAGGAAUAGUUGAAGAUGUGUUAGUACAAGUUGAUAAAUUCAUUUAUCCUGUGGAUUUUAUUGUCUUGGACACACAACCUAUUGAAGCAUGUAAUUCAUUUCCUGUUAUUUUAGGGCGUCCAUUUCUUGCAACUUCUAAUGCAUUGAUUAAUUGUAGGAAUGGACUGAUGAAGCUAUCAUUUGGGAACAUGACAUUAGAGAUGAAUAUUUUCAACAUUUGCAAGCAACCUCGAGAUGAUAAUGAUUUACAAGAAGUAGAUUUUAUUGAAGAAUUGGUUUAUGAUCAAUUUGAAUCUACUUUGAGUAAUACUGAGUUUGAUGAAUUUGAAGAUUUGCAAAUGACUUAUUCUCAGGAAGAAAUCACGGAUGAAAAAGGCAUUGAAAAUGUUGAUGCGAAUCUUUUGUCAAGAGUGACAACAGAUUCGAUAUCUGACAUCACACCAACCGAUGAUUACUUUCCUGACAAAUCCUUACUUUCUCUUAGUUCAAUGCCUUGGUUUCCUAAAAAUAUCAAUUUCCUUGCCUCAGGAGAUUUGCCAACUCAUUGGAGUACCGAAGACAAAGGUAAGUUUUUGAACGAAGUGAAGAAAUUUUAUUGGGAUGACCCUAACUUAUUCAAACAUUGUCCUGAUCAAAUAUUUCAAAUAUGCAUUGCGGACAAUGAGGUAAGUAGUGUCAUUAAAUUUUGUCAUUUUGAAGCAUGUGGGAGUCAUUUCUCGUCAAAAAAGGCCAUUGCAAAAAUCUUUCAAACUGGAUUUUAUUGGCCCACCAUGUUCAAGGACACACAUGCAUUCUGCAAAACUUGUGAAAAUUGUCAAAAAGUUGAUACUGGUCAAAAAGUUUUGCUUUAUAAUUCUCAACUCCAUUUAUUUCCUGGAAAGUUAAGAUCAAGAUGGAGCGGUCCAUUUAUUGAGAAACAUGUGUAUCCUUAUGGGGUCUGUGAUAUCGCGAAUCCAAAAAAUAGCAAUGUUUUCAAGGUAAAUGGACAUCGUUUGAAAGUCUACUUUGAUAAUUUUUCAGUUGAAAAUGACUCUAUUGAAUUGAGUGAUCCUGUAUAUAAAGAUUGAUUCGUUUUAUCACAUUGUUUUGUGUUUCAUUUUGCUAGUUUCUCUCACCCCGGUCAAAAGGCGGAUAACGGUACUCCGUGACUUAAGUCGGUUCUUUCAGUUUCUCAUAAUAACUGAUAUUUGUAUAUAUUUGUGCAAUUCUUUGCUCUUUCUCCAUUCUUUGACUCUGUUCUCCAAUUCUCAUUUGAAAAUGGACACCACUCUUGAAAAAUUGAAAAAGUAUUUUCCCGCUCUGCCUCAGAAUGCGAUUACAAAAAUUUACCGUGCUAGGUGUGCAAGAUUGAAGUUGUUGAUGAAUCAUGGAAUUCCUGAAGAUAUUCGCUGGCUGAUUGAAGCAAAGGUCCGAUUAUUAGGUGAGUCCUCCAAUUCUUUCAUUUCACACAUGCCUGGAACAGGUAAAAGCACUUUUGCAAAGAAACGUCGUGCAAAACGACUGAAAGUCUGUCACAAAUGUGCCAGAUGGACUUGCAAUGCAACAUGUCGUUCUUUAGGAAUGGUAUCUAUAAACCGUGAAGAUAAAAUACAAUUCAUUAAGGAUGGCCUGAGUAAGGGGUCUUUAGAUAAUCUUUUGUUGACCCUUGAGACGCAUCCUAGUGGAGAUGUGCAUCGUGCAAUUCAUGAUUUAUAGCCCCAUUUUCAUAAAGAACAUGAUAGACUCAGUCUUGGGAAUCUGACUAAAAAAGACCUUGUUUGCCACUUUUUAAGAAAACUGGAUGGGAAGCCUCUCCCCGACCCAUAGAGGGCGUUUAAGCCGUUCUUGGACAUAAAACCAAGGGAAGAUGUGAGCCACAAUCACAACUACCUGUACAUACACAUUCUUUUUCAAAAUAAAUAAAUAAAAUAUAAAGAGAGAGCAAGAGCAUGAUCUUGAUCUGAAAACCAAGAUGCCUAAAUACAUGGCAAAUGCCUCCUUUUAUAGGCCAAAAUUCGGAACUAUUGAUUUGCGGACUAAUUGAUGAGUGGGUGGCCACAUCUUGACUUGGUGACAAUUCUUAUCUUCUAGUCUGCCAAAAACGUCAUUGAUGACGUCAUAAUUUGAACAAACUUAAAUCAUGAAAGUUCUAGGAAAUUGUCUCAUCUUUCCAGGGUAAACAUUUGAGAUCAUUUGGACUUCUAGAACUUGAGAUAUGGGCUGAACACUGAACAGUGUCUGGGCUGCAGGACAGAUUCGGACUUCUUCUUUGUUGCUACAAUUUGGACUUGAAAACGGCCUUUUUAAAUCUUGGGCUCCACAUGAAAGUUGUAGACCUAUGUCUUAUCUUUCCAUCCAUAUAAAAUGGACCUAAAUACAAGAUCUACAGCUCCAGAUAUGACCCAAUUACCGAACAGUGUUCCAGUUUGGACUGCACCAGCAUCUCUUUUCUAAGUUUGGCCAUCUCUUUGUCCUUUCAAUUUCAGUAUUUCAACUCAUCAAUCAAUUCUUUCAUUUAUGUGAUAGGCCUGCAUUUAAGAUGAACAUUUACCAUAAAUUAAAGGUAUCUUAUAUAAUUAGAUAUGUUAUUAUAAAACAUGCUUUAGUUAAGGAGUUAUUGAUACUUCAAGUGCAAAAUGAUGAUAUAAAACCUUGAUAAAAAUGCACUUUUAAGUACUAAUCAACCUCCUUGGAAGAAGCCUCAAUUAUAAUUAGGGACAUUUCAAAUUUUGAUUCCACAAUUUAUGACCCAUGGAAAAUAUUAAUUGCUAAGGCAAAAAUGGGCUUUUAAAGUACCUUGAAUUUCCUUAGAUUUUGAACUUAGUUUUUUUUCUCUUCCUUGCGAUUUAUGAGUUGCGAACACUUGAAAUAUUAAGGGGAAAAUGAGCUCUUAAGCACAUCGAAUCUCCUUAGAUUUCUAUAUUAGCUGUCUCUAAAUUCAUAAAUUCUGAAUUUAUUUCAAAUCAAACAUAGACUUCGAGAGAUCUACCUCUUUGGCACUCUACAAACAUAUCUAAAGGUAUGAUCCGUAUUGGCCAAGGGUUCUUUCCCUUCGACUUUGAACCCAAGUUCGUCGUCAAAACAGACUUAUCCUAGGAAACUGAUGGGAUUAGAGAACAUCAACACCAUAGCAAUUAUAGGGCAAACCAAACACCAAGCAGCUUAUCUUAGGUAGGGCGUACUAGGGGUGCUAAAACUUUUCCUUUACGCAACCAGUCUCUUGCCUUAGAAUCUUUGAAAGACCAGUUAGGUUUCCUAGUGACCAUAAUACUAGGUGACGACUCCCUUUUUUUACAAAACAAAGACCCCAACAUUAAUCCCUGCUAUCAGGAAGGGUCGCCUCAACAUCGAGCUCUCUUGAGGGUACGACAAUAAUAAUCAUAAUGUUGAUUCUUUUAUCUCCUACUUAAUGCAAGUGUCCAUCGUGUGCUGAAAUUGAUUGUUUACCAUAACAUUUCUUUUAAAGGUAGAGAUUUCUUGGUUGACAAUGGAAAAAAGUAAUCGCAUGGUUAUUUUCCAUAACAUUCCUUUGAGUAAAUAUUCUCUAUUGGAGGUCAAUUUCAUCGAAGCAAUUACCUCAAUGAACACGUCCUAAUUACCAACCUCUAAGUAGUCAUCUCCCUUAUCCUAACUUUUUAUUUCCUUAUAAAAUCUCACGGUUUUUCAUCAUUUUCAGAGGAAAAGUUGACCUUGCAAAUGGUGCUCUAAGGAACCAAGUCAUCCUAGAACUAAUCAUCCACCUAAUCUCGUCAACUCCUUGUUGCACAAACAGCCUGUCUCACUUAAAGGGGAUUUUAAUGAUGAACAAACACAAAUUCCUUGUUGCUCAAAUACAUAUGCUCAUUUAAACACAGGAUGCUUGACCUCAUUAAAGACAAACUGACGACAUCCGUCCGUAACAUAAAUUAUCUUCCUUGCCCCAAAGUCAGCACAGAAAAACCUUGUUCACUAUAAAGGUUCUGAAUGUUUUUCCUAAAUUUCAUGAUAUGGCAUUCAGCAUUCUUAAGCAAACUACAACUGCAGAAGGCUUGUACAUGUAGGGGAGACGUAGGAAGAACUGCAAAAGUUGUCGCAUCUAUUGUUAUGCUGUUCAGAGUUUCUAUCUCAUCAUCCAAUCUGCCUAAAAUAUAAAAGAUCAUGUGCAUGAAUUUGAUCUCAAAGGGGUACCACCUCAUAUGCGUACAGGACAUACAUGACCAGUGAUGGUUGUUCUAUCCACAAAAUUAGCUAACAUACGACUAUUUUAUUCAACUACCAUUUCAGGAUAUGAGUUCUCCUAGCCACACUCAAAAGCCCUAGCCGCUAUAUGAACAAAGCACCUAAAAAAUUAAUCACCUGCCUAAUCUAAUUCACCCACACACACACACACACCCACCUGAUCAUAGACAGGAAACGAGUUAUUUGAAUGCAUAGACAGGAAAUUCAGGUAAACACGCGCGCGCGCACACACACACCUGAUCAUAAAUUUCCUAAAGAAAUUCUGAAUUGUAACAUUGGUAAACAAAGUGUGACAAUAUCAUCACAUUAAAAAUGCAUUUCACUCAAAACAAAUACUAGCUCAAGAAAAAAAAAUGCAAGAAGCCAAGAGAGAAUAAAUUAAGCAGUCCAUAAACAAGAGACAGAGAGGCAUUGUUCCAAUGAGAAAAGUAAUUAAAACCCAACAACUAAAGAAAGAAUCAAACCAGUGAGUAACUAAUCCUUUUAAAGCAUUCCAAGAAUGGCAACCAAAUGUAACAUAAUCAACCUGCAAAAACAAACACAAAAAGAAUUAGAAGAAGAAACCCCAGACCUCCACCACCAAAUCCACCUCCACCAAAUCCACCUCCACCACCAAGCCCGCCACCUCAUUCAUCCUCAAAAGAACCCUUUCUAGAACCGGAUUCUGUAACGCAUUGUCUUCAUUCUGACAGGAGGGGAUAUCAGUCACAAUUUGGAAAUCUAAUAGUUUGAAGGUUUCUGAAAACCGUCCUCAGACCUGUCAGCGUCGCUGGCCAAUUUCUCAUUCUUCCACCGUUGGAUUAACACGAAUUUUGGGUAAGUUGUGUGUCACUAUAGUUCCCACAUCCUGACCAGAGCGAUCGUUCAUAUUUGAAUCCACUAGAUAAAUCUUACCGUUUGAAGAUUUCUGGGCAAAUCACUCUCGGAACAGUCAGAAUCGCCGGCUUAUUUCUUCUUUUUCUACCGUUGGAUCCAUCUGAAUUUUGGAUAUGUGAUGCGUAUGGUCGUAUUACACAUUCGGAACGGUGGAGAUGACAUGAAUCGUUUCCAGAAAAGAGUUAUGCACGCUCAACAGUGGUCCAUCAAUCUCAGGUCAGUUUUGGUCUAACUCCGAUCUAGGGAGAUCCAACCGUUAACUGGAGCUGAUAUUUGGAUAUGUUCUGCAUAAGAUGUGUUUUUACCUUGUCACCGUUGCGAUUUGUUAUUUGUUGAAUUGUUGGUGAGUAAUUGUUGUUUGAAGCUCUGCACAGAAUCUAUCAUGGCUUCCAAUCCGAAACUUCAAACCCUCAAAGCUAACACCACCCACUCAAUCACUAAACAACCCACAAACCAUCACCAAAACAUCCAAAAUACAGCCUCCUCAACGUAGGUUAGGUUUCUAAAAUCCCACGAAUCAACAAACAAUCAAAAAUCCCUUUCCAAUAGUCACCUCCGCCUUGACUCAAGACAACAACCACCCCCUAAACACAUUCACAAUAUUCCUAGCCCAAAAACCCAGAAUAACCAUUCCUUUAACAUUUCAGUGCCACAAAUUUACUUUGAAGGUUUCCCAAUAUGGGCUGAUUACCAUCGCAUAAAGGCUUCUUUUAACAAGUUUGGCUAUGUACUCAAACUUUAUGUAUCCAGGCGUGUCAACAAAUCAGGGAGUCUUUUUGGUUUUGUAACAAUAGCAUCAAAAUUUUCUGAUAAAGUUUUGCUAGAGAGUGUGAAUGAUAUUUGGUUUGAAUAUCACAGACUAAAGGCCAAUUUCACUAGACACUAUAAAAAGAUUCCAAGAGAGAACAAAGCUCCUGACAGAUCAAAACCCAAAACAACUUUAAGAGUGCCUAUUAGUGAAAGAGAUGACAGAAGUUACAAAGAGGUACUCAGUGAAGGAAAAGUGGAACAAAUACUUCUGCCUGUGGCUUCUGGACCAAAGGAUUACUUUGAAAAACUCUUCAUUGAUAUUGAAGAAGAGGAUUAUGCUUGGCUAAAGAGAUGUCUUCUGGGAAAAAUAAAAAAAGGAUCCAAUUACUCUUCUAUACGUUUUGGACUGAUCCAACAUGAUAUAGAUUUUGUUGGACUGCGCUUUCUUGGGGCAUCUCAGGUCCUUGUGAUUUUUUAUAAUAGAGACAUAUUAAUGGAAUCAUGGAGGAAGAAUAAUAAAUGUUGGGAUGUAUUUUUUGAGGAAGUUCGCCCCUGGGUUGAGACUGACACAACUUUGAAUCGGAUGGCCUGGAUAACAAUAACAAAUCUACCCAUUAUAGGGUGGAAUUGCAGAUGCCUCACAAAGAUUUUAGAAAGAUCUGGUCAGAUGAUAGGUUAUGAUAAAACUACUCUCAAGCUUUUUGAACUAUCACAGUUACGGAUCCUCAUUGGUACACAACUGGAUAAGGUGAAUAAGGUGAUUGUUUUGCAACUCAAUAAUCAAACAUAUCAGGUUAAGAUAGAGGAGAUGGACCAGUUACAUUACCCAAUUGCUGGCUCUAUUUCAUACACCAUGGAUGACUUUCUGACAUCCCUAGAGCAAGGGGAUGAUGAUGAUGAGGAAGACUCGGUUGAUGUGGGUGAUGGCGUAGACACAGAUGAGGACAGAGCAGGUGUGGCUCCAUCAGUCACCAGGACUCUUGGGGGCGGCACCAACGGGUGGGAAAAUUCAGAUCUGGCACAGGAUGGAGACAUGCUAUCAACUUCUGACGAUAGCUCUCUUAUCAUAUUUAAUGCUCUUCAUCUGGAUGUGGUGCAAGAUCAACAUGCUGCCUCAUCUUUAGAGAGAUUUCCAGAAAUUAUGGCAUACAAUCUUUCUUUUUCUGACAGCAGCUAUAUAAAAGCAGCCCCAUUCCCAAUGCUCUUACCCUAUAUACGGGACAUGGCACUCCUAUUUUGAGAGAAGAUGCUAGAAACCCUGCAGCUGCCUUGGACCUUGACUCCCUUGUAUUGGCCCAGAUUGAAAGCCCAGUUUAUGGCAGUGGAUCUCAAAGCCCAUCUGACGUUCUCUCUAUUUCAUUUGGAUCAAACAAUGAUUUAGCCCUUCAAUCAACAUACAAUCAUCAAGCCAUAGUAAUUCUGGAACCGCAACACAUGAAUCACCCAGUUAUUUUACACUCUAAUGCAAACACAAAAGAGAGUGCAAUUGCCCUAUCUGCAAAAACAAGAAGGAAGUUGCGACGUACAAAGAUGAUUACAGCUGAUGGAAGUUUGAAUGAAACAGUUAAUAUGAGUGAGAUGGAUACUAAGGACUCAACAAUACAGAGGUGUAACAGGAGGAACUUGCUAGCUCAUGACGAAAACAAUAAGCCUUCUGAGGGUGAUGAGGUUUGUUUAAUGCUGGAAAUAGGAGAGGUUUUGCAGAUUGAAAAACCUCACAAUUUAGAUGACUUCACAUCCUAUAUAAAUCAGCAAAGGCGUAAAGAGAAGGCUGAUUGGGAAGCAUCCCAGUGAGUAGAUGUUCCUCUUUGUUCUGUAAGGAUUUUAAAUCUCUUUUCUUAUGCAGAUUCUUUCAUGGAAUUCUUGUGGUUUGGGGUUAGCUAGAAAGAAGAGGACAGUUUCAAAGUUAAUCAGGGAUUUUGAUAUAGAGGUUUGUUUUUUGUUUGAAACUAAGUUACAAAGUUACUCAGACAAAUUGGUUUUUCAAUUAUGGAGCGUCAGUAAUGUUUCUUGGUUUGGUAAUGAGGCUGAAGGUACUAAAGGGGGCAUUCUGGCUAUGUGGGAUAACUCUAAGUUUGCGGUAUCAUCAGUGGAGUAUGGUCAUGGUUGGAUCGGGUUAUUUGGGCAGAAUGUCUUGACAGGCUUCUCAAGGGCGGUGGUAGGUGUUUAUGCCCUUUGCAAUCAAGCUGACAGACUUCUUCUUUGGAAGGACCUUCGUAUUCUGAAGGCUGCUUUUGAGUGUCCUUGGUUUUUAGCAGGUGACUUCAAUGAAACUAUGUUGCGAAGUGACAGAAGCAGUGGCUUCAUUAACAAGGUGGGUUCAACGGCUUUUAGACUUUUUAUUGAUGAUUGCAACCUAAUCGAGUACAACAUGUCAGAGGGUCUGUACACCUGGUUUCGUGGGGGGUCCAUGAGUAAACUAGACCGUAUUUUUUCUAGUCCUUGUUGUCAUUUGCAAUUCCCCCUUUUGUCUCUUCGACGGCUUCCAAGAGGGUUCUCUGAUCAUUGCCCUUUAAUCCUAGGGGUUUCACCUGCAGAAAAAGGUUGGAUUCCUUUCAAAUUCAUGGAUUGUUGGCUCCAUCAUCCAAAUUUUAAAGAUAUCGUAAAGGGUAUAUGGGAUGAAGCUUGCAAUGAAUUUUCAGGUCAGUUCAAGCUCAUUAAGAAGCUCAGCUUUAUGGCAACUUGGCUCAGACAGUGGAAUAGGGUUGGUUUUGGGCAUCAGGAGACUGCUUUGUCAUUGAUCCAAAGCAAUAUUUCAGCUAUAGAAAAGAAAUCAGAGUAUGGGCAAUUAUCUACUGCAUAGCAGAACUCGCUUGAUUCAUUGAUUAAGAAGUAGUGGCAAUGUAACUUGCAUAUAGAAAGCAUGUGGCGUCAAAAGUCUCGCCAAAUUUGGUGUCGCCUGGGCGAUCGCAACACGCGUUUCUUCCAUCUAGUUGCUAACUUCAGGAGGGCUAAAAACCAUCUCCUGAAAGUGGUUCAUAAUGGUUCUGUUGUUGAAGGUUUACCGGUCAUAAAAGAUGCGGCAGUUAACUUCUUCUCCAACUUAUUCAGAAGUUUUGAUAGAUUCCGAAUUGGUUUAGGGCCUGUUGGUUUUAAAACACUAUCGGCUUCUUCUUCAGCUAGCUUGGAGCGAGAUAUCACUUUGGAAGAAUUAAAGCAGAGUGUUUGGGAUUUUGAUGGGAGCAAGAGUCCGGGUCCAGAUGGUUUCAAUUUCAAAUUCUACAGGCUUGCUUGGAAUUUCAUUGCAGAUGAUUUGUUAGACCUGGCCAAGAAUUUCUUCAAAACAGGUAGGCUUCCAAAAGGAGUCAAUCAUGCUUAUGUUCAUCUAAUUCCGAAGAUAGCUUCCCCAAUUGGCUUCAAAGAUUUCAGGCCUCUUAGUUUGAUUCAUGGCAUUUACAAGAUAAUGGCUAAGGUUCUUUCUAGCCGUCUGAAAGCGGUUAUGCAUGACCUUAUCAGUGAGAAUCAAACAGCUUUCUUGGCAGGGAGGCAAAUAAUUGAUGGGUUUGUGGUUGCCAAUGAAGCAGUUCAUUCCUUGAAAAGACACAGAGUGUCGAGCCUUAUCUUUAAGGUGGAUUUUCACAAGGCUUUCGAUAGUGUGCAGUGGGAUUAUUUAGAGCAGGUUAUGAGGCAUAUGGGUUUUGGUGAAAAAUGGAUUAAUUGGAUCAACACUUGCAUCUCCACUGCAAAAUUAUCAGUGCUGAUUAAUGGAUCUCCUUCUAAGGAAUUCUUGAUGGGUCGUGGGAUUCGCCAAGGUGACCCCCUUUCUCCAUUCCUUUUUCUAAUAGCAGCAGAGGGAUUAUCUGUUUUGUUUCAAAGAGCAGCUUCAAAUGAUCUUUUCAAAGGUAUCCCUUUUGGAGACAGCUUUUGCCUUAGUCACCUACAAUAUGCAGACGACACUUUGAUCUUCAUGCCUGCUAAUCUUCAUAUGGUCAAAACGGUUAAAAGGAUCCUGUUAUGGUUCGCUAUUUGUUCAGGUUUGCACAUUAACUUCCAUAAAAGCUCUUUAAUUGGCAUAAAUGUUGGGGAAGAUACUUGUGCUAGUAUGACAUAUUCAGUCUUUUGCAGAUUUGAUUCCUUGCCUUGCUCUUAUCUAGGCAUGCCUUUAGGAUCCAAUCCUAAAAGAUUGUCUACAUGGAAGCCUAUUAUUGAGAAUUUCAGACGGAAGUUGAGCAUGUGGAGAGGUCGUAUGCUUAGUAUGGCAGGACGUAUUUGCCUAAUCAAAAGUGUCUUGAGUUCAUUGCCAGUAUAUUAUAUGUCUUCUUUUCUUAUGCCGAAAGGUGUCUGUAAUAUACUACCAUCUAUUCAACGAAGAUUCUUGGGUCUGAGUGGCGAAGCAAAAGAAAAUCUGCAAGGUACAAUGGCGUAUUGUUGUGAAAGCUAGAAAAGAAGGAGGCCUCGGGUUGGGUUCUUUAAUGUCAAAAAAUAUAUCCAUGCUUUUCAAAUGGAUAUGGAGGCUAAACUUACCAGACCAUGCCUUAUGGAAACAGGUAACAACCCAUUUUUACUCCCCAACUUUCGAGAAUGGAAUCCCAAAAUUGCAUGGUCAUAUUUCCCCAUUUUGGAAAGACAUUUUGUCAAUCUUGGAUCCAAACAGUGUCAUCGGCUUAGUAUUGCGUGAAAACAUUAAAUUCAAGAUUGGAGAUGGAUCCUCCAUCCUUUUCUGGUCUGACGUGUGGAUAGGAUCAAAUGCUUUACGUUGCAUUUUCCCUAAGCUUUACCAAAUUUCUACUUUUCGGAAUGGUUUGGUUAAUGAGAUGGGUCAAUGGGUGAAUGAUCAAUGGCGAUGGAAUUUGGUUUGGCGUAGGAAGCUCUUAUCUUAUAAAGAGCAACAAUAUCAUCAUUUGCUCUCAAUGCUGGAGCCAACGAUAAUUCGGCAAGGAAAAGAUGACAAACUUAUAUGGCCAUGCAAUUCUGAUGGAAGCUUCUCAGUUAAAUCGUGUUGCACCCUGAUUGACAAUACCUCCUCUGCGACUGAUAGAGUCUUUGAAGCCAAUGUUUGGAUUAAAGGGGCCCCUCUGAAAGUUCAGGUGUUUCUCUGGUUGGCAGUACAAGACAAAGUUAGUACAAGAGCUUUUCUCCAUCAACGGACUAUUUUGUCUGCCACACAAGCUUCAUGUGUCUUUUGCAGCUCAAAUUUGGAAACCUCAGAGCAUCUUUUUAUACAUUGUAACUUUUCUAUGAGUGUUUGGAUGAAAGUUUUGGAUUGGUGGGGUAUCCAAUGUUGUUUACCGAGAACACUUGACUUGCUGCUUCUGCAGUGGCCCGAAAUGGUACAAGGCAAAUUCCAAAGAUCAGCUUGGAGAUUAAUUUCAAGUAGUACUAUUUGGGGUAUAUGGUUACUGAGGAACAAAAUUGUUUUUGAGGAGGGAACUAUAAACUUGUUUGAUUGUUUCUCCACCAUCCUUCAUCGGGUUGCUAUUUGGUUGCAUACUCAUGAUUCAAACUUCAAUUAUACAGGCAAUGACCUCUUAAGAUCUUCUGAUGGCAUCAAAUUAUGGUGUAAUAAGAAAUCUUAGGUAGUCUUCUUGUUGUUUGCUGUAGUAGAUCAGUUUUUUUCUUUUUUCUUUUUUUCUUUUUUAUAUCCCUUGUAUUUCUCUUUGGCUAUUCGCUUUAUGGCCUUCUCAAUAUACUCUCGAUGAUUAUAAAAAAAAAGAAGAAGAAACCCCAUUAGUUAAUAAGUUAAAACAGCAGCAGCAGCAAAAAGACUCAAAUUUUAGUUAUUUGGACUUGAGAAAAAGCAUUGAACCCUCUGUGAAAAUGCCAUGAAAGGGGUGCUUAGAAACCUGGAAAAUAAAAACUUUUAAAAGGGUGUUUUUACAAAGCAAGAAAGAAGCUUGGAAGCAAGGAAGCAAGCCAGCCUACCCUCACGAACUCUGUUUGUUAAUUGUUUUUUCUCCUUUAAAGUGAAAACAAAAAAAUAAAAAACAAAAACAAAGAGCACCCAGAAAAUCUAGUCAGAAAUAUUUUAUGUUGCUGUCUUGGAGAGACGCAUUAUAUUACAUAACAAAAUGAUAAAUUCAUUCAUUACAAAAAGAUACCCAACAAAAUAUAAGAAAACUAAUCUACUGUUCAACCCGAUAGGGGGAUGUACCUGAAAAUUGAUUUAAUACAAUAAUUCAAUUAGACAGAUGAAAAAAAGAUAUCCAUAAAAUUCUUUCUACUUUCUUUCUUUCUUCCUUUUUUUUUUUUUUGAAAAUUUAGUCAAAAGAUCAUUAAAUUAACUUGCUCAUCUAGUAUUGUAUAUAUAUAUCAAUUAAAUUUCAGAAUAAUCUAUGAGUUUGUUUUCUUUUUCUUUUUUCUUUUUUAAUAUCAACCAAAAAUAUAAUUAUUUCUAUCGCUCAAUUAACCCGGCAUUACUUUCACUAAUAGAUGAUUAAUUUUCCACCAGUCCAUUCAACAAACACUAUUGUCAUCAAUUCAAAAAUUAGUUUAAUGUUUCAUCCAUUCAUCAGGUAAAAAUCUCAUUAACCAGGGAAAUUAAUUCUUCAUCUUGCCCAUUUGUCAAGGCACUAAUUCCAUUAAAUCAGGAAUUAGUUCAAUGAUUUACCUAUUCACCAGGUUACUAAUCCCAUUAACCAGAGACUUAAUUCCUCAUCAUGCCUAUUCACCAGGACAUUAAUCCCAUUAAUUCAGGAAUUAGUUCAACGAUUUGCCCAUUCACCAGGGCAUCAUAAUUUCUUAUCACGCCCAUUCACCAGGGCAUUAAUUUCUUAUCACGCCCAUUCACUAGGGCAUUAAUCCCAUUAGUUCAAGAAUUAAUUCAUCACAUCGCAUAUCUUAUUUUCUAAAGUAAACAAUAUAAUAAUUUCAUAUUUAUCAACCACAAUUAAUCAAAUAAAAAUACAUAUUGACCAAUAAUAAAUUCGAGUACCGUGUAAUUACCUGAUGACUAAGCUCGAGUUGAAAUUUCCUGCUGUGGUGUCGGCCUGGCAGCCUCUCUUGAAUUGAAAAGUAUAUCACAUCAUUAUUCUACUUUCCAUAUUGAAACACUCAAUAAAUAAAAUCAUUCCAAUUAUCCUUUUAUUUGCCAAAAUAAAAUCAUUUCGUAAGUUUCCUUCCCUAUCUUUCAAUUUCCACAUUGUAACACAAUUCAUUUUAUCAUUCAAAUCAAUAUAUAUANNNNNNNNNNNNNNNNNNNNNNNNNNNNNNNNNNNNNNNNNNNNNNNNNNNNNNNNNNNNNNNNNNNNNNNNNNNNNNNNNNNNNNNNNNNNNNNNNNNNCUUUAAAUUCAUUUAUUUAAUUUUUACCAUAAUUUAAAUCAAAGAAAAACAUAAAACAAUUUCAUGAUCUAUUCACUCUUUAACAUUAAUAUCAUGCUCUUUCUUACACAAUCUCAUCAUCUUAUCAAAACUCUUAAAUUUUUAUUUUUCUUAUUAUUAUUUUUCCAAAAAUCCCUUCUUCAAGAACACCUAAAAUUUUGCUUUAAUUACCAUAAUUUCUUACUUUUUCUACUCAUUUCAAUAAUCUUAACACAAUUUCACAAUCAAUUGUAAUUUUCUCUAAAAUUUAUCAUGAACCCUAAUUCCUCAUUUCACAAAGUUCAAUCAAUUUAAAGCAUAAAUUCUUCAAGAAUCUUAUUUAAAAGUUUGAGUACAUCUUACCAAGCAAUAACCAAAGUUUUAACACUUUUAAAUUGAGAAAUUUUCCUUGCUUGAAUUUGUUUUUUCUCUCCUGGCCGAUUGCUUCCUUCUCUUUGAAAAAACAAGUUUGUUUUUUUUUUUUUUUUGUUUACUUAUAGCACACACUCACUUGCACUCAUAUAUAUAUAUAUAUAUAUAUAUAUAUAUAUAUAUAUAUAUAUUAACUCUCUUUUUUAAAUACCUUCCACGUCCCUCAAUUUGUUUCUUCCCCAUACACACAUAUAAUUACUUAACUUUUUAAAAAUACCUUCUAUAUUCCUCAAUAGUAAAUUUUAUGAUUUUUGGGUAAAAUUUCAUGAAUCCUAACACCUGUUUAUACCAAAUUUUAUCCAGAUUAUUUCAAAUUUCACUCAGUUACUCGUUAGUACUUUCAGUUUCAUGAAAUUCAUUUCCAUCAAAAUUUUAUUCACAUUUUCAUGUUUAUUUAUUUAUAUUUAUUUUUUAUAUAUAUUUUAACACCCGAACAAAACAUUUCAAUUCAGAUUCUCGAAUAUAUCAUCAUUCUUAUAAUUUAAUUUAUCACUUUCCCUCAUUUUUCGUAAUCUUGACUUUUAUUAAUAUUAAUAAUAUUACCCGGGGUUUUACAGUCUCAGUUGACACUGAUUUUCGCCAUAAAAAAUGGUCGAUUUUUGUUUUAAUGAGUUUCAUUUGAUGAAGAGAGUUCCAUUGAAAUGUUUUUUGCUCUUGAAAUUGCCAAAACAUUUAUAGUUUUUGGGCUGUUUUAUUGGUUUAUUACAUCAUAAAAACGAUUUUUAGGUGUUUUGGUGUGAACUUUGUUUAAAUUUGCAUUUUUUGGUCAAAAACCACCAUGCUUAAUUUUCUAGUCACCUCUCCAAUGGCCAAGAACUGAAAAGUCUCGGUAGGUGACAUGUCGCUUUUCUUUAUUUUUUUUUCAAAAACAUUUGGAGGAUUUUCAAAUAAAAAAGGCCCAUACGUACCAACCCUUUUUAAAAUGGGCUUGAUGUGUAGGCCCGACUUACUAGGCCCAAAAGCACUUGAUCUAUUUCUAUUUUUUUUUCUAAUUUUGUUUUCUUAAUUGAUAUUUUUUAUGUAUUUUUAAUGAAUUUUUGAAUUUAUAUUUAAAUUAAUACUUUUCUCUCUAAAUAUUUAGAUUGUUUAUUUAGUUUUUUCUAAAUAAUGGAUAUCUUUUACUUAUCUUUUAUGUAUUUAAUAUCUAGAAAAAAUUAUUUCAAUUCAUCUAUAUGUUUUUUUAUAUAUUUUAUAUAAAUAAACUUUAUUUUCAUGACGUGUUUAUAAAAAUAAGAAUUAUUUGUUCUUGGUAAGAAAAAGUGACCUUUAAGAUAAAAAAGAAGAAGAAGGAGAAAAGUGUGCAUGAAGAUGAAAGUUAAGGUUAAGUAUCAUAUUUAUGUAUCUUUUACUUUUAUGAAAAUGAUUAUCAUUUUAUUUUAUAAUUUGAUUGGCAUUAACAACUCUUUAUUAGUUUAUUAGUUCAUAUUUUUGUAAGAUUGUUUUUUACAUUUCUUAAUUAAGAGAAUCAUAAUACAAUGAAAUGCACUUGAAACAAUGUCCCAUUUUUCUACUACAUUAAAAAUUAACUUAAGAUCCUAUAUGUGGCACGAUGCGUUAACAACUAUUUUUUAUAUUUAUGAACACUUAUGGUCCUUACUUUAUUUUUAUUAUAUGUAAAUAUCAACUUUUUUAUUUACAAUUAUAAUUUUCUCUUGAUUUUUAAAAAUACGUUAACAACAUUUAUAUAUAUUUUUUUUUGCGUUCAAAAAAUUAUCUAACUCGUAGCAAAGUGAAUUAAAUAAAUGCAUCAACACUUUUUUUUUUGUAUUUAUGAUUAGGAUUUGUUUUUGUUAAAAAUGCAAUUGAAAAGCAUACAAAUUUAUUUUUUGCUAAAAACAAUUUUGUGAUCCAUACCGAAGUGCGAGUUAAAUAACUACGUAUAUGGCUAUAGUAAGUCUUUUAGUAUAUGUGGAUGUAGGAAGCAAUGCGUUAUAUUAUUAGUUAGAUAUAACUUACCUAUUCAUUAUUAAAAAAAACAUAAAAUAAAUAAAUAUAUUAAUAGAAACCUAAAAGAGGUCGGCUGAAAUAUAAUAUUUUUGUCCUUUUUUUUAUUUUGUUUCACAUUUCUCAAUUAAGAGAAUCAUGAUACAAUAAAAUGCAUUUGAAACACCAUCCUAUUUUUCUAUUAAAUUAAAAAUUAACUUCCUGAUGCAACCAUAUUAUUCGAUAGUUUCACCCACAUUUAACUAGUGUUUUGCCUAUGUUUUAUAUAUAAAAUGCCUUGAUAUUCUUUGUUUUAUGUUUUGAAGGCACUUUUGGAUGAAAGAUGCAAAAAGGAGUAAAUUGGAGAUAAUUGGCAGAUUUGACCUUCAGUCGAUGUUUUGUGCAGAGCGUGAGCUCUAGAGGUUGAAAUGAAGUGAUUCCAGUGGCAUUAAAAAGCUAACAUCCAUACCUUUCUGGAAAUCUAAGGCAAGAAAAUAAAAUAAGGAAGAGCAUGGAAAUCACAGCCUUCAAAGUCAAAACAGAUUUGCUUUCUUUUUCCCUUAUCUUUUAUUUUUCGCAUUUUACUUUAUUUUUGUCAUUCUUCAAUAUUCCUUUUCUUUUAUUUCAACAUUGAGGACAAUGUUGUGUUUUAAGUGUGGGGGUAUUGGGAGAAUGUUGGUUUUCUAAUUUUGGUUUUCUUUGUUAUUUUUCAAAAUAAAAAAAAAUUAUGUUUGAUCUUUUGAACUCCCAUUGGUUUUUGAGAAUAUGAGUAUUAUGUAUGAGAAUUAGUUGAGAUAGAUGAAGAUAUAAAUAAAAUGAAUGAGUGUGCAUGCAAGUUUUAAGGUUUAAUUGGUUUAGGGAUUGACUUUGAGAAUCUGUCAUGUUGACUUUAUAGUGUUAUACCAAUGCAAGCUUUUGAGCCUUCAACAUUAUAUUCUUUUAUUGUGCCUUCUUUCAAUGAUAUGUAUCUUUAGAACUUGUUUCAUAUCUUGUUGAGAUUACAUUCAUAUUACAUAUAUACAUGAAGAUAAUAAAGGCAUUAGGAAUUUUAACCACUUGAGCCAAAAAGCCAACCUAAAGCAUAUUAUCCUUAGUGAGCCCCUUUUGAGCUUGUUUAUCUUUUCUUUGCUUUAUCCAUGUAUAAGCCUUAACUUUUUAUAUGUUUUCCUUUUCCCCUGGCCAAGGAUUAGUAGAGCAUAUACUUAUGAUAUCUCAUGGAAUUAUGGUUGGAAAUUAUGCGAAAAGAAAGAAGAAGUGAUGCUUGAUGAAAAGAUGGGCAAAGUUGCCGAAGGUCAAAAAAAAAAAAGGAAAAAAAAAGAAAAAAAAGAAAAGAAAAAGAAAAAGAAAAAAGUGUUCCUUUAUGUUCUUAAUAUUUUAUAUUGAAAAAGCUUGAAAUCAAAAGAAGUUAAGCAUUGGUGAUUAAAGAUGGAAAAUUUAUGUGCUUUGAUGGAAUAUCUUGUUUGAAAUAUCAUUUUUCAGAAUGCUCUACUUUCUUUGGUUUGAACCUUUUGUUUUACUCUCUUUUACCUCACCUUAACCUUAGCCCCAUUACAACCAGAAAAUAAGACCUUUUGAUUCAUGCAUUGUUUGUAAUAUGUUAUUAAUGGGGAUGAGAUUGAAGAGCAAGCUUAUGGUAGAACAUAUUCAUUGAUUGAAUUUGAGAGAUUUAAACACAUAAGCCCUAAACACGUGAGUGUUGGAGUAUAUAUCAAUGAGAGGACCUAUCACUUUGGCAUGGCAUAGAUUUCAUUUAAAUCUCGACGAUUAAUUGACUUUUGAAGUUUGCAUGUAAAUAAAUUCAUGAAAAUUUAUACUCUUUAUCCUUCUUAAUUGUGUUCUUGUUUAUAAUGCAUAUAUUCUUGGAUAUUGAUGGGAGAUUAGAAGAUUAGUCAUAGUGAUUUCAUUUAAUUUAACUUCAAUUUGAUUUUACCUAUCCUUUCUCGAGGACGAGCAAGAGCUAAGUGUGGGGGUAUUUGAUGCAACCAUAUUAUUCUAUAGUUUCACCCACAUUUAACUAGUGUUUUGCCUAUGUUUUAUAUAUAAAAUGCCUUGAUAUUCUUUGUUUUAUGUUUUGAAGGCACUUUUGGAUGAAAGAUGCAAAAAGGAGUAAAUUGGAGAUAAUUGGCAGAUUUGACCUUCAGUCGAUGUUUUGUGCAGAGCGUGAGCUCUAGAGGUUGAAAUGAAGUGAUUCCAGUGGCAUUAAAAAGCUAACAUCCAUACCUUUCUGGACAUCUAAGGCAAGAAAAUAAAAUAAGGAAGAGCAUGGAAAUCGCAGCCUUCAAAGUCAAAUCUCGCAAUCUGCCAGUGUUGACCUUCGGCCAUUCCGACUUGAAUAUCUGGAGCUACAGAAGUCCAAUUGAUGCAAACUCAAUUGUUUUGGAUUCAUGUCUCAAAGGUCUAUAAACGCUCCACAUUUCAGCCCAAACCGAUUUCAUAUGAGGGAGAUAUGAUUUUUCAAAGAUGACAACUGAAUUCUGCCAGCAAACAGGUUUCGUGAAGAAACGAGUCCAAAUUACGUUCCGAAGCAUCUAAACCGAUAUCCAAGUUUGUAUUUCAGCAAUUUAGCUCCUCUAAGUCAAAGCUUGAAGAUUUCAUGCAAGGCUAUUUCUCCUUUUUUAGGAAAAUAGUUAUUGAAGUACUUAAAUGUAAACAGUCUACUUAAUGGAGGACUAUUUUGUAAAAUAGAGACCUAGGGUUUCCUAGGAUAUAAAAAGAAUGAGAGAAGAGAAGGGGGGAGGCAGCCAAGAAGAGAAAAACGCCCCCUUCCUCUAAGAAACCCUAAAUUAUGCAUUCUUCCUUCUUUUUGAUUAGUUGUUCAACAAACAUGCAAGGCUAAACACUUUUUCUUGGUUGCAAGAACACGGAAACCUUCGGAUUUCAAGAACUGUGAGAUUUAUUUUACCUUUUCUUUUCAGUUUAUAUGAUGAAUAUGUUUGUUCUCCUAUGCUUAUUUUUCCUAUGAUUGUUUAUUUUAAUUGCUAGAGCGGACUCUAAGUUAUUAUUGUAGACAAUCUAUUGUUAAUUUUGAUAUCAAAACCGGAGUUGUGGUAUAUGAACUUGUGAAGCAACUGAGUUUAAUAAUUGUGGCGGAUCUACGUUAUUAAUCUUAGGGAGAACAUUCAAUCAAAUCAAACAUAGACUGCGGACAGUUAUGUUUUCUUGAUUAAUCAACUUAUCUAGUUCUUAAGGCUGCCAUUGAAUUAAAUUACUAGUGCGGACACUGUGGUUGUUUGAUGGUUAGGGCUAGUUAUACGGCGGAUCCGUUAACUAACCAAUGUUAAGAAGAGAUAAAUAUUCAGAAUAUAAAUUGAUGUUUCGUUUCCAUGAUCAGUUCUGAUUUUUGUAGGUGGAUGUGUGCUUCUGACCAAGGUUUGUUCUCUUGAUAAUUUUCUGAUUUUAUUAAAUUUAGUUUGAUAGUUUUCUGUUUUCUUUUGCUUUAGCCUAGAUAAUGUCCAAACCCCCCCAAAUUGCAUAUCAUCUAGCAUAAAAAUCUGACUUGAAUCUUCCUCGUGGGAUCGACCCCUUGCUUGCUCUAUACUAUCUUGUGUGUUGUGUUUGAAGCUAGGGUAAUUAAUUUGUGCGACCGCGACAUCGCAACACUUCCUACAUGGGGUGCGUUGCGUUAACAAUUGUUUUUGUAUUUAUUAACAUAUAUGAUCCUCAAUUGAUUUUAUUAUAUGUAAACAUCAACUUUUUUUAUUCACAAUUAUAUUUUUUUCUCUCGAUAUCUAAAAAUACAUCAACAACACAUAUACAUCCAUUCUUUUGUGUUGGAAAAUAUUAUCUGACCCAUAGCGAAGCGAGUUAAAUAAACACGUCAAUACCUUUUUUUUGUAUUUAUUAUUAGGGUUUUUUUUUGUUAAAAAUACAUUUGAAAAGCAUUCAUAUUUAUUUAUUUUGCUAAAAAACAUUUCUGAUCUAUAGUAAAGUGCGAGUCAAAUAACUACUAAUAUGGCUAUAGUGAGUGUUUUUUUAGUAUAUGUGGAUGUAGGUAGCAAUGUGUUAUAUUAUUAGUUAGAUAUAACUUACCUAUUCAUUAUAAAAAUAAAUAAAUAAAUAUGCUGAAACAAUAUAGUCCCCGAGAGGAAAUAUUGUGAAUUCACACAAUGUUUACUUUCUCUUUUUUUGUCCUUUUUUUAUUUAGUGAUCUUUGAUGAUGAAUUGAUUAAGAUUUGAGAUGGGUACUGUAUUUUUAUUUACCUUUUUUAUAGUUAUCUUGCUCUCAAUAAAACAUCUUGAUAUUAGAACAAUGCUCAAUUUCACAAAAAAAAAAUUAAUGUUUGUAAGAAAUUGAAAAUGAAAAGAUCAAAAUUGAAACAAAUAAAAAACUAUUUAAAAAAAAAAUGGUGUCAACUUUGCCUUUUGUUUUUUGCUUUUGAUCAUCUACUUUUUUUAUAAAAAAAAAAUUAAUAUUUCAAUGCUGUGUUAAUUGGAAUUUGAAGUUGGUAAUUUGAUAUAAGUUGGUAAUUUUAUAUGAGCAUCUAGAACUAAAUAAAAAGCCGCACCAUUGGUUUGGUGCUCGACUUUACAAAAAAAAAAUCGAUUAUAUUGUUUGAGAAAAAAUAAAAAAUAAAAAAUAAAAAUUAAAACAUGAAAAAAAAAAUAAGGGGCCUUAAAAAAACAAAUUGUGUCAACGCCUCCAUGCCUUGUAAUUUUAAUAAAUCUUCUUUUUGGUAAUGAAACUUUUUGAUACAAAACUUUAUUUUACUUGUAUUUUAAUUCUUGAGGUUGAGAAAGAAAAAAGAAAUUCAUCAAAAAAUUAGAAAGAAAAGAGAAAAUUAGCGAAAGCCAGCAAGGUAUCUGCUCGAAAAAACCAUUCAACAUAAGAUUGCUCUGCUAGGAAAACAUGAUAUCAGUAUCAAACUUUUGAACAAAGAGUUCAGCAUCAAGUCUCAGUCAUCUUGAGAUUUGAAUUGCUCAUACAACAACAUUUUUAAUAAUGCAUUAGAAACAGAACAUCAAACAAAGAGUUCAGCAUCAAGGAGAACGCAUGAAAGUCCACACAUUAAACCAAAAGAAACACAAAUGGCCAAGCAAACAUACGCCCUUACUUCUGGAGGCUUGUACGAUAAUGGGCAAGCAUCAUUGUUUUUUUUACUAUUAACCAUCACCAUCACCAUCACCAUCUUCUUCUUCUUAUACUUCUUUCCACCCUUUAUUUCUGGUCCACUCUCUAUUAAUGCUUGAAUCUUCAGCUACUUCAGAUACCUGUAAACCAAUCCAAGCAUGGCAUGCUCAUUUAACUUGUAAAUCUUAUUAUUGAGAGAAACAAGAAACAAACACACUAAAAGAGAGGCAAGAAAUAAAGUUAAAUCAUCAGCAGCACCUCUGAGCGAGCACUCAUUGAACCAUCUGGUGUAGUAGCAAAUUUUGUGGUCAGCUUUGGACAUUGAUGGACCUUCAACUUCUCCAAACGAGGGAAUAAGAAAUAAUCACACCAUCCGAAACUAAAACAGACAAUACUUGAUAAUUGUUGUAGCGACAACUCCUUUAGAUUAGGAAGCACUAUCUCCUUCUCAACGUUGAUAGGUGAAGCUUGAUCAUCCUGCCCAGGAGACUCUGGAAUUAUUUCCCUUUUACCAUCCUCUUCUCUGAUUAUAUGCUUCAAUUGACCGCAUUUACUUAUGGAAAGCCUUUCUAGCUUUGGCAGACUUUGUGUGAGGGACGGUGUGAAGAUAAAUGGCAGUUUGUCGAGAGAAUCCAAACUCAGAAUAUUAAGACUUUGGAGGCUGACAUGUCCGGUGGGCCCCUUCCAUAUGCAUUUGACCUCAGGUAACCUUCGCAGCUCUAACUUUGUUAAAGAUGACAGCAGCUCCUUCUCCUCACUGCUUCCUUCAUCAGCCUCACCUAAUUCAAAUACCUCUUCCAAUGAUUUGCAGCCGCCAACAAUCACCUCCUUUAGAUUGUUCAAAGCUCGCAGCAAUUUUGCUGGAAACGGAGCGCGAACAUCCCCACAAUCGUCCACUUGUACAAUUUCUAAUCUUUGUACGGAGCCGUUUUGCUGCACAUGGCCGGCCAUCUUAUCAGAGAACAAUAUUAUAUUUUUUCACUCUCAUAAAAACAAUUUAUAUGAUGUAUAAAUAGGAGAAAAAAGAAGAAAAAACAGGAUUACAUACUUUUUAGAGGUUACAUAUUAUUGUUUCAGUUUUUUUCUUAAUUAGAGAUAAGUUAAAUAAUAAUUAGAUUUUUUGCGAAAAAAGGUUACUACAACUCCUAAUAAUUAGUUUCAUGUAAAAAAUAAAAAUAAAAAUAGUAACUAAUAUUUUUACUUUAGUUAAAAAGUUAAUAAAUUUUUAAAGAUAUUUUAACUGAAUUAAAUAUUUGAACACAAAAUAAGCUAAUAAUAAUUAGUUUCAUGAGGCAGUUAAAUCUAACAGAUAAUAUGUUCUUUCAUAUGAUUAAUUUUUAAUAACGCAGACAACAAUGAGGCAGUUAAGUUCUUAUAUUUAUAUAUGUUUAGAUAAAAAUAAAAAUGAGCAUUUAUCAAUUACUUUACUUUUAGAAAUUGGGAGGAAGAGAGAAUAAAUUAUCGCAAUUGACAAUUUAAAUUAAGUGGAGAAAUAUAAAUUACGUACUUGUAGCUGUGCCAACCAAUUACCCACUCCUUCGUGGCCUCCAAUGGUUAAGUCUUGCAAAGGCAAUUGAGCAUCAAAAUUCCUUGGACCUAAAAAGCUGUAAUUUGAUCUGAGCCGAAGAGACACUUGUCUUAGGUGAGGGAACUUGAUGAUGCCAUCUCUGUUACGAGACAAAGAGACUGGGAAGACAUAUUCCAGUUUACCACAGUGAGAUAUGAAGAGAGUUUUUAAUAGUGGGAAGCAAGGAGACUCUGGAAUUAUUUCCCUUUCACCAUCCUCUUCUCUGAUAAUAUGCUUCAAUUUACCGCAUUCAUUUAUGUAAAGCCUUUCUAGCUUUGGCAGACUUCGAGCGAGGGACGGUGUGAAGAUAAAUGUCAGUUUGUUAAGAUUCCAAACAAGUAGACGAGCAAGAUUUUGGAGGCUGACAUGUCCGGUGGGCCCCUUCCAUAUGCAUUUGAGCUCAGGUAACAUUUCCAGCUGUAACUCUGUUAAAGAUGACAGCAGCUCCUUCUCCUCAGUGCUUCCUUCAUCAGCCUCACCCAAUUCAAAUACCUCUUCCAAUGAUUUGCAGUUGUAAAUGUCCACCUCCUUUAGAUUUUUUAAACCUUGCCGCAAUUUUGCUGGAAACAGAGUGAAAACAUCCCCACAACUGCUCACUUGUACAGAUUCUAAUUUAUGUAAAAACAAUUGCUCAAAUGUCUUCGCAUUUAAGGAUGUACCAACCAAAUUUAAUCUUGUCGAGGUUGGGUAUCCAUAAUUGGGCAGAAUCCGAUUCCCAAAUAUUAUAUGAUAUUUGCGCAAACUAACUGGAAAAACAAAAUCUCUGGGAAUGCAUUCAACCUUCGGUAUCCACAAUGAUAAUACGGCUAACUGAGACAACGAAUUUAGUUCUGUUAGGCUUGCAUUCAUUCCUCCUGUGCUGUCACAUCCACCAACAACAUCCCAUCCCUGAAAGCUUUCAUCCCCGAUCAACAGCUCUUCUAACUUCUUCAACCUUCCAAUCAAAUUCACAGGGAUCCUUCUUAGCAUUUCACAACCUGUCACAUCCAACAACCUUAACUCCUUGAGCUCUCCUAUUUCAUCAGGUAAUUCUUCAAUGGAUAAGCACCACGUAAGAACAAGAAUCUUAAGUCUCUGCAGCUUUCUCAACCAAAUGAGGUCCUUGCAUCCACACCUGAUCAACACCAACGAUUGAAGUUUCGUUGAGAGUUCAAGUGAUUGCAAUGACAAACACCCUCCCUUCAGAGACAAAACUUCAAUUUCUUUCAUCCCUUCGAAAAACUUCUCUGGAACAUUCAUACCAUCAUCCAGUUCUAAUAAUAGAACUUUGAGCUGUGGGCAUACCAAUCCUUCAGGAAGUUUUGCUAGUUUAUUGCCCAUUAACGAAAUUGUUGUACAACCUUCAAAGCUUUUAUUGCUCAUUGGCCACUCCUUCAACCCAAUGCCAACCUUUACCAUGAAUCCAUAUUCUUCUGAUGAUGCUAUCUGAAUAGCAACAUCACGAACCAAGUCAUGCAUUCUCACAUGUUCUUCAGUUUCAGUGCCCAGCAACAAACAACAAGCUUUGAGGUAUUCGAUUGCCACAUGAACUUGUUCCCUUGCAUCUUCAAUGGGCUCCCCAUCUUGAUGUAGCCCAUAGCCAACUGCAUAUCUCGUCAAGUCCUCGAUUGGAAUGUUGUAAUCUUCUGGAAAUAAACAGCAUAGCAAGAAACAUAACUUGGUUUCCUUGGACUUCAAAUAAUCGUAGCUCAACUUAAGACAUGCAUAUGCAUUUUUUUCUUCAAUUUGUUCCAUGUCCACAAAUUGAGAGUUUUUGAGCUGUUUAGACACUCUUUUCCACUGGUUUUCAGAUUUAUCUCUUAGAGCCCUUCCCAAUGUCACAAGUGCUAUAGGCAAGCCUUUGCAUUCUCUCGCAACCUUCCUUGCCACUGUGUUCAAGGUAGAGUCCCCAUCACGUAAACCUGCAUUGAUUCUGAAUAAAGCCAAUGCUUCAUCUUCAGAUAAGACUCCUAAAAACACUUUUUGCUGGCACUCCAUAGUAGAACAAAUGUGUUCAAGACGUGUUGUUAGAAGAAUUUUACAACCCCUGUGAUCAUCACCAAAUGGGAUCCCUAUCUCUUUCAAGUCAAUAUGUUUCCAAACAUCAUCCAGGAUUAUAAGCAUCUUCUUUCCCUGCAGUCUCUGCCAUAAUUCACUUGCUCUACCUUCUUUACCCGUUUUUUCAAAUUUCAGAUGUAAACUAUCUGCCAUUCGAUCCUGGAUGCCUAUGACAUUUGGAUUCUGGGACACCGUAGCCAUAAAAACUUCAGGAAAAAGCUGCGACUCUUUGGCUCUCCUGCCUACUUCUUUCACCAGGGUGGUUUUACCCACCCCUCCCAUGCCGUACAGUCCGAUCAUAUUGACGUUGUCAUCUUUGAGAGCUUUCAUAAUCUGUUCCAAAGCUUCUUUUGAAGCUUCUGAGGGCGUGAAAUCCUUUGAUGGAAGAAAUUCUAUGGGCUGAGGAGGAGCUUUGUCGGCCACUUUUGUAAACUUUGUUUCUAAAAGUUUUCUGAAAGUCUCCGACUUCUUGGCCAGUGCCUUGCUUAACUUGAAUUGUCGCAUGCAGUUUGGACACCAAGUGAAGCAUUUGCCAUUUUUUCCUAUUUCAUUUUCCAAGGGCUUCGCACCUUCAAUUUCGUUGUUUGCAUCUUCCAGCCACUUUUUGACAUCUUUGUAAAUUUCUUCAGCAUUCCUUUCAGCAGCUUUGACAUCAUCUUGCAGACGUUCUUUUGCCGAAUCCAGGUUCUCCUUUCGUUCAUUGAAUUCUUCAACAAAAUGGUUGAAACAGAACAUGUAACGGAACUGCCUUCCUACUGGUUCCACCAACAUGUAACGGAACUGCCUUCCUACUGGUUCCACCAUGAGUUCUGCUAUCUUAGAUAGAAUGGCACUUUCGAGAGCCAUUUUCCACAGGUCUGAAAAUCUAAGAAAUAAGGAUACAGAACGUGAGAGUGAGUCACUUCAAGUAAAACAGGCGCAGAGAGAGUGGGAAUAGGAAUCCAUUACCUUAAUUUGGGAAAAUAUGUGCGCAAAAGCACUGGUACUGAUAGCUCAAUGAAAUAGCGGAAGGAAGAAAAGGAGAAGGCCUUUAGCUCUGUAUGGAAUCCAGCUUCAAAAGCAACAAGGCAAGGUAUAAGUUUAACAAUAAAAUAGUUUACAUGGAUUCUAACUGACUCUUGUGAGUUAAAGCAGUAGUUCCCAUUAAAAAUGCAUUUUGAUGACAUAAUUAAGAUCAUAUAGAGACAGUGACAAACAAAUAAAAAAAUAAUAAUGUGUAAAAGUACUCACCUAGCAAAUAUAAUUGACCUAAGCUCACUUAGACGUCUCCAUGGAUGAUACCAGCUCGCUUCCAACAACAAAUAUAAUUGACCUAAGCUGUGAUAGGUCAAAUUUUUUUUAGUUUUUUUUUUAAAAAAAAAAAACAGAUCAACAAGAGAAAAGACUUACAAAGAAGUAGAAUUACUGAAAGAAACUCAUCAAAGAAUCAAACUCAAGCAAUUAAAAAUAAUUGUCUACGAUGACCAUCUCUGUAUUACACAUUCAGGUAAUAUGAUUGACCUAUAACAAUAUUAAAAAAAAAAUAAAGCUAAAAGAAUUACGUUUUUGAUAGCAUCCAGAGUGCGGUUACUUUUUUAAUCCCUCUUUUGUGGUUUUAUUUUAUUUCAGUCCUUCAAGUCUUUUUCUUUUGCUAUUUCAUCGAGUUUCUUUCUCUUGAGUUGUUGUGCUUGCCCUCGAAUAUGCAUUAUGCUAGGAAUUACAAUUACAUUACAUAAAAAAUUAUAAUUACAUAUUACAAUUACAAAUUUUAAAAAAUAAUUAUGAGAAAGGACCAAUGUUACAAUGUGAACAAAUGAAAGGAGAAUUUUAAAUUUUCUUGUGACAUGGUGACCAGGUAAUUCAAGGAACCAAUAGAUUAUCGCCACAUGUUCAACCAUAUCUCCACAUGUUCAACCUUAUAUUGUAUUGUGACAUGGAGAUAAAGGUCAUCUAAAAAGCUAAUAGAUGGUCGCCCCGUGUUCAACUUUAUCUACCCAUUAGGAAAGGAUAGAAAGUGGGAGAGAGAAAGGUUAAAAAGGCUUAAAAAAGAAAAAGGAAAAGGAGAGACAGAAAUAAAAGAAAGGCUGAGAAAAAGGAAAGGACGUGGAAAUAGAAGGAGAGAUUGAGGGAGGCAGAAAUGGAAAGGGACAUAGAAAGAUCGGAGGAGAGUAAGAAAAAAAUAUGAAUAUGUGAUGUCCUAUUUCUGAUAAAAAUACUCUGUUUUUUUUUAUUUAAAUGGGAUUUUUUUAUCUUUUAUUUGGAAUUUCUUUGGACACUUAAAUAAUAUAAUAACAAAAAAAAAUUAAAAUAUUGAUGAAAUUAAAACCAAUAGUAUUUUUUUCUAUAUUUUAAGUUUUAGUUUUUAAUAGCCUCGUUUGAUUUUUAUUUUUAUUUUCAUGCUCUUAUAAAUAAUGCAGGAAAUGAGGACCUGAAAUCACAACAGCGAAUAAAAAGAGAAAUAACGUGUUUGUUAUUAAGUAUUAAAAAAAAAUAUUUUAUUUUAUUUUUAUUUUAAAUUAAUUUUUAAAAAACUAGCUUGAAAAUUAGUACGAAAAAUAGUGAUAAUAGAGUAGAUGUCCAAAUCAAAACAUAUAAAUAGAGUAUUUUAUAAAUAUUUUGGAUAAAAAAUAGGUUAAAAACAAGUUUUUAAAUAAAAAAUCAAGCUUUAUUAUUUUAUAUAAUUCAAAUAAAAUCAAUAUAUUUAGUUGUUCAAAAUUAUAACUCAAGUUCUGUCAUGUCUUUUUAGAAGGAAAAAAAAAAACGCUUGUAACAUAGUGCAGUGCAAACAGAAGAGACAUCUGGUUUUUAUUGAGAAAAAGAAAGGAAAAAAAAUAUAUAUAUAUAUAUACUCUCUCUUCCAAUUUCCUCUCCCAGCUGAAUUUUGGCGACCGCUCACACAACGAUAGCCUACACAACCACCAGCCAUGCCACCUUUCAAGACCCCAUCUCUCAAUCUCAAAACCAGAAACAACCCUUUCUCCAUUUAACCGAACCUCAUAACUCCGAGAAAGUGAAGGACUAAACCAUAGUGGCAAAAAUCUAAAUUAUCUCUGUUACUUUUCCUCAAUUUUCUAGACAAGCACAAGGAGCUAAACUUAUUCCCGACCAAAACGUCAAGAAUUUCAGUAGAACAAAAGAAGAGAUUAUUACUUGACCAAAAAUAACUAGUUAGCACCCAAAGAAACCGAGUGAAUGAGAGAAAAAGACUAAUAGCUAGAAAACAAUCAACAGAUCCAAGAAUUUUCUGUAUGGUUUCCAAGAAAAUGAAACGAAAUGAGCAGCACAACCCUCUUUCUCCUCCAAGAAAAGAAAGAAAAAGAAAGGAAAGAAACAAAGAAAGUCAAACUUGGCUCCUCUUUUAGUGUUAAAAAAAAAAACAAAGAAGUUCGAGGAAGUGGGCAGCCUUUUUUCUGAUGUUCAUGUGGUGUUCUGCUGUUCACGCAGACUAAGAACUCCUACCAUCGUAAAAUCAUAUAAUUAAAACACAACAAUAAAAAAGUAAAAAGCAGCUAAUUAUGUGCGAAAAUCAGAGAAAUAAGGAUACAGAACGUGAGAGUGAGUCAUUGCAAGUAAAAGAGGCGCAGAGAGAAUGGGAAUAGGAAUUUCAUUACCUUAAAUUGAGAAAAUAUGUGCGAAAAGCACUGGUACUGAUUGCUCAAUGAAAUGGAGAAGGCCUUUAGCUCUGUAUGGAAUCCAGCUUCAAAAGCAACAACGCAAGGUAUAAGAAUUUUGAUGACAUACUUAAGAUACUAUGCGUAGUAAUAUAGAGACAGUGACAAAGAAAUAAAGAAAAAUAAUGUGUAAAAGAACUCACCUAGCAAAGAAAGAAACGAAUGAAAGGUUCAGGAUAAUCACUUAGACGCCUCCAUGGAUGAUACCAGCUCGCUUCCAACAACAAAUAUAAUUAACCUAAGCUAUGAUCGGUCAAUGUUUUUUUUAGUUUUCUUCUUUUAAAAAAAAAAAAAGAUCAUCAAGGGAAAAGACUUGCAAAGAAGUAGAAUUAAUGGAACGAACACAACAAAGGAUCAAACUCAAGCAAUUAAAAGUAAUUGUCUGUGUCACACACUCAAGUGAGGAGAGAAAAGAAGGAGAAAGAAAGGAAAGGGACAAGGAAGGCAGAAAGUAAGGUCACGUAGGGCCAGUCUUGUAGAAAGUUUGAAAAGUAGCAUGAAAGAAGAGGAUAAUAGUGUAGUUGUCAGAAUCAAAACACGUAUAAACAGAGGACAAAAACAGGAAGGGAGGCUGUUUGUUUUUUUAACUGUGUCUGAGUGCUUUUUAUAAUUAUAUUUAAUUUAAAAAAUAUUAAAUUAAUAUAUUUUUUAAUAUUUCUUGUUAUAUAUAUAUAUAUAUAUAUUUAAUAUUUAAUAAAUUUUUAAAUAAAAAAUAUUUUUAAAAGUAUGUGUCACAAUACAAAAUUAUAGUAUAAAUUAAAAGAAAAAGGAGUUUUAUGCUCAUUACUAUUUACUGGACUUGUAGAUAUUAAUAAUAAAGUUUUUGAAAGUUUUCGAUCUAGUAUUUGAACUUAUUUUUUUUUGCAUAAUUGAAUUUUUUUAAGCUUAAUUGCAUAUUUGUUUUUUAAGGAAAUAGGUUGAAUUGAGAAACAGACAAACUCGGCAAAAAUAUGUGGUUAAAAUCAAUCCAUUUUUUUUAAAAAAAACUACUUGGUUGUUAAGGAAAGAUUGGUAGUGUGAACAAAUCACCAAAGUCAGCAGCAAGGAAGUUCUAGGAAGUGGGCAGCCUUUCUUCUACUGUUCAUGUGGUGUUCUGCUGUUCAUUGGACAGUGCAAUUAACGUGAACAGUGCAAAAAAAGCGAGGAAUUCUUGCUUUGCAAAUACUGCAUUUCCAACGCAGAAAAAAGAUGGGACCCAGUGAACAGUAUACCACAUUUUUAUUUAACCAAGCGGCCCAAACGGGCUCUAAGAACUCCUACCAUUGUAAAAUCAUAUAUUUAAAAUACAAUAAUAAAAAUGUAAUACGCAGCUAAUUAAUGUAUUAAGCAGCUAAUUAAUGUUGUUGUUCUUUCUUCUUGUUUUGCUAUUUUGAUUUUAUUGCAUGUUUCAAAAAAAGUAUGAUUGUGAAAGCUAGCCAAACCAUUAGAUCAAAGUAAUCUAAGAUGGUUUUUGAGAGUGUAGUUGUCGUUAUUUUUCACUCGGAAAUACAUCAAAAUAAUAUAUUUUUUAUUUUUUAAAAAUUAUUUUUGAUAUUAGCGUAUCAAAAUUAUUUGAAAACACCAAAGAAAUAUUAGUUUGAAGUAAAAAAAAAUAAAAAAAAUUUCAAAAGUGCUUUUGAAACGUAAAAACAAACAGAGUCUAGUGUAGUUGCGUCCAACGUUGUCCCGAGGUACUUUUUAUAAUCUAAAUUUUUUAAUAUAUUUUUUUAUUUAAUUAUGCAAUAUAUUCAUAGAAAACACUCAAAAUAAAAUUAUUGACAAAAAAAUAUAUAUUUCUUAAAAAUAUUUUUUUAUUGAAAACAUAAUUUUUUAAUUCAUGCAUUUUUUUAUUUAAAAAAAAUGUAUUUUUUAUGAGUAACAUUAUUUUGCUCAAAUGUCCCUAAUACAUAAUUAUUUAUAAAGUAAUGAAAAUAUCAUAAUAAAAAUUCCUAAUCUUCUUGAAAACAAUUAAAUAAUUGAACAAUUACUUAAAUAUUUUUUUAAUAAAUUGAUUGAAAGAAAUUUUUUAUUAAAAAUAAAGAAUAAAGAAUAACAUGAUAUCUAAGAUAAAGGUCAUACAAGCCUUCAAAGAUAAUAUAUGUAUGUGUAUAAUACAAAUUAAUAAAUUAUAAGUAGCAAUAUUUAAUGCAAGUUUAAGAAUAAGAGUUUGCUUUGUGUUUUGUUGUGAGAUUAACCAUAUCAAAUUAUAUAUUUAAUAAUAAAUAAUUGUGUUGUGUUAUGAGUAAAAUCAAUAAAUUAUUUGGUGUUAUGCUGUCUUGUUGUUUGAAUUAAAAUUAUUAUUAAGAAUAUAAAUUAAAUUAAAUUAAAUAUUGAAAAAACUAAAUGAAUUGCUUAAUAAAUAAAUAAAUAAAUUCUUUCUUUAGAAAGCAUGGAAAUGCCAUGACAUUGGCUUUUUAGAGAAUACUACGAUAUUAAUAGCCAAAAAAGUUAUCGAUAGCUGUGUAAAUCAUUGAAAUUGCCACAAAAGCAACCCAAAUUAUUUAUGAAUUGGAUUCGAUGGAAGGAAGAUGGGAAGGGGGAAAUUAAAGAGACAUGAAGAUCUGUGCAUGGCUACCUGUUUUGAGAAUUAUAGAUUUUUAUCCCUAACUCAAAACGGCACCAAUUAUAAGUUCAUUCAAAAAAAUCUGGAACACAAAAGAUGGAAAAAACUCGAAACAACUCGUCUAGAAUUUAGGCAAGAAGAAUGAGCCAAGAUUUUAAGUGAAAUGAAAUUUGUUUUACUUUGUUCUGUUUUUUAAAAUGAUAUAAGACAUACUACCUAUUUAAGGUGAAACAAAUGGAAUCGACAACCUUUAAAGAGAGUAGAGGCCACAUAUGUGUCACUCGUAUUCAAUAGCCUUUCUCCCAUACUGACAUGUGUUUUACACGCACCAACAUUUCUUUCUCUUUUAUUCUAUAAUAUUCAAUAUCGGUGAGUGAGGAUUUGGUAGUUGGCCUUAUUAGUAGUGUUGGUUGUUGACUUGUCAAACACGUUUUGGGCCCAUGCGUGGUCACCAAGAACAAAUUCGUGAGGGCGAUAAGGCCCAGAAAGAUAAUAUCUAGUAGGUUCAGUCAGGCUAUGACAUAUUCGAUAAUAACUCUUCAAUUAAGUCCUAAAUCUCAUUUUAUCUUUUCAAUUUAAUCCCUAAUUUGACACCAACUCUUCAAUUAGACCCCAAAGCUCAUCUCACAUGAGGAAAGCCCUCUUUUUUCAAUUUAGCCCCUUAUUAUCUUCAAUUUAAUAUCAAAUUUUAUUCGAUCCAGGCCCAAAAAAGGCUAAGCGAAGAUAGAAUAAAGGAAGGGAAAGAAGAUGAAUAAUUGCCCAACUGAGUUAACGUGUUCUGGUCUUUUCUCUAUGAUUCGGGUUGAACAUUUGACAUUUAUCCUUUUUUUCCUAUAGUCUUUUCUCCAUAUUCGUUGUGACGCCGCACACGUGCGACAACCAGUAAAUCUAUAGUUAAUUUCAUUUUUUGAUAAAAGAUAAUACCAUCGGUAUAGAAUGGUUACCAACUGUUAGUUUAAUAUGCCUUGUAGCCAAUCGGUUAGUUAUACAAGGUAUUAUUAUAUUCAUGUAAAUACAUAUUUAUUAUUAAUAAAGCCUUAAUUUAACUUUAAUAUUCAUAUAAUAUUAGAUUAAUGAAUCUAGAGUGUAGAUAAAGUUUAUGAGACAAAAAUGCUUUGCAAAGGAAAUUAUAAAGUUGUUAUAAUUAUGAGAUUUUUAAUGCGUCAAAAUAUUGUUAAUAAAAUGUUCUUGGUUGAUGCUCUCUUAAAUACUGGAUAUUUAUUAGAGCCAUAAAGACUGAUACAUAUUAUGUUUUUUCCUUUAUGAAAUGAAGCAACUGUUCUCAUAAGUUGAGCUAUAAGGGAUAUCUAAAACUAAUAUGUAUGUGCUUGUCAUAAGACAUGUGCACUGAAUUGACCCGCAUGAGAAUUCCAUAUGGAGAGAUUACCUAUGUCUAUGGAAAGACUCACGUGACGGUUGUAUAUGUAAUCCUCGGACUUGAGAUCACUAAGUUAUCUUAUAUAGAGAAUGUUAUGCUUUGAUCAUGUUACAUGUUAUCUUAAUUGAGGUAACAAAAUGAUAGACAUUGGGUAUAUCAUGAACUAUAUGAAGGUAUUUGAGUGAUUAAGAGAGGAUUUCAUCAUCCUGUGUGAAUUAGAAAAAAUGUUCAAUCUGUUCUCAAAUAGUAUUGACUGAGAAAUCCUUGACCAAUGUGGAAUGAUAUUUAAAAAGGGUUUGAAAUCUUAUUCAAAUGAUCAAUUAGUAUUAUUUAGAGAAUGAACAUAAUUUAACAUGACAAAUAUGCUUCAUGCUUUAAUGUUAAAUAAGAACAUUAGUGAUAAAAUGGUAUUAAUUACAAUGAGAAACCGGUAAUUUAAACCACUAAUAACUUUUCUAAUAUUUAGGGUAUCAUGACACGUUACUAGACAAUACACAUGAUCUUCAAAUCUUCAAUUGUAAUUUAUUUAAUUAUAAUUAUAAUUUAUAUUUGGGCCAAUAUAUUAAAUUGUGAUGAUUUAAUUAAGUAUAACUUGAUUAAAAUAUAUUUUAGAAAUUAAGGACUACAAUAUAAGUAAUACAAGGAUUAUAUUUCCAGAUCUAGAAAAAUCAGGUAAGGACUAGUGGUUCAUGUGGAUUACCGUUGAAGGACGAACAAUUGGACGACUUCUAGUUUGCAACAACUCAGUCUUUAAAAAAUUAUUCAAAACCGAAAAUGAUCAAAUUUUCAGGUAAUAAAUCCCUAAACAACUCUAGAUCUGUUUAACGAGAUUCUAGAAACUCCUGAAUAAUUUUAUUUUAUUACUUCAGCUGCAUAUUUGUUAUUCGACAAACCCAACACCAACUUCAUUGUUGGUUUAACAUUUCUUUUACAUGUUGGGAAUUUGGUACUAAUGGAUGUAUUUUCUUAAGUUGAAAUAAUGCCACACAAGAAAGGUUAAAAAGGCUCUUAAAAAGAAAAGAAAAGGAAAGACACGGUUGAGAUAAGAGGACAAAGGAAGAAAGUGAAUGGGACAACGGAAGAAAGUAAGGUAUUGUAGAGAAGAGGAGAUGAAAGUUAGUAUGAGAAAGAGGAUGAUAGAUAGAGUGGUUGUCCAAAUCAUAGUGGUUUUUAUAAUUAUAUUUAAUUUAUACAAAUAUUAAAUUAAUAUAUUCUUAGUAUUUUAUAUGAUUUAAUUUUUUUUUUGAUGAUUUAAAAAAUAUGUGUAUAAAAAAUUAUUUUAAUAUAUUUUAAAAUUAAAAGAAAAUGAGGUUUUAUGUUCAUUACCAUUUAAUUGUGGACAACAAUAGUGUAUUUUUUGAAAAUUUUCAAUUUUAUACUUAAAUUUUUUUUCAUAAUUGAUCCUUUUUAAUUAAAAUUAGAGUCGAAUUACAUAUUGUUUUAAGGAUGAGAGUUGAAUUAAAAGACAGGGGACUAAAGUUAAAAACUCAGCUAAAAUAGAUGGCAACUCUAUAAUUUGUUUGCAAAGUUCAUUUUAGUUCCCUGUUUUUUUAAGCUAUUAAAUAAUAAGUCCCUAUAAUUUUCCAGCAUUGCAUUUUGAAUUUUUUUUAUUAAUACUUUUUUAUAUAUAUUUUUGAAAAUAAUUUUAAAAAUGAUGUUUUUAUUAAUACCCUUUUUCUAUGAUUUUUUUUGGCCUUAUGUAGUCUUUCUUCAAUUAUUUUUAAUUUUGUUGCUUGUGUUUAAUUUUUUAAGAGGUUAGUAAUAUUUAUCUGUAAAUAUUUUUUAUAUAUUUCAGAUAGAUUAAGUAUCUAAUUUUUAUAAUAAUUUGAAUAUGUGUAGCCUUGCAUAGUUUUUUUUUUCCUUUUAUGAUAUUAAAAAAAAAUUAUGUGUGUGUUGAUUUCUAUUAUAGAUUGAUUUUAGUAAACAAAUUCAUUAAAUAUAACCAGAUAAAUGAUCCAUGUUGCAAUAUUAAAUAUUUUAUCUAUAUUUGUUUCUUAAUUUUUCCACUUGUAUUUUUAAUUAUCGGUAAUGACUUUAUUUUUUUCAUUUAUUUACAUAAUUGUUUGUGAUUUAUUUAAUUUGAUGCGUGUAUAAAUUUUUUGAUUUACAUUUAAAAAAAAUUUAAUAUAAAAAAACAUGUUGAGAAAUUCUUAUUCUUAUGAUUUUAGUUUGAUCCUUAUUCUUAUGAUUUCUUAUUUUCUUUCUAACCCUUUUAUAAAACAAAAAAUUGUUUGUAAUUUUAUCCUUCAUUUCAACAUAAUGAUGUAUUUUUUUCCUUAUAUAUAUUCUUGUUUGUUAUUAUUGCUUUUUUUCUUUAUAUAAUUCAUAUAAAACCAGCUUAUUUAAUCGGUCAAGACUAAAUAAAUAAAUAAAAAGAUAUACUCUGUCUUCCCAUUUCCUCUCCCUGGUGAAUUUUGGCGACCACCCACACAAUGAUAGCCUAAACAACCACCAGCCAUGCCACUUUUCAAGACCCCAUCUCUCAAUCUCAAAACCAGAAACAACCCUUUCUCAUAAUUCCGGGAAAGUGAAGAACUAAACCAUAGUGGCAAAAAUCUUAAAGGGUCUAAAUUAUCUCUGUUACUUUCCCUCAAUUUUCUAGACAAGCAAAAGGAGCUAAACUUAUUCCCGACCAAAACGCCAAGAAUUUCAGUAGAACAAAAGAAGAGAUUGUUACUUGACCAUAAACAAUUAGUCCGCACCCAAACAAACUGAGUGAAUGAGAGAAAAAGACUAAUAGCUAGAAAACAAUCAACAGAUCCAAGAAUUUUCUGUAUGGUUUCCAAGAAAAUGAAACGAAACGAGCAGCACAACCCUCUUUCUCCUCCAAGAAAAGAAAGAAGAAGAAAAAGAAAAAGAAAAAGAAAGGAAAGAAACAAAGAAGUUCGAGGAAAGAAAAAGUAAGGAAGAUGAAACCAUAAACCUGCAAGUCCUACAAAUCAUAAACAUUGACUUUGAUUUUUCCUUUAUAAAACCAUAAACCUGCAAGUCCUACAAAUCAACAUGAAGACUUAUCAGAUCCUAAUGAAAAGCUGUCAAAAUCCUAUCAGAAAUUAAGGAAGAUGACGUUACGUUAACUUCAAAUCUGAGGAUUAAUUGUAGCAGAUCUUAUAGGGUUCAGCUGAUUGCUUUACUUGUUUAAAUAAUUCUCUUGUAAGCCUAAUGGUUCACGUCUUCCAUCAUUGCAACCUUUUUUUCUGUGAUUGAAAAAUCUAUAAUAGGAACCUGCACUGCAUCCCUUCUAUGCUGUUGUUCUUUCUUCUUGUUUUGCUAUUUUGAUUUUAUCAUAUUUUCUAUGAUGAAAGUUGAAGAAAUUCUACUUCGAAACUCAAGACAAAGUCUCUCGGACUGCAUAUUAGUGGGUUGCUCAUUGGGAUUUCUAUAAACAACUGAUUCUAUUGCAAAGCAACAUUACGAAAAACUGAAUAUUUCACACAUUGUCAAUUCCUUAACAUUUUCCAAACAAAUCCAUGCUCCUCAUUUUAUACUGUCUUGAGGGUUUCUAUUCUCUUAUUACCAAUUUCAGUAAGUUUCAUAAUAAGCUGCUUAGAAAGAAGCUAUCUAACAGGAGGGUGGGGCUACUCUUAGCCAAUGAAAACAGCUUCACAUGCUAUACAGCAACGUGAAAAAAAGAUUCUCAGCCUGUUCUCUCUUUAAUUGAACCAGUUAUUUUUCUCAAAAAUAAAAAAAGUAAACCGUUUUCUAAAAAUCUAAUUUAUAAUAAAACAAAUAAUAAGACUUGAUAAUAAUUCACUAAAUAACCAUUAAUUAUUCAUCAAACCAAUAUGAAAAAUCUAAUAUUAAAGCUAGGGACCAAUCUGGAAUUUUAUUAUAUUUUUAGGGGUCAAAUUAUAAUUUUAUUAAAUUGGAGGACCAAACUAAAAAUAUCAUAAAUUCAUGACUAUACUGGAAUUCUGCUCAUAAUUCACCCUCAAUUCUGCUCAGAAUCUCAAAUUAUGCUCCAAGGAUCACUCUAGAAUUUUAUCAAAUUUCUAGGGUCAAAUUGUAAUUUCAUCAAAUUGGAGGACCAAAGUGAAAAUAUCAUAAAUUCAUAACUAUACUGGAAUUCUGCCCAUAAUUUAACUUUAAUUCUGUCCAGAAUCUCGGAUUAUGCUCCAGGGACCAAUCUCUAAUUUUUCCAAAGUUCAGGGACUAAACUGUAAUUUUCAUAAAUUGAGAGACCAAGCUGAAAUUUUAUAAUCUUCAACCUCAAACCCAGAAUUUACACAGAUAACCUACUGAUAUAUCAAGAUUUCUAACUUAAAUUCACCAUAACUUAAAAUAAUUAUUUUUACCUAAAAUCUUUCAAAAUCAACUAAAUAACUCAUUACCCAUAACAAUCUACUCAUAAUUUUUCUGUAAUGUAAUUGUAAUUCCUAGCAUAAUGCAUAUUCAAGGGCAAGCACAAAAACUCAAGAGCAAAGAAACUCGAUGAAAUAGUAAAAGAAAAAGACUUGAAGGAUUGAAAUAAAAUAAAACCAAAAAAGAGGGAUGAAAAAAGUAACCGCACUCUGGUUGCCAUAAAAAACAUAGUUCUUUUAGUAUUUUUUUUUUAAUAUUGUAAUAGGUCAAUCAUAUUACCCGAGUGUGUGAUACAGAGAUGAUCAUCAUAGAAAAUUACUUUUAAUUGCUUGAGUUUUAUCCUUAGAUGACAAACUUACCUCGUCCUCCUAAUGCUUUUGCUUUUGCUUUCAUUGUUUCGAAAGUAAAAGAGACAUAAACAUAAUCAUUUCCUUCCUUUUACUUUCCACUUCUUUGUAAUGGAUUGCGAACGGGAUGGUGCUUAGUGAGGCCAGUUUUUCUUUUCCUUUCUUUUUAAAAUCUUAUGCCUUGGGUGAGGAAAUUAGUGGGGCAUUAGACUUUUUAAAAGACAACAAAAAGAAGCAAUGUCUGAUCAUCUUUUGAUAUGGUGGUCUUCCAUGAUCAGUUUUCGAAAGAUUCGAGUCUCCGUUCUAGCUCAGGUUGGGAGCUAGGCCGAAAGCUAAGCUUCUUUUAAUUAUGAAUUGUUUAUGCAAAGGAAACCCAGAAGCUUGAACAAACAGAAAUGCCUUGUUGAUUUCUCUGCUACUACUCAUUAUUUCCAAUAUUAUUCCAUUAUCUUACCCGAAAGCAAUUAUACAAGAAAUUUCAUUAUCCUGCCCCAGAAGGCAAUUUAUUACAAGGACUUCCUUUAACCUCCUUGAAGGCAAUUUAUUUGAUGAAAAUUCCUUUAAUCCACCUCAAAGACAAUUUAUCUUAGGGAAUUCCAACGACCCAGGAAAUUUAUUUCCUGGAAAUUCCUUUAACCCGCCCUAAUUAAGUCAUUUUAUCCAAGGGAAUUCCAAAAUCAAUUUAUUUCUUGGACUCAGUAUUCUUUGAUACUAGUUAUUUAUAUAUAAUUUAACAUCACUUAAUCAUCUUGCAUUUAAGAAGAAAUUCAAAAGUAAGGAUAUAACCCUUACCUAGAGCUCCUGUGGUUCUUGUUCCCGAGAGAAUUGGCUCCAUUCCUGACAAAUCUAUUACCAAAAACCCAAGUUUCAACCAAUCAAUAACAUCAACACCCAUUUUAAUUCAAUGCAAUAAGUUUUUCUUAACCAAUUUACUUGAUGCAAGUUCUUAUAAUCAAAGUGACAGUACUAUUCAGGAUGAAGACAAGCAGAAGGGCGUGUAUUAAUUUUAUUUUUUAAUGUUCAGCUUUUUUUAUUGAAUUUUAUUUGUCAAUAUUGAAUUAAUUAUAAAUUAAUUUUUAUAUUUUUUUUUAUCAUAUAUAAAAAAACAAAGUAAUCUCAUCUUUUGAUACGGUGGUCCAAGAUGCACCAUGACAUGGUUGUACGUAGUUUUUUUUUGCCUGUUUCUUUUAAAAAUGUUAUGUCAUUUAAUUUAUAAUUAUAAAUUAAUUUUUUUUAUUGGUCAUUUUAAUUUUUUUUACUUUUUUUAUAUAUAAUUUUUUAAUUUUAUAUUUUAAUGUUGAGUUUUUUUAUUAAAUUUUAUUUGGCUAUAAACCAGAACUUUUUAUUUUUUAUUUUUUGGACAAGUAGAGAGAAAUUAAAUAAACAAAGUAGUCUCAUCUUUUGAUAUAGUUGUAGUUUUUUAUUAUUUGAUUUUUGCCUUUUUCUUUUAAAAAUGUUAUCUCCUUGGUAAGGAAUCCUUGGUUCCCAACGGCAACUGUAGCAACGUAAAAACAAAUCUCUAAACUCCACCGAAAGUAGUAGAGCAUUAGUUUUUUAAAUUGACAAAACGGGGACAAAGUGGGAGCGAAGAAAAAGACAAUAGUGCAUGUUUAAAACAUGCGAUACACCGUAUAUAUGACAAUAAUAAAACCACCGUUUAAAACAACUCUGAAAACAAAUUUUUUUUUAUAAUUCAUAAUUUAUUAAACAUGCGAUAAAAUAAGUCAUAGUGCAUGUUUUCAUUUGGCAUUUAAUUCCAUGAACAUGAUUUUUUUAGAUUAAUAUGAAUAUCCGGAUUAGCUUGUGUACCUCAACUAAUCCCAUGAAUCCUAAAAUUAACGAUAAUAUAAGUAUCUAGUGGCCCUGAAGUUUGUGAAAUUUGAACUUAUAAUUUUUAGAGAGCAAAUUCAGGAUCUGAUCAAUUGAGCUACUUUCCUCAUAUUUUCAUUAAAUCUUACUUUUCGAUCAAAUUAAUGUGACCAUAAUAUACUUGUAAUCAGACCAUUAAUUGACUGUUCUUGACUAGCUAUUGUUUCUCAUUGGCAAGAGUCAUUGCCAAUUAUCAUAACAUGUUAGUGAUCUAUUACAACUAGUUCUAGCAUCUACAGAGUUCUUAUUUAACCAUUAAAUCAAUUUAUAAAACAUUAUUGACUAGCUAUCUAACACUAACAACUAAUCACUGAUAAUAUUUAUGCAAAACUUGUAGCUUCAUACAAAUCACAGUUGCUCCUCGUUUGAUACUUUCUUGAAGGUUUCUUUUCUCUUAUUACCAAUUUCUGUGAGUUUGUGAUUUUUUAUCUGUACCGUAUCAUCCGAACAAUUACUAGAACCACACAACUAAUAUGUAAAUUCACAAAUUCCCUACAGUUCAUAUUGCCAACAAACUCCUCUUGCCAUUCCCUAAUUGCAUUGAGCCAACUAAUCUGGAUGAAAGAAAGGACUUCGACCUUGCUAAUCUGGAUGAAAGAAAGAAAGGAACCUUAAAGCAGACCCAACUUUGUAGCUCAUUACCAGUUACGUAAAAGUUAUCAAUAGCUGUGUGAAUCAUUGAAACUGCCACAAAAGCAACCCAAAUUAGUUAUGAAUUGGAUUCGAUAAAGGAAAGAGGGGAAGGGGGAAAAGACAGAUGAAGAUCUGCGCAGGGUUACCUGUUUUGAGAAUUAUGGAUUUUUAUCCCUGUCUAACGUGACAAAACCUUCUCUUAGACUUAGACCUGUUUCAUUGGUCCAUAAAUGCAUUUGCUAGACUAUCAACAUAAUUUAUCUUGGGCAAAUCUUCAUCUAGUUAUGGUAGACUCACACCUGACUGCUUAUAAUCACUAAUUAUUAUAGAAUUGACUACAUCAAAAUUGGUCGGUUUUUUUGUUUUCAAAGAGAUUUAAACUUGAUGCAGACGAAAGCUAUAAACACAAUAAUUAAAGAACACCAAAAAAUAUAUGAGCAAAAGAGACUGUAGAUGUGAACCCUCAAAUUCCCAAGUUUAUUUUCUCUAAAAUAAUAAUAAUAAAAUUUUUCUUCUCAGGAGGUUUACAAAGCCUUAAAUAUGUUAGGAACCUUACCUCAACUAGGAAACAAAAACAGAAACCAAAAUUACAAAGGAAAGAAAUAUAAAAUCCAAAACAAGCAAGAAAUGAAAAAAUAACAAGGAAAAUCACAAAACUGUCAAAACUAGAGGCCUAAACAAGAUUUUUUAUAUUUAAAGAUUCGAUGGUUCACGUGAAAAUUUGAGCAUGAUCAAAUAAUCAAAUAAAAAAUUAUAACUUUUUGAGUUUUUAUUCUGGUCUGACGCGACCAAACUUCUUCUUGAUCCUAAACUUGUUUUAUUGGUCCAUAAAUACAUCUCCAUGACCUCUUUUUUUUUGUUUCACUAUAGAUGAAGUUUGACCAUCAUCAUAUAUGGUUUGACUUAGCCGUAUCGGUUUUCAAUUAGAUCAACUUCAUAUAUUAUGGGUUUACAUUUACUAUUUUUUAAAAAAAUGCUCACAAGUCCAUUUUUCACACCUCAAACUCGUAACUGCAGCGAUUCGUAGGCAACGAAACUAGUUAGAGACUAGAGAGUAAACAUGCUACUAAAGUUUGCAGGUGAGGGUUUAGAUUAGAUUAUUUGUUGUCUUGUUUCAAAUAUUAUAUCAGUCUCAACUCAUUAAAUAAACAAGUGGUGCAUUGAUCCUUGGACUCAAAUCAUAUAUACACGGUGAGCUCAUUUGUGUUUUUAUUUUUUGUCCCUCCCUGUACUUGUAGCAGAAGAGAAGCUGCUCUCAUCUUUGAAGGAAUGCAAACAAUUGUUAAUAUGAAACAUAUUAUGUACAAAUUAUAAUAUUUGUAAGAAGCCGUUUUGCUGCCCACCGGCGGCCAUCUGAUCAGAGAACAAUAUUAUAUUUUUUAAACCCUUCACUCUCAUAAAAACAAUUUAUAUGAUUUUAAAUAGGAAAACAUAGAAAAAAAUAUGAUUAAAUAUUUUUAGAGAUUACAUAUUAUUGUUUUAGUUUUUUUUCUUGAUUAGAGAUAGGUUGAAUAAAAGUAGUAAUAAUUUAUUUUUGUGAAAAAGGGUUACUACAACUCCUGAUAAUUAGUUUCAUGUAAAAAAUAAAAAUAAAAAUAGUAACUAAAAUUUAUUUUAGUUAUGUUAAUAAAAUUUUAAUUAUAUUUUAAUUGAAUUAAGUAUUUCAACACAAAAUUUUUGUUCUUAUACAGUUAUAUAUUAAUUCUAACAAAAAAUAUGGUUUCUAUGUUUAAAUUUUGGUAUUAAUAACGCAUAUAACAAUGAGGCAGUUAAGUUUCUUCGACAAAAUAAAAUCAUUUAAAAAAUAAAAAUAAGCUAGUAUGUUUGUUACAUAACUAAAAAAAAAUCGAUUUUUUUUUAAAUUAAUUUUUUUAAAAUCAUUUUAGUAGACUGAUAUUAAAAAUAAAUUUUAAAAAAUAAAAAAUAUAUUAUUUUGAUAUAUUUUAAAAAAAACAUUAUGAAAAGAAAUUGUUAAUAUUUGUUAAAACAUUAUUGUUAAUAUUUCUGGUCGUUUACUAAAUAUAUAAUGACAUGUGAUUGGAAUAACGUAUGUGAACUUGUACAAAACUUAAUAAAUGAGAAAACUAAGGUAGCCGGUCACGUGGGCUUAAUGGACCUCAAUACAAGUUUUUGAUAUUUACUUUCACGUGUGUUUUAUGAGAAAACUAAGGUAGCCGGUUUCUGAUAAUAUGAGCUGAAUCAAUCAAGCUUAAGAAGCCAAUUUGUAUCCCAUUGCCAAUGAAACAGUUGGAAUUAAUUACUUCCCACCAAUCUAAAACAUAUUCGCAGCACCAACCUUGAAAUCAUGUAACAGCUAACCAACCUUGCCUGAUGCAAACAUGAAGAACAAAGACAAUCCAUGAUUUAAUUCAACCAUUAAAAUUUGAAGGUAAAGGAGAGGAUAAAUAAUCUUCAGCUAUAUCACCUGGUUUGGGCAAGAAAGAAUUAUUAGACUACCAAUCAUCAUCAUUCUUCCCACCCGUUAUCUCGGGUCCACUCUCUAUUAAUGCUUGAAUCUUCAGCUACUUCAGAUACCUGUAAACCAAUUCAAGCAUGGCAUGCUCAUUUUAACUUGUAAAUCUUAUUAUUGAGCCAAACAAGAAACAAACACACUAAAAGAGAGGCAAGAAAUCAAGUCAAAUCAGCAGCACCUCUGAUUGAGCACUCAUUGAACCAUCUGGUGCAGUAGCAAAUUUUGUGGUCAGCUUUGAACAUUGAUGGACCUUCAACUUCUCCAAACGAGGGAAUAAGAAAUAAUCACACCAUCCGAAACUAAAACAGACAAUACUUGAUAAUUGUUCUAGUGACAACUCCUUCAGAUUAGGAAGCACUAUCUCCUUCUCAACGUUGAUAGCUUGAUCAUCCUGCCCUGGAGACUCUGGAAUUAUUUUCCUUUCACCAUCCUCUUCUCUGAUAAUAUGCUUCAACUCACCACAAUUACUUAUCUCAAGUCUUUCUAGCUUUAGCAGACUUUGAGCGAGUGACUGAGUAAAGAUAAAUGUCAGUUUGUCGAGAGAAUUCAAAUACAGACGAGCAAGACUUUGGAAGCUGACAUUCCUGGUGGGCCCCUUCCAUAUAUAUUUGAGCUCAGGUAACCUUCUUAGAUGUAACUCUGUUAUAGAUGACAGCAGCUCCUUCUCCUCACUGCUUCCUUCAUCAGGCAGCUCACUCAAUCCAAAUACCUCUUCCAAUGAAUUGGAGCCGCAAAUUUCCACCCUCCUUAGAUUUUUCAGAGCUCGCAGCAAUUUUGCUGGAAACAGAGCGCGGACAUCCCCACAAUCGUACACUAGUACAGAUUCUAAUCUUUGUAAGAAGCCGUUUUGCUGCCCAAGGACGGCCAUCUUAUCAGAGAACAAUAUUAUAUUUUUUCACUCAUAAAAACAAUUUAUAUGAUGUAUAAAUAGGAUAAAAAAAAAUAGAAAAAACAGGAUUAAAUACUUCUUAGAGAUUACAUAUUACUGUUUCAGUAUUUUUUUUCUUAAUUAGAGAUAAGUUGAAUAACAAUUAGAUUUUUGCGAAAAAAGGUUAAUACAACUCCUAAUAAUUAGUUUCAUGUAAAAAAUAAAAAUAAAAAUAGUAACUAAUAUUUUUAUUUUAGUUAUAAAGUUAAUAAAUUUUUAAAGAUAUUUUAAUUGAAUUUAAUAUUUGAACACAAAAUAAGCUAAUAUGAUUUCUAUGAUUAAUUGUUGGUAUUAAGUUUCUUAUAUUUAAUACAACUCAAUAUAAGAUGGAGGUUUAUCUUCCUUUUCAAAUACUUCCAUUAAUUGGGGGAAGAGCCUCAAUUUCACUCAAACUUGGAAAGCAUAAAGAUUGAAAAAUCUAGGUAGGAUUUCAUUACAGUAAUUAAUUGUUCCAGUGACAGCUACCACAGAUUAGGAAGCCCAUCUCCUUCUCAACGUUGAUAGGUGAGGAAUGAUCAUCCUGCACAAAUACUCCAAAUAAUUGAGAAGCUUCACUUACUUUUAGUAUUUGGAGCUUUGGGAGACCUGAAGUCAUGGCUACUGGGAAGAGACUCUUCAACUUGUUGCAUUUUCUGACAUCAAUUUCACACAAAUUGGGAAAGCAUAAAGAUCGGAGAUGAUCUCCUAACAAUAUAUGGUCGUUUUCAUCAUCAUCCUUAAUUAGCAAUGAUUUGCUCUGAUUCCUCACAGAACAAUAUCCGUAGAAUUUUCAGUUGAACUAGACUGACAAUCAUGCUGCAUGUGAAUACAUGUGUCAAUCUCUUACACUUGACCACAUCCAAAGUAGUCAAUUUGCUCAGCACGAGACCCUUCCAUAUACACCUCAUGUCAAGCAGGGAUUCCAAGCAUAAUGUUUCCAAAUUUGUCAACCCUUGCAUCAAAAGAAAACAAGGAUACCAAUUUGUUGGAUAUAAUUCCUACGAAAUUUUGUGCACGGUGGAACUAUAUAAUUUUGGUAAAUAGAUGGAUGAAUUGUCCCCAAUACUUCAGCCAAAAACUUAUCAACAAAAGAAUAUAAGUAAACAUGGCAAUAGGGCUUCGGAAUAUGAAAUCAGAAGUUGUAGGACUGAAAGAGACAACUCAAUAUUAACAGAUGGAGGUUUAUCUUCCUCUUCAAAUACCUCUUAAGCCCUGCAUCAAGAGACAGGGAAAGAUACAGUUAGCCAACUCCUUUUUAAAUUUAGUGGAUGGCUAAUGGAUUUAUCUCCACUUAUCAAUUACUUUUGUUUUAGAAAUCUAGAGGAAGGAAUCACAGUGUAUUGAAGUUGACAAUUUAAAUUAAAAAGGAAAAAAUUAUUGGAGAAAUAUAAAGGAUGUACUUGUAGCUGUGCAGACAAAUUACCCAAUUCUUCGUGGCCAGAGAUGCAUAGAUUUUGCAAAGAAGGUAAUUGGGCAGCAAAAUUCUUCGAACCAAAAAAGCUGUAAUUUGAUCUGGAAAAAAGAUACAAUUUUCUUAGUCGAGGGAACUUGAUGAUGCCAUCUCUGGUGAGUGCAUCUCCUUCUCCAAUGUAAAAUAUUUGCUUUAAAUUGUCAGCAAAAUCAAUCUCCAUCUCUUCCAGGUUCAGAAGGCUUGGAGAAACAGAGACAGGGAAGACAUAUUCCAGUUUACCACACCGUUCUAUGAAGAUAAAUUUUAAUUCUGGGAAGCCCGGAGACUCUGGAAUUAUCUCCCUAUGUAGACACAAUUUUAUACACCUGAAAUUAAACAACUACAAGUGUAUAAAUAUAUAAUUUUAUUAAAUAUAUGAUCAGAUAUAAUUUUUAUCUAAUAUAUUUUUUCAAAAGAAUAUGAAAAUUCUUUGAUUCUUCUUUUGGAUUUGAUAUAUGAUGACUUGAUUUAUUUGAGAAAUCAAACCAAGAUUUGUGCUUUGCAAGAACACGAAUUUAGGCGUAUAUUGCAAAGCGAGAUAUGAUAAUUUGAUGCUUUGAAGAGUACCUUUAAAUCGUCUUCAAAGUAUUGUUGAAGAACUCAAAUAGGCAUUUAGACUUGAUUCAAUAUAGCUUUGUUCUUUGUAAACUUCAAGCGUAGAUGAAGGAGGCUUGAGAACUUUUGAGAAGGCUUCCUUACUUGAAGAGAGAGAGAGAGAGAGAGAGAGAGAGAGAUUCUUUGCUUGAACAGUUUGUCUUGAAAGAAAUUUGUAUUUCCCAGAAUCCUCCCCUUCUCUAGGUUGAGACCCUCUAUUUAUAGAGAUCUGUAAAGGUUCUCAGGUCCUUUUCCAAUGCCUUAUGAUAUAAUUUUAUUAGUUGAUAUUUAUUGGUGUGAUCUUGCAUUUAUGACAAGAUAUCUUGAAUAUCUUAUCUCAAGUGUCAACCUUUUAUUGGCCAAGAAAUAUAUGAAGACUCAUUUAUUUUUCAUGUUAUAUAUUUCAAUUUUAUUUAUUCUUUCUUUUAAAAUAAAAUAACACGUGGUGAAAUUUGAUUGGUAAAAAAUUUGUGUUUCUACAUAUGUCCUCUCGAGAAAAGUUCACUUACUUUCGAAAUAAGUGGGCAUGUCUCGAAAAAUAUGGUCGAGAGGGUUUUAUAUUUUUGACUAAAAUUUGAUUUGAUCAUAUUAGAUUUUCAUAAUAAAUAGAUAAAUUUGAUUGUGAAAUAAAAUAUGAUAGUCAAAAUUAAAAAUUUAUGGACCAAUCUUGAUUGAAAUUUAUCAAAUCAAAUGAUAGAAUAUCUAAAUUCAAUAUCUCAUUUGAAACAGUUGCAUAUUUAAGGAUCAAACAAAAUUUAUCUUUAUACCUGAAUAGCAACCAACACUUUGACCGGCUUGCAGGAUUUUUUUUUCAUCGGAAGUGGUCACUGUAACAUCUUGUUUUGAAGAUCUCAUUGUUCUGAAUCCAACGACGAAAUUCGUUCGUGAUUCCAGCUAGUGGUUAAUGAGCUAUAAAAUAUUAAAGAUUUUGAUUAAUUUUCUCUUCCUUCUCUUGAUAUGCGUGCGCACUCAUAUUGGUUGAUGAAUUAUUUUCUUCCUUCCCGUUCAAAUGUUCUUUCCUUUAACAGUACAGGAAAUUUGUGUUUCCUUUUCUUUUGGCUUUACCAUGUGCAUCCUUUGUUUCCUGAAUGAAUUGUCCAACGUGAAUGAAUUAUUAAAAGAGCAAAAGAAUUCCAGUACUGGUAGCCGACUUCGCUUAAUUGAACUAGGAAAACUUUCUUCAACUAGGAAAAGUUCGCUGGCUUUUGAUUAUGUUAAUUAAGCAAGAGUCCUCUCAUCAGAGUAAGCGGCUAUAAAAACCAUACUUGUCCCUUCUAUUUUUUUUACAGACAGUUCGGCUUCCAAUAAAGCCAGGCAAUCAAUCUUAGGAGGCGUUCGUCAUUCUCUUCUUCUUUAGCACCAGCAGGUUGCUACUUCUCAAAGGAAUCAGCUAUUUUAUUUCUAUCAAUAAGUUGCGGUCGUUCUGUGUUGUUUUAAUAAUCCUGGUUCCUUCAACACAGCCUCCACCAGCAGUCCAGGUAUGCAUGUCUCCAUUUAUUUUUUUGUUUUAUUACAACUGCAAUUUUUUAAAACGAGAAGGAAGGUGCCCACCCUAUUCUUGCUGCUAUCUCUAUAUAUCUCUGAUUAUGCGUGUGGCUGUUCACUGCUAGGUGGUAUCGAACCUCCCAAAGCUCAUUGAAGGUCUGAAGUGAUUGGCCAAGUCUACUCCCAUGGUGGACUGUUCCAUCAAGGGAUCUUCUUUAUUGGAAACCAAACCAUCACUGCAGCUAUUUCAAUGUCCUUUUCAUCACCAACCAAGUCUUUAUCAAUGUCAAUAGCAUCUGAAUUAUGACCAUCAAUGUCGACUGGAGCAAAGCUGUGACCCUUAAUUCCAAUUGCAUCAGAUCCAUUGCCAUCAAACUUCUCCUUGGUCCCAUCCGACACAAACCUCCAAGGAUCAAACGAUGCUAAUAAUCUUUUUUUUUAUUUGUGUCUUUGCAGAUUUUGCUUCAGCAAGACCUGCUCCCUGAUGAUCAUCGUAAUAUUUUGUAUGGGCUCACUUUCAUCUUCUCAUUGAAUUACCACGGAGUUGUUGUAACAGUAGCAGCAGAGUCAACAAAUCCUUCAGCUUUACAUCUUUCACAGUCUUAGGGGUAGGUAAUUUUUGAAUGACUUCAACCUUUGACUUAUCUACCUCUAUCCCUUUUGAAGAGACAAUGUGACCUAAGACAAUGCCAUGUGUCACCAUAAAAUGACACUUCUCCCAAUUGAGUACAAGAUUGUUCUCUUCACACCUUUCAAGAACUUUUUCUAAAUGCAUUAGACACAACUCAUAAGAAUCCCCAUAAACUGAAAAAUCAUCCAUGAAAACUUCCAAAAAAUUUUCCACCAUGUCACUAAAGAUACUCAUCAUACACCUUUGAAAAGUGGUUGGUGCAUUACACAAGCCAAAAGGCAUUCUUCUAUAAGCAUAGGUACCAAAAGGACAAGUGAAAGUGGUUUUUUCUUGGUCUUCUAAAGAAACCUCAAUUUGGUUGUAACCUGAGUAUCCAUCAAGAAAACAAUAGAAAGCUCUUCCGGCUACUCUUUCAAGCACUUGGUCUAAAAAUGGAAGCGGAAAAUGGUCCUUCCUAGUUACCAUGUUCAACUUACGAUAAUCAAUGCACAUACGCCAUCCAGUUUGGAUUCUAGUUGGUACUAGCUCAUUAUUUACAUUUUUCACUACCGUGACUCCAGAUUUUUUUGGGACAACUUGGGUUGGACUAACCCAUUUUGAGUUUGCAAUGGGGUAAAUGAUACCCGCAUCAAGUAGCUUAAGCACUUCACAUCUUACUACUUCCUUCAUGUUUGGGUUCAAUCGUCUUUGCAUUUGCCUCACAGUUUUAGCCUCUUCUUCAAGAUAGAUUCUAUGUGUACAUGAAAGAGGGCUAAUUCCUUUCAAGUCAGUAAUAGUCCACCCAAUUGCUUUUUUGUGUUUUCUCACCACUCUCAAAAGUUCUUGUUCCUGCUCUAUGCUAAGUUUUGAUGAAAUCACAAUAGGAUAUGAUUCAUCUUCCCCUAGAAAUGCAUACUUAAGAUCACUCGGUAAAGGCUUCCUUUCUGGUUUAUAAGGUUGGACAAGAGAUGCCUCAGCUUUUACUUGGGGUGAAAUCAAAGGCUCAAACGAUGGGGUCCAUUGACUUAUUGACAUAAUAGGCAUUGGAUCUAAAUAAGUCUCGAGUUCUCUUACUUCCUCAUCAACACAUUCCAAAGAACAAAAUCUUUCAUCAUGAAUUAAAGUUCUCUCCAAUGGAUCCUUGAUCCACUCUCUCUCAAAGUGUUCUUGACAAACUGUUUGGAUCAAAUCUACCUCUCUAAUGUCCUCAUGUUCACCAAUUUGUUUAGAGACAUUGAAUAUGUUAAUCUCCACAGUCAUGUUCCCAAAAGACAAUUUCAUCACGCCAUUCCUACAGUUGAUUAAAGCAUUGGAUGUAGCUAGGAAAGGUCUACCUAAGAUGACUGGGAUGGGAGCAUUAGAACCUUGAAUAGGUGCGGUGUCUAGCACUACAAAAUCAACAGGAAAGUAGAAUUUAUCUACUUGGACCAACACAUCCUCAACAAUACCCCUGAGAAUCUUGAUUGACCUAUCAGCUAAUUGAAGGGUGAUUCGAGUAGGCUUGAUUUCUCCUAAACCUAACUGUUCGUAAACAGUGUAGGGUAUCAAAUUCACACUUUCUCCUAAAUCCAACAAAGCUUGGUCUAUCCUAUGACUUCCAAUAAUGCAUGAAACGGUAGGACAACCAGGAUCUUUGUAUUUGGGAGGGGUCUUAAACUGGAUGAUGGCACUAGCAUGUUCAGUUAGAAAGGCUCUUUCUUUCACAUUCAAUCUCCUUUUGACUGUGCAUAAGUCCUUGAGGAACUUUGCAUAAGAUGGGACUUGUUUAAUUGCAUCAAGGAGUGGAAUGUUGACUUUCACUUGUUUGAACAAUUCAUAGAUUUCCGAGUUCAUAAGAUCAUGUUUAGGUUUCCCUAACCUUUGUGGAAAUGGUGCUCUAGGAACAAAUUCUAAAUCACUCACUUUGACUCCAAUUUUUCUUGAAUCAUCUCCUUUCUCACUCAUCUCUUUCUCAUUUAUCUCACCUUCUUUGUCACUCAAGCUCUCAUUUGUCACUUGUGUUUUGAUUUCCUCUUCACUUUCCUUAGAUUUCUCCUCCACAAUACCUCUAGGAAUCUCAAAACCUAUAGCUUUGGCAACAAUCUUUCCACUUGUUCAUGGUUUGAAGGUUCACUAGAUGAGGAUUCACUCAUGUGUACCUGACCUCUAGGAUUUGGCAUUGGUUGAGCUGGAAUCUUUCCCUUCUCUUGAAUGCUUAGUGAUUGAGUCAACUUGGUUAGUUGACUUCGAAUGUCAUCUAAGGUCCUAUUGGUCUGGUCUUGAAAUUUGUAAGCUUGGUUGUUGAUUCCUCCUUGUGUUUGCAUGAAUUGUUGAAGAGUAUCCUUUAGGGAUCUCUUAUGAGGUGGUUGGUAUGUAUUAUGUGUGGGAGCAUGAAAUGGUUGGGGUGGAGGUUGAAAUGUUUGAGGUACUGAAGGCCCCUCAUUUCUCCAUCCAAAAUUUGGGUGGUUCCUCCAUCCAGGAUUGUAGGUCUCAGAGUAGGGAUUGCCUACUUGGUUUGAAAAUGGCUUUCUAACAUUACUUGAAUUAGAAGUUUGGCCAUAUAGCACUUCCUUGAAGGCUGGAAUGGUAGGACACUCAGUUGUCCUAUGCCCUUUGCUCUCACAAACAACACAACUUUCCUCUUGUUGUUCACUCAUGACAUGCACUUUUUUAAUCUCAAGAGACUCUACUUUCCUAGCCAAUGAGGCUAAUCUAGCAUUGAGGUCAUCAGUCUCUUUCAAUUGGAACUUCCCACUUGAAUGAGAAAUGGUGUUUCUAGACUCAACAUGAAGUGGGAGAGAAGUCUCUCAUUGCUUUGUGUUUUCAGCCAAUUGAUCAAAGAAAUCAAAGGCUUCACUUGGUUCUUUGUCAUAAAACUCACCAUUACACAUGGUUGACACUAGCUUUUUAAAAUCUGCGGUAAGAGAGUCAUAGAAGAAACUCACUAACCUCCACAUCUCAAAACCAUGGUGGGGGCAUGCAUUUAACAAGUCUUUGAACCUUUCCCAAGCUUGGUGAAAUGACUCAUUUGGACUACAAGAAAAAUUCAUCAUUUGACGUUGUAAGGCUGCCGUCCUAUGAGUGGGGAAGUAUGUUUUCAAAAAUUCAGCUUGCAUUUCUCUCCAUGUACCUAUAGACCUAGGACACAAGGAGUUUAGCCAAAGCUUGGCUUUAUCCUUUAGAGAGAAUGGGAACAAUUUAAGACGAAUAGUUUCCUCGGUGCAUGUUCUAUCAAUAAAAGUAUUACAUACCUCUUCAAAGUCCUUAAUGUGUAUGUAUGGAUUUUCAGAAUCCAUACCGUGAAAUGUGGGAAGAAGUUGAAUCAUGCCCGGUUUCAAAUUGAAAGCUUGUUGGUUAAGAGGUAAGAUAAUACACGAAGGUGUACUUUGUCUAGCCGGGUGAAGAUACUCUCUAAGAGUUCGAAAAUUAGGUUGAUCAUUGAAUUGUGGAGGUCCAUUACCUUGAACACUCCCUUCACCCUCUACAUCUUCAACAUUAGCCAUGAUAAAAUAAUAAUAAUAUAACAAUUAUAUGAAUACGAAAGGAAAGGAAAAACAAAGAAAAAGAAAAAGAAGAUUGCAAAUAAAAGUAAAUGAAAUGUAAAAGAUAAAGUAAUAGCUCAAAAAUAAAAAUACAACAAAUUAAGAAAUUCUCCAACUAAUAAGCAAUAUUAACAACAAUAAACAUUAAAAGAUAAUUAUAACAAGCAUGAAUAAAAAGGCGGUAAUACCGGCCAAGCACUUCAGACAAUAAAUAUAAGAAAAAUAACAACAAUAAACAUUAAAAGAUAAUUAUAACAAGCAUGAAUAAAAAGGCGGUAAUACCGGCCAAACACUUCAAACAAUAAAUAUAAGAAAAAUAAUCACAACAAAACAACAAAAUAAAAUAAAAUGAACAAGAGGCGGUAAUACCGGCCAAGCACUUCAGACAAUAAAUAUAAGAAAAAUAAUAACAGCAAAAUAAAAUAAAAUAAACAAGAGGCGGUAAAACCAGCCUUAUAAUAUAAACAAUAAAUAUUAGAAACUAAUUAAAAUAGACAAUACAAGAAAAAUGGUUGAACCAACCAAAAUCCAACAAUUAAUAGUCUAGUCCACAGUCCAAUAUCCAAAAAGUUGAGGUCAAUAUUUUUUUUUUAGGCGGUAAAACCAGCCAUUUGAUUUUUUAUUUUUAUGUAUUUUUUUUUGUUUUCCAAUAAUCAAAUAGAAAUUUGUUACCUUUGCUUGCUAGCUCCCCGGCAAUGGCGCCAAAAUUACUUGACCGCUUUUUAUGUUCGGCUUGUUUUAACUCGCAAGUGCACGAGUGUGCGAUGUAGCAAUUAACUCGGUAAGAUCGAGGUCAUAUCCACAGAGAGCUAGAUCUGGAAAUUAAGCUAGGUAACAAAAAAACUCAAGAGAAAUUAAAUUAACAAUAACUUGGUUGAAAAUGAUUGAUGGAUUUGUUUUCAAAGAUGAAAAGGUGUAAAUAGAUUUUAAAUGACAAGAAAAAGUAAGUCUUGGUCCAAAUCAAUUUUAAUGGUGAUGUAUUGGUGAUUCCUUCAACAUAUAUAAGAUAACUCAACCUAAUAUCAACAAUGGUGAUAUUAGAUCGGAAGAUAUUACAAUGAAGAUUAAAAAGAUGAAGAUUGAUUAUUGCUUAAGAAUGAACAAGUACUUUCAUAUUAAGUAAGACAUUGAAUCAAGCAAUCUCUAUACCAAAACUAAGGUUUGUCCAUAAAAAUUCAAGAUUAUAACAUUACCUAAAUGAUUUCUAAAAUUUCUUUGCAAUAAUAAACAUUCAUGAAGAAAAUGAAAAGAUAGACAUUAAGAUUCAUUCAUAUCUUAAAGAACUCACCUCAACCACCAUCAUCCUUGAUUUGGAUCCAAGAAGGAGAUUAGCCAACCAUGAUUAUAUGUAAUAACAUUUUAAUAAAUAUGAAAUAACUUAAAUCAAACUGAAAUAAUAAGUUUUACAAUCUAAAGAACCGAAAUCUAUAAAGAAGAACACAACACAAUUGCAGUAAAAAUUCGGACACAAAUCUGACUCUAACUUUGGACAGCAAUUCGACCCUCUUAGAAGCCUCCUUUGGAGAUGGCUAUUAGCAAUAUAUUUAUAGGCCAUUCGGUUAGCUUUCCAGAUCAUUAAAUAACAGCUCAUUUGGACAUCGGAGUCAAAAGUUAUGGGUAAAACACCGAAAGGUAUUCUGGAAAAUCAAAUCAGGCCAGCUUGGAGAACACUUUGGUGCACGUUUUUCUUCCUCCUUUGUGAGCUGUCUCUUUCUUCUUUUUUACCCAAAAUAAUGUGACAAUGUCCCCUCCAGCUUUCCAUCCAUGUGCUUGCCCUCUUGGAUCAAUGAAUUACCCAAAAUAAAUCAAAUGUUAUUUGUUGUGUGAACAUGUAAGAUCAUUGAUUGUGCUUGGGCUGAUUUGGGGCUGAUUUUGGGGCUGAAUUUAAGCAUCAAAUAAGGGUACAAAUGUACCUAUUAUUUGGGCUAAGAUUGACAUUGAAACCUUGAGUGUUUGAUGGUUGAAGUUUGCACACAACAUAAGGCAAGUUUGGGCUUGAAAUAGAUCAUAUGAUAUUCUUUUCUAGAAUUGGAAUAGAAUUGAUUUUUGGGGCAAAUUUGGAGCACUUAUUUGAACCAAGAUUUGCUUCAAUCUUCAACUAAAUUUCUCUUCAAUUCUUUGUUCCGAAUUCCGACGUUGAAUUUUCUGAAAUAAUUCAUUUAAGCUCCAAAAACCUAUCGAAACAUUAAAAGAAACUUCAUUACUAAAAAGCACAUCAAUUACUAUAAAAAACCCAAAUAAAAACAAUAAAUACAUAUGUAAAAUAAGAGACUUAAUGAUACUUUUGAUGCACAACCAGUGGACUUACUUAAAGGACAAAAUGUCAAACUGGAUCAAACCAUAGCCAACCAAGGUGCUCAGAUUAGAGACAUGCAGGGUAUUAUGGGCACCAUGGCACAACAACUAGAAUUGGCUUUGCAUAAGCUUUCUCCCCACACUGGCAGCCCAAGUCAAGGCAGAGACAAGCAAGUAUCAGGCAUGGAAGGUUAUGAGUCAAGGCAUAGGAGCUCGCAGGAGGAGAGAAUUCCUGCAUACAAAAUACAUAAACCAAAACAUUUCUUCCCAAUUUUCAAUGGUGAAGAUGUUCAUCGCUGGCUUUACAAAUGUGCUCAGUAUUUUGAGAUUGAAGAAAUUGCCAACACUGACAAGUUGAGAAUAGCAUCUUAUUAUCUUGAAGGUGUUGCAUUGUAUUGGCACCAGAACUUUUUAAGGAGUAUAGCCAACCAAGGAGUCACCUGGGAAGAGUAUGUGGAGGCUAUUGGCUGCAGAUUUGGAUGGCAACAAGAUCCCUUGGAGACACUAAUGGAGCUAAAACAACUAGGAAAUCUGGAAGAAUACAUCUAGGAUUUCGAUAUUUUGUGGAACAAGGCAGGAAUCAAUGAGAAGCAAGCACUGGUCAUUUUUCUUGGAGGUCUGGAGUUGGAGAUCAAAAACACGGUAAAAACGUUUGAACCCAAGACUCUUAAGCAUGCGUAUAAUUUAUCCAGGCUACAAGCUAACACAUUAUCCUACAAGAAACUGUCUCCUCUUCCUAAACAUUACACCCCACCUUUCAAUACCACACAGCCACAGAUCCAUCUUCCUACAAACACACAGAACCCCACGACCAUGCAAAAUACCAUAAAACCAAGUCCAGCUCCCUGGCACAAUAAUCCUUCAAAUACCAUUCACAGGAACAAUGUUAAACCAACCAAAUCUAUAAAGAACCAAGACUUUGAAGAGAGGAGGUUAAAGGGGUUAUGCUUCUGGUGUGAUGAUAAGUUCGUUCCUGGCCAUAGAUGCAGAAAUAAAAGGUUGUAUCCAUUAAGUGUUAUGGAGGAAGAAGAUGAAGUCAUUACAGAAGAAAAGCUGACAGACAAUGACGCCCUAACAUGGGAGCUUUCACCCCACAUAUCCUUGGAUGCAUUAGAAGGUACGGUGGGGCUCAACACGAUGAAGGUCUCUGGUAGAUUGGAUAGAACUACGGUUAGUAUUCUAAUUGACUUAGGAAGUACUCACAACUUCCUCAAUGCUGAAAUGGCUCUGAAACUCCAGCUCAAAUUAAUUGCCAUUAAACCAAUGAUGGUGCAAGCAGCUAAUGGUGACAAGAUGAUUUGUAAAUCCUUGUGCAAAAACUUGAAUUGGAAGAUGCAGGGAAUAAGCUUUGUGGCUGAUGUGUUCAUCAUAGACCUAAGUAAUUGUGAGAUGGUGUUAGGUAUCCAAUGGCUAUCCUUAUUGGGUGAUAUACUAUGCAACUACAAGCAUUUAUGGAUGUCCUUCGAUUGGCAAGGCAAAAGGGUGUUACUUAAAGGGGAAAACCCACCAAAGCUGCAAUAUAUAGAACUGGAGCAUCUAAAUUCAUUAGCAGGCAACCAUGACCAGCUAGAGGGGUAUCAUUUAUGUAACUUGCAAAUGGUAGAUGAGGUAGAGGCAGGAACUACUCCAGAGUCCACUACUAUCACUAUUCCUUCAACAGAUAAUCAAGACAUCCACCUGCAAAACCUGUUAGCAGCAUAUAUUGACUUGUUUCAGGAACCCACAGGCCUGCCUCCUCUUAGAUCCCACGAUCACAGGAUUCCUCUAAAGGAAGGAGGAGACUCAGUUAAUCUAAGACCUUACAGGUACUCUGGCCUUCAAAAAGAUACAUUGGAGGACAUGAUAAAAGAAAUGCCGAGGAUAAAAAUCAUAAGGACCAGCAACAGCCCGUUUGCCUCGCCAGUAAUCCUUGUUAAGAAAAAAGACUCCACAUGGCGUCUCUGUGUUGAUUACAGAGCCUUGAAUAAACUCACCAUCAAGGAUAAGUAUCUUAUUCCCAUGAUUGACGAACUUUUGAAAGAAUUAGUGGGAGCUUCUGUGUUUUCCAAUAUAGACUUGAGUUCAGGCUACCAUCAGAUCCGCAUGGCGAGAGGAGAAGAGUUCAAAACAGCUUUCAGAACUCACAGCGGCCACUACGAAUUCUUGGUAAUGCCAUUCGGCUUAACCAAUGCUCUGGCCACCUUCCAGAGUUUAAUGAAUGAGAUUUUCAGGGAGCAUCUGAGGAAAUUCAUUCUAGUAUUCUUUGACGACAUUCUCGUCUACAACCAUACACUCACAGAACAUUAUGAGCAUCUAGCUACGGUUCUCAACUUAUUAAGAGAACAUCAUCUGGUGGCUAAAGCCAGCAACUGCUUCUUCGGCAGGGACCAGGUGGAGUAUUUAGGACACAUCAUUUCUAAGCAAGGUGUGGCGACAGAUCCCUACAAAAUACAAGCCAUUCGGGAAUGGCCACUGCCUAUAGGAUUAAAACAACUAUGAGGGUUUUUGGGAUUGACUGGUUACUAUAGAAGAUUUGUAAGGGGUUAUGGCAGCAUUUGUAAACCACUCACUCAAUUACUCAAAAAAGAGGCCAAGGGAUGGAAUGAUGCGGCCACCACAACUUUCAAUCAGUUGAAAAUGAUUAUGACUAGUGCUCCAGUAUUAGCUCUGCCAGAUUUCAACAAAACAUUUAUCGUUGAGACAGAUGCAUCCAUGAUUGGUAUGGGAGCAGUCCUCAUGCAAGAGGGACACCCCAUUGCGUUCAUUAGCAAAUCAUUGGGUCCUAAACAACAGGUAAUGUCAGUAUACGAGAGGGAAAUGCUGGCUAUUCUCCAUGCAGUCACCAAAUGGAAGCAUUAUCUCUGGGGGCGCCAUUUUAUCAUCCGAACAGACCACAUAAGUCUGAAAUAUCUUCUACAGCAGAAGUUGACUACCCCUGCACAACAUUUCUGGUUGGUGAAAUUGCUGGGGUAUGACUACGAUAUAGAGUACAAACAAGGUCGCGAAAAUGUUCCCGCAGAUGCCCUUUCCAGAAUUCCAAACAAAGAGGUUUAUGCUCUAACCACUUCUACCAUCUCUACUGACCUCCUGGCAGAAAUCAAGAAUUCUUAUGAAGGUGAUGUUACAGUUCAAGGAAUUAUUAAACGGUUACAAGAGUCUACAAACACCCACCCACACUACACUUGGGUGAAUGAUCACCUUAACAGAAAAGGAAAGGUGGUGGUAGGGAAGAAUCUUGUACUACGGGACAAGCUCAUCUCCAUGUUUCAUAAUUCAGCUGUUGGAGGACACUCAGACAUGACAGUAACAACAAAAACCAUUGGGGGUUUAUUUUAUUGGAAGGGUCAGCAGAAACACAUCAGGCAAUUCGUUAGGGAAUGCAAUGUGUGCCAGAGGAAUAAACAUGAAAACACAGCCAGUCCUAGACUCCUUCAACCAUUACCCAUUCCUUCUGCUCCCUUCAUCGACAUCAACAUGGAUUUCAUGGAAGGACCGCCCAAAUAUGAAGGGAAGGAGGUGAUAUUGUUGGUGGUGGAUCGUUUCAGCAAAUACGCACAUUGCAUGGCCCUCAGUCAUCCUUACUCUGCCUCAGGGGUGGCCAAGACCUUUAUGCACAAUGUCUAUAAACUACAUGGGUUACCAGCCUCGAUAACAAGUGACAGAGAUCUGGUCUUUUUUAGCAGGUUUUGGAAAGAAUUAUUCACCAGUCAAGGGGUCAACCUCAACUAUUCCUCAGCUUACCACCCGCAAACAGACGACCAAACCGAAAUUGUUAACAAAUGCAUCGAACAGUACUUACGCUGCAUGAUUGGUGAUUGCCCGAACCAGUGGGUCAAAUGGCUACCUUUAGCUGAAUGGUGGUACAAUACUAACUACCACUCAGCCACCAAGAUGACACCUUACCAAGUUUUAUAUGGAGUUGCCCCACCCCUACACAUUCCCUAUUUUCCUAAAAAUUCAGCUGUGGAAUCAGUCGACGAGUACUUAUCAGCUAAAGAAGAAGUCAUCAAGAGGGUCAGGGAACAUCUCCAAGCAGCACAGAACAGGAUGACUAUAGUGGCUAACAGAAAAAGGAGUGAUCAUAGUUUUGAGAUCAAUGACUAUGUCUUCCUCAAACUCCAACCAUACAGGCAACAUUCAUUGGCACGCAGGUCCUCACAGAAGUUAGCUGCAAAAUAUUAUGGGCCUUAUCAGGUCUUGGCCAAGAUAGGGAAGGUGGCUUACAAGCUGGAAUUGCCAGCUUCAACACUUAUUCAUCCAGUGUUCCACGUUUCUCAGCUUAAAAAACAUAUUGGAAAUCACACCGCACAAGGCACUCCUCCGAUGAGACCAAAAACAACUACACUACAGCCUCGAACAGUGUUAGACCGACGAAUGGUUAAACGUCACCACCAAGCACACACUCAAGUAUUGAUACUCUGGGAAGGACUAGCUCCUACUGAGGCUACUUGGGAAGACAUGGAGGAAUUUAAGUUGCACUUUCCAUUAUUCAACCUUGAGGACAAGAUUGGUUUCAAGGGAAGGCAAUUGUUACCUGCAGAAGAAGAAAUGGAAUAAUAGGAACUAAUGCAGGCCACGCAUUCAAAAGUUAGUUAUAGAAUCCAUACGCACCGUUUCAUUUAAGUAACCAUACGCACCGUUUCAAUUCCAUAAAAUGUUGCAUGACAGUUAACACACAGCCUCCGUGCUGAAGGUUUUCGUAACCAAUUAGAAUUGCAAUAUUCUAUAUAAAGGCAUAUGCAUGAUAACAGAAGGGAACAAGAAUUAUAAUGAAAGAAUGAAUUCCUUAUUAUCAGGAAACGACUAUCAGGGUGUUGUUGGUGUGGUAUCAACGGCCUCUCAUAAAUCCUCCCCACUAAAGCCCCUACUACAGCAUUAACCAUCACUGGAGACCAUCCAAUUCGGGUCCAUCAUUUCUUCACUUGUAACAACUGGUAUCAGAGCUUGCAAUCCACGGACUACCACCAUGCCACCAAGCCCCACAGCAGCAAGCGAUCUCCUUCACUGCCAACCAGCCAGCUCGUCGAGACCCGACACUCUCUUUCAACCAGCCUCUAGCGGCAAAAAUAACACAGUAGCGCCGCACCCACAGACCAGCUGCCUCUUGGCCUUUCCACCAGCCACCUGAAACAGGUCCAACAGCGACGCCCCCUUCUCGGUUGUUCCUCCUCACCACCAGCCACCUAAAGUGGAGGAGAAGAAGAAGCCCUCCCAUCGGCAGAAGGAAAACCAACAGAGAGGGAGAAGGCGGAGGAACUGGAUAGAUCUAAAAAAAAAAAGGACUGCUUGUGCGUUUUCUUUUGUUGCAGGUCAUGGUGAAAGCCACCACGGGCAGGGAAGAGAAGAGAAGAGAGGAGGAAACCAUUUAAGAGCCCCCUGUUUGUUGGACUUUUGUGCGGUGGCGAGUGAACCCACGCGCCGCCAGUGGCGGGGCGCGUGGAGGAGACGCGCCGCCACUGUUCCACAAUCAUAGAAGAUGGCCAGAAUUCUCCAGCACUGUUCCCGAAGUUUUUUUUUUUUUGUAAUUUUCAAAUGUUGCUGUUAUAUUUAGAUUAAUGGUAUUUGAUUUAUUUUGAACUUUUGAUAUUUUGUAAUAUGUAAAAGUGAUGUGUGAGUUAAGCAUAGUAAAAAAGUGAUAUUAGUGUGUCUGUUUGUUUUUUUAUUUAUGUUAUUGAAUUAUAAAAUAAAAAAAAUUAAGUGUUUAAUUUGAAUAUGGUUAAAUAUCUUAAGGAUUAAUAAAAUCAUGAUAUAUUCUCCAUGAAAAUGUAAGAACAUGUUUCUAUAUAUAUUCUGGGAUUUAAUAACUAAUUUAUUAAAACUUUAGAAUUUGAUUAAUAUUUCAAAUUUUCAAAUCACAUUAAAUCAUGAAGCAGCUUACCUCAGGUAGGGUGCGCUAGGGAUGCUAAUACCUUCCCUAACCACAACCAGUCCCUUACUCUCGAAUCUCUGACAACGACCAGUAAAUCCGGGUUUUCUAGUAACCCAAUUAAAUACUAGGUGAUAACUCCCAAAGAACCAAUCAAGCAAGAAAAAUAAAAAAUCGCCGAAUCGCCACGCGGGGGACGUGCGACAAGAAUCUUGCUGCCCCAUUACCAUUUUUGCAAAAUCUUGUUCAUCUGAAGUUGUUUCUUGUCGCAAAACUGUCAUUUAUCUUCACACCGUCCCUCGCUCAAAGUCUACCACAACUAGAAACACUAGAGGUAAGUUGUUGCGAUGAAUUGAAGUAUAUUGUCAGAAAACAAGAUGAUGAAAGGGCAAUAAUUCCAGAGUUUCUAAGCUUCCAAAAAUUAAGAACUCUAUUUAUAUAUGACUCUGAUAAACUGGAAUAUGUCUUCCCUGGCUCUCUGUCUCCAAGUCUUGUGAACCUGAAACAGAUGACAAUUAGAUACUGUGGUAAAUUUGAAUAUGUCUUCCCUGUCUCUGUGGCUCCAAGUCUUCUGAACCUGGAAUAAAUGACUAUAUUUGCUGACAAUUUAAAGCAAAUAUUUUAUAGCGGGGAAGAAGAUGCACCACCCAGAGAUGACAUCGUCAAGUUGCCUCGACUAAGAGAAAUGGAUCUUUCAUCUAAAUCAAAUUACAGCUUUUUUGGUCCAAAGAAUCUUGCUGCCUAAUUACCUUUUCUGCAAAAUCUAAGCAUCCAUGGCCACGAAGAAUUGGGUAAUUUGUUUGCACGGCUUCAAGUACGUCCUUUAUAUUUCUCCGCUAAUUAUUUUCCUUUUUAAGUUAAAUUCUAAACUUCAUUUAAUAUAAAUAAAGUGUUGAUUUAGUCUUGUAGUCAUUAUCUCAAAGCUUUUCUUAGUUUAUUAUAAAUUAUCACAUGGAUAAAUUACAAUUAAUGUAUGCGAGACAAUAACAAAUAACACAAGAAUUAGUAGAAACACACUCACCUUAUAGUAGAGACAAGAGAAUGAUUAUGAAUGGAAGGUUCAUGCACGAUCACUUGGUCGACACACACACACUUGAUAACACCUUUGAUCUAUCGAUCGAUUCCGACCACAAAUAUAAUUUAUCUAAGGAGUUAUGUAUGUGAUGUUACUUUAGUUAUGGUCUCUCAAGGGGAAAUUAACGAAAAGAAUUGAAAAGGAGAAAAUAAUUAGUUGAAUGAAGGAAGCUCUCUGCCACUUCCCUAUAUCACACUUGUAAACCCAGGAAAAAAUAAAUAAAUAACAAAAAUUCAAAAAAUUUUGAAUAUAAAUUUUCGGGUGAAAUAGUUUGAAACAUUAUAAUAAACUCAGUACUGUUGAGGGUUGGAUUUAAUUGAAGAAAAUAAUACACUUAAAGGAAAAGGGGGGCCUAAAUGCAAAUAAGAGAAAAUAUAGAGUAUAAAUACUCUCUCCUCACCAAAAAUAUGUAGGAACCCUAAGGAGAGAAGAUAGGGAGUUUUAUACCCAUUCUUGAGAAAUCAAGAGAGAAACAUUAAAAUUUCAAGAACCCAUCCAAGAUUAAGAGCUUAUAGAUGGGAUAAAAACUUGAGAGCAAAGGAUUACCAAGAAAUUGAACAAGAAGAAAAGAAAGGAGGGAGUUGAAAAUCUUCAACUAGUUGAAGAUCAAAAUCUUAAUUUGUACCGGGUAAGGUAUUCUAAACAUGAUCUUAAAAAAAUUCAUUUUUAAAUUCGAUAAAGAAUUGAUGCCUUGAUAUUGAAUCAUAGGUUAGGGUUCUUAGACAUAAAUUGGGGAAAAGUACUUAUUGUUGAGAUUAAGUUAAUUCAUGUGUGUGGUAUGUAGUUUAUGAAAGUAUUGAGUGAAGGGGAGGGGAGACAAAUCUGGACAGACUUGUCUCCUGACUUUCUGUGAGAUUUCAGGUAGGAGGAUGAGGGAAUUAGGAUCGGGUUCCUCAUAGGAAUUGUAGAUUUGAAUGUUAGCUAACCAAGGAAACUGGUCUUGCUCAAUUUGGAGAUGUAGAACUCCAAUUAUGGGUUACCAGCUGAGACUGAGUCGUGACUGAUUAUGUAGGGCAGUAGGACUAAUUAGUUAAUGAGCAAUUUUGACUAUUUUGGAGGCAAAACUGGGUUCUUCUCCCUCAGAGAACUUGUAGCCUUGUGUCUUAGCUUUCUAACGAGAUCAAUCUCACUUAAAAUGGAGUUUUAGAACUUUAGAUAUAGUUAAAAAUCUGAUGAGUGUUCAGACAAUAACAGUUGAAAAUUGGACAAUAACAGUUCAAAGUUGGACAGUAACAGUUGAAAAUUGGACAGUAACAGUUGAAAAUUGCACAGUAACGGUUCAAAGUUGGACAGUAACAGUUGAAAUUUGGACAGUAACAAUUGAAAAUUAGACAGUAACAGUUCAAUGUCUAGACAGUAACGGUAGGCUUUCACGUGAAUACUAUAUAUACAAGAAUAUAAAAGAAUUGAGUCAUACGAACACUUGCACAUUGAGAUACUAACUCUGAAAAUAUACAUGAUAUAUGUAUGUAUGUUAUUAUGAGAAAAUGAACAUGUAUAUAAAGUAACAUAUGAGUAAUGGAUGAAUAUGGAUUCUCUAUAAUGUCGGCUUGAAGGAAUCAUAACCAAAAACUUCCUUAUGAUUCAGGAGGAGCAACCAAGAUUGGAUCUUCUGUUAGGGGAGGUCGCGAGACAGGCGAAGUAGGUGCGUGAUUCUCCUCCUAUUUGCACUUAUACAAUUUAGAAUUCUUAUGGUGAAUGCAAUUACAAUAAAUGUCGUGUUCAAUGUAAAUAAAAAUCUAGCGUAAAUACAAGAUUAGCUUCGGCAAAUGGCAUCCGUGAUAGGAUUGCUGGGAUAUGAAUUACAAGAUUAGCUGCGGCUAAUGGCAUCCAUGAUAGGAUUGCCGGGAGAUGAAUUACAAGAUUAGCUUCGGCUAAUGGCAUCCGUGAUAGGAUUUCCAGGAUAUGAAUUACAAGAUUAGCUUCGGCUAAUGACAUCCGUGAUAGGAUUGCCGGGAGAUGAUUUACAAGAUUAGCUUCGGCUAAUGACAUCCGUGAUAGGAUUGUUGGGAUAUGAAUUACAAGAUUAGAUUUGGCAAGGUCACCCAGUUCAUGCAAGUAAAUAAGAAUAUUCAAAUCAUGGAUAUACAAAUGAGUGUGAAUUAGGUUUAAAAGACUUACAAGCAAAUUAUAAGUUCUUUGUUAGAAUUCUUAUGGGUCCGAUAGAAAGUUAAUACUUCAUUCGUAUUCAUUACAUGAGCAUAUAUAUUCUUUAUCAACAUAAUGAUAUGUUUAAUUAUGUAACAGGUCCAUCAAAUAUCCAGGAAGAUCAUUAGUUUAGGACUCUACUUUGCGAAGCUUAUGUAAAUAUUUAACUUAAACAAAAGGGAAUUAACGUGUUUAUGUAGUAUAUUUUUGUGUAAACCUUGAUGUAUUUAUAAAAGUUCAAUUUUGCAUGUGGUAUUUUAGUUAUCUUGUAAUUAACCCUUUUAAAAUAUUUAAGAACACUUAUUAUGUUGUAAAUACUUUCUUUGCAUGUUAGUAUUCUUUUCCUUUCAAAUUUUACGAUAUGAUGUUUGGACUAUGUUCAUAUUGAACUUACUCAUAGGAUAUAUAUAUAUAUAUAUAUAUUGUGUGGAUUGUAUGAGGUUUGAUAUAAGGUCCGGAAUUAUGGGACCUUAUGAUGAUGGGUUGAUUGAGUAAAUUGAUAGUAGUCGAUAACUUGGGAUAUCCUAAAUACAAACAAAACUCUGCUGAAUUUUUGGAAAAAAAAAUUUACCCUCAGAUAAAGAGGAUAUGUUAGGAUCUUUUAACAUUGAUCGAGUCUUACAGUUCAGACCGUUACAGUUGGUAUCAGAGCCCUGGUAUAGGUUAUGGGAAGAAAUCAAAAGAGGUUGUUGAUGUUCAUUAAUUUAUUGCAGGAUGGUACAUACCUGUCAAGAGAUUAGAACAGAUCUAUCCUCUGCAGGGAGGGGGAAUAGAGAUAUAGACUCUUCCAAAGGGCAAGAAGAGAGCCCUUUGGAAGAUACUGCUUCACAUGCACUGGUAGUAUCGACUCAAGUAGGGCAUGAAGAAUCGACGGGGCCUUAAAUUAGACAGGCACCAAGGCAAACUGGGGAUGUUCAGUUGACCAUGUUAGCUCCACGGGGACGAGUAGAGGAGCCCCCUCAGACUACACCUGCAGGGCCAUCUGUUUCUUAUGUUGAUCCGAUGCUCCUGGCCCAGCUAGUCAAAGCAGUAAUGGAAGGUAUGGCUAAUGCUGCCACUCCUAUGCCAGCACCCCCAUUUGCACCCAUCAUACCAACCGUUUCAGAAGCAACUACAACUACUAAUGACGUGGUACAACUAGUUCGUUUAGUGAAAAGUAUGAGAGAAAUGGGUUGUGAACCCUACUCUAGUGAACAGAAUGCUGAAGUGGUGGGAAGGUGGAUUAGAAAGGUGGAGAAAACCAUGAUUCAAAUUAAGAUACCAUAUGAUCUGCGGGUAGACUAUGCUACUUAAUUACUAUCAGACGGUGCUAUGACUUGGUGGGAGACAGUUCAGUUGAGGAGGGCUACAGAAACCCUAUCCUAGGAUGAUUUCAAGAUAGAGUUUGAGAAUCAAUAUUACUCCAAAUAUCAUCGGAGGAUGAAGGAACAGGAAUUCCUAGCCUUGAGACAGGAGGGAAUGUCAGCACUUGAGUAUGAGAGACAAUUUCAUGACCUCUCACUAUUCGCACUACAUUAUAUCCCGUCAGAACAACACAUGAUAGAAAAGUUAAGGGAUGGCUUCAGACAAGAAUUGAAGCAGGGGUUGAUUGCUUUGCGAUUCAGGACAGUAAGGGAACUGAUUGAAGCAGCACAGGCCUUGGAGGCGUGUAUGGUGACACGAUCAAAGAGUUGAUGUCUUAUCCCAAGUGCAGGAGUAUCAAAGUAAUAAAUAACCCGGCAAGACCGGAGUCGAACCACAGGGAGGUCAACUAUAUAAAUUACAAAUAAAGAGAAAGAUUUGAAGAGAAUAAUAACAGAAAAGAAGUUGAAGAGAGUUUUGGGAUAUGAUAUUGAUAUAAGGAUUAAACAAUAAUAAAACAGUUGUCAAGGUUAGAGGAUCCACUAAUGGUAUUUCAAAUAAAUAUAAUAUAAACUCUUUUUAUUACUCAAUUGGAAACCACACACAAAGGAGGUUCCAAUCGGAUGAUUUAUCGUUAUUAACUCAUUAUAAAUUAUUAACAUGAUCAUAUUAAUCAUCUUAUCUAAGUAACACCAUACUUAUAAAUAUCAUCAGGCAUUUAUGUUGCUAGCUUAUGUUAACAACAAAUCAAGUUCCUAUCAUAACAACGAUGUCAGCCGAAAACUAUGAAGGAUCAAACAUUUGAUGUACCAAGUGUUAUACAACAGAAAUCUAGAUUAACCAUUUAAAAAGCAAGGUAUUAAGAAUUAGUAAGAUAAAAAGAUAAAACAUGUUAAUAACAAUCUUUCUUGAAUAUAAACAUUAAAGUCCAUGUUGAGUUUAUAUUAUACCUAUUCUAACACCACUAGUGAAACAUUUUUACCUUGACAUAAUUAACUUAGCUAAACAUAAUGAAGAAGAAAAACAUAAAUAAACAAUAUAAGAACAUAAAUAUGAUAUAAGUUAACUAAGUAUAGGAAAGGAAAUGAAAAAGCAUAAACAAGAGAUUAAUAUAGCAUGAAAGAAAACUUGAACAUUACAAAAAGAGAAAGCAAGAAGAUGAUUUUGAUCUGAAAAAUAAUAUGACUAAAUACAUGGCAAAUGCCUCCUUUUAUAAGCUAAGAUUCAGAACUAUUGAUUGGUUGACUAAGAAAAUAGUUGGUGGCCAACCAUUGAUUUGGUGGCUGGUUUUUGACAUUGUUGGCUGAUUUUUGAUAUUGUUGGCUGGCCAAAACGUCAUUUCUAACAUCAUAAUUUGAGCCCUUUGUUUCAUGAAAGCUGUGGGCAAUUAUCUUAGCUUUCCAACAAAAAAAACCAGAGCUCAUUUGGACUUCUAGAACUCAAGAUAUGAGCUGAAAACCGAACAGUGUCUGAGCUGCAGGACAGGUUCCGACUUCUCCGUUGUUGCUAAACUUUGAACUUGAAAACGGCAGAAUUGAGUCUUGGACUCUGCAUGAAAGUUUUAGGUCUAUGUCUUAGAUUUCCAUCCAUAUAAAGUAGACCUAAAUCCGAGUUCUACAACUCCAGUUAUGAUCCAAUAACCGAAUGGUGUUUCAGUUUGGAAUUGAACUAUCAUCUCUUCUCUUAGCCUAGUCCUCUUUUUGUCUCUUCACUUUCAAUAGUUAAUCACAUCAAUCAAUCCUUUGAAUUGUGAGAUAUACCUGCAUUCAAAAUAAGCAUUUAUCAUAAAUUAAAGAUAUACUAUAUUAUCAGACUUGUUAUUAUAAAACAUGCUUUAGUUAAGGAAUUUAAUGAUACUUUAGUGCAAUAUGAUGAUAUAAAGCAUUAAUAAAAAUGCACUUUGAAUUACUAAUCAUAUGGAAGAAUGCCAACAGAGUCAUGGGGGUGCAGGAAAACGAAAGGAUAUGGAAUUUUUAGGCAGGCCACCGCUUCCAAAGAAAGGUAGAGGCGAACAGUUCCUUCAAUUCAAAAAGAAAAGAGGGACGUCAACUAGCUUCCGACAGGAUAUCGGUGGGAAGUCGGGAAGUGGUCAGACCCGCUCCAGGGCUAUAGCUGCAAGGGGGCAUAACAAUCAGAAGGAAAUUGUCUACCCUCGAUGUGCUUAGUGUGAACAAAGACACCCCGGGAGUUGUAUGGUUUCUCCUGGACAAUGCUAUAUAUGUCGAGGAGAAGGUCAUAAGUGGAAACCCUGUUAAUACUUGGGAAGAGGAUGUCAUCAUUGUGGUGAGAAAGGUUACUUUAAAAGGGAAUGCCCCAAGUUAAACACUAAACAGCCUUAGAGACAUGGGGAGCAAAGUCAGAGUCAUCAGCAAUCCAUCAUAGUAAACAGACCGGGAAGGUCGACUCAGUCAGGAGCUAACUCAAAUAGGGGACGACCCAGAGUACAAAAUGAAAAGGGAUCAAGGAAGGGUUUUCCAUAUGACCCAGGAGGAUGUCAGAGCAGCAUCAGAUAUGGUGGCAGGUAUGCUGCAAAUGAAUGACUAUCAAAUACAUGUUUUGUUUGAUUCUGGUGCCACUCACUCUUUCAUAGCAAAUAAAAAUGUAACCAAAUUGAGUAAGGAAACGAAAAGGGUAGAGAAAGGAUUUAUUAUUGGGACACCUUUGGGUGAAAUUGUGAAAACAAAUAUUGUAUUUGAAGGGGUGGGAAUUAACAUUAAUGGGUGUGAACUAAAAGCAGAUUUAAUACCCCUAGAAUUAAGUGAUUUUGAUAUAAUUCUAGGUAUGAAUUGGUUGGGCAAAAAUAAGGCUCGUCUAGAUUGCUUUACAAAAACAGUAACCUUUCAAGGGGCUAAGGGUGAAACAAUAGUCUUUAAGGGGGAGAGAAUUUACAACUUUACAAAUAUGAUCUCGGGUAUGGUUGCGAGAAAACUACUAAAGAAAGGUUGUACAACAUACCUUGCCUAUGUGAUAAAUUCGGAAAAGGGUAAAAUAAGAUUGUCUGACAUUCCAAUUGUGAGGGAAUUUCCGGACGUAUUUCCGGAAGAAUUGCUAGGACUACCCCCAGAAAGAGAAGUUGAAGUCACCAUAGAUAUAUUUCCUGGAGUGUCUCCUAUAGCCCAACCACCGUAUAGAAUGGCCCCAAAAGAAUUGGAUGAGUUGAAAAUUCAAUUGCAGGAGCUUUUAGACAAAGGGUUCAUACAACCAAGCAACUCGCCUUGGGGGCACCUGUAUUAUUUGUGAAGAAGAAAGAAGGAACGUUGCGGCUUUGCAUAGAUUACCGUCAGCUGAAUAAAGUGACGGUAAAGAAUAGAUAUCCACUUCCACGGAUAGAUGAUUUGUUCGAUAAGUUAAAGGGUGCCAAAGUAUUCUCAAAUAUUGAUUUAAGAUCAGGAUACUACCAAAUGUGAAUCAAAGGGCAAGAUGUGCCGAAAACUGCCUUCAGAACUCGCUACGAACACUUUGAGUUCUUGGUGCUACCCUUUGGAUUAACUAAUGCUCCAACACUUUUUAUGUAUUUAAUGAACCAAGUAUUCCAACCAUACCUUGAUAAGUUUGUUGUCGUAUUCAUCGAUGACAUCUUGGUUUACUCCAAAUCCUAUGAGGAGCAUGAACAGCACCUGAGACAGAUACUAUAGACUCUGAGGAGCCAUCAGUUGUAUGCCAAGUUGGAUAAAUGUGACUUCUGGUUAAAAGAAGUUACCUUUUUGGGGCAUGUAGUGUCUUCAAAAGGCAUUUUUGUGGACCCUCAGAAGGUGGAAGCAUUUUUGAGAUAGGAAAGGCCUACUACGGUAACUGAAAUUUGUAGUUUUCUCAGAUUGGCAGGGUAUUAUAGAAGAUGUAUCGAAAGGUUUUCAACGAUAGCAACUCCAUUGACACGACUCACCAGGAAGAAAAUAAGAUGGGAAUGGUCAAAGGAGUGCGAUGAGAGCUUUCAAGAAUUGAAGAGAAGGCUUACUACUGCCCCCGUACUAAUCCUUCCAUCCGGAACAGAAGGCUUUGUAGUCUACAGUGAUUCCUUAAGAAAAGGACUGGGUUGUGUUCUAAUGCAUCAUGGAAAAGUAGUUGCCUAUGCAUCGAGACAACUGAAGACUCAUGAAGUCAACUACCCAGUUCAUGACUUAGAAUUGGCAGCAGUAGUUUUUGCUUUACGAGUAUGGAGGCACUACUUAUACAGAUCCCGGGUCCAAAUUUUCACCGAUCAUAAGAGCCUUAAAUAUCUGAUGUCAUAGAAGGACUUGAAUAUGCGACAACGGAGAUGGGUAGAAUUAAUUAAAGACUACGAUUGUGUUAUAGAUUAUCAUCUAGGAAAAGCGAAUGUAGUCGCGGAUGCUCUCAACCAUAAAGACAAGGUGAUUAGGGGUAGACCAGCGACUUGGAAUGAGGAAACCAUGAUUGACCUAAAGAGAUUGGGGGCAGUACUAGGUGUGAGCCCAGAAGGAUCCUUAAUGGCUCAACUAAGGGUGAAGUCAGGAUAUCGAGAGCAAAUAUUAGAGGCUCAACAACAUGAUGAUGAGGUGUCAAAAGUGAGAAUCAAACUGGAAUCGGCGGGUGAAACUCUUUUUUGAAUGGGUGAUGAUGGAAUAGUGAUGUUGGGGUGACGUAUGUAUGUACCUGACAGCAAAGCCCUUAAACAAAAGUUACUACGAGAAGCUCACGAGUCUAAGUUCACUGUACAUCCAGGUAGUACUAAGAUGUACCAGGAUAUGAAGCAGUACUACUGGUGGCCAAAUAUGAGAAAAGAAGUGGUUGGUUACAUGGCAAAGUGUAGUAUUUGCCAACAAGUAAAAAUAGAACACCGAAAACCGGCAGGGCUGUUACAACCAUUACCAAUCCCUGAGUGGAAGUGGGAGAUGAUCACAAUGGACUUUGUGUCGAGACUACCCAGAGGAAAGAGGGGAAAUGAUGCAAUCUGGGUCAUUGUGGAUCGACUAACAAAGUCUGCUCUUUUCCUACUAGUAAAGAUGACAGAUCCAGUUGACAAGUUGGCUAAGAUUUAUGUGAACGAAGUUGUAAGGCUUCAUGGAGUCCCAAUAUCAAUUGUUUCAGACCAAGACCUAAGAUUUACUUCAUGUCUCUGGCCGAGCAUACAACGUGUCUUGGGAACAAAUUUGAGUAUCAGUACUGCCUUUCAUCCGCAAACUGAUGGCCAAUCUGAGAGAAUUAUUCAGAUCUUAGAGGAUUUACUAAGGGCAUGUGCUUUGGAAUUUGGUGGAAACUGGGAGGAGCACCUAUCACCAAUAGAAUUCACGUAUAACAACAGUUAUCAGGCAACAAUUGGAAUGGCCCCAUUUGAAGCUCUUUAUGGUAGAAAGUGUAGGACACCCUUGUGUUGGGAAGAAGUUGGGGACAGAAAGCUGUAUGGGGCAGAAUUAGUACAAAUCACUACUGAAAAAGUGAGAAUUAUUAAGGAUUGAAUGAAGGUGGUUCAGGAUAGACAGAAGAAGUAUGCAGAUAUUCGAAGAAGACCACUUGAAUUUUUUCCUAGAGAUAAAGUAUUUCUGAAGGUAGCUCUAUGGAAGCACAUGCUGAGAUUCGGCAUGAAGGGGAAGUUAGCUCCGAGGUUCAUUGGACCAUUUGAAAUCUGAAAACAUAUCAAACCUGUAGCAUAUGAAAUAAACUUGCCCUCAUAGUUGGCCAAGGUUCACAAUGUAUUCCAUGUUUCUUUGCUGCAAAAAGCCGAUAUAGACCCUUUGAGAGUGUUACCCCAAGUGCCAGUGGAGAUAAAAGAAGACUUAACACUUGAGGUAAGACCGAUAAAGAUACUUGAAUGGGGCGAGAAAGAACUUCGUAAUAAGAAAGUUCCCAUCCUCAGAGUCUUAUGGCGAAGCUCACAAAACGAGGAAGAAACAUGGGAGAAAGAAUCAGAAGUGAGACGAAAAUUCCGCGACUUGUUAAUAAACUCAGGUACCUCACUCAAAUUUCAAGGAUGAAAUUUCUAUUAUGGGAGGAGAAUGUAAACCCCGGAAAAAAAUAAAUAAAUAAAUAACAGAAAUUCAAAAAAUUUUGAAUAUAAAUUUCCGGGUGAAAUAGUUGGAAACAUUAUAAUAAACCCGGUACUGUUGAGGGUUAGAUUUAAUUGAAGAGAAUAAUACACUUAAAGGAAAAGGGGGGCCUAAAUGCAAAUAAGGAAAAAUAUAGAGUAUAAAUACUCUCUCCUCACCAAAAAUCCGUAGGAACCCUAAGGAGAGAAGAUAGGGAGUUUUAUACCCAUUCUUGAGAAAUCAAGAGAGAAACACUAAAAUUUCAAGAACCCAUCCAAGAUUAAGAGCUUAUAGAUGGGAUAAAUACUUGAGAGCAAAGGAUUACCAAGAAAUUGAACAAGAAGAAAAGAAAGGAGGGAGUUGAAAAUCUUCAACUGGUUGAAAAUCAAUAUCUUAAUUUGUACCGGGUACGGUAUUCUAAACAUGAUCUUAAAGAAAUUCAUUUUUAAAUUCGAUAAAUAAUUGAUGCCUUGAUAUUGAAUCAUAGGUUAGGGUUCUUAGACAUAAAUUGGGGAAAUGUACUUAUUGUUGAGAUUAAGUUAAUUCGUGUGUGUGGUAUGUAGUUUAUGAAAGUAUUGUGUGAAGGGGAGGGGAGACAAAUCUGGACAGACUUGUCUCCUGACUUUCUGUGAGAUUUCAGGUAGGAGGAUGAGGGAAUUAGGAUCGGGUUCCUCAUAGGAAUUGUAGAUUUGAAUGUUAGCUAACCAAGGAAACUGGUCUUGCUCAAUUUGGAGAUGUAGAACUCCAAUUAUGGGUUACCAGCUGAGACUGAGUCGUGACUGAUUAUGUAGGGCAGUAGGACUAAUUAGUUAAUGAGCAAUUUUGACUAUUUUGGAGGCAAAACUGGGUUCUCCUCCCUCAGAGAACUUGUAGCCUUGUGUCUUAGCUUUCUAACGAGAUCAAUCUCACUUAAAAUGGAGUUUUAGAACUUUAGAUAUAGUUAAAAAUAUGAUGAGUGUUCAGACAAUAACAGUUCAAAGUUGGACAAUAACAGUUCAAAAUUGGACAGUAACAGUUGAAAAUUGCACAGUAACAAUUCAAAGUUGGAUAGUAACAGUUGAAAAUUAGAUUGUAACGGUUGGACAGUAAAAGUUCAAAGUUGGACAGUAACAGUUCAAAGUUGGACAGUAACUAUGAAACCCUAGAAAAUUUAUAAUUUAAAUAUGCGGAUGUAUAACCUCCCACGUAAACGUAAGACUGAAAGUGAUAUAUAAUGGAGGGGAUGACCUCCAUAAAAUGAAUUUUAUUUUAGAAUUCAUAAAAUAGAGAAACUGGUAACAUGUUUGAAUGGAUAAAAUAAUGAGAGAAAUAACAAAAUGUUUCUAAGAAAUAAGUGAGUAAUAAAGAAUACAUUAUAAUAAAGGAUAAUUCAAUGAAAAUGGCAGGACUGAAGGUGCAAGCAUCAAUUAAAAAUCAGUGACGUUACUUUGGAACGAUAAUAAUACCUGAUAAAUAAAUAAAGGUAGAAAUUUUAAAAUGAAUAUAUUCCAAAAUAAUAAAAUGACCUUAAAGGUUUAGAAGGAUGAUUGAUAUUAUUUUAUGUGAAGAUUGAACAAGAAAAUUUGGAUCAUUGACGAAAAGUUAUGAACUGACCAAUUUUACAUUAAAAAGCAGAGCUCUCAAUCCAAUCGUCGGAUCGGGAUGAAAUUUUGCAUGAAGUCUAUUAAUAUGUUUUCCUACCUUUGUGAAAGAUCUCAUCCCAAUGGAAGUUUGGUAAAGACUAGCGAUUUAAGCAGAAACAAACCGGAUGGGGUGAGAGACAAUAGAGAAUUCGGUUACAGAGAGGUGCAAGAUUUGGAGGAACCAAUAAUGCUUCGAUGGCCAUAUCUCUAGAAGCCACCGUUGGAUCAUGUUGAUUUUUGGAUAUAUUGUUCUUCUCACAAUCCUACACUAACUGACCGGAAGUUUCCUGGAAAACAUCAGGGAUUUGGAGGCACAUAAUCCGUUGAACAGAAAUCAUCAUCGAAAGUUUCCUGGAAAACAAAAGGAAAUAUACCUGCAGGGAAGUUUUGGUCACCGGCUGAUUUCUCUCUUUUCCACCGUUGGAUCAUGCCUAUUUUUGGAUAUGUGGUGCACCUCUAUGUUGCCUUCAUUCUGGACGGGGGAGAUCGCAAACUUACUCUCCGGCAGGUUUAGUUCAUGUUGAACAGUAGCUCGUCCAUUUUCAGGUUAGUUUGGUUUUAUUCAGAUCUAUGGAGAUCCAACCGUUGGAUCAUUCUAAUUUUGAGAUAUAAUGUACACAACACGAUGAUAUAUAUUAUGACCGUUGGGUUCAAGGAAAUAAUUAGAGGUGGAUGAGUUGUUGCUAUUUGAAUCUAUUGCUAGUCUUAGUAAAACAUUUAGGAAGCUUGAUUUAAUUACAUGUUUUGAUGAAAUUAGAAUUGUGUGGGUGUAGGGUUUAUGUAAGAUGUAAUGGUAAAAUAUGUUCUUGUUAUUAGUGUUGUUAUAGAUAAAUUGUGUUGUAAAAUGUGUUAGGGAAGUUUUGAAAUUUGGAUGAAGGGACAUUGAGUUUGUUGAUUUAAUGGAUAUAUGUUUUUAGGCAUUAAAAAAGGAUUGGGUCUAGUGGUAAUUGAAAGAAAACUUGAAGAAAAAUUUAUCCUCCAUUUAAUGCAAAGAUUCGGCCUAGACAUAUAAAUGAGAGGAUGUGCUUAAUUGUUUUAAUUGCUAUGGAAUUUGAGUUGAAUGAGGUUAGACUAGAUAUGAAAUAAAUGGGUAAAGGUUUAUCCGGAAUAAUUAAAAAGGGCCUCACCAUGAAGGAAGGCAUUCGGCCAAAUGAAGAAGAAAUAAAGGAGAUAAGACUUUGUUUCAUUUUCUAUGUAAAUUAGGUAUGGAUGCAUAUAUCUGGUAAAGAAGAUUAGUUAGGAAGUCAGAAGAAAGAAUAUUAAAAAGAACCAAAUUCUCAUCAUAAUAUGGAAUUCCGCCAAAAAUAGAAAUAUUGAUCUGAGCAAUUGACCAAUGACANNNNNNNNNNNNNNNNNNNNNNNNNNNNNNNNNNNNNNNNNNNNNNNNNNNNNNNNNNNNNNNNNNNNNNNNNNNNNNNNNNNNNNNNNNNNNNNNNNNNNNNNNNNNNNNNNNNNNNNNNNNNNNNNNNNNNNNNNNNNNNNNNNNNNNNNNNNNNNNNNNNNNNNNNNNNNNNNNNNNNNNNNNNNNNNNNNNNNNNNNNNNNNNNNNNNNNNNNNNNNNNNNNNNNNNNNNNNNNNNNNNNNNNNNNNNNNNNNNNNNNNNNNNNNNNNNNNNNNNNNNNNNNNNNNNNNNNNNNNNNNNNNNNNNNNNNNNNNNNNNNNNNNNNNNNNNNNNNNNNNNNNNNNNNNNNNNNNNNNNNNNNNNNNNNNNNNNNNNNNNNNNNNNNNNNNNNNNNNNNNNNNNNNNNNNNNNNNNNNNNNNNNNNNNNNNNNNNNNNNNNNNNNNNNNNNNNNNNNNNNNNNNNNNNNNNNNNNNNNNNNNNNNNNNNNNNNNNNNNNNNNNNNNNNNNNNNNNNNNNNNNNNNNNNNNNNNNNNNNNNNNNNNNNNNNNNNNNNNNNNNNNNNNNNNNNNNNNNNNNNNNNNNNNNNNNNNNNNNNNNNNNNNNNNNNNNNNNNNNNNNNNNNNNNNNNNNNNNNNNNNNNNNNNNNNNNNNNNNNNNNNNNNNNNNNNNNNNNNNNNNNNNNNNNNNNNNNNNNNNNNNNNNNNNNNNNNNNNNNNNNNNNNNNNNNNNNNNNNNNNNNNNNNNNNNNNNNNNNNNNNNNNNNNNNNNNNNNNNNNNNNNNNNNNNNNNNNNNNNNNNNNNNNNNNNNNNNNNNNNNNNNNNNNNNNNNNNNNNNNNNNNNNNNNNNNNNNNNNNNNNNNNNNNNNNNNNNNNNNNNNNNNNNNNNNNNNNNNNNNNNNNNNNNNNNNNNNNNNNNNNNNNNNNNNNNNNNNNNNNNNNNNNNNNNNNNNNNNNNNNNNNNNNNNNNNNNNNNNNNNNNNNNNNNNNNNNNNNNNNNNNNNNNNNNNNNNNNNNNNNNNNNNNNNNNNNNNNNNNNNNNNNNNNNNNNNNNNNNNNNNNNNNNNNNNNNNNNNNNNNNNNNNNNNNNNNNNNNNNNNNNNNNNNNNNNNNNNNNNNNNNNNNNNNNNNNNNNNNNNNNNNNNNNNNNNNNNNNNNNNNNNNNNNNNNNNNNNNNNNNNNNNNNNNNNNNNNNNNNNNNNNNNNNNNNNNNNNNUGGUACGUCAAACAAGUAUAGUAUAAACUCUUAUUAUUCAAUUGCCAAACCACACACAAAGAAGGUUCCAAUCAGAUUAUAAAUUGUUCACAUGAUUACAUUAGUUAUCUUAUUCGAAUAAUGCUAAUACUUGUAAAUGUUGUCAAGCAUUCAUGAUUAUAACUUAUGUUAACAACAAAUCAAGUUCCUUUCAUAGCUCAGGUGUCGGUUAUACCAUACAGUAUGGGCUAUGAAAGUCCCAAGUAUUUGUUGUACCAAGUGUUAUACAACAUAAAUCUAGAUUAGUCAUUCAACAAGCAAAGUAUUAAAAAUGAACAAGAUAACAAAUAUAAAACAUGUUAGUAUUCAACAUUAAAGUCCAUGUUAAGUUUAUAUUAUACUUAUCCUUACACCAUUAGUGUUACCCUUUCACCUUGACAUAAUAAACUUAGCUAAACAUAAUGAAAGAGAGAAACAUAAAUAAACAAGGAAAGGAAAUGAAAAGCAUAAGCAAGAGAUUAAUAUAAGCAAAACUUAAGCAUUACAAAGAGAGAAAGCAAGAUCAUGAUCUUGAUCUGAACACCAAGAUGCCUCAAUACAUGGUAAAUGCCUCCUUUUAUAGGCCAAAAUUUGGAACUAUUGAUUUGUUGACUAAUUGAUGAGUGGGUUGCCACAUCUUGACUUGAUGACAAUUCUUAUCUUUUUGUCUGCCAAAAACAUCAUUGAUAACGUCAUAAUUUGAACAGACUUAAAUCAUUAAAGUUCUAGUAAAUUGUCUCAGCUUUCCAGGAAAACAAAGAUGAGGUCAUUUGGACUUCUAGAACUCGAGAUAUGGGCUAAACACUGAGCAGUGUCUGGGCUGCAGAACAGAUUCAGACUUCUCCGUUGUUGCUACAAUUUGGACUUGAAAACAGCCUUUUUAAAUCUUGGACUCCCAUGAAAGUUUUAGGCCUAUAUCUUAGCUUUCCAUCCAUAUAGAGCAGACCUAAAUCCAAGAUCUACAGCUCCAGAUAUGCCCCAAUGACCGAACAGUGUUCCAGUUUGGAUUGAACCAGCAUCUCUCUUCUAAGUUUGACCCUUUCUUUGUUCUUUCAAUUUCAGUACUUAAACUCAUCAAUUAAUCCUUUUAUUUAUGUGAUAGGCCUGCAUUUUAGAUGAACGUUUACCAUAAAUUAAAGGUAUCUUAUAGUAUCAGACUUGUUAUUAUAAAACAUCUUAUAGUUAAGGAGUUAUUGAUACUUCAAGUGCAAAAUGAUGAUAUAUAACCUUGAUAAAAAUGCAUUUUUAAGUACUAAUCACACCCCCCAACCAGCUUAUUACUAGUCCCUAGUAAUCAAAGCGUUAAAAUAGAAAAACAAUUUGUAAAUUCCACAAAGCAAGGCAUUCAUCAUUCAACUUCCCUUAAUCUAUCGAGAUAAACAAACUCUCAUUAAGUUUAUAUAUCUGCUCAAUACCUCUUAAACAAGAUAUUAAUAAACCUUCCUUUUUAUGUGCUCAUUGUACGAAAACAUAGAUGAUGGGGCUUUUGUUGGAGGAAAACAAUAUUAUGUUCUAAUGUUUAAGGUUAACUUCCUUGGGUUGGGAUUAUUAUUAUUAUUAUUAUUUUUCUCUCUUUUUUUUAAUAUAUAUACAUAUAACUUAAAACACAAUGUAUCUUUAACCCAUGUAACGAGCUUUCGGCUAAUGGCUCCCAGACCAGUUGGUCUUAGGGCAUUAGGUGUUGAGACACCCCUACGAGCUUAGUAACUCGGGUUUCAGAUACUGAUACGUAGAUAGUGCAAUGUUUGAUUCCCUUAAGCUUUUCUCCUUAACCCAUGUAACAAGCUUUGGGCCAAUAGCUCCCAAGUCAGUUGACUUUAGGGUAUUAGGUGUUAAGACACCCCUUUGGGCUUAAUUGCUUAGGUUAGGGAGGCUAAGAAACCAAACUUAUCUACGUUUUUAUUAUCAUCAUUUUUUUUUGUUUUUUUUUAAAAUUAUAUACCAUCCCUUUCCCUUAGUUGUUACCUUUAACAAAAGAACAUAAAUAAUGUAAUAAUCCAAUGUGCAACCCACAAUCAUAUGUUAAAGUGUGUGUGUGUGAAAAUGAAGGUUUAAGAAUACUUGUUAAAUGAGUAUAUGAGCAGAAUUAAGUGAUAACAAUGCGAGAGUUUGUAAACCUGAAUAUUUCAAGAAGUUUUUUGAUAGACCUUGGUAAUGAUACUUACUAAGAUGCGUCUCUAGAGUCAAUAAAAUUUCCUCCUUACUCUGCCAUCCUAAUAAGAAUACUUUACUAAGAUGCGUCUCAAGAGUUAAUAAGACUGACUCCUUACUCAGCCAUCCUAAUAACAAUUGUGUCAAAUGGUUUUAAUAAUAGCAAAAACAGUUAGUAAGUUAGUUUUUUUUUAAGGAUUGUAGUUGGUCAAUCAAUUGUUCAGCAGUAGCAGCAGAGAUUAUGAUUUGUCAUGCUGAAGAUGUUAGAAAAUUCUGUUCCACAACAUGAUCAAGAAAAGACAACAAAUUAUCAUAAAAACCAUUGACAUUUAGCAAAUCUAUAGGUUUAUGGUGAAUGUGCAGUUGGGCCCAAGAGGAAAUAUGAAAGAUCUCUUCCAAUGUGCCUCGACCACCUGAUAAUCGAACCUUCGCUUCAAUCAGCCAGCGAAUAUCUUCAGGAAUUCCAUGAUUCAUUAACAAUCUCAAUCUUGCACACCUUGCACGGUAAAUUUUUGUAAUCACAUUCCGAGGCAGAGUGGGAAAAUACUUUUUCAAUUUUUCAAGAGUGGUGUCCAUUUUCAAAUGAGAAUUGGAGAAGAGAUUCAAAGAACUGAGAAAGAGCAAAGAAUUGCACAAAUAUGUACACCGAUAUCAGUUAUUAUGGGAAACUGAAAGAACCGACUUAAGUCACGGAGUAACGUUAUCCGCCAUUUGACCGGGGUGAGAGAAACUAGCAAAACAAAACACAAAACAAUGUGAGAAAAAAACAAAAUAAUCAACCUUUAUCUACAGGAUCACUCAAACCAAUGGAUUCAUUUUCACUAGGAAAAUUAUCAAAGUAAGCUUUCAAAUGAUGUUCAUUUACCUUAAAAACAUUGUUAUUCUUUGGAUUCUCGAUAUCACAGGCCCCAUAUGGAUACACAUGUUUCACAAUAAGAGGACCACUCCAUCUUGAUCUUAGUUUUUCAGGAGAUAAAUUGAGUCGAGAAUUAUAAAGCAAAACUUUUUGACCAAUAUCAACUUUUUGACAACUUUCACAAGUUUUGCAGAAUGCAUAUGUGUCCUUGAACAUGGUGGGCCAAUAAAAUCCAUUUUGAAAGAUUUUCGCAAUGAUCUUUUUUGAUGAGAAAUGACUCCCACAUGCUUCAGAAUGACAAAAUUUAAUGACACUACUUACCUCAUUGUCCACAAUGCAUCUUUGAAAUAUUUGAUCAGGACAAUAUUUGAAUAAGUUAGGGUCAUCCCAAUAAAAGUUUCUCACUUCGUUCAAAAACUUUCCUUUAUCUUCGGUACUCCAAUGAGUUGGCAAAUCUCCUGAGGCAAGGAAAUUGAUAUUUUUAGCAAACCAAGGCAUUGAACCAAGAGAAAGUAAGGAUUUGUCAGGAAAGUAAUCAUCGAUUGGUGUGAUGUCAGAUGUCGAAUCUGUUGUCACUCUUGACAAAAGAUCCGCAUCAACAUUUUUUAUGCCUUUUUCAUCCGUGAUUUCUUCCUGAGAAUAAGUCAUUUGCAAAUCUUCAAAUUCAUCAAACUCAGUAUUACUCAAAGUAGAUUCAAAUUGAUCAUAAACCAAUUCUUCAAUAAAAUCUACUUCUUAUAAAUCAUUAUCAUCUCCAGGUUGCUUGCAAAUGUUGAAAAUAUUCAUCUCCAAUGUCAUGUUUCCAAAAGAUAGCUUCAUCAGUCAAUUCCUACAAUUAAUCAAUGCAUUAGAAGUUGCAAGAAAUGGACGCCCUAAAAUAACAGGAAAUGAAUUACAUGUUUCAACAGGUUGUGUGUCCAAGACAAUAAAAUCCACAAGAUAAAUGAAUUUAUCAACUUGUACUAACACAUCUUCAACUAUUCCUCUAGGCACUUUUACAAAUCUAUCGGCAAGUAAAAGAGUUACAGAAGUUGGUUUUAACUCACCUAGAUUGAGACUUUGAAAAACUGAAUAUGGAAGUAAAUUCACACUAGCUCCAAGAUCAAGUAAGGCUUUUUCAAUUUUAUGUUCUCUAAUAAAGCAAGAAAUUGUAGGGCAACCAGGGUCUUUAUAUUUCAAAGCAUUAUUAUUCUGAAGAAUGUCACUUGUUCGGCCAAAAAGGCUUUCUUUUUCACAUUCAGUUUUCUCUUCACAGUGCACAGAUCUUUCAAAAAUUUUGCAUAAGAAGGAACUUGUUUAAUAGCAUCCAGCAAAGGUAUAUUGAUCCUUACCUGUUUGAAAGUUUCAAAGAUUUUAGAGUUGUGAUUGACUUUCCUUUGUUUGGCCAUGGCAUGAGGAAAUGGAAGUGCUGGCGGGGAAUCAGUCUUUUCUUUGUAAUGAUCAGAUUCAACCCCUUCCUUACCCUUAGAGAUUGACUCAUCAUCAUUCUCAUAAGGUUCAAGAAUGGGUUUUUCAAUAACCUUACCACUACGAAGAGUGAUGACUGAUUUGACUUGAUUCAUGUGUUGACUUCCAGAACUACUUGCAUUUGCAUGAUACUGCCCCUUGGGAUUUUGUUGUGGUUGACAUGGAAACUUACCUUUCUCUUGGAAACUAAGAGCAGAUGUGAAUUUUGCAAGAGUAUCUUUAAAAUCUAUCAUGCUUUGAGCAAGUUGAUUGUUAAUUGCCUCUUGCUUUUCCAUAAAUGCAUGCAAUGUUUCCUCAAGAUUUCUUCUAGGAGGGGGAGCAUAAGGAGGUGCAUAUCCAUGAGAAUUUUGGAAAUUAUGGUGUGCUUGAAACGGUGGUUGUGAAGUUUGUGCAUUAUUGUUCUCACUCUUCCAACUGAAAUUUGGGUGAUUUCUCCAACCAGGGUUAUAUGUUUGCGAAUAUGGGUUAUGAUUGGGCAUUUGAAAACUAUUUAAAGCAUGGGCUUGUUCAUGGAGACAUUCCUUAAUAGAAGGCAAAGUUGGACAGUCAUUGGUUGGGUGUUCAUUGGUUUCACAGAUUUGACACGCAAUGUCUUGAACAAAUUUUAAUUGACCACUCUUUUUCAAUUGUAGUGCUUCGACUUUUUUAGCUAAAGAUGCAAACUUGGCUUGGAGGUCAUGAUCUUCCCUAAGGUUGUACAUACCCCCACUAGAUGUAUGAGGUUGGGUUUUACUUGGUGCCUCAUAAGUACCUGUGGUGUCCCAAUUUUGUGCAUUUUCAGCUAGCAAGUCUAAGUACUCCAUUGCUUCAUUAGGGUCUUUAUCUUCAAAAGUUCCAUUACACAUCAAUUCAACCAUUUGCCUAUCUCUAGGUGUUAAUCCUUCAUAAAAAUGUGAAACUAAUCUCCAUGUUUCAAAACCAUGAUGGGGGCAAGUAUUAAGCAAGUCUCGAUACCUAUCCCAACAUUGGUAAAAUGUUUCUCCUGGUUUUUGAGAGAAAGUAAUGAUUUGUCUUUUGAAAGAGUUUGUUCUGUGAGAUGGAAAAAACUUCUUUAAAAAUUGUUGUUGCAUUUCAUCCCAAGCACGAAUGGAUCUAGGUCUCAAAUUUUGUAGCCAUGUUUUAGCUUUAUCUUUUAAUGAAAAAGGAAAAAGCUUUAAUCUAAUGGUGUUCAUGCUACAAUUUGAGUCAUUAUACGUAUUGCAGACCUCCUCAAAUUCCCUUAAAUGCAAGUAUGGAUUUUCUAAAUCUAAGCCAUGAAAAGAUGGUAAAAGUUGAAUAAUGCUUGUCUUAAAAUUAAAAUGAGAUGCAUCAAGAGGAAAAACUAUGCAUGAGGGUGCACUUGUUCUUAUGGGAUUCAUGUGGUCUCUAAGUGUUCUAACACGGUUAUUCUCAUUAUUUUCAUUAUGAAGCGAUUUGUUAUCUUCUUCGGCCAUAUUUUCUGAAAAUGAUGAGGAUACCCUACAAAGUCUACCACUUAAUGUACGUGACCACACUCACAUGCACGUGCAGGAAGAGAAUAAAAGAAAGAAAAGAAAAACAAUAGAAAAAGAAACAAAACAAAAGAAAUGAAGUUAGAUAUAAGAAAAGUGAAAAGAGAAAACAAAAUAAAUAACUCGACCAAAAACUUGACACGACCAAAAGAUUGAUGUCUUCUCCCAAGUGCAGGAGUGUCGAAGUAAUAAAUAACUCGGCAAGACAGGGAGGUUAAUUGUAUAAAUUAUAGAUAACAAUAAUACAACAAUAACAAUAACAACAACAAUAACAACAACAAUAAUAAUAGAGAUAAUAAUAAUAGUGAAGAAGAAGAGGAAGAAGUUGAUGAAAACUUUGAGAUGGAAGAUUAACGUAAAGAUUAAACAAUGAUAACAACAAAUGUCAAGGUUAGAGGAUCCACUAAUGGUACGUCAAACAAGUAUAGUAUAAACUCUUAUUAUUCAAUUGGAAACCACACACAAAGAAGGUUCCAAUCAGAUUAUAAAUUGUUAACAUGAUUACAUUAGUUAUCUUAUUCGAAUAAUGCUAAUACUUGUAAAUGUUGUCAAGCAUUCAUGAUUAUAACUUAUGUUAACAACAAAUCAAGUUCCUUUCAUAGCUCAGGUGUCGGUUAUACCAUACAGUAUGGGCUAUGAAAGUCCCAAGUAUUUGUUGUACCAAGUGUUAUACAACAUAAAUCUAGAUUAGCCAUUCAACAAGCAAAGUAUUAAAAAUGAACAAGAUAACAAAUAUAAAACAUGUUAGUAUUCAACAUUAAAGUCCAUGUUGAGUUUAUAUUAUACUUAUCCUUACACCAUUAGUGUUACCUUUUCACCUUGACAUAAUAAACUUAGCUAAACAUAAUGAAAGAGAGAAACAUAAAUAAACAAGGAAAGGAAAUGAAAAGCAUAAGCAAGAGAUUAAUAUAAGCAAAACUUAAGCAUUACAAAGAGAGAAAGCAAGAUCAUGAUCUUGAUCUGAACACCAAGAUGCCUCAAUACAUGGUAAAUGCCUCCUUUUAUAGGCCAAAAUUUGGAACUAUUGAUUUGUUGACUAAUUGAUGAGUGGGUUGCCACAUCUUGACUUGAUGACAAUUCUUAUCUUCUUGUCUGCCAAAAACAUCAUUGAUAACGUCAUAAUUUGAACCGACUUAAAUCAUUAAAGUUCUAGUAAAUUGUCUCAGCUUUCCAGGAAAACAAAGAUGAGGUCAUUUGGACUUCUAGAACUCGAGAUAUGGGCUAAACACUGAGCAGUGUCUGGGCUGCAGAACAGAUUCAGACUUCUCCGUUGUUGCUACAAUUUGGACUUGAAAACAGCCUUUUUAAAUCUUGGACUCCCAUGAAAGUUUUAGGCCUAUAUCUUAGCUUUCCAUCCAUAUAGAGCAGACCUAAAUCCAAGAUCUACAGCUCCUGAUAUGCCCCAAUGACCGAACAGUGUUCCAGUUUGGAUUGAACCAGCAUCUCUCUUCUAAGUUUGACCCUUUCUUUGUUCUUUCAAUUUCAGUACUUAAACUCAUCAAUUAAUCCUUUUAUUUAUGUGAUAGGCCUGCAUUUCAGAUGAACGUUUACCAUAAAUUAAAGGUAUCUUAUAGUAUCAGACUUGUUAUUAUUAAACAUGUUUUAGUUAAGGAGUUAUUGAUACUUCAAGUGCAAAAUGAUGAUAUAUAACCUUGAUAAAAAAUGCACUUUUAAGUACUAAUCAUGAAGUUACUAAGUUUGUACAUGAUGGGUUGAGUAGACAAAAAUAAAAUAAAAUAAGAUUGUUAGGUCAUGUUUAAAGAUAUUUAGUCUGGAAAGACAAGUCAUGAAAGGAAAGGAAAUAAAUAAAUAAAUAUGUGAAUGCAUGUGUCAUGCGAUUUUAAAUUUAAAUGAAUUUUAGAAUGGAAUUUUCAAUUAUGGUGGAGCCACAUUUGAUAUGUAUCUUUAAUGAUACUGGAGAGAUUGCAGAAUCUGUUCAGUAGCAUGGGACUUUUACGCGAGUUCAAGCAUUAGGUAGGUGUCUUAUACCUCAAACUUUUGUUUUUACAAUACUUGUUAGAGUUAAAUAAAUGGUAUUUUCUAUAAAUAUACUUGUGCUUGUGUAAUUGUGAAUGUUUAUGUCGAGGAAAAUAUAGUGGACUAGCUAGUUUGAAUAGAGUUAGUGGUGCUACUGUACUGACUGUUGAGUUAGAUGUAUAAUAACAAAAAUGAAAUGUACCGACUUUAGGGUGAUAAAUUAAUGGUACAUUAUGAUUAAAUUAUUGAUGCUCGAUUUAUAUAUGUAUACUGAUGAUGUGUAUGUGUUUAAAUAAUUUAUAUGAAGGAAGCAGGUGUAUCCCACCUUGUCUCUUUUAAGUUGUGUAAACUUAUUGGUAAAUUUCAGAAUUUAUUGUUUUAUUGCUUCGAUGAUAUUGACAUGAGUAAGAGUACCUUAUGUGCAACGGUAUACCUCUAUUAGUUAGGAUAAUGUUUGAACGAAUAGGAGUGACUUGCGUGUGUUGUUAUGUAUUGAAUUAAUUAUGUUAUUAUGGUCGUAGUGUCGAUAACUAAGUUUGUGUGGGAAUGAUGCUUAGCAACAGUUGUUAUAAUGCAUAUGAUGUAAGAAAAAAAAAGAAGAAGAAGAAGAAAAGAAAGAAAGGGGAUCGAUACGAAUGGAAAUUUCAAGUGACAUUGAUUAGCUAUCCGGGUUUGGAUAGCUAAUGGUAUCAAUGAGGUUUCAUUGGUAUCGGCAUUUAGGGUGACAUUGAUUAGUUAUCCGGGUUUGGAUUGCUAAUGGUAUCAAUGAGGUUUCAUUGGUGCCGGCAUUUCUUAAAUUGAUUAGUUAUCCCGAGCAAUUGGGUGACUAAUGAUGUUAGUAAUGAUUACUAAAAUCGGCAUGGUUACUCUUGGUUCAGUGAAAAAGAUAAGUUUAUUAACUAUUUUGGGUCGAGAAUAGUUAAUGAUAUCAAUUGGUCAUAUUGGUAUCGGCAACCAUUUCUGGUGUGAUUAGCUACUCCAGGUAAGGAGGCUGAUAAUGUAAAGGGUUCUUGACAUCGGCAACUUUGAUGAUAAAUCAUAUAUGAAUAGGAUUUGAUACUCCAGAUAAGAAUAGUUAAUGAUACUAAUCGGUUGUGUUAAUAUCGGUACGUGAAUGUAAGUUAUUAGUCUAUCCCAAUAUUAAAAGACUAAUGAUACUAAUGAGAUUUAUUAGUGUCGGCGAUUACUUUCUAGAAAAUAAAAGGGAAAAUAUUGAUUAGUUAUUCCAAAGGAAUGAGAUAAGCUAAUGAUACCAAGAGAGAAAUGUCUUGGUAUAAAGAGAGAAUUGAUUUAUAAGGAGAUGGUGUUCGAAAAUCAUUGAGUUGUGUUGAGAUUUCCAAGAUGAAAUUAUUCUCAACAAAUGGGAAAGGAUAUUAGAUGGAUAUUGGUAAUAGAUUGAAAAUGCAUGUUGUAAAAGAGGUUUAUACCUAAUUUUAUGUCUCAAAAGAAAUUCUAUGAAGAUUAUUACCUAUCAUUGUUAUUGUUUGUUACUACCUUUUUAUAUUUAUGUGUACACGUUAAUUUCUAUUUUCAGGUCCAUCAGGGUCGCGUCCGGAAUGAUAUUGGUUUAGUUACCUUUUGCUUUUGACCAUGUAAUUAUUUGUAAAUUAAGAGUCUUAUAUCCUAAAACUUGAAAUAUAAUAUUAAUCCGUAAAUUUGAAUGUAUGACUUUAAUCUAAUGUUUGUAACUUUAAGUACCUAUUUAACCAUGCAUGUUUAGAGUUGAAAACAAAUCUUUCACUUGAAUUACAUUAUAUGACGUUAUUGAAUAACAUGUGUUAUGUUGAUGAUGAUGAGUUGGGUUGAGAUCUAGGAUGAUUGGAUUAGGAUGUGAACUAAAAUUGGAAGUAUAAUAUGAUUUUGUCGAUAACUUGGGACCUCCUAGUAUAGGGGAGACUCUGCCAAAAUUUUGGUAGACAUUUGGUGGAACCGGUAUAUUAAAAAAAAAAUUACUUGAAAAUUUCCAAUGUAUCGUGAAAAAAGGAUGUUGGAAAUCAAGGUUGUUAUAGUAACAGUUGAAAAUUGGACAGUAACAGUUCAAUGUCUAGACAGUAACGGUAGGCUUUCACGUGAAUACUAUAUAUGCAAGAAUAUAAAAGAAUUGAGUCAUACGAACACUUGCACAUUGAGAUACUAACUCUGAAAAUAUACAUGAUAUAUGUAUGUAUGUUAUUAUGAGGAAAUGAACAUAUAUAGAAAGUAACAUAUGAGUAAUGGAUGAAUAUGGAUUCUCUAUAAUGUCGACUUGAAGGAAUCAUAACCAAAAACUUCCUUAUGAUUCAGGAGGAGCAACCAGGAUUGGAUUUUCUAAUAGGGGAGGUCGCGAGACAAGUGAAGCAGGUGCAUGAUUCUCCUCCUAUUUGGACUUAUACAAUUUAGAAUUCUUAUGGUGAAUGCAAUUACAAUAAAUGUCGUGUUUAAUGUAAAUAAAAAUCUAGCGUAAAUAUAAGAUUAGGAGAUGAUUUACAAGAUUAGCUUUGGCUAAUGGCAUCCGUGAUAGGAUUGCCGGGAGAUGAAUUACAAGAUUAGCUUCGGCUAAUGGCAUCCGUGAUAGGAUUGCAGGGAUAUGAAUUACAAGAUUAGACUUGGCAAGGUCACCCAGUUCAUGCAAGUAAAUAAGAGUAUUCAAAUCAUGGAUAUACAAAUGAGUGUUAAUUAGGUUUAAAAGACUUACAAGCAAAAUAUAAGUUCUUUGUUAGAAUUCUUAUGGGUCCGAUAGAAAGUUAAUACUUCAUUCGUAUUCAUUACAUGAGCAUCUAUAUUCUUUAUCAACAUAAUGAUAUGUUUAAUUAUGUAACAGGUCCAUCAAAUAUCCAGGAAGAUCAUUAGUUUAGGACUCUACUUUGCGAAGCUUAUGUAAAUAUUUAACUUAAACAAAAGGGAAUUAACGUGUUUAUGUAGUAUAUUUUUGUGUAAACCUUGAUGUAUUUAUAAAAGUUCAAUUUUGCAUGUGUUAUUUUAGUUAUCUUGUAAUUAACCCUUUUGAAAUAUUUAAGAACACUUAUUAUGUUGUAAAUACUUUCUUUGCAUGUUAGUAUUCCUUUCCUUUUAAAUUUUACGAUAUGAUGUUUGGACUAUGUUCAUAUUGAACUUACUCAUAGGAUAUAUAUAUAUAUAUAUAUAUAUAUAUAUAUAUAUAUAUAUAUAUAUAUAUAUAUGGUGUGGAAUUAUGAGGUAUGAUAUAAGAUCCGAAAUUAUGGGACCUAAUGAUGAUGGGUUGAUUGAGUAAAUUGAUAGUAGUUGAUAACUUGGGAUGUCACUCUGCCGAAUUUUUGGAAAAAAAAAAAUUUACCCUCAGAUAAAGAGGAUAUGUUAGGAUCUUUUAACAUUGAUCAAGUCGUACAGUUCGGACCGUUACAACACUCAAUGAACAUGAUUUACCCAUAAAGGAAAAAGAGACAUUCCUUACUUCAAGUUUGCUUUACUUAUGAUGUAGGCUAAGGACAACAACAACUGCAAGUUAAAGAGGGAUAAUCAUUAGAUUGUGUGUUGGGACAAAAUAAAUAAUUUUUUUAAUAUCCGUGAUCAGUACCGGUGAAUAUGAUAGAAUGGAAGACUCCCCUUCAUUAUCUAAAAAUAAAUAAAUAAAAUCUAGAUUAUCCUUCUAUUGUGUAUCAAAUUUAUGCUUUUUAUUGGUCAGUGAUUUUAAAUCCGGUUUGGUGGUCGACCCGACCCAAGGGGUUCUAGUCACGAGUUUUGAUCGGGUCACCUGAGUCAACUCCAAUUUUUUUAUAAAUCAAAACGAUAUCGUUUUUUAUUAAAAAAAAUCAACAGGUUGCAACCGGGUUUUUUAAUCCAUUUCAAGGGCAAUAGCAUUUAGAUCCAUUUCAAUAGCAUUGAUUCCAUCAGGGGCUCCGGUGUAUAGUGAGGACCUUGCUGUUAGAAACUAUGGAGCCCACUAUUUAUUAAUCCAUUUCUAUUUACUACUUAUUACUAUUUAUUUUUAUUUACUAUAUUUUUGUUUGUGAUACCCGGUACCAAUACAAUUUGAGAUUCCUUCAAUUUUUAAGGUGCAUGCAAGUCUAAUGGCUUCAUGUACAAAAUCAAUUCAAGGGUGUGUAUCCUUAACUAUCAGGCUAACCUUUACAAGCUUGGCAAUCGAUAAUUAAUUUUUAAUGAAUUCAAUUUUUUUUUAAAUAAGGAAAAGGACAUUGGUGAAUAAAUUGUUUCCUUCCUAUUAUAAUUGUUAGACCUUACCAAAGGGCUAAUUUAGAAAAAGAUUGUAACUUAUAGGUCACUAGGGCCGAGGUCAACUUGUGACUAAGUAGAUCAAUUUAAAUUAAUUAUUUUUAUUAAAAUAAUAAUGUUUUGUUUUUUUUCUUGAUAUUAAUUUGGCUAAUUUUUAUCAAAUCAAAUCACUAAGAACUUAACCAAAUCAAAUUUCAUCAAAUCAAUAAUAUUUUAUGUAGUUGAAUUAAAAAUUCAAUUCAAUUCUAGCUCUGAACCCUGAUUUUUUUUUUGUUCAAUCUAGCAUACAGGUUUAUCAAAUAUGCUUCGCGCUUGCAGCUGUGGUUUGCUGCGGGCAUUUGAUAAUUGGAUUACUGUAAAGAUUAUUGUUGUCAUUUCCAACUUCAUGCAUGUUGCUAGCACUAGAAGUUGACCCAACCACCCUUUCUACCAUGCUCUCAUUAGGACCAAAUAGUUCUCCGUGUGCAUACCAACACAGGUAAUCUUCCAUGAACCAUUUGGUUAGAAGAUGCAUCGUUACAACAUUUUGAUGCAGAAACGUUUUAUUUUUACACUUCCUGCAUGGACACCUAAUACCGCCAUCAGUAAAAUUCGUCGGAAUAGAUGUUGCGAAAUUAAUAAAACCCAGAACCCCGUUAUAAUAAUCCAUCCUCCGCAAUCCUUGGGGUGAGUCCCGAUACAUCCAUGAACGAUCAUCCAUGACUUCUAUCGAACCUCUAUAAAAUUAUGACGACAACAUGUAUUAAUUAACUAUGUUACGUAAAUAAAUUUGCAAAAAUAUUGGUUUGCCCCAACAUUAUCCAACAAACUAAAAAAACACUUAUGUUAAAUAUUCAUUAUCAAUUAUCAAUUAUCAAGGUCCAUACAAAUUUAUAUAUAUAUAAAUUUAUGAAAUCACAACUUCGCAAUAGAAUUGAUAAAAAUUAAAACAGACCCGUUAAACAAGCUAUUAUUUAUUUCAUCACAACAUAUCUAAUUCGGUGUAAUUCAAACAAAGUUUCAAUAAUUUACAAAUAAAUACAAUUUGACAAAAUCUAAAACAAACUAUAACAACUAUAAAAUUCUACAUUCAUACUACAAGUUUCUUUGACAAAUAACAAUCAAACAAGUACAUACGUUAACAAAAAUAUACAUAUACUAAAAAAAAAUGACAUUUAAAUGUUAAAACUAAAAGGAUAAAUUUACUUACAAAAAAUGAUAAAAUCCACAAUAAACUGCUCGGAGAACGGAUGUUGUGACCACGUACAAAAGUAUAAGAAACUUGAGUGCUUGUGUUGAGAAGAUGGGGGAGUUGGGAUGGGUGGUUGGCUGCAGUUUGGGAGGGCAGAGUUGGGAUGGGGAAAAAGAAGGGGAAGAAGAAGGAGAAAUAGGGCAGAGAGUGUCGGCAGAGUGGAUAAUAUAUUGGCUUUUACCGAUGGAAUCACCGACUGAACGUUUCCGUUGGUGAGUCGGCCAGUGAAUGUGCCACAUCACUGUAUGGCGAUCCCGGUUUGAAUCCCUCGGUAAUUCCAUCGGUAAAAUCAUCUGAAAAAAAUCCACGUCAUCACACCGUUGCAACUUUUCAAAAAACUAUAUAAUCCGUCAGUGAUACCGUCGGUAUAUAGCGACGGUAUCGCCAACGGAAAUUGUCUGUCGGUAUAUACCGACAGAAGUAGAGACGGAAUUAUUUUCGUCGGUAAUUUUUACCAAUGAAAAAAGUCUGUCGGUAAUUCCGUUGGUUUUCGCCGAUUUUUUGGUAGUGAAAUCUUAUUUAAAUUAAAAAGCCAAAAAUGAACUCAUCUACUCUUUGCAAGAAUGGACUAAAAUCCGCAUAAUUAAAUAGUACUGUUACUGUAAACUACUAGGAAAUUCAUGGGUAGAGCCAAAAUGUUAACAAUAGCAUUGAUUCGACCAAGUAAGGGGCUCACUAUUUAUUAAUCCAUUUCUAUUAAGGAAAUAACCAUAGAAAUUAUGGAGCCCACUAUUUAUUAAUCCAUUUCUAUUUACUACUUAUUACUAUUUAUUUUUAUUUAUUAUAUUUGUGUUUGUGAUACCCAGUACCAAUAAAAUUUGAGAUUCCUUCAAUUUUUUAGGUGCAUGGUCUAGUCUAAUGGCUUCAUGUACAAAAUCAAUUCAAGGGUGUGUAUCCUUGACUAUCAGGCUAACCUUUACAGGCUUAGCUAGCAAUCGAUAAUUAUUUUUUAAUGAAUUCAUUUUUUUAUUUAAAAUAAGGAAAAGGACAUUGUUACACCUUAACUAUUAUAAUUGUUACACCUUACCAAAGGGUUAAUUUAGAAAAAGAUUAUAACUUAUAGGUCACCAGGGCCGAGGUCAACUUGUGACUAAGUAGAUCAAUUUAAAUUAAUUAUUUUUAUUAAAAUGAUAAUGUUUUGUUUUUUUUCUUGAUAUUAAUUUGGCUAAUUUUUAUUAAAUCAAAUCACUAAAAACUUAACCAAAUCAAAUUUCAUAUUUCAUCAAAUCAAUAAUAUUUUAUGUAGUUGAAUUAAAAAUUCAAUUCAAUUCUAGCUCUAAACCCUGAGUUUUUUUUUUUUUUUGUUCAAUUUAGCAUACAGGCUUAACAAAUAUGCUUCGCACUUGCAGCUGUGGUUUGCUGCGGGCAUUUGAUAAUUGGGAGAGGCUUUAGUUUCGUACCUGUUGUUCUGCUUCAUGUACACUCGGACCUCUUAUUUUAUUUUAUAUUGGUUGGAUCCAAACUUAAUCCAACACAAAAUUAACAUAUUUAUUAUUUAUUUAAGAUAAAUGAUAUAGGUUUAACAUAUUAGCGAACACUUAAUAUGAUUAAAUUUAAUUUUAAUUAAUUAACAUCUCACCGUAAUAAAUUUUACCAUUUGCAACCAAAAAACAGUUGACACCUUAUUAAUAUAAUCAAUAUAGUAGAAAAAUUAUAGUGAUUUAAAACAAUUCAUUAAAAUGUUCGUAAAUGUUUUUAUUUUGUGACAAGGAUUUUCAUGUUAUCUGUUAUGUAUUGUUACUGUUAUAAUCCAUUUCUAGAUUAUUUCUCAAAUUCCAUAAUUAGAUUUUUAAUAGGUCAAUUUGAUUUAAUCAUUGGCCAAAUUAAAUUUUAAUUAUGUUUAAAAUUUUAUUUGGGUCCUAUUGAAGGAUUUAAUUAGAUGCAAUGACUUAACUUUACUUUAAAUGGGUCAAAUUAAAUUUAUAAGGGUAAAAUUGCAAGAAAAUCAAAGUUUUUGGGGUCAAUUAAGGGCUAAAUUAAAAAAAUUCACAGCCAAGAACUAUUUUGCAAAAGACGCUAAACUAUAGAAACUCAAUUGAUUGAAAUUAGAGAUGGAAAUGAAAGAAUUGAAAGUUUAAGAAUCAAUUGAGGGUUAAAUUGCAUAAAUCCAAGACCAAGGAUCAAAAUGAAAUAGGUGUUGAAAUUUGAGGCUGACAUUCAAGUUCGGCAGAGGCAAAAUUGCUUAAAAUUGAAAGUUUAAGGUCAAUUAGGGAUGCAAUUGAAAGAAAUUAAAAGUCGGAGGACCAAACUGAACUUUGGCCAAAUCCCUAAAAUAAAACCUUAAGAGCCAAAACAACGUUGUUUCAUUUAAAUGCAUUUAAAUGAAACAACGUAAAUGAAACAACGUUGUUUUGACAAAACAGUACCAAAAAAAAAAGGCAAACCAGACAACGCAUCAUCUAGACUGUUCAUCUUCUUCAUCAUUAGCCUCCUAGAAAGCUUCUCAAAUGGCCACUUUCUCAAGGCAUUUAAUGUCUUUUCUCUCCAUCAAAUUUGAUAAAAUUUGCACGCAAACGGUGGCCUAACAUCUGGUGUUGUCCUUUAUGGCUGAUUGACGCCACAGCGGUUAUGGCACCGCCUUAAAGUGGCCAACCCGACUAGCCCUUCUGUAGUAACUUGUCAAACCAUGAUUGCAACUUUAAGUCAAUGGUUGAGAUCUUUCAGAGUUGAAUUAGGGGCUAAGAUUUAGCAACUUUAAAUCAAUUAUUGCAAAGUCAAUGCUUUUAUUUUGUGACGACGAUUUUUGUGUUAUCUAUUAUGUGUUGUCAUUGUCAUAAUCUGUUUCUAGAUUAUGUUUCAAAUCUAUCUUCUUUCUUUUCAAAAUAAAAAAGAUCAAAAAAUAAUAAUAGCCAGAAAACUAGCAUUUUGGCAAAAGCAAGUUGGGAAAAUUUCAAAUGUAGAAUUGCAAUUUUGGAUGGAAUUGGGAGCCUAAUUAUAUCUUAUUUAUCCAAAACUAGAGAAACAAUACAAAUUCAAUGUCAAGUUAAAUGAUUAUUGAAUGAAUCUUUAUAAAAAUUAAGUCUAAGGACAUAAUUAGAUUUUAAAUAGGCUAAUUUGAUUUAAUCAUGGGCCAAAUUAAAUUUUAUUUAUGUUUAAGAAUUUAUUUAGGUCCAAUUGAAGGAUUUAAUUAGAUGCAAGGACUUAAUUUUACUUUAAAUUGAUCAAAUUAAUUUUAUUAGGUGACUUAAUUAGUGAAAAAUUAAGUUUGGGAGCCCAAUUUGAGCUUAAUUGAGAAGAUUGAUAUUUUAGGAUGUCGUACAUGGACGUGCAACAUCGGGGGGUCAUUUGGAGUCGUCACCUAGUUAUUUAGUUCAAGGUCGCUAAAAAACCUAGGUAUAUUGGUCUUGUUAGAGAUUCGAGAGUAAAUGACUAGUUGUGGCUAAAAAAGGUAUUAACACCCCUAACGCAACCUACCCAGGUAAGUUACUUUGUGAUUAGAUGUGGUUUAGAGAUUUUAAUGGUUUUUUAAUAUAUCUAUAGUUUAGGAUUGCGUUUUGCAUGUAUGAAUAAAUUUGAUGUUUAAUAAUUUAUUAUGGACUCUUGUACCCAGAUCAAUUCUUAGAAAAAAAAGUUCUUCGUAAUUUAUGUAUUGUGGUAAAAAUUACUCUCAAUAAAAAUUAAUGAUUAUUUAGAAUAACUUUGAGGAUUUUCUGGUCAACUCCAAUAUUUCAAAUAUCAGCCUCACUUAUAGGUAUAGCGUUUUAUAUCAAGAUUUUUAACCAUUAAUUCUCAUGAAUUAAAAAAUAGUGGUCUAUUAAAAUAUUGAUCAAAUUCACAUGAAUUUAAUAAACUAGUUAUUAAAUUCUAAAAUGCAUAUUCAUAUAUAAUAUUUUAAUUUGUUUUUAAAUAAAAAAUAUUUUUAAAAAGUAUGUGCCACAAUACCAAAUUAUAGUAUAAAUUAAAAGAGAAAGUAGUUUUCUCUUCAUCACUAUUCACUUAUAUUCAUUUCACUAUGGAUAUUAAUAGUGAAUUUUUUGAAAAUUUCCAAUGUGGUAUUCAAUUAUUUUCUUCACAAUUGAGCUCUUUUAAAUUCAAAUUAGAGUCUAAUUGCAUAUUUUUUCAAGGAUGAGGAUUGAAUUGAAAGACAUAGGACUAAAGUGAAAAACUCGACUAAAAUAAGUGGUGGCUUUGCAAUUUGUUUGCAAAGUUCAUUUUAGUCCCUAUAUUUUUUCAUCAUUUUAUUUUGAUACCAAACUUUAUUUUCCUCUGUUUUUAGUUUUUUUUUGUGUAGGAGAGAGAGAGAGAGGAUCACUGAAUUUCAUUUUAGAGAGAGAAAGUUGUUGUUGGGGAUUUUGGCCACCAAAACGGUUGAUUUUUGUGUCAAAUUAUUAUGUCUUAAUUUAACAAGAUUCCUUGGAUAUUUUCUAGGUGUUUUGGAUCAAAAUGAGUUGAAAACAAGUUUUUUGAUAAAAAAAAAAUCAAGCCUCCUUUUUCUAGCCAUACUAGUAAUCGAAAUCCGGGGACGCAUUGACGACACAUCGUUUGUUGAGGAAAACGCCGUGUCAUUUUUUUUCAAAGCAUUGGGGUGACGACGUGUCAUCCGCCCUAUUAACUUAAAAAAAGUUAAAGGCUUGUGCGUGUGUGCCGACUUUGCAAGUCAGUGCGCGAGCCUUUGAUGGGUGGGCCAAACACUCUAAGCUUGACUCUCCAAGCUCAGCAAUGUCUGACUUCAUUCAUUUCCUUUUAUUAUUAUUAUUAUUAUUAUUAUUAUUACCUAUAUAUAUAUAUAUAUAAGAAAAUAAUUAAGAAAAUAAUUUUAAAAUGAUGUUUUCAUUAAUACUCGUUCUCUAUGUUAAUAUGAUUUAUUUGUAAUGUUUUAUAUAUAUUUCAGAUAUAUUAAGUAUUAUUUUUUUAUGUGUGUGUCGAUUUCUCUUAUAUAUUGAUUUUAGUAAACAAAUUCAUUAAAUAUAACCAGAGAAAUGACUCAUGUUGCAAUAUUAAAUAUCUUGAUCUAUAUUUGUCCCUCAAUUUUUCCACUUGCUUUUUUAAUUAUCGAUAAUGACUUUGUUUUUUUUAUUUAUUCACACAAUAAAAAAACACUUUGAGAAAUUAUUAGGCUUUUCUAUUAUUUAUUUGAAGGGAAUAACUUUUUUAUACUUAUACAAUAUUGUAAGGUUUUAUAGUUUUAAUAUAUAAAUGGUUGUAAUAGCUUUUUGGCAUGUGAGACUUGGAUAAAUGAAAAUCAAAUAUUUUGGGUGUCUAUCUUAUAGUUAUGAUAUUUUUAGUAUUUGAGGGUUUUGACUUGGAAUAAAUCUUGUUAUUAUUCGUUUUCGUUUAUAUCAAUUUGGUUAGUGUCUUAGGACCAAAAGAAAAGAAUCAAAAUGAAAAAAACACAUUUGAUUUAAAAUAACUUAGAUAGAGAUAUAAAAUAAAUAUAUUUCUAAGAUAUUUUUUGAAUGAGUUUCUAUCAUUACAAAACAAAAUGUGCAUGAAAAUAUGUUUCAUCUAUCUCCACCAUCUCUAUUUUUAAAAAAAGAUAUACUCUAACCAUCUAGGUGGUGGCCUAGUGGUAAGAGCUUGGGACCAAGAGGUUUGCUCCCUCUGUGAUCUCAGGUUCGAGCCCUGUGGUUGCUCAUAUGAUGGCCACUGGAGGCUUAUAUGGUCGUUAACUUCAGGGCCCGUGGGAUUAGUCAAGGUGCGCGCAAGCUGGCCCGGACACCCACGUUAAACUAAAAAAAAAAAGAUAUACUCUCUUCCCAUUUUCUCUCCCUGCUGAAUUUUGGAAACCACCCACACAACAAUAGCCCUCACAACCACCAACAUGAUUUUUUUUAAUCUUAUUUAGCCUUUCUUCAAUUAUUUGUAAUUAUGUUGGGUGUGUUUAGUUUUUUAAAAAAUUAGUAUAAUUCAUCUGUAAUUUUUUAUAUAUAUUUCACAUAAAUUAAGUAUUUAUUUUUUUAUAAUAUUUUGAAUAUGUUUAUCCUUGAAUUUUUUUUCUUUUUAUGUUAUUCAAUAAAUUUGAUGUGUGUGUUGAUUUCUAUUAUAUAAUGAUUUUAGUAAACAAAGUCACUAAAUAUAGCAAGGUAAAUGACCUAUGUUACAAUAUUAAAUAUCUUGAUCUAUAUUUAUCUCUUAAUUUUCCACUUGCCUUUUUAAUUAUGGGUAAUGACUUUGUCUUUAUUUAUUUAUUUACACAAUGGUUCGUGCUUUGUUUAAUUCGAUACGUGCCUAAUUUUUUCGAUUUACAUUUAUGAUUUUUUUAAUGUAAAAAGAACGCGUUAAGAAAUUCUUAUUCUUAUGAUUUUAAUUUAAUCCUUAUUCUUAUGAUUUCUUUCUUUUUUCCUUAACCCUUUUAUAACAAAAAUAUUGUUUGUAAUUUCACCCUUCAAUUCAAUGUGAUGGUGUAUUGUUUUUGUUUUUUUAUUUUAUUUUGAUCCUCAUUGAUCGCUUCUUUAUAUAUAUAUUCUUGUUUGUUAUUAUUGCCUUAUAUAUAUAUGAUUCAAAUAAAAUCAACUUAUUUAAGUCGGUCCGGACUAUAAAGUUAUUUAAUGUUUUUUUUUUUAAAGAAACACGCUUGUAAUAUAGUGCGGAAACCAGCAGGUGAGACUUGAGUAAAUGAAAAUGAAAUAUUUUGAAUGUCUUUCUCAUAGUUAUAUUAUUUUUAAUAUUUGAGGGUUUUAAUUUGGAAUAAAUCUUGUUAUCAUUCGCUUUUGUCUUGUCAAUUUGGUUAGUGUCUUAGAAAAACAUAGGAUUCAAAAAGAGAAAAACAUAUUUGAUUUAAUAUAACAUAGAUAGAGAUAUAAAAUAAAUAUAUUUCUAAAAUAUUUAUGGAAUGAUUUUCUAUCAUAUCAAAAUAAAAUGGGCAUGAAGAUUUCUUCUAUCUCCACUAUCUCUAUUUUUAAAAAAAGAUAUGCUCUAUUUUCCCAUUUCCCAUGAAAAUGGGCUGAAUUUUGGCGACCACCCACACAACGAUAGCCUACACAAUCACCAGCCAUGCCACUUUUCAAGACCCCAUCUCUCAAUCUCAAAACCAGAAACAACCCCCUUCUCCAUUAAACCGAAUCUCAUAACUCCAGGAAAGUGAAGGACCAAACCAUACUGUUAAAAAUCUUAAAGGGUUUUAAAUUAUCUCUUUUACUUUCCCUCAAUUUUCUAGACAAGAAAAAGGAGCUAAACUUAUUCCCCACCAAAAUGUCAAGAAUUUCAGUAGAACGAAAGAAGAGAUUAUUACUUGACCAAAAAACAACUAGUCAGCACCCAAAGAAACCGAGUGAAUGAGAGAAAAAGACUAAUAGCUAGGAAACAAUCAACAAAUCCAAGAACUUUCUAUACGGUUUCCAAGAAAAUGAAAAGAAACGAGCAAGACAACCCUCUUUCUCCUCUUUCAGUGUUCAAAAAAACAAAGAAACGUAAAAGAGGACUUUUCAAAGUCAGCUAAGUAUAUGGCUUAUUAUAUUCAUAGAGAGAGGCGGAAUUAAUUUUAUAAGCCAUGUAAAAUAUAUCUUUUUUCUUGGCAACCAAACACAACCAGAAGCCCAAAUGAAAACAAUUUUGACGAAUUCCCACCAAACAAUUGAACUGCUGUUGUAACUAAGAUUUUCAGUUAUACGUAAUUUUUGUGGUCCAAAGGACAAAUAAUUUUCUUUUCUUUUAUUUUAUCAGCUUAAUUUCACUUGUGGACUUGAUGGGCAACCAGACUUGCAAAUUGAGGUUCAAUCUCGUAUGCACAAUUAAAUCUCGUAUGCGUAAAUUGCAAGCAACAAAUUUUAAAGUGAAUUUGGUUACUGAAACUGGUUUGACAACGACUCAAAACAAUCUGAAAGUGCAAAAGAAAGGAAACAAAUUCAAGAAAAAACAAAAUGCUAAUAAGAAGCAUAGAGUUUGUUUCCAUUGUGGAAAUAAAGAACAUUAGAUAAAAUAGUGCGGAUUCAAGAAUUUCAACAAGAAAGGUGGUUCUUUCAAAGUAAAUAUGGUUGAACAAGAUGAAGGCAGGGAGUUAGUUGUCAUGGUUUCAAACAUUCAAAUUUGAAUGAUUACCGAAUUAAAUAUGGCAACUAAGUUAUAAAGACUUCAGAUUGGUGGCUGGAUUCUGGUGCAACAGUUCUUGUUUGCAACAACAAAGCAUGGUUCAAGACUUAUGAAGAAUUGAAAAAACCUGAAGAGGUCUUGAUGGGCAACCAUAAUUCUGCCAAAGUUUUGGGAAAAGGAACUAUUGAGUUGUACUUUACUUCUGGACAAAAAUUAUCUUUACUCAAUGUGUUUCAUGUUCCUGAAAUUACAAAAAAACCUUGUAUGCAGUUUUGGGAAAAGGAACUAUUGAGUUGUACUUUACUUCUGGACAAAAAAUGUCUUUACUCAAUGUGUUUCAUGUUCCUGAAAUUACAAAAAACCUUGUAUCUGCUAGUCUCUUGAGCAAGAAAGGGUUCAAGAUUGUUUUGGAGUUUGAUAAGGUUAUUGUAACUAAGAGUGGGAUGUUUGUGGGAAAGAGUUAUUCUUGUGAUGGCAUGUUUAAGUUCAGUAUUAAUGAAAUCAAUGUUAUUUCUGCUUAUAUGGUUGAAUCUACUUCUCUUCUUUGGCAUGCUAGAUUAGAACAUCUAAAUUAUAGAUAUUUUAAAUAUAUGUGUAAGCAUGGUUAUAUUUCAUAUCAAUAUAAUAAUAAAAACAAAUAUGAAGUAUGUAUUCAAGAAAAGAUGAAAAAGAAGUCUUUUUCUAAAGUAGAAAGGAAUUCUCAAUUACUUGAGUUGGUCCAUUCUGAUAUAUGUGAAAUAAAUGGUAUGUUAACAAGGGGUGAGAAAAGAUAUUUCAUAACUUUCAUUGAUGGUUAUUCUCGUUUUACCUAUGUUUACUUUUAAGAACUAAAGAUGAAGCCUUUGGAAAAUUCAAGAAAAUGGUAGAAAAUCAAAAGGAAAGGAAAAUUAAAGUUCUUAAAAGUGAUAGAGGUGGAGAAUACUUUUCUAAGGAUUUUUCUACAUUUUGUGAGGAAAACGGAAUAAUCCAUCAAAUGAUAGCACCCUAUACACCACAACAUAAUAUGGACUUGCUGAAAGGAAAAAUAGGAUCUUAGUGGAUAUGGUCAAUGCCAUGCUUUUGAAUGCUACAUUACCAAAUAAUUUAUGGGGUGAAGCCUUACUUACUACAUGUCACAUUCAUAAUAGAGUACUAUCUAAAAGAUUAAAUGUUUCUUCCUAUGAAGCAUGGAACAGUAGAAAACCAAAUCUGAAUUAUUUUAAAGUAAGGGGGUGUGUAGCUUUUUAUAAAAGUUCUAAUCCUUAAAGAACAAAAUUAGGACCCAGAAGUCUUAGGAGUGUUUUUGUUGGUUAUGCACAAAAUUUAAAGGCUUAUAGACUUUUGGAUUUAGAAACUAAUGUGAUUGUUGAAUCUAUACAUGUUGAAUUUAUCGAAUAUAAAUUCAUAAGUGAUUCAAAUGUGCAAGAACCAAAUCUAAAAGUAAUAACUCCUAGCUCAACGUUAAGUGAAAAAUGUAAAAACCUAGAAGUAAUAGGUUCAAGUGAACCUAAAAGAAGUCAAAUAGUUAGAAAGGAAAAACACAUAGAUACAAAUUUUAUUUCUACUGAUUCAAUUGUAUUUUUAGUGGAAGGUGAUAGAAAUACAAUAUUAAAAAAAAAACACCUAUGAUCCUAACUAUAGAAGAUGAUCCAAAGACAUUCGGUCAAGCUAUGACUUUUAAGGAUGUUGCUUUUUGAAAAGAAGCGGUAAAUGAUGAAAUGGAUUCAAUAUUGUCUAACAAUACUUGGGUCCUAAUAGAUUUACCUCCAGGUUAUAAGCUAAUAGGAUGUAAGUAGGUGUUUAGAAGAAAAUACAAUACUGAUGAUUCUAUACAAACCUUCAAGGCAAGAUUGGUUGCCAAAGGUUUUACUCAAAAUGAGGGUGUUGAUUAUUUUGGCACUUAUUCUCCAGUGGCAAGAAUUACAUCAAUUAGAGUUUUAUUUGCAUUAGCAUCAAUUUAUAAAUUGUAUGUUCAUCAAAUGGAUGUAAAGACAACUUUCCUAAAUGGAGAUUUAAAGGAAGAAGUGUAUAUGGAGCAACCUGAGGGUUUUAUACUUCCUGGAAAUGAAGAAAAAGUCUGUAAAUUGGUAAAGUCUUUAUAUGGUUUAAAACAAGCUCCGAAAUAAUGACAUGAAAAGUUUGACAAAACAAUUUUGUUGAAUGGUUUUCAUCACAAUGGUGCUGAUAAGUGUAUGUAUUCCAAAUUUACAAAAGAUUUUGGUGUGAUUAUUUGUCUCUAUGUAGAUGACAUGUUAAUAUUUAGCACCAAUAUGAUUGGAAUAGUUGAAACCAAAAGGUAUCUCACUUCUAUCUUUAAAAUGAAAGAUCUUGGUGAAGUAGAUACAAUUUUAGGUAUCAAAGUUAAGAAACAUAGUAGUGGCUAUGCACUUAAUCAAUCACAUUAUAUUGAGAAAAUGCUCGAUAAGUUUAAGCAUCUCAAUAUAAAGGAGGCUAAUACCUCAUUUGACUCUAGCAUGAAGUUAAAUGAUUAUUGUGAUAAAGCGAUAGCGCAACUAGAAUAUGCUAGUGUCAUUGGAAGUCUUAUGUAUGCUAUACAUUGUACAAGACCAGAUAUAGCUUUUGCUAUAUGCAAGUUAUCAAGAUAUUCAAGCAAGCUGAAUACAGAUCAUUUGAAGGUUAUUGCAAGAGUCUUUGGUUACCUAAAAAUAACGAUCGAUUUAGGCUUGUUUUAUUCUGAUUUUCCAAUUGUGAUGGAAGGAUAUAGUGAUGCAAGUUGGAUGACUAGUUCAAGUGAUAAUAAGUCCACAUCAGGAUGGAUUUUCUCACUUGGAGGAGGUGCAAUAUUUUGGGCAUCUAAGAAACAAACAUGCAUCUCUCAUUCUACCAUGGAAUCAGAAUUUAUUGCUAUAGCUGCUGCAGGUAAAGAAGCAGAAUGGCUAAGAAAUAUGUUGUUUGAUAUUAAGUUGUGGCCACAACCUAUGUCAGCUAUUUCUUUAUGCUGCGAUAGUGAAACAACUAUGUCUCGAGCUUAUAGUAACAUUUACAAUGGUAAGUCAAGACAUACAAGCAUUCAACAUGGAUAUAUUCGAGAGUUGAUUACAAAUGGUGUAAUCACCAUUGUCUAUGUGAAAUCUGUGAAUAAUUUAGUGGAUCCGCUCAUAAAAGGACUAUCUAGAGACAUGGUACGAAAAACAACUAAUGGAAUGGGGUUGAAACCCGUUAUUCAAGAUACCAAUAAUAGGAACCAAACUUCGGAUUAGCAAGAAGCUUAUCUCUUAGUUUAAUGGGUAAUAACAAGUUACUGUUUUGUAUAUGUUGGACACUGAUAAUUAAUUUGAGUCCCUAUUCUAAUAGUAUUCAGUGUGUUCUAUUACGAAAAGUAGGAUGAGCAUGGGCUCUUAAUAAAAUUUAAAGUUCGUGUCUAAUGUAAUAGAGACAUGUAUAAUUCCACCUAUAUGAAUAUAAAAGUGGUGCCGCUUUUGACAAGACUUAGGGUUUUCUCUUAUAGAUAUUUAUGAAAAAAAAAAAUUAUGAUUUUAGCACAUGGCCAUAAUAGUGCUAAACAGUUGUAAACCUCUUUAAGAGUUUGGAUAGUAUUAUGUGUGUAGUAUCUUUUAUUCUACAACAAAAGUUUUGGUUUAAUCUACAAACACCAAUAACUUUAGUAGGAUUUAAGUUCUAACACUAAUUGAAGGUUUAAAUUGCAAAAUACCUUCUUGUAAGUAUAAUUCUAUCGAGUGAAAAGACCUUCAUUACAAACUAGUGGGGGAUUGUUGGUGUAGUUUAUAAAUGAAUAAAGAAAAGAUGUUUAUCACACAUUGGAAAGAAACACUCCCUCCUAAUGUUUCUAAGUGUGGGUUACUAUUGUGUAGUAAAUUAAGCCAUGGUGGACAAACUCUUCUAUUUGGCUUCCUAAUGUUAUUAUAUGGAUAUUUAUAAUAUCAAAAGAUAGCAUUUGGAACUUGGAAUUAAUAUGAACAAUUAUACUGUUUCAUGAAUAGUCAUAUUGUUUGAUGAUCAACCAUUGUGUUUCAUCAAUAGUCAUAUUGUUUUAUUCAUCAACAAUCAUAUUAUUUGAUGAACAAUCAUAUUGUUUCAUCGUUAUAUUUGAAGUCUAUAAAAGCAUAUUACUAUACAGAAAAGAAAUACAAUAAAAAAAACAUACAUUCUUUAAUUGGUCUUGAUCAACACCUCUUCUAAUUUCUUCAAUCUUCCAAUCACAUUCUCAGGAAUCCUACUUAGCCUUUCACAACCUGUCACAUCCAACAACCUUAACUCCUUGAGCUCUCCUAUUUCAUCAGGUAAUUCUUCAUUGGAGAGGCACCGCUUAAGACUAAGAAUCUUAAGUCUCUGCAGCUUUCUCAACCAAAUGAGGUCCUUGCAUUCACACAUGAUCAACACCAACGAUUGAAGUUUCGUUGAGAGUUCAAGUGAUUGCAAUGACAAACAACCUCCCUUCAGAGACAAAACUUCAAUUUCUUUCAUCCCUUCAAAGAACCUCUCUGGAACAUUCAUACCAUAAUCCACUUCUAACAAUAGAACUUUGAGCUGUGGACAUUCCAAUCCUUCAGGAAGUUCGGUUAAUUUAUUGCCCAUUAACGAAAUUGUUGUACAAGCUUCAAAGCUUUUGAUACUCAUUGGCCAUUCCUUCAACCCAAUGCCAGCCUUUAUUAUGAAUCCAUAUUCUUGUGAUGACGCUAUCCGAAUAGCAACAUCACGAACCAAGUCAUGCAUUUUCACAUGUUCAUCUGUUUCAGUGUCCAACAGCAUGCAACAAUCUUUGAGUUUUUUUAUUUCCACAUAAACUCGUUUCCUUGCAUCUCCAAUGGACUCCACAUCUUGAUGUAACUCAUACCCAACUGCGUAUCUCGUCAAGUCCUCAAUUGGAAUGUGGUAAUCUUCUGGAAAUAAACAACAUAGCAAGAAACAUAACUUGGUUUCCUUGCUUUUCAAAUAAUCAUAGCUCAACUUAAGACAUGCAUAUGCAGUUCUUUGUUCAUCAAUGUGUUCCAUGUCCGGAAAAUGAGAGUUUUUUAGCUGUCCAAUUGCUACUUCCCACUCAACUGCAGAUUUAUCUCUUAGAGCCAUUCCCACUGUCACAAGUGCUAUAGGCAAGCCUUGGCAUUCUCUCGCAACCUCCCUUGCCACUGUGUUCAAGGUAGAUUCCCCAACACGUAAACCUGCAUUGAUUCUGAAUAAAUCCCAUGCUUCUUUUUCAGGUAAGGGACUUAACAGCACUUUUUUCCGGCAUUCCGUAUAAGAACAUAUGCCUUGAAGACGUGUUGUUAGAAGAAUUUUACAACCCCUGUGAUCAUCACCAAAUGGGAUCCCUAUCUCUUGGAAGUCAAUAACUUUCCAAACAUCAUCCAGGAUAAUAAGCAUCCUCUCCACUUUCUUCAGUCUCUGCCAUAAUCGAUCUGCUCUCCCAUCUUUACUACUUCCUCUAAUAUCCAGACCUAACUUAUCUGCCAUUUGGUUCUGGAGGUCUGUGACAUUUGGAUUCUGCGACACCGUAGCCAUCAAAACUUCAUCAAAAAGCUGCGACUCUCUGGCUAUCGUGCCUACUUUUCGCACAAGGGUGGUUUUACCCACCCCUCCCAUGCCGCACAGUCCGAUCAUAUUGACUUUGUCAUCUUUGAGAGCUUCCAUAAUAUGUUCGAAAGCUUCUUCUGACGAUUUUGAGGGGGUGAAUUUCUUUGAUUGAAGAAAUUCUAUGGGCUGAGGAUGAGUUCUGUGGGACACUUUUGUAGACUUUUUUUCUAAAAGUUCUCUGAAAGUCUCCGACUUCUUGGCCAGUGCCUUGCUAAACUUGAAUUGUCGCAUGCAGUUUGGACACCAAGUGAAGCAUUUGCCAUUUUUUCCUAUUUCAUUUUCCAAGGGCUUCGCACCUUCAAUUUCGUUUUCUGCAUCUCCCAGCCACUUUUUGACAUCUUCGUAAAUUUCUUCAGCAUUCCUUUCAGCAUCUUUGACAUCGUCUUGCAGACGUUCUUUUUCCGAAACCAGCUUCUCCUUUUGUUGUUUGAAUUCUUUAACAAAAUCGUUGAAACAGAACAUGUAACGGAACUGCCUUCCUACUGGUUCCACCAUGAGUUCUGCUAUCUUAGAUAUAAUGGAUCCACCCACACUUUCGAUAGCCAUUUUCCACCAGUCUGGAAUCAGAGAAAUAAGGAUACCAAACGUGAGAGUGAGUCGUAGUAGAGGCAUAGAGAGAAUGAGAAAAGGAAUUUUAUUAACUUAAUUUGGGAAAAUAUGUGCGAAAAGCUCUGGCAAUCAAUGAAAUAGCGGGAGGAAGAAAAGGAGAAGGCCUCUAGCUCUGUACGGAAUCCAGCUUCAAAAGCAACAAGGCAAGGUUCAAACUGACACUUGUGAGUUGAAGUAGUAAUUCCCAUUAAAAAUGCAUCUUGAUGACAUAAUUAAGAUAAUAUAGAGACAGUGACAGAGAAAUAAAGAAACGAAUGAAAGUUUCAGGAUAAUCACUUAGACGCCUCUCUGGAUGAUACCAGCUCGCUUCCAACAACAAAUAUUAUUAACCUAAGCUAUGAUCGGUCAGUUUUUUUUAGUUUUCUUUUCUUUUCUUUUCUUUUAAAAACAGAUCAACAAGGGAAAAGACUUGCAAAGAAGUAGAAUUACUGGAACGAACUCAACAAAGGAUCAAACUCAAAAAAAUAAAAGUAAUUGUGUAUGAGAAGCAUUUCUGUGUCACACACUCAAGUAAUAUGAUUGACCUAUUACAUUAUACAAAUUAAUAAUAAUAAUAAUAAUAAAAGAACUAGGUUUUUGAUGGCAUCCAGAGUGCUGUUGCUUUGAAAUAAAGAGGCUUGUGCAUGUGGUGUUAUGCUGUUCAUGUAGGCUAAGUUCUCUCUUCUUGUCUUGCUAUUCUGAUUUUAUCUUUUUCUUUGCAUGAUAUAAGAGCAGGUUCUUACCUCUUGAAGUCUGCUGAAUAAACCUAUCAGCAGAAGAUCCUGAACCGAUCCCAAAUCACAGCUUCAAUCCCCACCACAGCCAAUCUCCUCUUUCCCGUAGUCUUGCGUCCUCAAUUGGGAAAUGAUCCAAAAUCAACAACCGGUCCGGAGAUAGUUUGUGUGAAAAGAAACGGCUGAAAGAUGAAAUGUGAAGGUUAUGGUGAGAAAUUAGAUGAGAAAUUGGAUUGCAAACGGGAUGGUGCAAACUGGUGGAGCAUUAGACUUUUUAAAAGACAACAAAAAGAAGCAAUGUCUCAUCUUUUGAUCAGUUUGUUGAUGAAGAUAUCGAAAGAUUGGAGUCUCCGUUUUAGCUUAGGUUGGAAGCAAGUCUGAAAAUUAAGAUUAUUUUAAAAGAAUUUUUAUUGAUGGUUUGUGAGAUUAGUAAUGAAGUAAUUUAUGACAAUUUAAUCUUUAAAAAAUUAUUUAAAAUUAAAAAAGAUUAGAUUUUUAGGUAAUAAUUCUAGUCGGUUAGGCAAUAUAAACAGUUUUUGCAAAGAUUCUACUACUGAUGUGUCCAUAUUACAUAGGAACAGAAUGCUAGAGAAUAACUUUCUUUUUAAAAAAAAAAAGGUCGAGAAUUUUCCUUAAAGCAGACACCCAUGAAGAAGAUCUAGUUACCUUAGCCAAGCUGCUCACUUUACAAAAUUGUAUCGUAAUAGUUUGCGUCCACUAGGAAGUCGAGAAUAGGAAAAGAAAAGGGACGCUUAGCGGACCCACAAAAUCUUGAAUUAUCCCUUACUUUUUCAAUGGUAAGGAUAUCCUCGUGUCACCUUCUACAUUAAGUUUUAUAAAAUCUUGAUUUUUUUUAAAUUAAUUUUUUAAGUUUUAAUUAUGAAUUGUUUAUGCAAAGAAACACAAGAAAAGGAAAAAUUUCUCAGUGUGUUUUCUGUUACUUGUUUAGCAAUAGCUAGCAAGGUUCUGCUUAAAAAUACCAUUGAACAAGGGAUGAACCAUUCAGCAAGGGAUUCUGCGAGGAAAACAUGAAAUUGUUAAGCAUAAUAAUAUGUUAAGCAUGACAAAUUUCAUUUAAAUUAAAAAGCCAAAAAUGAACGCAUCUCCUCUUGCAAGAAUGGACUCAAAAGUUCAGCUAAUCCGCAUAAUUAAAUAGUACUGUUACUGUAAACUACUAGGAAAUUCAAGGAAAGUUAACAAUAGCAUUGAUUCGAUCAAGUAAUAAUCAUAGAAACUAAGUACCAAUAAAAUUUGAGAUUCCUGCAAGUUUUUAGGUGCAUGGUCUAGUCUAAUGGCUUCAUGUACAAAAUCAAUUCAAGGGUGUGUAUCCUUGACUAUCAGGCUAACCUUUACAGGCUGAGCUAGCAAUCGAUAAUUAAUUUUUAAUGAAUUCAAUUUUUAUUUAAAAUAAGGAAAAGGACAUUGGUGAAUAAAUUGUUUCCUUCCUAUUAUAAUUGUUAGACCUUACCAAAGGGCUAAUUUAGAAAAAAGAUUUUAACUUAUAGGUCACCAGGGCCGAGGUCAACUUGUAAUUAAGUAGAUCAAUUUAAAUUAAUUAUUUUUAUUAAAAUGAUAAUGUUUUGUGUUUUUUCUUGAUAUUAAUUUGGCUAAUUUUUAUCAAAUCAAAUCACUAAAAACUUAACCAAAACAAAUUUCGUCAAAUCAAUAAUAUUUUAUGUAGUUGAAUUAAAAAUUCAAUUCAAUUCUAGCUCUGAACCCUGAUUAAGCAUACAGGUUUAGAAAAUAUGCAUCUCACUUGCAGCUGUGGUUUGCUGCGGGCAUUUGGUAAUUGGGAGAGGCUUUAGUUUCGUACUUGUUGAUCUGCUUCAUGUACACUUGGACCUCUUAUUUUAUUUUAUAUUGGUUGGAUCCAAACUUAAUCCAAUACAAAAUUAACAUAUUUAUUAUUUAUUUUAUUAUUUAUUUAAGAUAAAUGAUAUCGCUUUAACAUAUUAGCGUACACUUAAUAUGAUUUAAUUUAAUUUAAUUAAUUAACAUCUCACCGCAAUAAAUUUGACCAUUUGCAACCAUAAACAGUUGACACCUUACUAAUAUAAUCAAUAUAGCUGAAAAAUUAUAGUGAUUUAAAACAAUUCAUUAAAAUGUUUGUAAAUGUUUUUAUUUUGUGACGAUGAUUCUCGUGUUAUCUUUUAUGUAUUGUCGCUAUCGUACGUGAACGCCCGACAUGAGGGUCAUUUGAAGUCGUCAUCUAGUUGUUUAGUUCAAGGUCACUAAAAAACCUAGAAAUACUAGUCCUGUUAGAGAUUUGAGAGUAAAGAACUAGUUGUAGUUAAAGAUUGUAUUAACACUCCUAGCGCACCCUACCCAAGUAAAUUACUUUUGUGUUUAAACGUGGUUUAGAGAUUUUGAUGGUUUUCUAAUAUAUCUAUAGUUUAGGAUUGAGACUUGCUUGUAUGAAUAAAUUUGGUGUUUAAUAAUUUAUCAUGGAUUCUUGUACCCAGAUAAAUUCUUAGAAAAAAAAGUUCUUCAUAAUUUGUGUAUUACGGUAAAAAUUACUCUCAAUAAAAAUUCAUGAAUAUUUAGAAUAACUUUGAGGAUUUUUUGGUCAACUCCAAUAUUUCAAAUAUCAGCCUCACUUAUAGGUAUAGUGUUUUAUAUCAAGAUUUUUAACCAUUAAUUAAAAAAUAGUGGUCUAUUAAAAUAUUGACCAAAUUCACAUGAAUUUAAUUAACUAGUUAUUAAAUUCUAAAAUACAUAUUCAUAUAUAAUAUUUUAAUUUGUUUUUAAAUAAAGAAUAUUUUUAAAAAGUAUGUGUCACGAUACCAAAUUAUAGUAUAAAUUAAAAGAAAAAGGAGUUUUUUCUUUAUCACUAUUCACUUAUAUUCAUUUUACUAUGGAUAUUAAUAGUGAAUUUUUUGAAAAUUUCCAAUUUGGUACUCAAUUAUUUUUUUUCACAAUUGAGCUCUUUUAAAUCCAAAUUAGAGCCCAAUUUUAAACAAAUCAAGAAGAGAAAAGACUUGUAAAAAAAGUAGAAUUACUGAAAGAAACUCAACAAAGAAUCAAACUCAUACAAUUAAAAAUAAUUGUCUAUGAUGACCAUCUCUGUAUCACACAUUCAGGUAAUAUGAUUGACCUAUAACAUAAAUAAAGCCCUGCAAACAAUUAAAUCAUGCUUCAAAAGCAACAAGACAAGGUAUAAAGUACACCAACAAAAAUAGUUUACUAACUGACACUUGUGAGUUAAAGCAGUAAUUCCCAUUCAAAAUAUUGCAUUUUGAUGACAUAAUUAAGAUCAUUUAGAGACAGUGACAAUCAAAUAAAAAAAAAAAAAUGUGUAAAAGUACUCACGCAAAGAAAGAAACGAAUGAAAGGUUCAGGGUAAUCACUUAAGACUCCUCCAUGGAUGAUAGCAGCUCGCUUCCAACAACAAAUAUAAUUAACCUAAGCUGUGAUGGGUCAAAGUUCUUUUUAGUUUUCUUAUUAAAAAAAAAAAAAAAAACAGAUCAACAAGAGAAAAGACUUGUAAAAAAAUAGAAUUACUGAAAGAAACUCAACAAAGAAUCAAACUCAAGCAAUUAAAAAUAAUAGUCUAUGAUGACCAUCUCCUAUCACACAUUCAGGUAAUAUGAUUGACCUACAACAAUAUUAAAAAAACAAAAAAAAAGCUAAUAGAUGGUCGCCAAGUGUUCAACUUUAUCUAGCCUUAGGAAAGGAUAUAAAGUGGGAGAGAUAGACGUCAAAAGGCUUAAAAAAAAGAAAAAAGGAAAGGCAGAAACGGAAGAAGACAUUGAAAGAAAUAAAAAAACGAUAGUGGCAUUAAAAAACGAUAAGUUAUUUAACGUCUUUUUAGGGGGGGAAGAGACAUCUGUUUAUUUAAAGAAAGAAAAUAUAUAUAUAUAUAUAAAUACUCUCUCUUCCAAUUUCCUCUCCCAGCUGAAUUUUGGCGACCGCCCACACAACGAUAGCCUACACAACCACCUUUCAAGACCCCAUCUCUCAAUCUCAAAACCAAAAACAACCCUUUCUCCAUUUAUCCGAACCUCAUAACUCCAGGAAAGUGAAGGACUAAACCAUAGUGGCAAAAAUCUUAAAGGGUUCUAAAUUAUCUCUGUUACUUUCCCUUAAUUUUCUAGACAAGUAAAAGGAGCUAAACUUAUUCCCGACCAAAACGUCAAGAAUUUCAGUAGAACAAAAGAAGAGAUCAUUACUUGACCAAAAACAACUAGUCAGCACCCAAAGAAACCGAGUGAAUGAGAGAAAAUUAAAGACUAAUAGCUAGAAAACAAUCAACAGAUCCAAGAAUUUUCUGUAUGGUUUCCAAGAAAAUGAAACGAAAUGAGCAGCACAACCCUCUUUAUCCUCCAAGAAAAGAAAGAAAAAGAAAGGAAAGAAACAAAGAAAGUCAAACUUGGCUCCUCUUUUAGUGUUAAAAAAAAAAAAACAAAGAAGUUCGAGGAAGUGGGCUGCCUUUUUUCUGCUGUUCAUGUGGUGUUCAGCUGUUCACGCAGACUAAGAACUCCUACCAUCGUAAAAUCAUAUAAUUAAAACACAACAAUAAAAAAGUAAUAAGCAGCUAAUUAUGUGCCAAAAUCAGAGAAAUAAGGAUACAAACGUGAGAGUAAGUCAUUGCAAGUAAAAGAGGCGCAGAGAGGAUGGGAAUAGGAAUUUCAUUACCUCAACUUGAGAAAAUAUGUGCGACAAGCACGGGUACUGAUUCCUCAAUGAAAUCGAGAAGGCCUUUAGCUCUGUAUGGAAUCCAGCUUCAAAAGCAACAAGGCAAGGUAUAAGCAUUUUGAUGACAUAAUUAAGAUACUAUGCGUCGUAAUAUAGAGACGGUGACAAAGAAUUAAAGAAAAAUAAUGUGUACAAGUACUCACCAAGCAAAGAAAGAAACGAAUGAAAGGUUCGGGAUAAUCACUUAGACGCCUCCAUGGAUGAUACCAGCUCGCUUCCAACAACAAAUAUAAUUAACCUAAGCUAUGAUCGGUCAAAGUGUUUUUUAGUUUUCUUCUUUAAAAAAAAAAAAAAAAAACAGAUCAUCAAGGGAAAAGACUUGCAAAGAAGUAGAAUUAAUGGAACGAACACAACAAAGGAUCAAACUCAGGCAAUUAAAAGUAAUUCUCUAUGAGUACCAUCUGUGUCACACACUGACUCAAGUGAGGAGAGAAAAGAAAGAGAAAGAAAGGAAAGGGACAAGGAAGGCAGAAAGUAAGGUCACGUAGGGCCAGUCUUGUAUAAAGUUUGAAAAGUAGCAUGAAAGAAGAGGAUAAUAGAGUAGUUGUCAGAAUCAAAACACGUAUAAACAGAGGACAAAAACAGGGAGGGAGGCUGUUUGUUUUUUUAAUUGUGUCUGAGUGCUUUUUAUAAUUAUAUUUAAUUUAAAAAAUAUUAAAUUAAUGUGGUUAAAAAUAUUUAAUUAUAACUCAAUUGCAUUUUUUUUUUAAGGAAAUAGGUUGAAUUGAGAAACAGAGAAACUCGGCAAAAAUAUGUGGUUAAAAUCAAUCCAUUUUUUUUAAAAAAAAAACUCCUUAGUUGUUAAGGAAAGAUUGGUAGUGGGAACAAAUCACCAAAGUCAGCAGCAAGGAAGUUCCAGGAAGUGGGCAGCCUUUCUUCUGCUGUUCAUGUGGUGUUCUGCUGUUCAUGCAGACUAAGAACUCCUACCAUUUUUAAAAUAAUAUAUUUAAAAUACAAUAAUAAAAAUGUAAUACGCAGCUAAUUAAUGUAUUAAGCAGCUAAUUAAUGCUGUUGUUCUUUCUUCUUGUUAUUCUAUUUUGAUUUUACUGUAUUUUAAAAAAAUUUAUGAUUGUGAAAACUAGCCAAACCAUUAGAUCCAAGCAAUCUGAGAGGGUAUUCAAGAGUGUAGUUGUCGUUGUUUUUCAAAGUAUUUUUCACUUGGAAAUGCAUCAAAAUAAUAUUUUUUUUAUUUUUAAAAUUUUUUUUUUGACAUCCUUGUAUCAAAAUAAUAUAAAAAAACCAAAAAAAUAUUAAUUUGAAGUAAACACAAAAAUAAAAAAAAUUAGAAACUAGUGUAGCUGCGCCCAAUGUUGUCCCGAGAUACUUUUUAUAAUCUAACUUUUUUAAUAUAUUUUUUAUUUAAUUAUGCAAUAUAUUCAUAGAAAACACUAAAAUUAAAAUUAUAGACAAAAAAAUAUAUAUUUCAUCAAAAUUUUCUAGUCUGAUUAAUGUAUUUUUCUUAAAAAAAAAAGUUUUGACAAUAUAAAAAGUAAUAACUAGGAAAAAGUAUCCUAAGAAACUGUAAUGAUUAGAACUAAAAAAAUAUUUUUUUUUUGUUGGAAACACAAUUUUUUAAUUCAUGCAUUUUUUUUAUUUUUUAAAAAUUUACUUUUUAUGAGUAACAUUAUUUUACUAAAAUGUCCCUAAUACAUAAUUAUUCAUAAAUUAAUGAAAAUAUCAUAAUAAAAAUGCCUAAUCUUCUUGAAAACAAUUAAAUAAUUGAACAAUCAUUUAAAUAUUAUUUUAAUAAAUUGAUUGAAAGAUUUAUUUUAUUAAAAAUAAAGAAUAAAAAUGAAUUGAUAUCUAAGAUAAAGGUCAUACAAGCCUUCAAAGAUAAUAUAUGUACGUGUAUAAUACAAAUUAAUAAAUUCUAAGUAGUAAUAUUUAAUGCAAGUUUAAGAAUAAGAGUUUGCUUUGUGUUUUGUUGUGAGAUUAACCAUAUCAAAUUAUAUAUUUAAUAAUAAAUAAUUGUGCUGUGUUAUGAGUAAAAUCAAUAAAUUAUUUGGUAUUCUGCUGUCUUGUUGUUUGAAUUAAAAGUAUUAAUAAGAAUAUAAAUUAAAUUAAAUAUCGAAAAAACUAAAUGAAUUCCUUAAUAAAUAAAUAAAUUCUUUCUUUAGAAAGCAUGGAAAUACCAUGACAUUGGCUUUUUGGAGAAUACUACGAUUUUUACAGCCAAAAAAGUUAUCGAUAGCUGUGUAAAUCAUUGAAAUUGCCACAAAAGCAACCCAAAUUAGUUAUGAAUUGGAUUCGAUGGAAGGAAGAGGGGAAGAGGGGAAAUGGGUAACGGCUAAUUAUAAGUUCAUUAAAAAAAAUCUGGAACGCAACAGAUGGAAAAAACUCGAAACAACUCGUCUAGAAUUUAGGCAAGAAGAAUGAGCCAAGAUUUUAAGUGCAAUGAAAUUUGUCUCACUUUGUUCUUUUUUUUUUUAAUGAUACAAGAUAUACUGACUGUUUUAAGUGAAACAGAAUGGAAUCGACAACUUUAAAGGGAGCAGAGACCACAUAUGUAUAGCUCGAAUUCGAUAGCCUUUCUCCUGUACUGACAUGUGAUUUACAUGCACCAACAUUUCUUUCUUCUUUAUUUUGUAAUAUUCUACAUUGGCGAGUAAGGAUUUGGUAGCUGACCUUAUUAAAAGUGUUGGUUGAUGACUUGUCAGACACGUUUUGAGACCAUGCGUGAUAACAAAAAACAAAACCAUGAGGGUGGUAAGGCCCAAAACGAACAAUAUCUGACAGAUUGGACCGGACUGUGACAUUUGGUAUUAGAGCUGACCUCACUAGCUAUUCAGUUGUGCUGACAGGGUCAUUGAGCUCCUUAACAGGGGUGAAUUGUAAUAUCUCACAUUGGUGGGUGAGGAUUUGGUAACUAGCCUUACUAGUAAUGCUGGUUGCUGACUUGUUAGAUGCGUUUUGGGGUUAUGCGUUGUCGAUACACGACGUCGGGCGACGGCUCCCGCUUUUUUUGUUUAUUUAACAAAAAGGGUUUUUUUUUCUCGAUUGGGGGAAACAAAGAUUUUAUUGGAGUCGCCAUCUAGUAAUUUGAGGGAACUAGAAAUCCCAAAUUAGACACUGGUCCCAGAGAUUCGGGUACGGGGUUAGUUAUGAUUAAGGGAAGGUAGACACCACCCUUAAAACAUCCUUUCAAAAGAAAGGUUACCCUUACUUGUGUGUUUUUAUUUGAUUCAAAUGCGAUUAUAUUUUGGGCUUAUUUGUAAAUUUUUGUAAAUGAUUAACGUCGGUCCCUAAAAAUAGGAGACACGUUAAAAAUGACAUCAGUCCCUAAAAAUUGGAGACUCGUCUGAGUUACCAAAAGAAAUAAUGGAUAUAAUCCAUUAUAUUUUGGGUUUAUUGGUAAUUUGUUUUUUUAAAUGGUUAACGUCGGUCCCUAAAAAUAGGAGACACGUUAAAAUGACAUCAGUCCCUAAAAAUUAGGAGACUUGUCUAAAAUAUGACGUUUCAACCCUAAAAAGGAGAAUUACGUCUGGGUUACCAAAAACAAUAAUGGACAUAAGCCAUAUUUGGUAUUUACAUUUUUUUGACAUCGGUCCUUUUAAAAAAAAGAGACGUGUCGGCUUUGGUUUUUGUAUUGUUUACAACAUGCAAGAAAAUUUACAAGCAUUUAUAUAUAAAAAAUAUCAAAAAUACCAGUAGAAACUCCGAAAAAUUACCUGAGUGCCACUGUAUAGGUAAAAGACUGAAAUACCCUCAGGUUUCUCCAAAAUUUACAAAAAUGCCACUGGCGGCGCGUGUAGCACACGCGCGGCUACUGUUGGCGGCGGGGAGAUUUUCCGGCGCGAUUUCUGGCCAACCGAUGGUCGAUCCUGGUAGAUCUGAUGUCGAGGAUUCUUAUGGUGGUGGUCUUGACGGCCGUUGAUGGCUGAUGAGCGAGAAUCGACGACUUGAAGCUUCGGUGGCAGCCGACGAUCGCGGCCCGUUUCCGGCCAAAUAGAGCGGCGAAAACGCUGAAAUCGGCCGGGGUUUUGCUUUAUAUGAGGAAGGCGACCUUUCUGUGGUGGUUUUCAAGCUUGCAGUGGCCGGAUAUGGGAGAUCGGAGGAGAGAGAGGGAGUCGCCGGCGAGAGGAGAGAGGUGCUCUGGGUUAUGCUAUGGUGAGAACGCAAACACGGUACACCAGUGCUGUUGAUGCUUGUGAUCCGUAGGAUCUCUGAUGGAAAUAUCGUGCGGCUGUGAUUGGCCCGAUCUGCAGGUUGAUCGGACGGUCCGGAUGAGCGGAGCUUUGAUCUGGUGUGGCGCGGUGCACCAAAUCUCGGUACACCGGAUGACGUGGCGCAACGGGAUCAAAUCUUGGAAUAUUUCAAAGGCUGAGAUGUGUUUGGGUUUUAAUCUAGUGUGGUAAGCCCUAUUGUAUCCUAUUAAAUCAACGGUUCAGAUCUAAACACUAUUAGAUCUAACGGUUAGGAUAUAUUUGGUAUUUUUCAUAUUGUUUUUAAUAAAAAUCAAUAUCCUACCCUCGUGAAGAAAUAGUAAAAAAAACCUGAAUAGUAAACUCUUCUUUUUUUUCUUCUCCUUUUUUUUCUCUUUUUUUUUCCUCUGGCGCACUGUUGGCUAUUUAUAGCAGGGGACAGCAAGCAUCGGCUUUAAAUUAAAAAAUGUAUCCAUCCAACUGCUCGUCUACAAUGUAACUGCCCCGCCUAAUAUGACAAUUCUGUAUUAUUAAUUUUGUUUUAUUAUAUAUAAUAAUAUAUAUUUAUAUAGGUAAAAUUAAAACUUAAAUCAGUAUUAGAAAAAGCCUGAUUCAACUGCUAAAAAUCAAUUUUAAUUACCGAAAAUUAUGUUGAAACAUAAAAAAAAACUUUCAACGGAUAUAAACCCGGUGGACCGGGUUUUGACCAAAAAAUAACAGGUUUGACCCAAAACGGCAUGAAACUCAUUUUUUAUCCUGGUCGACAUGGUUUGACCCGUAUUGACCCGGUGAACUCGGUUUUGGUCAAAAAUGACGGUUUUGACCCGAAACGGCCCGAAACUCAUUUUUUACCCUGGUCGACAUGGUUUGACCCGUAUUGACCUGGUGAACUCGGUUUUGGUCAAAAAUAACGGUUUUGACCCGAAACGGCCCGAAACUCAUUUUUUACCCUGGUCGACAUGGUUUGACCCGUAUUGACUUGGUGGACUCGGUUUUGACGGAAAGAUGCGGUUGACUCGAGAAAAAUAUUUUUUUGAAUUUUCCUUUUUCUUAAUUUUUUUGGAUUUUUAUAAAUAAUAAUAGAAAUAAAAUAACAUUUGAGAAAAUCUUGGUGGAUCCAAAAUUGGGUUACAACAGUUGCCCCCUCUUUACAAUGCUUACGGUGCAAAGGCAUUGGAAAAUUCAUUUUCUUUUGACUUUGCAUAGUAAGUUUUGUAAAGAAAAACGAUGAAAGUGUUGAAAAAUGCACAGAUUUUUUCAGUUGGUCUAAUUCUUAUGGGCGACCUGCCCAAAUGAAAAACAUGAAAGUGUUUUCAAUAUUGAUCUGGUGAAAUACAUGAAAGUGAUUUCAGAUUAAUGUUGUGAAAUACAUGAAAGUGAUUUCAACAUUGUUUUUUUUUUUUUUUGUGAAAUACAUGAAAGUGAUUUCAACAUUUGCAUUGUGAAAUACAUGAAAGUGAUUUCAACAAUGGUUUUGUGAAAUACAUGAAAGUGAUUUCAACAUUUGUUUUCUGAAACACAUGAAAGUGAUUUCAGAUUAGCAUUGUGAAAUACAUGAAAGUGAUUUCAACAAUGGUUUUGUGAAAUACAUGAAAGUGAUUUCAACAUUUGUUUUCUGAAACACAUGAAAGUGAUUUCAGAUUAGCAUUGUGAAAUACAUGAAAGUGAUUUCAACAAUGUUUUUGUGAAAUACAUGAAAGUGAUUUCAACAAUGUUUUUGUGAAAUACAUGAAAGUGAUUUCAACAAUGAGCUUCAGGGUUGAUGAAACAUUCUAAAGGAAGUCAUACCUGUAUGGUUGAGAUCUGAUUUGUAAAUCGAUCUCAGAGAUGAUGAAAUCUUCUCAAGAAAGUCUUGUAUGUACGGUUGGGAUUUGAUUUGUAAUUGGAUCCCAAAGAUGAGGAAAGCUUUUCAAGAAAGUCUUGUAUGUACGGUUGGGAUUCGAUUUGUGGAUCCCAAAAAAUGAGGAAAGCUUCUCAAGGAAGUCUUGUAUGUACGGUUGGGAUUUGAUUUGUGGAUCCCAAAAAAAUGAGGAAAACUUCUCAAGGAAGUCUUGUAUGUACGGUUGGGAUUUGAUUUGUGGAUCCCAAAAAAAUGAGGAAAACUUCUCAAGGAAGUCUUGUAUGUACGGCUGAGAUUUCUGCCGUUCAAAGUGAUGGUAGAAGUAAAUUUCUUAUAAAUCACGCAGUAUUUGGCAAAAGACAUCAUCAACUUCUUGCAUUUUCAAUACUCUCAAAGUUCUCAACUUUUGAAGCUUUAACCAUGUCUUCCUCUUCUUCCAAUGCUAACCCAAACCCUGUUCCUGCAGUAGAGCCUGCAGUUUGGCGUACUACCUUUGAAGUGAAUGGUCGUCCAGUUACAAUAGAGGAUACUGUAAUGGACAAUGAAGAUAUUGCUGUAGCUGUGGCUAGAGACAUGAUCCUUCCUCGUGAUGAAAUAAUGUUGGCAGCCAGGACCGAUAUUGAAGCAGUGAAUCAGUCACUUGCUCUCAGUAUCAGAGCUACCUCGUCUUUGGUGAACGUUGCAGAGCGUCUUCAUGCCAGAAGACUUGAGUUGAAUACUCAGGUUCUUGAUCUCCAUCAUCAGAUUGAGAAUUUAAGGAAUAGACUUCGUGAUGAGAGACGUCACAGAAACAACUUGGAGAGGAGAAACCAAGAGUUAAAUACACGUGUUGACUUUUGGAGGGACUAUGUUAACACACGACACCUCGAGUUCGAGGAAGAGAUGGAGCGCAUGCAUAAGCAAUUCGAGGAAUUCUGAGGCAUGAUUAACCAUCAAGAUGAAAAUAUCCCUGAUCGUCCUCGCACUGUUUAACAUUUGUACUUGUAAACCCCUUUUCUAUGAAUAAAAAUCCAUCUUUCUUGUCUUCAUUUAUGAAUUUUGCUUUUGUGGAAUUGCCAUAUUUGAUGUGAUUUACAAGAACUUCAAGUCAUGUGAGUCUCGUUGGAUCCCAGUGGGAACUUUGUUUCGUGAAAUAUCUGCAAAACAAAUAUGCAAUGAAAUAUAGGUUCCCCCCUCUUUGAUGCUUCAUCGUCAUGGGGUGGCUUUGUUUGCAUUCCAAAGCCUUCUUUGUUCUUUCGAUGCAUUGUUUGCAUUCCAAAGCCUUCUUUGUUCUUUCGAUGCAUUGGCUCAUUCAUGUGCUAGCCAUCCACUCAGCUGUAAAUGCAGUGCCCAUCUUGGGCUGUCCGUGAUGAUUACUACUCUCGCUGUUUAUCAAGCUUGACAAUGCCCCCAAGUGUAGUGUUGCUUGAUUUAUCAUGAAGAAGCUUAACAAAUCGUUCAUCUCCUGGAUUCUUUCAAGAAUUGUUCUCUGAUUGAUUGUGCGCAUCGUGCCAACACCCAUCAAGAUUGUCAAUCAGUUAUGAACUCGACUUCAGUUGAAACAUGCCCUUCAAGUAUAUGCGGUCAUCCACUUUCAUGGAACUAUCAUGUCAUUCAGACAUGCAUUUCAUACUUUGCAGUAAAAAACUCAUCUUUGUAUGCUCAGCUUCUUUCUCAAUAAGUUCUUCUCAGCUCAUCUAACCAGAUUGUGAAAAGAAAUGCCUCAACCUCAUCAAUGAUGUCGCUUUUAUCACCCAUACUCAUGUGGUGCAGUGCACAUUGACUUCAAAUCAGAUGGUCUCACGGUCAGUCUAGGUGGGUGCGGUGCAUUCUUCCAACAUUCAUGCAAAAGCGAUCAUGUGAUAACAUCUUUCAAUAGUCAUAGCCAUAUUGGAGAUGAUAAACCAAGAUGAAGAUAUGAAGAUGUCCUUCAGGUACAUCUUUGCUCUCAAUUGUUGUCGGGGUUUACUGGAUCAUAAACUGUUCUUGAACAUCAUUGCCCUUAAUUGAUCUGAAUGUGCUCAUUCACUGAUUAUCUUUCUUUGAACCAUAUUGUCCUCGGUUUAUUGAUUCAUCAUUUGAUCGUCUCUAUCCCCCAGCUGAUUUAAACACUGUUUGUUUUCCUUCUCGGAGGUCCAUUGUAUUGCCCCCAGGAGUGUCGAGGAGAAUUGAUGUCAUUUCUGUCAGGAAUUUGCAAACUUGGUUGAUGUUUUUCUUUUGAAAAUCUUUCUUAUUUUGGAAUCAAAUCUCACAUUUCAAAGGUCAUGUCUAUUCAAGUCUAAUUGUUGAAAUGAAAUCAGAGAGAUGUCAAUUUUUGAAAGUAUUUUUGGAAAUCAAGCUUUAUUGGUCAAAGAUCCAACACACGCUAUUCAAUGUAGUCCUUUGAUUGUCUUGUAUUUUGAGAGAAAAGAAAUUGACUCAUUGUAAGAUUAAAAUGGCUUUUCCAUGGUUCUUUGUAUCCAUUUUAAACUCUAAUUUUGGGUAUAUCUUUUGAUUGUCUGUAAUGAGGUGACCUGUCUGAAUUUCAAGAAAAACAAGGUACCCGAGUCAAAACUUGAGGCUUUAUCAGGAAAGAUUGUUUCUUUUUCUUAGCAACAAUUUUAUCAGCAUGCAUAAUAAUCAGUAGCUUGAUUCAUGAAGUCACGACCUGUAUGAACAACUCUUCAAGUUUUGAGAUCGUCAUUUAUCGGUUCAGAUUGCUUACUUGAUUAAAAAGGACUUUCUAAAGCACGUAAUGUAGGCUAUGGUUCAUGGCUAUGAAAGAAAGGAAUUUCACAAGCUCAAAAGGUGUUUGAGGGUUUCAAGAACCUAGGAUCACCAUCAAUUACUCAUCAAUCUCUUUUCCUCACGUUGUCUUUGUAGAGACAGUGACAUAUAACCUUGUUAAUCUCAAAAAUCAAAAUUUGUUUAACAUAGGUCAUAACGCAAAUCCAACUUUUCUUUGAUGAAUAGCCAAUCUAAUCUUUUGAAGAUCGUAAAGGCUUUAUCAUAGACACACCAAAAGACAUCACACUUGAUUUUUUUUCGGGUUAACUUUUGGCAUUUGUUGUGUCUUUAUCAAUCUUUGGCUUUCUUCUUCUAGCCAUUUCUCAAUCAUUGAACUUUUGUUCUAAGCCUUCCCUUUAUCCAUCGACUCUAACAUUGUCUUCGUCUUUUCUAGGAAAAGAUUCUCAUUGCCCCCAGUGUGGGUGUGAUCCUAGUCAGGGUUUUUUAUGAAAGAAAUAUUCUAUCAGCUCAAAAUGGGACUGCAAGGGAUAUAUAUUUCAAGAAUUGUGAAAGGAUGAAACAAAAAUGGCCUUUUCUCAUUUCAAGCAAGGUCGGUUAGAACCAAUAAAUUUUAACCUCAUCCAAUGUAAUGAUUUAGACUUGUACGAAUCAUAAUUCAUGAGUCCAUAACUACUGAAUCCACUACGUAUCAUUAUGCAUACUGCUAAAACUUAGCUACAUGGUGUAUGGUUCAAUUUCAUGUAUGAGCUCAAAAGUUUCUUGGUCACCUCAUGUCAUUUCAGUAAGCAUUGAGUCAUUGAAGCAACAUAAUUUGAAUCUUCAGGAUUGACUAAUCUUAAACGCAUGUUGGAGCUUGAUCAAAAUAUUUUGUAAAUAACCUUUGAAAGAAACAUCUCAUGCGUUCAGAACAACAAAGGGACAAAGAAAAGACAUGUUUUGUUAAAAGAUGAGAUGUGAUCCCAAAAUAAAAUGCAGAAUGACAAAACUCAUAACAAAAAGGAUCGACAGUUUAACACUCUUCUUGGAUCAGCUUUUCUGGCGAUAUCUGUGUUUUGCCAAGCAUUUCGAUCACUUGUCAAUUUGAGGAUGUUGAGGUGACAAUAUGGCCGAUGACGUCAUUUUGCACAAACUCAACUUGAUUCUUGAAAUUCUUGCAACUGUUCAACUGAAUGGCACAAAAUCCCCCAAUGAUAUUCAUGUAUCUUUUACUAAGGGAUGAGGGCUCAAAGGCGCACUCAAAGGGAGUUGAGGGCUCAAAGGCGAACUCAAAAUGGAGGUGAGGGCUCAAAGGCGCACUCAAAAGGAGAUGAGGGCUCAAAGGCGUACUCAAAAGGAGUUGAGGGCUCAAAGGCGCACUCAAAAUGGAGGUAGGGUUAGAAAACGCACUACCUAAGGGAUGAGGGCUCAAAGGCGUACUCAAAAGGAGUUGAGGGCUCAAAGGCGCACUCAAAAGGAGGUAGGGUUAGAAAACACACUACCAAAAGGAUGAGGGCUCAAAGGCACACUCAAAAUGGAGGUGAGGGCUUAAAGGCGCACUCAAAAGGAGUUGAGGGCUCAAAGGCGCACUCAAAAGGAGUUGAAUUGGCAGAGUCAGGGCAAUAAGUCCGGAGUCUAAUAGAUGAUGGUGGACAAACUCGAGUGGUCGAGGUAUGUCAAUCUUAGCAAAGACAUUUGAGCAAUUGAUGUUACAGUGAGACCUGGUUGGACCACAUAAUUAAGGCUUCCCAUCGUUAGAGGCAUCCUUUGAUUCAUCUCUCAUUAUUGUUCUAGAAUUCUUGGUAGAAUCUUCAAUCAUUCCCCUCUUCAUAGCUUGUUCAAAUCUUUCAACAAUCCUCACAACAUCAUAUCAAUCUUUCCAAUGUUGUUGUGGUUGUUUGUGGAUUGGUAGAAACUUUCCAACAGCCAGGCAAUCUUGGUAGCGCAUAGAAACAUGCAGCACCACCACUGCCGACGUGUGGAAUCAUGCGUUGUCUCAACUGGAAGAGAAACUGAUGAAUCUGAAAACCCUUUUGUCUCCUCUUUGAUUCCUCACUGGCAGUGCAACAAACAAACACCUAUAGUGGGAAUUCUGCUCUGUUAAAGUUUCAAUGUCUGCUCUUGUUUUUCUCAGAGCAGCAUCCGAUACUGCUGGAUCGGAAUGGUGUUCACAAGAGAUGUCUGGAAAGAAAGCCAAUGCACCAGGAACAGAAAGCUAGCAACUGUUAUGUGCCCUUGGAAUAUGUGAAGGCUUUGAAUGACUAUCAGUGCAGUUGAACGAGAACAAGGGUUGUCGUCAUUAAUUGUGACUGAAGGCAUUACUGUCAUUGUUCAUUGUUCAUGAUGAAAAAGGAGAGGUGCAACUUCAAUGGAACUUAUUCAAACAGAUUUAUGAGUCUGUACAGACGUUCCCUUUCCACUCUUGAAGCUCAACACUUAUUCAAACAGAUUUAUGAGUCGAGUAGACCUCAGCAGGUGGGGGAACUUAUGUUUCAACCGUGUGCAUGCUUGAUAAAUGAAUGAAAUGCACAAAUGGAUGCAAAAUGCCAUAUGUUUUAUGCAUGCUUGUUAUUUGUUUCAAGGUUUCCUUAUGACGAGGAAUAGACCAGAUCAGAUUCUCUUAAGAAAGUUCUCACUGAGGACUCCAAACCUACAGGAACUUGAACCGAUUUAGGGGAGAAAUUUGAUGCCAUAAAUCAGAAUAAACAUUUCUCAUAACAAAAAGAUGAUGAAAUUGUCUUUUAUUAAUUCAUAAUAUUAAAAGUGCAACAAGUCAAUCUUUCCAAAGCCUUGGACCGUCGUAUGCUGAGAUCUCAUUAAUUCCAUCUCUGAUCAACCCAAAAAACUGAUGGAAUUCAUUUCUGGUCAUUGGCUCACCAUCUGCUAUUUGUUGGGCUAGGCCUCGUAAUCCUAAAGCAUAAUUCUUGGCAUCAUCUGCUUGUACAUGAUAGCGCAUAGCUUCAGAAGCCCAACAUUCUGCUUCUUUUUCUGCCUUUUCUUUUUCUGAUGAUAAAGUUUGCUCAAUAAAAAGCAAAUGGUCUAAAUGCUCAUCUAAAUUGGCAAUUAUUACAUCUUGCUUUUGAUGUUGCUCCUGAAGUGAUUUAUUUGUCUCUUCCAACUUUAAUACCAUUUCCUCAGCUUUCGAUGCUCUUCUAACCCAUCUCUUCAUGUUGACAUCUUGCUUCGUCUUAUCUUCUGACAAAAGUACAUAUUUUUCUUGUAAUUGCUGGAAAUCAAGUUGUUGAUGUUGUAGCUGAGCUGACAAGUCAUCAUUUUCCUGUUUUAUGAUAACCAAAGCUUUUUCUCGAGUGGCUAGAUUAGAUUCUAACUUUCUUUUUUUAGCCCCUAACUCUUCCACUUCAGCAUUCAAACUUAGGUUAUAAGAUUCUUGUUGGGCGCGAACUUCUUCGUGUAUGUCUUCAGCAGACUGAAUCAAAGACCUGGGUGGUCCUUCAAAAGGAGGAACUUUGUACCCUUUCCCUCUCUUCUUUUGCCAUAUUGGAUAUCCUUCAGUUGUUUUUCCUUCUACUCUCUUAGCAGAAGUAACCCUACCAGGAUGUUUCCAUGCCUUCUUCACUGACUCCAAGAAUUUCUUUGAGGUCUUGAAAUCUUCAUAAAAUGUUGCCAGUUUAGUAGUCCUUGGAAUAAACUGCUCAAAUCCAAACUGUCGUAAAACCAGGUUAGGACAGUAACUAAUACAGCAGCGGGCUCCAAUCAACGGGACCCAUGGGUACUCACCACAAUACGCCAGAUAAGAUUUGAAAUAAGCAUAUCGACUUCUCCAAUGAAAUUGAGAUUUACUUAGACUUAGGAACAUUGAUUCCCAUGUGGUUUUUCCUACUUCAUGCAAGUGUUUUUCAGCAAAAUUCUCCAGCUGAGAAUAAAGAUGCCACGGGGUACCAACCAAACCUGAAAUCUUCCCCUCAAUCAUAUGACUCACAGUCCAGACAAACAAUAACUGCAAGCAACAUCUUAAACGACCCCUUCCAGCUUUUCUGCAAUAAUUCAAGGAUGAGAAAGUUUCUGCCAAUAUUGCUGUAGCAGGGUUAAUUUUAAGGGUCACCACAUUUGUGAAUACAUUAACAGCUUCAAAAUCAAUCAUUCCUUCGGCAGAUGGGAAAAGAACCAAACCAUAUAUGCCUAAGGCCAAAAUUCUCAAUCGAAUUUCAUUGCUUUCAUCAUGUAAUCUCUUCUUGAAUAUGGCUUCUAGCUCAUUCCAAAACCAACCCUGGCUAUUUCCUCGUUUAGUUGCAUGUGAUUUUGCUAGUUGACAGUCUGUCUGGGUAAUCCAAGCAAAGUUAGAAAGUGCAUGCUCUAUAGGUGUGUAAAAGUACACCUUUUCUGACUUGGGACAAUUUAGCAGGGAUUCAUACUCCUCGAUAGUAGGAGUCAUAUCCACAGUAUCAAAUGUGAAGCACCGAUAUUCUGGAUCCCAAAACCCUAUCAUGGCCUGAAAACAAGCAUGUUGGACCCUAAUUUUCAGUAAAUGUGAUAGAUCCCCAUAUUGUUUCUGAAAAGUGAUUUGAUCAUGAGAGGAUAACUUUUCCCAGCAGUCUAGCAGUUGUCCUGUACCAAGUGGUCUGUCAUCUAAUUUAACAUGCUCUGGCAACUGAGACUUAAAUUCUGAUGGCAAACAAUCCCCUUCAUCAUGCUGGCUCAAUUCUGAUCUGGUCAAAAAUUCCUCAAUGGUAAUGGAUUUUUCCAUCUCACACUUCCUGUAAGGAUCGGUGGAGACUUAAUGAGCAUAUGAAAUGUAUAUGAACAUGUAUGUUCAUGCAUUGACAUUUGUUCGUGUCCUAAUGGGUAUAUCCUACUUGAUAGGAUCUAGCUCAUAAGGUUUGGCUCAGUUUAGUCUAUCCUUAAAGAUAUUCUCCGGUUCUUAGAUUGCCCGAAUUACUCGUGAAGUAAUCGGCCUCUUAACCUUAUACAACAUGAGUAGGGGAGAAAGACUCCACAGUACUAGUUGCAUAGGGUGAGUUACAAUCCAAGCAAAAGUCCAAAUGAGCAUCAGUGGACAUAAGUCACACUUGCCACUUGAAUCUCUCUUUUCUAAUCUUAAAAAGGACGAGCUCGGGUCCAGAGCUUUUAUGGGUUCACAGUGAAGUGUGUGAAUACACAAAUAAUAAUAUAUAUGUAUGUGAUGAAAUGAAAAAUUGAAAAGAAUCAUAGUAGAUAUUGCAUAAAAUAAAUAAUGCAAAUAAAAUAAGUGCCCAAAAAUAAAUAGCGAUAAGAAAGAGCAAAUGAAAAGCAAACACAAGCAGUUGGCUCAACCCUAAGUCCCCAGUGGAGUCGCCAUUCUGUCGAUACACGACGUCGGGCGACGGCUCCCGCUUUUUUGUUUAUUUAACAAAAAGGGUUUUUUCUCGAUUGGGGGAAACAAAGAUUUUAUUGGAGUCGCCAUCUAGUAAUUUGGGGGAAACAAAGAUUUUAUUGGAGUCGCCAUCUAGUAAUUUGAGGGAACUAGAAAUCCCAAAUUAGACACUGGUCCCAGAGAUUCGGGUACGGGGUUAGUUAUGAUUAAGGGAAGGUAGACACCACCCUUAAAACAUCCUUUCAAAAGAAAGGUUACCCUUACUUGUGUGUUUUUAUUUGAUUCAAAUGCGAUUAUAUUUUGGGCUUAUUUGUAAAUUUUUGUAAAUGAUUAACGUCGGUCCCUAAAAAUAGGAGACACGUUAAAAAUGACAUCAGUCCCUAAAAAUUGGAGACUCGUCUGAGUUACCAAAAGAAAUAAUGGAUAUAAUCCAUUAUAUUUUGGGUUUAUUGGUAAUUUGUUUUUUUAAAUGGUUAACGUCGGUCCCUAAAAAUAGGAGACACGUUAAAAUGACAUCAGUCCCUAAAAAUUAGGAGACUUGUCUAAAAUAUGACGUUUCAACCCUAAAAAGGAGAAUUACGUCUGGGUUACCAAAAACAAUAAUGGACAUAAGCCAUAUUUGGUAUUUACAUUUUUUUGACAUCGGUCCUUUUAAAAAAAAGAGACGUGUCGGCUUUGGUUUUUGUAUUGUUUACAAUAUGCAAGAAAAUUUACAAGCAUUUAUAUAUAAAAAAUAUCAAAAAUACCAGUAGAAACUCCGAAAAAUUACCUGAGUGCCACUGUAUAGGUAAAAGACUGAAAUACCCUCAGGUUUCUCCAAAAUUUACAAAAAUGCCACUGGCGGCGCGUGUAGCACACGCGCGGCUACUGUUGGCGGCGGGGAGAUUUUCCGGCGCGAUUUCUGGCCAACCGAUGGUCGAUCCUGGUAGAUCUGAUGUCGAGGAUUCUUAUGGUGGUGGUCUUGACGGCCGUUGAUGGCUGAUGAGCGAGAAUCGACGACUUGAAGCUUCGGUGGCAGCCGACGAUCGCGGCCCGUUUCCGGCCAAAUAGAGCGGCGAAAACGCUGAAAUCGGCCGGGGUUUUGCUUUAUAUGAGGAAGGCGACCUUUCUGUGGUGGUUUUCAAGCUUGCAGUGGCCGGAUAUGGGAGAUCGGAGGAGAGAGAGGGAGUCGCCGGCGAGAGGAGAGAGGUGCUCUGGGUUAUGCUAUGGUGAGAACGCAAACACGGUACACCAGUGCUGUUGAUGCUUGUGAUCCGUAGGAUCUCUGAUGGAAAUAUCGUGCGGCUGUGAUUGGCCCGAUCUGCAGGUUGAUCGGACGGUCCGGAUGAGCGGAGCUUUGAUCUGGUGUGGCGCGGUGCACCAAAUCUCGGUACACCGGAUGACGUGGCGCAACGGGAUCAAAUCUUGGAAUAUUUCAAAGGCUGAGAUGUGUUUGGGUUUUAAUCUAGUGUGGUAAGCCCUAUUGUAUCCUAUUAAAUCAACGGUUCAGAUCUAAACACUAUUAGAUCUAACGGUUAGGAUAUAUUUGGUAUUUUUCAUAUUGUUUUUAAUAAAAAUCAAUAUCCUACCCUCGUGAAGAAAUAGUAAAAAAAACCUGAAUAGUAAACUCUUCUUUUUUUUCUUCUCCUUUUUUUUCUCUUUUUUUUUCCUCUGGCGCACUGUUGGCUAUUUAUAGCAGGGGACAGCAAGCAUCGGCUUUAAAUUAAAAAAUGUAUCCAUCCAACUGCUCGCCUACAAUGUAACUGCCCCGCCUAAUAUGACAAUUCUGUAUUAUUAAUUUUGUUUUAUUAUAUAUAAUAAUAUAUAUUUAUAUAGGUAAAAUUAAAACUUAAAUCAGUAUUAGAAAAAGCCUGAUUCAACUGCUAAAAAUCAAUUUUAAUUACCGAAAAUUAUGUUGAAACAUAAAAAAAAAACUUUCAAUGGAUAUAAACCCGGUGGACCGGGUUUUGACCAAAAAAUAACAGGUUUGACCCAAAACGGCAUGAAACUCAUUUUUUAUCCUGGUCGACAUGGUUUGACCCGUAUUGACCCGGUGAACUCGGUUUUGGUCAAAAAUGACGGUUUUGACCCGAAACGGCCCGAAACUCAUUUUUUACCCUGGUCGACAUGGUUUGACCCGUAUUGACCUGGUGAACUCGGUUUUGGUCAAAAAUAACGGUUUUGACCCGAAACGGCCCGAAACUCAUUUUUUACCCUGGUCGACAUGGUUUGACCCGUAUUGACCUGGUGGACUCGGUUUUGACGGAAAGAUGCGGUUGACUCAAGAAAAAUAUUUUUUUGAAUUUUCCUUUUUCUUAAUUUUUUUGGAUUUUUAUAAAUAAUAAUAGAAAUAAAAUAACAUUUGAGAAAAUCUUGGUGGAUCCAAAAUUGGGUUACAACAUGCGUGGUCACCAAGAAUAAAUCUAUGAGGGCGAUAAGGCUCAAAACAGACAAUAUGUUGCAGGUUGGGUCAAGUUAUGACAUAUUCAAUAAUUACUCUUCAAUUAAAUCCUAAAUCUCAUUUCAUCUUUUCAAUUUAAUCCCUAAUUUGACACCAACUCUUCAAUUAGACCCCAAACCUCAUCCCACCUGAGGAAAGCCCUCUUCAUUCAAUUUAGCCCCUUAUUAUCUUCAAUUUAAUAUUGAAUUUUAUUCGAUCCAAGCCCAAAAAAGGCUAAGCGAAGAUAGAAUAAAGGAAGGGAAAGAAAAUGAAUAAUUGCCCAAUCGAGCUAACGUGUUCUGGUCUUUUUUCCAUGAUUCGGGGUGAACAUUUGACAUUUAUCCUUUUUUUCUAUAGUCUUUUCUCCAUGUUUGUUGUGACGCCGCACACGUGCGACAACCAGUAAAUCUAUAGUUAAUUUCAUUUUUUGAUAAAAGAUAAUACCAUCGGUAUAGAAUGGUUACCAACUGUUACUUUAAUAUGCCUUGUAGCCAAUCAGUUAGUUACACGAGGCAUUAUUAUAUUCAUGUAAAUACAUAUUUAUUAUUAAUAAAGGCUUAAUUUAACUUUAAUAUUCAUAUAAUAUUAUAUUAAUGAAUCUAGAGUAUAGAUAAAGUUUAUUAGAUAAAAAUGCUUUGCAAAUAAAAUUAUAAAGUUGUUAUAAUUAUGAGAUUUUUAAUGCAUCAAAGUAUUGCUCAUAAAAUGUUUUUGGUCGAUGUUGUCUUAAAUACUAGAUAUUUAUUAGAGCCAUAAAGACUAAUACAUAUUAUGUUUUUUCCUUUAUGAAAUGAAGCAGUUGUUCUCAUAAGUUGAGUUAUAAGGGAUACCUAAAACUAAUAUGUAUGUGCUUGCCAUAAAACAUAUACACUAAAUUGACCCGCAUGAAAAUUCCAUAUGGAGAGAUCAUAUAUGUCUAUAGAAAGACUCGCAUGACAGUUGUAUAUGUAAUCCUUAGACUUGAGAUCACUAAGUUAUCUUAUAUAGAGAUUGUUAUGCUUUCAUCUUGUUACAUGUUAUCUUAAUUGAGAUAACAAAAUGAUAAGCAUUGAGUAUAUCAUGAACUAUAUGAAGGUUUUCUUGAGUGAUUAAGAGAGGAUUUCAUCACCCUAUGUGAAUUAGAAAAAAUGUUCCAUCUGUUCUCAAAUAGUAUUGACUGAGAAAUCCUUAGCCAAGGUGGAAUGAGAUUUAAAAGGGGUUUCAAAUCUUAUUCAAAUGAUCAAUUACUAUUAUGUAGAGAAUGAACAUGAUUUAACAUGACAAACAUGCUUCAUACUUUAAUGUUAAAUGUUGCUACCCAAUUUUUGACCCAUGUUUUGAUAAAUUUUCAGAAAAAUUCAAAAAUAGCAAAAAACAUUGAAAAUCCAAAAAAAUACAUUUUUAAUACAUUUGCAUCGUUUUUAGCAUUUUUAGCAUCGUCUCAAAAGAAUUUAAAUUUUCAAAGAUGUUUGGAACGUGUUCAACUUUUAACGCAUUAUUUUUAAAAGCAUUGAUUUUCCUCAUUGAGUCGAUGUUGAUAUUGCUCGUUUUCAAAAAAUACAAAAAAAAUAAGAAAAAUCAAAAUUUACAAGAAAAAGAAGUUGAGGGACCAAAUUUUGAGGCCCAAGCUACAUUUUACCUAUAAAUAGUAGCCUUCAACACACACAAAAAAGGGGGGCAAUUUUGAAAAAAAAAAAGAGGAGAAAACCUAACCCUAAACCUAUCUACCCAAAGAGCCGCCCCCCACCCGGCUGGAUUUUUUUUGCUCUCCGAAACCAGCCGUUCAAGUCCUUUCCCUCCUCCACAUCGUCUCCAACUCCUUCUCCCUCAGCCACACACACGACAGAAACCAGAGCUCCCCUUCUCCUCUCCCAGCCGCCACUUGUACUUUCCCCUCUCUCAGCCGAUCCCUCAUCUCCUUUUCCCUACAAACCAGAACGCCGACCCCCCCCAGCCGUUCUCUCACCCUAGACAACCCCCAACAACAGCCGCCACCCUCACAGACCCGGCGACUCCUAGCUUCUCUUCAAUCGGCCACAAACCCAUGAUCGCCCUAUCAGCCACCGUGAACAGCCGCCUCCAGCAUUUCCUUUCCUCAGCACCAGCACCAGCACCGAUCUGUCCAUUCCUCCGCCUCAACACCGCCAGCAAGCUUAUCUCCACCGCGACUUCAGCGACCACGGACGACAGCCACCAGAUCAGAGGAAGGAGAAGACCGAGAACCAGCUGACUACCGCUGCCACCAACAUGAGUGAAGACCGUCAACGCAGCGACCACCACCGAAAGCUCCCCCCACAACCGCCGGCCAUCUAAAACAGAAGAAGAGGAAACAAAAACAACAUGCAGAGAGGAGCAGAUCUGAAAAUGAGAAGGGAGAGAAGCAGAUCUAGACUAAAAUGGAUUGAAAUCGACUGUUUGUUGGGUUUUUUGUUCUUUUGCAGGUGACGGUGGGUGUCACCACCGGCAGAGAAGGGAAAAGGAAAGGAAGCUGAGCCAGACCCCCCCUGUUUUCUGGCCUUUCUCGCGGCGGCGCGUGAACCCACGCUCCGCCAGUGGCGGUGGCGCCUGGGAAGACGCGUCGCCACUGUUCAUGCUGUUCCAGAAGGGCUUCCCAGCACUGUUAUGGAGUUUUGAGGGGUUAUUUUGUAAUUUUCAAAUUUUUAAUGUAAUUUUUUUGUUUAGUUUUGAAUUUUUAUUAUUUGUAGUGUUGAUGUAAAAAAAAAAAAACAAAGAAAAGAAAAGAAAAAAAAUAUAGUGAAAGUGUAUGUGUGUGUUUGUAUUUGCUUUAUGAGUGUUUUAUUUUAUUUUAUUAUGUAUGAUAAAAUUGCAAAGAUUAAAGAAGAAUUUAAUAUUUUGAUUUGCUCACGGUCCAGAAUUAUUAACUUAUACGUAAGUUGUAUUUCUAAUAUCCGAUGAAAAGACAAAAUUUUUAAAACUUCUUUAACACAUCAAAGUCACGAAGCAGCUUACCUCAGGUAGGGUGCGUUAGGGGUGCUAAUACCUUCCCUAACCACAACCAGUCCCUUACCCGCGAAUCUCUGACAAGACCAGUACAUCCGGUUUCCUAGUAGCCUUCAAUAAAUUACUAGGUGGCGACUCCAACGAACCAAUUCAAGCAAACGACAACGAAAAGAUCGCCAGCCGAUGCCGCACGGAUUUUCUGAUGUGCGACAUUAAAUAAGAACAUUAGUGAUAGAAUGAUAUUAAUUACAAUGAGAAACCAGUAAUAGAAGCCAGUAAUUGAAACCACUAAUGACUUUUCUAAUAUUUAGGGGAUCAUGACACGUUACUAAACAAUGCACAUGAUCUUCAAAUUUUCAAUUUUAAUUUAUUUAAUUAUAAUUAUAAUUAUAAUUUAUAUUUGGGUCAAUAUAUUAGGAACCUAAUAGGUCAUACACAUUAAGAAUUUAAACUGUGAUGAUUUAAUUAAGUAUAACUUGAUUAAAAUAUAUUUUAGAAAUUAAGGACUAUAAUAUAAUUAAUACAAGGAUUAUGUUUCCAGAUCUAGAAAAAUCAGGUAAGGACUUGAUUGAGUUAAUUUAUAAAAUUAUCUUAAAUUAAUAUAUGAAUAUUAUUCAAGGGGGAAAAUUAAUAUUUUGUCAAUUUAUAGGGUUUUUCAUAUUUUCUUAUAAAUAGUAAGUUAUGCCUCUUAUUUUUUAGGAGUUAUCUGUUAGAAAGAAAAACUACGUAUGUUACAGAAUAAAGAGAUAACACUUUAUACAUAACAAUCCCUCUCUUCUAAAUAGAGACUUGAGAGAUUUUUUACUAGUAGUUCAUGUGGAUUACUGUUAAAGAACGAACAAUUGAACGACUUCUAAUUUGCAAUAACUCAGUCUUUAAAAAAUUAUUCAAAACCGAAGAUAAUCAAAUCUUCAGGUGAUAAAUCCCUAAAUAACUCUAAAUUAUUUUAUUGUUUCAGCUGCGUAUAUGCUAUUCGGCAAACCCAACACCAACUUCACCACGGGUUUAACAUUUCUUUUACAUGUUGGGAAUUUGGUACUAAUGGGUGUAUUUUCUUAAGUUGAAAUAAUGUCACACAAUGCAGGUUCAAGUGGGUUCAUGAAUCAAAUAGUGGUUGUUAUUUGACACCGCAAUUGGAUGGCUUGGAGUUCGCCGGAACUUGGGCAUACCAUUUUUGAAUAAAUAACAAGGUAAAAACAUCUUUUAAUGAUAUGAAAUCAUUUAUUCAUUUAAAGGUAUCAACAUUGUCAUUUAUAGUGAAACAUUUAAUUUUACUACAUUGAGAAUACGUUGACCAAUAGAAUCCCCGCCUUCAGCCAACCCCAAAUUUGUCUAUCAUCGUGUAAUAUUGAUCAUUACAUUAUGCGCUUUCCAGCUAAUGAUAGGAUUUUAAGGACAACAUUAUUAAAUUGACAUCCAACCGACCAUUAUGGCUGUCAUAGAAUAGCAAUGGCCAUCCUUUGGCCAUCAUGCCAUAAAAGCCUCAUUUGGAGCCAAUUCCUCUCUCUCUCUUGCCACUAUUAGCUUCCAACCAUUCUUCGCGUUUCACUUUUCUUCAAAUGUUUUCACCAAAAUUGUUGCUCAUAAAGUCGAGAUCCAAGGGAUUAUUUAAGAUUUUAUGGAAAGUACGUAUUUCAAAUAUUUUAUGUUUAUUUUUCUGAAAUAUUGUUUGAAGAAAAAAAAAAUUUAAUUUUUUCAAAAUCAUUUUUAAAACACAAAAAUAAAUAGAGUUUGUUUUUUAUUUUUUAAAGUAUUGUUUUUUAAAAAUAAUUUUUGUAUUCUAAAUUAAUUUUUUUAUUUUUAUAUUAAUAUUAAAAAUAAUUUUUAAAAAAUAAAAAAAUAUUAUUUUAAUAUAUUUUUAAAUAAAAAAAUAUUUUAAAAAACAUCUACUUAAAAAAUAUUAUUUUUCAAAAAUAAUACUUUUCUCUAUAUUUUGAGUUUUAGUUUUUAAUAGCUAUGGCUUGUUUGAUUUUUUAUUUUUAUUUUUUUCAUGCUCUUGCAAAUAAGGCACGAAAAAAGUACUCGAAAUCACGGUGUAAAUAAGAAGAGAAAUAACAUGUUUGUUUUUUAUUUUUUAAAUUAAAUUUUUGUAUUUUUAUAUUAAUAUUAUAAAUAAUUUUUUAAAAAUAAAAAAAUUAUUUUAUAAUAACAUGGAGAUAAAGAUAAUCUCAAAAGCUAAUAGAUGGUCACCACGUGUUCAACUAGGAAAGGAUAGAAAGAGGGAGAGAGAAAGGUCAAAAAGGCUUUAAAAAAAAAAGAAAAGGAAAGACACGGUUGAGAUAAGAGGGACGUGGAUAUAGAAGCAGAAACGGAAGGAGACAUAAGCCCUGUUUGUUUGCUGGAAAGUAGUUUUUUUUUGGAAAGUGAAUUCCGGGAAAGUAUUUUCCGAUGUUUGGUAGUGUAAUGGAAAAUAAGUUGGAAAACACUUUCCAGUGUUUGGUUAUGUCAUGGAAAAUGAGCUGGAAAAUAACUUAUUAAUGUUUUAUUUUUCUCAAGUUUAUUAAAAUAAUGAGGAACAAAUCUUACAAAUUAAAAAGUUGAAUGAGAAUGAAAUUGAAAAAAAAUAUAAUUUCAUAAAUUAUCUCAAAUAAAAUAAAUAAUAAUCAAAAUAAUAGAGAUCAAAUCUAAAAAAUUAAAAAAAAAAUUAAAGGUGAAGAAAUUAAAAUAAUAAUAAUUAACAUUUCAUAAAUUAUUUCAAAUAAAAUAAGUAACAAUCAAAAGAAUGAGGACCAAAUUUGAUAGAUAAAAAAUUUCAAUAAAAAAUGAUAAGGAAAAAGCAAAUAACAAUUAUAAAAAUAAGGACCAAAAUUAAUAUAAAAAUUAAAUUUUAAGAGAUGGAAUUGAAAAAUAAAUAUUCAAAACAAAUUAUAUAUAGCAAUCAAAAGUUUGAGGAUCAAAUUUGAUAUAAUCAGCAAAUAAUGACAUUUCUAAAUUUUUCACAACUUCUGGAAAGUGUUUUCCGCCCAAAUUUUCCAGGAAAACACUUUCCUGAAAACCAAGCCAAAUUUUCCUUUGACUGGAAAGUGUUUUCCGUUGACCAACUUUUCUAAUGGCAAACAAACACAGGAAAGUUUGGAAAGUGGUUUCCCGGAAAUCACUUUCCGGGAAACAAACACAGCCAAAAGGGAAAACACUUUCCUGAAAACCAAACCAAAUUCGAAAAGUGUUUCCAUUGACUAGAAAGUGUUUUUCGUUGACCGAAAAGUGUUUCCGUUGACUGGAAAGUGGUUUCCGUUUACCAACUUUCCUAAUGGCAAACAAACACAGGAAAGUUUGGAAAGUAGUUUCCCGGAAAGUGAAUUCCGGAAAACAAACAUGGCCAUAGAAAGAUCAGAGGAGAGUAAGAAAAAAAAAUGAAUAUGUGAUGUCCUAUUUCUGAUAAAAAAUACUUUGUUUUGUUUUUUUUCUCUUUUAUUUGGAAUUUCUUUAGACACUUUAAUAAUAUAAUAACAAAAUUUUUUUUUUCUUUAUUUAUAUUUUGAGUUUUAGUUUUUAAUAGCCAUGCUCCUUUGAUUUUUUAAAAUCAUUUUUUUCAUACUCUUGCAAACACGGCAGAAGAGGAGGACCUGAAAUCACGACAGUGAAUAAGGAGAGAAAUAAGCAUGUUGGUUUUUUUAUUUUUUAAAGUACUUAAAAAAUAUUUUUUUUAUUUUUAUAUUGAUAUUAAAAAUAAUUUUAAAAAAAUAAAAAAAUAUUAUUUUAAUAUAUUUUUAAAUAAAAAAUAUAAAAAAAAACUACUUUAAAAACCUUAAAACCACGGCAUGAUAAAAGGAGAAAGAAAGGAAUAGGACAAAGGAAGAAAGUGAAUUGGACACAGGAAGAAAGUAAGGUCACGUAGGGGGGCCAGUAUCGUAGAUAAUAGGAGAUGAAAAUUAGUAUGAAAAAGAGGAUGAUAGAGUGGUUGUCCGAAUCAUUGUGGUUUUUAUAAUUAUAUUUAAUUUAUAGAAAUAUUAAAUUAAUAUAUUCUUAGUAUUUUAUAUGAUUUAAAAAAUAUGUGUAUAAAAAAAUAUUUUAAUAUAUUUUUAAAUAAAAAAUAUUUUUAAAAGUAUAUGUCACAGUACCAAAUUAUAUUAUAAAUUAAAAAAAUGGGGUUUUAUGUUCAUUAGUACUUACUUAGAGUCAUUUAAUUGUGGACAAAAUGGUGUAUUCUUUUGAAAAUUUUCAAUUUUAUACUUGAAUUUGUUUUCCACAAUUGAUCCUUUUUAAUUAAAAUUAGAGUUCAAUUGCAUAUUUUUUUAAAGAUAAAAGUUGAAUUAAAAAUAGAUAAAAGUUGAAUUAAAAGAAAGGGGACUAGUUAAGUGAAAAACUCAGCCAAAAUAGGUAGCGGCUCUAUAAUUUGUUGGCAAAGUUUAUUUUAGUUUUUCAUCUUUUUAAGUUAUUAAAUAAAAAGUCCCUAUAAUUUUCCAACAUUGCAUUUUGAAUUUUUUUAUUGAUACUUUUUUAUAUAUAUUUUUAAAAAUAAUUUUAAAAAUGAUGUUUUCAUUAAUACCCAUUUUCUAUGAUUUUUUUUGGCUUUAUGUAGUCUUUCUUCAAUUAUUUUUAAUUUUGCUAGAUGUGUUUAAUUUUUUAAGAGGUUAGUAUAAUUUAUCUGUAAAUAUUUUUUGUACAUUUCAAAUAGAUUAAGUAUUUAAUUUUUAUAAUAUUUUGAAUAUGUGUAGCCUUAUAUAGUUUUUUUUUAUGAUAUUAAAAAAAUAUGUGUAUUGAUUUCUAUUAUAAAUUAAUUUUAAUAAAUAAAUUUAUUAAAUAUAACCAGAUAAAUCAUUCAUGUAAUAUUAAAUACUUAAUCUAUAUUUAUCCCUCAAUUUUCUAGGCAAGCAAAAGGAGCUAAACUUAUUCCCGACUAAAACGUCAAGAAUUUCAGGAGAACAAAAGAAGAGAUUAUUACUUGACCAAAAACAAUUAGUCCGCGUCCAAAGAAACCGAGUGAAUGAGAGAAAAAAGACUAUAUAUUAGCUAGAAAACAAUCAACAGAACCAAGAACUUUCGGUAUGGUUUCCAAGAAAAAUGAAAUGAAACGAGCAGCACAACCCUCUUUCCCCUCUAAGAAAAAGAAAAAGAAGGGAAAGAAACAAAGAAGUUCGAGGAAGUGGGCAGCCUUUGUUCUGCUGUUCACACAGACUAAGAACUCCUCAAAUUGUAAAAUCAUAUAAUUAAAACACAACAAUAAAAAUGUAAUAAGCAGCUGAUUAAUGCUAUUGUUCUUUCUUCUUGUUUUGCUAUUUUGAUUUUAUCAUAUUUUCUUAAGAAAUUAUGAUUGUGAAAGCUAGCCAAACUAUUAGAUCCAAGCAAUCUAAGAUAAAAACUAGCGUACUUGCGUCCUGUUGUCGCAAGUACUUUUUAUAAUUAACUUUUUGUAAUAUUUUUUUAUUUAAUUAUACAAUAAAUUCAUAGAAAAAACUACAAGAGGAAAAUAUAUAUUUCAUCAAAAUUGUGUAAUCUGAUUCAUGUAUUUUUCUUAACAAAAAAAAAAGAUUUUGAUGAUAUAAAAAGUAAAAAAAAUAAAUAGAAAAUGAAGACAUGGAGAGUGGCGGGCGGGCAUUAUUGUGUUAUUUUUGAAUCCGACUCCCAUAUAUAAUGAAAGUAAGAACGUUCAUUCCUUUAUAAACAUUGACUUUGAUUUUUCCUUUAUAAAACCAUAAACCUGCAAGUCCUACAAAUCAACAUGAAGACUUAUCAGAUCCUAAUGAAAAGCUGUCAAAAUCCUAUCAGAAAUUAAGGAAGAUGACGUUAACUUCAAAUCUGAGGAUUAAUUGUAGCAGAUCUUAUAGCGUUCAGCUGAUUGCUUUACUUGUUUAAAUAAUUCUCUUGUAAGCCUAAUGGUUCACGUCUUCCAUCAUUGCAACCUUUUUUUCUGUGAUUGAAAAAUCUAUAAUAGGAACCUGCACUGCAUCCCUUCUAUGCUGUUGUUCUUUCUUCUUGUUUUGCUAUUUUGAUUUUAUCAUAUUUUCUAUGAUGAAAGUUGAAGAAAUUCUACUUCGAAACUAAAGACAAAGUCUCUCGGACUGCAUAUUAGUGGGUUGCUCAUUGGGAUUUCUAUAAACAACUGAUUCUAUUGCAAAGCAACACCACGAAAAACUGAAUAUUUCACACAUAGUCUAAUAAAAGUAGAUUCCAUUGUCAAUUCCUUAACAUUUUCCAAACAAAUCCAUGCUCCUCAUUUUAUACUUUCUUGAGGGUUUCUAUUCUCUUAUUACCAAUUUCAGUGAGUUUCAUAAUAAGCUGCUUAGAAAGAAGCUAUCUAACAGGAGGGUGGGGCUACUCUUAGCCAAUGAAAACAGCUUCACAUGCUAUACAGCAACGUGAAAAAAAGAUUCUCAGCCUGUUCUCUCUUUAAUGAACACCCUCUUGGAUUCUCUAGCAUUAGCCAACAAGGUAUCUGCUUGGAAUUACUAAUUCCACCGACCUGAAAAAGAACGUCCAACCUAUUUAAUAUACUUAAUAAAGUUCUAUUUUAUAAUCCUAUAUAUUUUUUAACUGAACUACUUAUUUUUCUCAAAAACCCAAAAAGUAAACGAUUUUCCAGAAAUCUAAUUCAUAAUAAAACAAAUAAUGAGACUUGAUAUUAAUGCAUUAAAUAACCAUCAAUUAUUCAUCAAACCAAUCUGAAAAAUCUAAUAUUAAAGCUAGGGACCAAUCUAGACUUUUAUUAUAUUUUUAGGGGUCAAAUUAUAAUUUUAUCAAAUUGGAGGACCAAACUAAAAAUAUCAUAAAUUCAUGACUAUACUGGAAUUCUGCCCAUAAUUCAUCCUAAAUUUUGCCCAGAAUCUCAAAUUAUGCUCCAAGGACCACUACAUAAUUUUAUCAAAUAUCUAGGGUCAAAUUGUAAUUUUAUCAAAUUGGAGGACCAAAGUGAAAAUAUCAUAAAUUCAUAACUAUACUGGAAUUCUGUCCAUAAUUUAACUUUAAUUCUAUCCAGAAUCUCGAAUUAUGCUCCAGGGACCAAUCUCUAAUUUUUCUAAAGUUCAGAAAUUAAACUGUAAUUUUCAUAAAUUGAGGGACCAAGCUGAAAUUUUAUAAUCUUCAACCUCAAACCCAGAAUUCACACAGAUAACCUAUUAAUAUAUCAAGAUUUCUAACUUAAAUUCACCAUUUAAAUAAACCAUAACUUAAAAUCAUUAUUUUUACCUAAAAUGUUUCAAAAUCAAUUAAAUAACUCAUUACCCAUAACAAUCGAUCCAUAAUUUUUCUGUAAUGUAAUUGUAAUUCCUAGCAUAAUGCAUAUUCGAGGGCAAGCACAACAAUUCAAGAGCAAAGAAACUCGAUGAAAUAGCAAAAUAAAAAGACAUGAAGGACUGAAAUAAAAUAAAACCAAAAAAGAGGGAUGAAAAAAGUAACCGCACUCUGGUUGCCAUCAAAAACAUAUAUAGUUCUUUUAGUAUUUUUUUUUUUAAAAUAAUAUUGUAAUAGGUCAAUCAUAUUACCCUGAGUGUGUGACACAGAGAUAAUCAUCAUAGAAAAUUACUUUUAAUUGCUUGUGUUUUAUCCUGAGAUGACAAACUUACCUUGUCCUACUAAUGCUUUUGCUUUCAUUGUUUCGAAAGUAAAAGAGACUUAAACAUAAUCAUUUCCUUCCUUUUACUUUCCACUUCUUUGUAAUAUUGGAUUGCAAACGGGAUGGUGCUUAGAGGGGCCACUUUUUCUUUUCCUUUCUUUUUAAAAUCUUAUGCCUUUGGGUGAGGAAAUUAGUGGAGCAUUAGACUUUUUAAAAGACAACAAAAAAAAGCGAUGUCUCAUCUUUUGAUAUGGUGGUACAAGAUACACCAUGGUAUGGUGGUCCUGCAAGAAAUGUCUUAGCUUUUGAUAUGGUGGUCUUCCAUGAUCAGUUUUCGAAAGAUUCGAGUCUCCGUUCUAGUUCGGGUUGGAAGCUAGGCCGAAAGCUAAGCUUCUUUUAAUUAUGAAUUGUUUAUGCAAAGGAAACCCAGAAGCUUGAACAAACAGAAAUGCCUUGUUGAUUUCUCUGCUACUACUCAUUAUUUCCAAUAUUAUUCCAUUAUCUUACCCGAAAGCAAUUAUACAAGAAAUUUCAUUAUCCUGCCCCAGAAGGCAAUUUAUUACAAGGACUUCCUUUAACCUCCUUGAAGGCAAUUUAUUUGAUGAAAAUUCCUUUAAUCCACCUCAAAGACAAUUUAUCUUAGGGAAUUCCAACAACCCAGGCAAUUUAUUUCUUAAUUUUAUAUUACUGUUUUCAUUAAUUUUAUUAAAGCUUAAUUUUAUAUUUUUUCUGCCCUUUUCUUUUAAAAAUGUUAUCUCCUUGGUAAGGAAUCCUUGGUUCCCAACAGCAACUGUAGCAUAGUUAAAGGUUGCGUUAAAAAAAUAUCAAAACUCCACCGAAAGUAGUGGAGCCUUAGAAUUUUUAAAAGACAAAACGGGGACAAGUGAGAGACGAAGAAAAAGACAAAAGCAAUUCCAUCUAUUGAUGUGGUGAUCCAAGAUACACCAUAACAUGGUGUUCUUCCAUGAAGUCUAAGAUGCACCGCCGUGUUGUUUCAUAUAUAUUUAUAUAUAUGAAAAUAAUAAAACUACCGUUUAAAACAACUCUGAAAACAAAAGUUUUAAUAAUUCAUAAUUUAUAAGCAAACAUCACUUAUAAGCAAAUAAUUAAUGAUGGUUAAACUAAUUCAUUGUUAGGCGGAUAUAUAUUAAGGUUGAGACCCAUCUAUCUAACACUAAUAACUAAUCACUGAUAAUAUUUAUGCAAAACUUGUAGCUUAGGAUGAACUCUCAGAGAUGUGGGCGAGGCAACUCAAAGUAGAAGGGAAGGGGUAACCUCUGAUAACAGAGAAAAUUGUAGAGUAAAUUGUAGAUGUGGACCGAAUUUUCUUAAAUUAACAACAGAAAUCUACAAUGAACAGUUCUCGAGAAGAAACUCAAGAAACGUAAUAAAGCUACAUGAUGACAUAAUAGGAACCUGCAUUGCCUUCAUUCUAUGAUGAAAGUUCAAGAAAUUUUACAUCGAAUCUCAAGACAAAGUCUCUCAGACUACAUAUUGCAAAGCAACUGAUUCUAUUGCAAAGCAACAUUACGAAAAAUUGAAUAUUUCACACUCAGUCUAAUAAAAGUAGAUUCCAUUGUCAAUUCCUCAACAUUUUCCAAACAAAUCCAUGCUCCUCAUUUUAUACUUUCUCUCUUAUUACCAACUUCAUUGAGUUUCAUAUAAGCAUAGUCAAUCACACAACUAAUAUGUGAAUUCACAAUUUCUUACCGAAAACAUUUUAUCAGUGCAAAUUAAUACAUAAUUUUACCUCUCCUCUUGGUGAAAACACAAAGACACAACCACCGAGCAGAUCUCUGGUAAUGGUCUCUACAAAUUCCCUACAGUUCCUAUUGCCAACAAACUCCUCUUGCCAUUCCCUAACUGCAUUGAGCCAGCUAAUCUGGAUGAAAGAAAAGACUUCAGCCAUUCCCUAACCUUAAAGCAGACCCAACUUUGUAGCUCAUUACCAGUUAAGUAAAAGUUAUCAAUAGCUGUGUAAAUCAUUGAAACUGCCACAAAAGCAACCCAAAUUAGUUAUGAAUUGGAUUCGAUAAGGGAAAGAGGGGAAGAGGGGAAAUGGGUAACGGAAAAUUAAAGAGAGAUGAAGAUCUGCGCAGGGCUACCUGUUUUGAGAAUUAUGGAUUUUUAUCCCUAACUCCAAAUUGCACCAAUUAUAAGUUCAUUAAAACAAAUCUGGAACAGAACAGAUGGAAAAAACUCGAAACAACUUGGCUAGAAUUUGGGCAAGAAAUUCAGAACGGCCAAGAUUUUAAGUGAGAUAAAAGUUAUCCCAUUUUGUUCUGUUUUUUUUUUUAAAUUAAUAUGAGAUAUACUAUCCAUUUCAAGCGGAACAUAAUGGAAUGAACAACCUUGCAUCGAAGACCUAAUUUUAGUGAAACUCAAGUUUAUUGUGUCAAAGAAAAUGUUCUAAAAAAAUGUUUUAAGCAUUAACAAAAUCUAGUUGGCCUAGGCAAUCCACUAUUGUUGCUGUUACCGUUGGUGCAUACUCAAUUACACCAUUGACAUAGUGCAACUGUUUUUCUUUCUUUCUUUCUUUCUUUUAAAAAAUCCAUGUUAUGUUUUUUAUUUGAAGCUUUUUUGUUAACAUCUUUCGCAAUUGGCCUUGGUAUUUUGUUUCCAUUUUCUCUAUGUUUCCUUCUUCUGUAGUUAGAAAACAUCAUGUCUUUGGGUUUGCGCUUGAUACCGCAAAAUUAAGGACACAAUAGUCAAAGAACACAAAAAAAUUUAUAAGUGAAGGGGGUUGCAGUUGUGAACCCUAAAAUUUACAAGUUUAUUUUCUUAAUAAUAAUAAUAAUAAUAAUAAAGAAGUUUGCCUUCUUAGAAAGUUUACAAAGCCUUAAAUUGGUUAGGAACCUUACCUCAACAAGGAAACAAAAAAAAAAUCCAAAAUUAUAAAGGAAAGAAGCAUAAAAUCUAAAAUAAGCAAGAAAUUUGAAAAUAACAAAGAAAAUCACAAAAAACUAACAAAACCCGGGGCAUCAGUGAGAGUUUUGAUAUUUAAAGAUCCGAUGGUCUGUAUAAAAAUUUGAGCACAAUCCAAUAAUCGAAUAAAAAAUUCUGGCUCUUUUGAGCUGUUAUUCUUGUCUAGUACAACCAAACAUUCUCUUGGGCUUAAACCUGUUCUAUUGGUUCAUAAAUGCAUUUACUAGGCCAUCAACAUUAUUUGUCUGAGGCAAAUCCUCAUCUAGUUAUGGGAGACCCACAUCUGACUGCUUAGAAUCACUAGUUAUCGUAGGAUCGACUAUAUCAAAAUUGGUUGGUUUUUUGUUUUCAAAAAGAAUUAAAAUUUGAUGGAGAUGAAAGCUAAAAACACAAUAAUUAAAGAGCACAAAAAAUUUUAUGAGCAAAAGAGGCUGCAGAUGUGAACCUUCAAAUUCACAAGUUUAUUUUCUCUAAAAUAAUAAUAAUGAAGUUUGUUUUCUUAGGAGGUUUCCAAAGCUAUAAAAAUAUCAAGAAUCCUAUCUUAACUUGGAAAUAAAAAUACAAACUCAAAAUUACAAAGGAAAGAAGCAUAAAAUCUAAAAUAAGCAAGAAAUUAAAAAAUAACAAAGAAAAUCACAAAAAACUACCAAAACUAGAGGGCUUAACAAGAUUUUUGUUAUCUAAAGAUUCGAUGGUCCGCGUAAGAAUUUUAGCAUGAUCUAACGGUCGGAUAAGAAAUUAUGACCCUUUUGAGCUAUUAUUUUCGUUUAACGCGACCAAAUCUUUUUUUGGUCCUAUACUUAUCCUAUUAUUCCAUAAAUACAUCUCUAUGACCUAUCUUUUUUUUUCCUACUAUAGAUGGAGUUUGACCAUCAUCAUCAUAUGAUUUGACUUAGUUGUAUCGGUUUUCAAUCAGAUCAACUUUAUAUAUUAUGGGUUUACAUUUACUAUUUUUAAAAAAUGCUCAUUAUCGGUUUUCGAUCACCAUAAGUCCAUUGUUCACACCUCAAGUCCGUACCUGCAGCGGAUCGCAGGCAACGAAACUAUAGACUCGAGAGUAAACAUGCUACUAUAGUUAGCUAGUAAGGGUCCAGGUCAUUUGUUGUCUGGUUUCAAAUAGUGUUUCAACUCAUUUAAUAAAUGUAUACAUGGCUCAUAGUUGGAUUACUUGUGUUUUUGUUAUUUGUUCUUCCCAGUACUUGUACCAGAAGCUGCUCUCAUAUUUGAAGGAAUGCAAACAAUUGUUAAUAUGAAACUUAUGAUGCAUAGGAAAUUGCCAUUUUUCUCAUUUUUAAUUGGAAGAAAAAUCACACGUAUGUUUUUGUUAGAAAUAACUUCUUAUUUCAAUCAGAAGUGUGUCACUAAAUUGAUUUAUAAGUAAGUUUUUAAAUCGUGGAUUAUAUCUUACAUUAUAUUUUUUUAUUUACAAAAGUUUAUUUGAGUUAUUUUUAUUAAAAAUACUUAUAAUUUAAAAUUAUUUUAAUUCUUUUUUAUCAUAAAUUAUUUAUUAAAAACAACUUAGAUUAUCGCUUGAAAUAAAAAAAGAAAAAGAAAAAUUUUUCAGCCUGUUUUCUCUUUACUGAACAACCUCUUUGAUUCUCUAGCAUCUGCUUGGAAAAACCAUUCAACAAGGGAUUCUGCUAGGAAAACAUGCAAUUGUUCUUCUAUCUGAUAUCAGUUUCAAAAUUCUAAACAAAUAAUGCAACAAGUCACAUUUAUUACAAAAAAAGUCACGUUUAUUCCAGACCUCAAGCUGCAUUGCCUAUUUCAAAACCACAAAGAGAACAUCAUACAGAACAACAAAUACCCAAGUCGUAGAGCCAUUAAUUUGAGCAUAAAGGAGAAUGAAAGUCCACGCAUUAAACAGUAGGCACACACAUGAGUAGACAUUAUGCCCUUGUUUUUGAAGAUUCAGACACUUCAAAAGAAAACUCACGCUCUUAUUUUUGGGAAGUUCUUCUAUGGUAAAUAAGACUGUUACAAUGUGAAGCCAAUUUGUAUCCCAUUGCCAGUGAAACAGUAGGAAUUACUUCCACCAAUCUAAAACAUAUUCGCAGCACCACAGCUCAAGGACAUGAAUCUCUGUGAAAUCGCCUAAGGUCGAGUUGCUCAUGUAAUAGGCAACCAACCUGCCUAAUGCAAACAGAAGUACAAAGACCAUUCAUGCAUAUCCAUUACCUGAUUAGGAUGUUUUUCAAAUUCCAAUGCCAAACUAAUCAUCCUACCCAUCAUCAUCAUCACCACCAUCUCCCUUCACCACCUUCCUUCAUCUCCUUCACCACAUACCCACCCAUUAUUUCGGGUCCACGUUCUACAACUGCUGAUUGGCGCAGAGCAACCAGUGCUUGAAUCCUCAGCUACUUCAGAUACCUGUAAUCCAAUCCAAGCAUGGCAUACACAUUUUAACUUCUAAAUCUUAUUAUUGAGCGAAACAAGAAACAAACACACAAAAAGAGAAGCAAGAAAUCAAGACAAUUCAGCAGCACCUCUGAUUGAGCUCUUAUUGAACCAUUUGGGAGCAUGAACGAAAACAGAGAGGGGACCUAAAAAGAGAGAAAUAGGGAGAGAGCAAAAGGACAGCAGGCCUGCUUUGCCUUUGUUCUCAAAACGCAAGUGAAGUGCAGGGAAACUGCAAGCGUUGGUCAGCCUAAUUAUUCGUCUCCAGCUACACACUCCAAACCAUCGAAAGAAAGAACUGAGAAAAACAGGAGAAAAGGAGGAACACGAAAAAAAACCAAGGGAACGGGCAGAUACAGAAAAAAAAAACUGGAGGGAAAAACCCAGGGGAAAGAAAAACAGAGGACUGCAGGUGGAAAAACUGGGGAAGAAAAGGGCAGAACCGCGGGAACAGAGAGAAGAGACUCAGGAAAAAAAGUAGAAGGAAAGGCAGAGGAGAGUCACAGAUCAGCUCUGCCAUUGUCUUCAUCCCUGCAAAAAAAUAAAAGAAUGACACUGAACCAAAGACUAUUGACAACCGGCAUCACCAUUGUUUACUUUCCUUCAUCUCAAAACUAGAGGAGACAGAACGCAAUCAAAGAAAGAAGCAGAGGAAAGUCACCGAGACCGUUGCUACUGCCUUCGGCGUUUCCAGAACUAGGAGAGAAAGCAAAAGAAAGCAGGAGGAAAGGUGUUAAGCAGACAACAGGCACCAUCACACUGCAGCCAUCUUCGCCGUUUCCAGAAGCAGGUACGCCCCUCAUCCCAUUUUGCAUCUUCAUUUCAAAUUGAAUUGUUACAAGAGCUGUGCGAAGGUAAUUUAAUUACCUUCGCACUGCUCAUGCACGCGUGAAGCCACUUCACGCGUGCUUUUCGUUUUGCCCAGCCGGUCACUGGCUUGGGCCAGUGACCGGGCCGGGCUGGCUGGGUCCAGUCCAUGCCAUGUGGGCUGAGCUGGGCCCAGCCCCAAAAAAAUAAAAGAAAAAAACAGAAAAAUAAAAAAAUAGAAAAAAUAGAAAAAAAUAAAAAUAAAAAAUAUGCAUGCAUGAAUAAAAAUAAUGUAAAUUUAUUGGUUUAUUUACUGACGCCAGAGUCAGUAAUAAAAAUAUCGGUUUAAAUUUAUAUUAUUUUUAUUCGUUGUAUUUUAUUUUAUUUAGCUAGAAAAAAAAUAUGUGCAUGCUGAAAAAUAAAUUUAUUUUUUCAUUGGCGCUAGAGUAGGGAAUAAAAAAUAUUGAUAUAAUUUUUUUUAUAGCUACGUAAUAUUUAUCAACACCAGAGUUGGAGAUAUUCAUAGUUGAAUAUUCACUGACGCCAGAGUUAGAAAUAUUAUAAGCAAAUUAUCAUAGUGUAAACUAAUAAAUAUUUAGCAAUUUAAAACAAAACCGGCAAUGCAGUCUGCCUCAGGCAGAACGUUUAAGGGGUGAUAAUAUCUUCCUUUUUACGUAACCAGUCCCAUACUAUAGAAUUUCUGUUGAUCAGUUAGGGUUUCUAGUGACCAUAAUACUAGGUGGCGACUCCAUAAACAAGAUAUUUUUUUCUAAAAGAACAAGAUAUCAGAAAUCUGUUUUUUUUCCACAGUCAAGUUUAUUUUGUGGAUCGUCACGAUAUCGGGUACGAUAAAAGUAGUCAAAUUGUGCAGCACGAGACCCUUCCACAAACAUCUCAUGCUUGUGUCAGGCAGGGACUUCAAUUUUAAUGUUUUCAAACUUGUUAACUCCUACAUCAGAAGACAACAAAGGCACUAAUUUGUUAGAUAUAAUUCCUAGUAUGUUUUGGUAAAUAGAUGAAUCAAUUAUCCCCAAUACUUACUUAUCAACAAAAGGAUAUAUGUAGACAUGGCAAUAGACAACUCAAUAUUAGCAAAUGGAGGUUUAUCGUCCUGUCCAAAUACUUCCAUUAUUUGGGGAAGAGCCUCAUUUUCACUCAAACUGGGAAAGCAUAAAUCUAGGUAUCAUUUCAUUACAAUAAUUAAUUUCUUACUUCUUAAGCCCUGCGUCAAGAGACAGGGAAUGAUACAGUUAGACAACUCCUUUUAAAUUUAGUGGAUGGCUAAAGGAUUUAUCUCCACUUAUCAAUUACUUCAGUUUCAGAAAUUUAAAGGAAGAAAUCAACAUGUAUUGAAGUUGACAAUUUAAAUUAAAAAGGAAAACAAAUAUUGGAGAAAUAUAAAGGACAAAUUAUCAAUUACAUGUACUUGGAGCUGUGCAGACAAAUUACCCAAUCCUUCGUGGCCAUAAAUGGUUAGACUUUUCAAAGAAGGCAAUUGGGCAGCAAAAUUCUUUGGACCAAAAAAGCUGCAAUUUGAAAGAGACAAUUUUCUUAGUCGAGGAAACUUGAUGAUGCCAUCUGUGGUGAGUGCAUCUCCUUCUCCACUGUAAAAUAUUUGCUUUAAAUUAUAAGCUUUAAAAAUCCGCAUCUCUUCCAGGUUUAGAAGGCUUGGAGACACAGAUACAGGGAAGACAUAUUCCAGUUUACCACAGUGAGAUAUGUAGAGAGUUUCCAAUUUUGGGAAGCGAGGAGACUCUAGAAAUAUUUCCCUUUCACCAUCCUCUUCUCUGAUAAUAUGCUUCAACUCACCGCAUGUUCUUAUCUCAAGUGUUUCUAGCUUUGGCAGAUUUUGAGCGAGGGACGGUGUGAAGAUAAAUGUCAGUUUGUCCAGAUACCCCAACUCCAGACGAGCAAGACUUUGGAGGCUGACAUGCCCGGUGGGCCCCUUCCAUAUGCAUUUGAGCUCGGGUAACUCUCGCAGCUCUAACAGUGUUAAAGAUGACAGCAACGGCAGCUCCUUCUCCUCACUGCUUCCUUCAUCAGCCUCACCCAAUUCAAAUACCUCUUCCAAUGAUUUGCAGUCCUCAAUUUCCACACUCCUUAGAUUUUUCAGACCUUGUAGCAAUUUUGCUGGAAACGGAGCGCGAACAUCCCCACAAUCGUACAAAUGUACAGAUUCUAAUCUUUGUAAGAAGCCGUUUUGCUGUCCAUGGGCGGCCAUGUUAUCAGAAAACAAUAUUAUAUUUUUUCACUCUCAUGAAAACAAUUUAUAUGAUGUAUAAAUAGGAGAAAAAAAUAGAAAAAACAGGAUUAUAUACUUUUUAGAGAUUACAUAUUAUUGUUUUAGUUUUUUUCUUAAUCAGAGAAAACUUGAAUAAUAAUUAGAUUUUUGUGAAAAAAAGGUUAAUACAACUACUAAUAAUUAGUUUCAUGUAAAAAAUAAAAAUAAAAAUAAAAAUAAAAAUAGUAACUAAUAUUUUUAUUUUAGUUAUAAAGUUAAUAAAUUUUUAAAGAUAUUUUAAUUGAAUUAAAUAUUUGAACACAAAAUUUAUGUUCUUAUAUAUAUAUUAAAUCAACAUGUAUUGAAAAAUACUUCCAUUAAUUGGGGGAAGAGCCUCAAUUUCACUCAAACUGGAAAGCAUAAAGAUUGAAAAAUCUGGAUAUCAUUUCAUUACAAUAAUUAAUUUCUUACUUCUUAAGCCCUCUAUCAAGAGACAGGGAAUGAUACAGUUAGACAACUCCUUUUAAAUUUAGUGGAUGGCUAAAGGAUUUAUCUCCACUUAUCAAUUACUUCAGUUUCAGAAAUUUAAAGGAAGAAAUCAACAUGUAUUGAAAUUGACAACCAGAAGCCCAAAAGAAAACAAUUUUGACGAAUACCCACCAAACAGUUGAAGUGCUGCUGUAACUGAGAUUUUUUAUUAUAUGUAUUUUUUGUGGUCCAAUGGAUAAAUAAUUUUUUUUUCUUUUAUUUUAUCAGCUUAAUUUUGCAUGUGGAAUAUUGAGUUUUCUGUUAUUUUUUCAGACACAGAAUUGAAUCCUUUAUACAUUCUUAAAACCAAAUUUGAAUUCUAAGUUCCUAAAUGAAGGAAUAAUAAAGAUUGUUGCAUGUACAAAUUCUCCUUAAAAAAAUUAACAAAUAAUAAAGUCCCCUAUGUUAAUAAGAUUUAACUAUAACUUAGCCCUGUAAUUUCUUAAAAUUAAUUAUUUAGCCCUGUAAUAAUAAAGUCCUCCAUUUACUAUAUUUUUCUCUAAAAAAUGCCUUCCUUCCUAAUGAAAUUUCCUCAAAUGCAUACUUUUGUUGUCCUUAUUCUAUUUUUCAAGAAUGAAGAAAAACCUCUAAAUAGCAUUAGGUUCCAUGAAAUUGAAUGUUUACAUUAUAAUUCUUCUAUAGAAGUCUUCAAUAUUCUAUCACUUAAAAUAUAAAGCUUCAAACCUCCAAAUUUUCAAGACCCCAUCUUUCAAUCUCAAAACCAGAAACAACCCCUUCUCCAUUUAACCGAAUCUCAUAACUCUAGGAAAGGAGAGGGAUACGACUUUUGUAAAUUGAUUUAAUAUAUUUUUGACUUUUGAUUUUAAUUUUCUUUUUAAGUAUGUUAGUUAAAAUUGCUUUUGAUUUAAUUUUUUUUUGUUAUAAAUUGGAUUCAAAACUUUGAUUUAAUAAUAAAAAAAUCUUAACUUUAGUUUGUGGAUUGUAUACUAAAUUCCUUAAUAAAAAUAGUAAUUUUGAAUCUUUUUUACAAAUAAUGCUUAUAACUUAUGGUUAUUUUAAUUUAUUUUUUUCAUAAAAAAACUUUUAAAUUAUAGUUCAAAGCUACCAGAUUAGGCAUGUAGCUUAUGAAGGGUUUGUAAGCAGCAAACAAUUAAAAUUAGAAAUCAGAGGAACAUUUAGAAUCUCUAGCAAUAGCCAGCAAUGUAUCUGCUCGAAAAAACCAUUCAACAUGAGAUUGUUCUGCUAGAAAAACAUGAGAUUGCUCUGCUAUUUGAUAUCAGUUUCAAACUUCUGAACAAAUAAUACAGCAUCAAGUCUCAGUCAUCACAUGCCCAUACAAAAACAUUUAUUCCAGAUCUCAAGCUGCAUUGCCAGGCCCGUUUCCAAAACCACAUAAGCAUAUGCAAUAGAAACAGAGCAUCAAACUGACAGAGAAAGCAUGAGAAUGAAAAUCCACACAUUAAACAAGAGUAAACAUUAUGCCUUUAUUUUUGAAAGGUUCACACACUUCAAAACAAACACGAAUGGGCAAGCAACAUUCGCCCUUACUUCUGGAGGCUUGUACGAUAAUGGGCAAGCAACAUUAUUUUUUUGAGGUUCGCACAGUAAUGACUAAACACACAACAUUACAUUACAUGGGUAAACAAGCAGAUAACCUUAUUCACACAUAUAUAGAUAAGUCGAUAUCUUCUUUUGAAAUCACACAUAGCAGAUAACCAAACGAGGGAAUAAGAAAUCACAGCAUCCGAAACUGAAGCAGACAAUACUUGAUAAUUGUUUUAGCGACAGCUUCUUUAGAUUAGGAAGCACCAUCUCCUUCUCAACGUUGACAGGUGAAACAUGAUCAUCCUGCCCAAACACUCCCAAUAAUUGAGACGCUUUUUUUACUCUAAGUAUUUGGAGCUAUGGGAGACCUGAAGCCAUGGUAACUGGGAAGAGGCUCUUCAACAUGUUACAUUCUCUAAUCUCAAUUUCACACAAAUUGGGAAAGCAUAAAGAUUGGAGAUGAUCUCCUAACAAUAUCUGGUCGUUUUCAUCAUCAUCCUUAGCAAUGAUUUGCUUGAAUUCCUCAUAGGACAAUAUCUUUAGAACUUUCAGUUGGACUAGACUGACAAUCAUGCUGCAUGUGAAUACCAGUGUCAGUCUCUUACACUCAACCACCUUCAAAGUAGUCAAUUUGCUCAGCACGAGACCCUUCCAUAUACACCUCAUGUCAGGCAGGGAUUCCAAGCAUAAUUUUUCCAAAUUUGUCAACCCUUGCAUCAAAAGAAAACAAGGAUACCAAAUUUAUAAAACAUUCUUACUUACAAAAACUUGUAGGUCUAGUGUUACCAAUCCUUGUCUUGGGCUUAUACAUGUUCCAUUGGUCCAUAAAUAUAUUUGCUAAGCUAUCAACAUAAUUUGUUUGGGACAAAUCCUCAUCUAGUUAUAAUAGACUCACACCUGACUGCUUAAAAUCACUAGUUAUUGUAGGAUUGACUACAUCAAAAUUGAUUGGUUUUUUGUUUUCAAAGAGAUUUAAACUUUUGAUGCAGACGAAAGCUAAAAACACAAUAAUCAAAGAAAACAAAAAAAAAAUAUAAGCAAAAGGGACUAUAGAUGUAAACCCUCAAAUUCACAAGUUUAUUUUCUCUAAAAUAAUAACAAUGAAGUUUGUUUUCUUAGAAUGUUUACAAAUCCUUAAAUAUGUCAGGAACCUUACCUCCACUAGGAAACAAAAACAAAAAUACAAAAUUACAAAGAAAAGAUGCAUAAAAUCCAAAACAAGCAAGAAAUAAAAAAAAUAACAAGGAAAAUCACAGAAACUAUUAAAACUAUAGGCCUAAACAAAAUUUUUGAUAUCUAAAGAUUUGAUGGUCCACGUAAAAAUUUAAGUAUGAUCCAAUAGUCGAAUAAGAAAUUGUAACUCUUUUGAGUUGUUAUUCUAGUCUGACGUAUUUUUUCUCUUUUUUUCACUAUAAAUGAAGUUUGACCAUCAUUGUCAUAUAGUUUGACUUAGUUGUAUCGGUUUUUAAUCAGAUCAACUUUAUAUAAAUCAGAUCAACUUUAUAUAUUAUGAGUUUACAUUUACUAAUUUUAAAAAAAUGCUCACAAGUCCAUUGUUCACACCUCAAAUUCGUAACUGCAGCGAUUCAUAGGCAACGAAACCAGUUAGAGACUAGAGAGUAAACAUGCUAUUAAAGUUUGCAAGUAAGGGUUUAGAUUAGAUUAUUUGUUGUCUUGUUUCAAAUAUUAGAUCAGUCUCAACUCAUUAAAUAAACUAGUGGUGCAUUGAUCCUUGCAUUAAUUGUUCAUUAACAAACAAUUGUUAAUAUGAAACUUAUGAUGUAUUAAUAACGCAUACAACAAUGAGGCAGUUAAGUUUCUUCGAUAAAAUAAAAUCAUUUAAAAAAUAAAAAUAAGCUAGUAUGUUUGUUACAUAACUAAAAAAAAAAUUGAUUUUUUUAAAUUGAUUUUUUUAAAAAUCAUUUUAAUAGACUAAUAUUAAAAAUAAAUUUUAAAAAAUAAAAAAUAUAUUAUUUUGAUAUAUUUUCAAGGAAAAAACAUUAUGAAAAGAAAUUGUUAAUGUUUGUUAAAACAUUAUUGUUAAUAUUUCUUACUAAAUAUAUAAUGACAUGUGAUUGGAAUAAUGUAUGUGAACUUGUACACAACUUAAUAAAUGAGAAAACUAAGGUAGCCGGUCACAUGUGAUUGGAAUAAUGUAUGUGAACUUGUACACAACAUUAUUGUGGGCUUAAUGGACCACAUACAAGUUUGCCCUGUAUUUUAAGUGAAGUUUUGCAGAUUUUUGAAAGUUUUUUUUUUUCAAAUUGAAUUUUUUUUUUUUUUUUUUUGUGGUUACCAUAUCAGACAAAGUAGAGGUUGAUUUCAACAAGCAUGAAAAACCAAAUUCAUUAUGAGAUAUAUAGCCUCAAGAUUAUCACAUCAUAAAGAAGAGUAGAGGUUCAAAUCCCUAAAUCUAUAAAUAAAUAAAAAAUGAACUAACCAAUUUUAUCUCGAAACAACAUUGAUCGUGGUCAACCGUGUGACUUGUUCCGCCCCCGUCCCGGGUUCGACCCUCUAUGUGCACGCCUGUCACCCCCGCGGUGCCUUACCUGCCCCUGGGCUUGCAGGAUGUCCAGUGGGCCGUGGGGAAUAGUCGUGGUGCGCGCAAGCUGGCCCGGACACCCCACGUGAAUCAAAAAAAAAAAAAAAAAAACAUUGACACUAACUUAAUGCUGAGCCUUGGUACAAAUUAAGUCAGCACUUCCAUGCCUUGUGAUCUUGACAAAAAUAUUUUUGGUCCUUUUAGUUUAGAAAUGAAACUUUUCAGUACAAAGCUUUAUUUUACCUCUAUAUAUAGUUUCUGAGUUUGAGAAAAGAAAGAAAGAUUUGUUGAAAAACUACAAAGGAGAGAUAAAAUUAGUCAAUUUAGAUUUGGGUUGAUUUUCUAAUUUUAAAUCAAUUAAAUGUUUAUUUAAAAUAUUUAUAUAUCUAACUUUUCAAUAAAGGAGCAAUUUUUCAUUACAUUCAGCACAAUAUUUAUUUCACUAACCUGUACGAAGAUGACACGAGUUAAAAUAAUUGUUUAAACACACACUAUAUAUAUUGUGCAUAUAACUGUCUUGUAUUCACAUUAUUAGAUCAGUGUAUGCACACAACAUUUGAUAUUUUUAACUGUUAUGAAUAAUCUGUAUAUUAUGUGUCGCACGUGAGCGACGUCGCGGCGAUCGUCCACCCAAAACAAAUGUAAUAAUAUGGGGGAUAUAUAUCUGGUCAAUGUAGGGAGACAAGGAAUUCGUUGUCUCUUAGCAGUGAAAAAUGGUGUGGGAGUCGCCACCUAGUAUUUUGGUCACUAGGAACCCUAACUGGUCUCAGAGAUCGGGUACGGGGACUGGUUGCGUAAAGGGAAGGUAUUAGCACCCCAAAUACGCCCUACCUAAGGUAAGCUGCAUCGUUUAAUUGUCUGAUAAAAUUUAAGGUGUUUUCAUUGUGUUUCCUAGUUGUUGGUCCGUCUAUGGUUCAAGAAAAGUCCUCCUUAAUAAGGAGGUCCUUAUCUUAUCGGGUAAAACCUAACCGUUCUAGCGUCUAUGUAAAAAAACAUAUUUUUAAUUUCAGGAAUACGUUUUACGUAUAAAUUCGUAAUCCCAUAUACUAACAGAGGACAAAAAGAUUUUUUAGAAUUUUUGGAAUAUUGGCCUAGUUCUCAUGGCUUGAAUAAACUGGUUAUUAAAGCCAAAAUGCAUGCUAAUACAUAUAUUGUUUUGAAAUUUCUUUUGUUGUGUGAAAAUAUGAUGUUAUAAUAUUUAUAUAUAUAUAUUGGAGAGACUAGGCCGUAUUUUAAAACAAAAACAUUUUUUAAAUAUGUAUUUUGUACGUUUUGACGCAAAUCGGGUAUUUUAAUACUGGGUUUGUAUCCUUGCAGUAUAAAAAUACAACCAAAUAUUAAUCUACUUUGAUAAAGCAAAUGCAGAAAAAUCAACAAUAUUUUCAAAGAUAUUUUAGAAAAUUUUUGAAAGCAAAAGACAUUUUUUAUUUUGAAAAUCUUUGAUGUUUUGAUGAAAACCGGGUAUGUUAAUACCGGAUUUGUAUCUUUACAGUAUAAAAUACCAACCAAUAUUAAUCAAAAUACAGUAAUAAAAUUACAGAAAAUCACAUAUUUUUGAAAUAAUUUUUGAAGAAUUUUUGUAAUUUUUUCAUAUAUAUAUAUAUCUAUAUAAAUAAUACAAAAUAUAAUAUAUAUAAUAUAAUAUAUAAUAUUAAAUGGGCUGGGCUGGUCCGGCCCAACCGACUGGGCCGGACUCAGCCCAAAAUUGUUGGGCCGAUCUCGGCCCAAAAUGGGUUGGGCCGAUCUCGGCCCAAAACAAAAAACACAUUAUCUUCUGGGCCAGACCCGGCCUAGAAGACAGGGCUGGGCCAGGAUCCGCCUGGCCCAAGCCAAAACGGGGCGGGGGGGGGAAUUAUUUUCCCCCCACCCCUGCAUGCAGAACGCUACUCGUUCUGCAUGCAGGGAACGAAACGAGAAAAUAAACGCUCUCCUAGAAACCGCAGAAAAGUUACCUGGCGCGGAGGCGAAAGCGGUGGCUGGCUGCGUUUCUGGCGGUUCUGUGGUGGAGGCUGGUAGCGGUGUCGCUGCUCCCUGGCGGCGACUCCAAGCAGCGGCGCUGCUGUCUCAAGCGGCGGAAAGAGGGAUUCUUCCUCUUUCCUUCUCCUCUGUUUCCUUCCCUUUUCUUCUCCUUCUUUGGUUUUCUUUCCCCCUGUUUUCCCUUCUUUCGGUUCUCUUCUCCCUCUCCCCUUUCUCUCUCUUUCGGUUUUUUCCGUUCCUCUCUCUCUCCUCUGUUUUUCGUUUUCUCCUUCUUCCCCCGUCUGUUCUCCUCCCUCUUUUUCUUCUACUGUCGUGUUGGUUGUUAUUUAUAGAGCCAAGUGAGUGGCUUUUCGCUGUGGAGCAUGGGGAGCAGCCGGCCGGUCGGCCAUUGGGCGCGACUGCCAACGCUCGGCCCCCCUCCCCGGCUUUCUGGCAGGUGCGCGGUGGGUGGUCGGCCAUUGUGUUCGGUCGGUGGGCUCCAGGCGAGAGAGAGGGGCCGGCAAAAAUUUCAAAAAAAAGCACCAUUUUUCCCUUCUUCCCCGCUGCAUGUUCGGGGGGGAAGAAGAAAGAUGAACAGUGUCGUUCAAAACGACACCGUUCUGCCCUUUUCCCUUUUUUUUUUUUUUUUGAAUGGAUGAAACGACGUCGUUUUGGAUAAAACGCGCCGUUUCAUUUAAAUCCUACAAGACGCCAAAACGCGUCAAUUUGCAAAGCAGCCCUCAAUUAUCUUUUGUCCCUUCAAUUGCAUCCCUGCCGAAUUUGAACCCCGUCCCUAUAUUUGGCCGCGUUUUUCACUUUGGUCCUUGGCCUUUGAAUUAUGCAAUUGAGCCCUUAAUUGAUCAAUAAACUUCCAAUUUCUUCAAUUAGGCCCCUGAAUCAAUUAAUUCCAGCCCCUAUACUUACGCACCUUCUUCAAUUUGGUCCUUGGUUUCGGAUUCCUUCAAUUAAGUCCCCAAUUGGCCCUUAAACUUCAAUAUUUAUGCAAUUAAGCCCCUGAUUUGACCUAAUAAAUUCCUAAAAAAUAUAUUUUGGCCCCAGAACUUAAAUUUCUUCUAAUUAAAGCCCAAAUUGACUUAAAAAUCAAUUUUUCUUGCAAUCAAAUCCCCUAUAAAUUCAUUUAAAAAUCAAAUUAAGUCCAUAAACAUCUAAAUUUGGGCUUUUCUCCUCAAAUUUGAAAUUUUCCUUGUCAACAGGGCUCUCCUCCUUCAAGAAUAUAUUAUCAAAAAUUCCAUCUUUGUUUUUUUAACCUUAUUGACCAAUUUUCCAACCAUUUUCUGAGCGCUUCUGCCUCCUGUUAUUUUUCUAACCUCCUUUGGCUAUAUAUUUUUAUAUAUAUUUUGUGGGGACCCAAAAAUGGGUUACAACAUUAUGAAUGCUUAGUCUUAACCUAAAUACAAAUAAAGUAUAUAUAGGUCAAACUGAAAGUACUAUUCUACCCUUGAUAAAUAAGACUACAUAAAUAUUAUUUAACAUCUCCCCUCAAACUCACGAUGCGGCAGCUACAAGCAUCGAGAGUUUGCCAGCCAAAAAACGAAAACGAGAGAUGGAAUGCGCCUUGGUAAAGAAAUCUGCAAUCUGCAAGGAAGAAGGAACAAAAGGCAAAGCAAUGGUGCCAUGUUUGAGAUGAUGACGAGUAAGAUGACAAUCGAUCUCAAUGUGCUUAGUGCGUUCAUGAAAAACCGAGUUAUGAGCAAUCUGAAUAGAACUCUGGUUGUCACAAUACAUAGGAGUAGGAUGAGAAAAGGAAAUUCCCAUAUCAGCAAGUAACCAACGUAACCAAACAAUCUCUUUGGUAGUAGAUGCCAUGACACGAUAUUCUGCUUCGGUGGAUGAUUGAGAAACAAUAGAUUGUUUCUUGUUCUGCCAAGAAAUAAGAGAAUCACCUAAAAAGAUAUAGAACCCGGUAACAGACUUGCGAUCUGUGGGAUCACUACCAUGAUCAGCAUUAGAGUAUACACGCAACUCCAAGGAAGAGGUGGAUGAAAGUAAAAGACUCUGAAAAACUGUACCCCGAAGAUAUCGCAAAAUACGAAGAACAGCUGCCCAGUGAACAGUAGUAGGAGAAGCAACAAACUGACUAACAACAUGAACAACAUAUGCAAUAUCUGGACGAGUAAUGGUGAGAUAUACCAAACUCCCAACAAUAGUGCGGUAUAAAGUAGGAUCUAUCAAAGGUAAAUCAUCAGAAGAAGAGUACCUUGUGUUAACCUCAAUAGGAGUAUCUACAGUCUUGUUAUCAGUAAGUCUAACCCGCUCAAGAAUAUCUGCAACAUAUUUCGACUGAGAAAGAAGGUAACCUCUAGGUGAGUAUGCUACCUCAAUACCCAGGAAAUAUUAAAGAUAACCCAAAUCCUUCAUUUCAAAUCGUCUAGCCAACUCUGUCUUCAAAACUGAAAUACCAUCAAUAUCAUCACCAGUAAUAAUCAUGUCAUCAACAUAUAAAGACAGAAUGAUACGACCUGCAUCAGUGCACUUAAUAAAAAUAGCAGAAUCAUGACUACUAGAAACAAAGCCACGAGACGAGAUCACAAUAGAAAAUUUCUCAAACCAAGCACGAGGUGCUUGUUUGAGACCAUAUAAUGCUUUCUUAAGCUUACAAACAUAUCCAGAGUCAUGUGAAAUACCAGGAGGGGGUGCCAUAUAAACUUCUUCUUGAAGAUCUCCAUUCAAGAAUGCAUUUUUAACAUCAAGCUGAGAAAUAUGCCACUGACGAAUCGAAGCUACGACAAUAAGAGUAUGAAUAGUAGUCAUUUUUGCAACCGGGGCAAAUGUCUCCUCAUAGUCCAUACCAUACUGUUGAGAGUAUCCUUUUACAACCAGCCUAGCUUUGUAUCGCUCAAUAGACCCAUCAGAAUUAGUCUUGAUCUUAUACACCCAACGACAACCAACAACACUCUUACCAGGAGGUAGAGGAACCAGAUCCCAAGUAUUUGUCUUAUGCAAAGCAGAAAGUUCCUCAUCCAUAGCUUGCUGCCAAAGCGGAUCAAGAAUUGCCUCUUUAUAGGAAGAGGGCUCAAAGAGACAAUGAAUAGAAGCUAAAAAGGAAGUAAAUGAUGAAGAAUAACAAGAAUAAGCAAAAUCUGGUAGUUUUGUGGACUUACGAAUGCGGAUGGACUGACUUGGAGGUGGAUCCACAAUCUCAGAUGAAGCUUGAGGGGAUGUAGAUGAGAAUGGAGCUUCAGGUGUGCCAGAGAGUAAAGUACCAGUACCUGCAGAGUUAUGAGUACAAAUUGAUCGAACAUAGGGAGAGGUAUCAUUACCAGAAUCCUUAGAAAAAGGAUCUAUAUAAAUAAGAUCAGAUUUUGUCAGGCUAUGAGUAGUGGAUGAAAUAGAAAAGAAAGGUAUAUGCUUAAGGAAGACAACAUGACGAGACACAUAAAGUUUCUGAGUUAUUGGAUCAAAUCAACGAUACCCCUUUUUACCUUCACCAUAACCCAGAAAGACACAAAUAACGGAUUGAGAGGAUAGCUUACUGCGUUCUACAUGAGGAAGAAGAACGAAACAAGUACAACCAAAGACUCUAAAUGAGGAAUAAUCAGGGACAUACCCAUAUAACUUUUCAAAAGGAGAUAGACCCGAACUUGACCUAUAUAUACUUUAUUUGUAUUUAGGUUAAGACUAAACAUUCAUAAUAUACAGAUUAUUCAGAAUUCUAGCCUCCUUUCUCUAUUUGAUCUCAAUUAAUUUAACAUUAACCAUUCACAUACAUUAAAUAAAACCCAUGGAAACAGGACACAAACGUCGACUGCAACUGCAACAUUAUACUAAUGAGUGUAUUUUCUGAAGUCGAAAGAGUGCUACCCAAUCUAGGUUCAAGUGGGAUGAUGAAUUGAAGAGCAGUUGUUAUUUGACACUGCAAUUAGAUGGCUCAUAUUUGAUUUAUGGAGCUAUGAUAAGGGAUUCGUGCUUGUAUCACAUAUAACAAUAUUUACAUAGUAACAAGCACUAUUAAAGAUGCUACACUAGUAAUUGCUUUAUCAAAUAUUUUAUGUUUUUUUUUUUGAAAUAUUGUUAUAGACAUAGAAUCAUCUAGAUUAUGUGACAUUCUAUAUUGAUUUUGUGAUAUUUUAAUCACUAAAAGUAUGGGUUUCAGAGAAAAAAAACCAAACAAAAAAUUGAAAAAAUUAAAAAUUUUCAAACCAACCCAAUCCAACAUAUUGAUCAGUUUUGGUCUGGUCUGGUUCAAAUAUUUUUUAGCUGAAACAAUUAAUAACCAUUUUCAAAAGGUAACUAUUGACAAGCCUUUCACCGAAACCAUGUUCAUUUAUCCUGAAUCAAUCCAAAUCAGGUUCAGGUUUGAAAGGUUCGGAUAAUCACUUAGACGUCUUCGGUUCUAAUUUUAGGCCUUGUCACUUAGUCAUCCCUUAUCCUAACUUUUUAUUUCCUAAUAAAAUCUCACGGUUUUUCAUCUAUGUUCAAAGGAAAAGUUGACCUUGCAAAUGGUGCUCUAAGGAACCAAGUCAUCCUAGAACUAAUCAUCCACCUAAUCUCAUCAACUCCUUGUUGCACAAACAGCUUGUCUCACUUAAAGGGGAUUUUAAUGAUGAACAAACACCAACUCCUUGUUGCUCAAAUACAUAUGCUCAUUUAAACACAAUUUUGCAUUACCUAGAACUGACAAGGCCUAAAAUUCCUGACAUAUAAUUUUGUUUUAAAGGAACUUCAGGAUUUCUAUAUAGGAUGCUUGACCUCAUUAAAGAAAAACUGAGGACAUCCAUAACAUAAAUUAUCUUCCUUGCCCCAAAGUCAGCACAGAAAAACCCUGUUCAAUAUAAAGGUUCUGAAUGUUUUUCCUAAAUUUCAUGAGCUGGCAUUCAACACAUCAAACUCCCAAUUUAGCAUUCUUAUGCAAACUACAACUGCAAAAGGCUUGUACAUGUAGGGGAGGUAGGAAGAGCUGCAAAGAAUUGUGGCAUCUAUUGUUAUGCUGUUCAGAGUUUCUAUCUCAUCAUCCAAUCUGCCAAAAAUAUAAGAGAUCAUGUGCAUCAUCAAAAGCCCCAGCCGCUAUAUGAACAAAGCACCUAAAAAAUUAAUCACCUAGCUAAUCUAAUUCAGGAAAAUUCGGUCAAAAUCUCCUACAAUGAAACGAGUUAUUGGAAUGCAUAGAUAGGAAAUUCAGGUAAACACACACACAUACACACACACACCUGAUCAUAAAUUUCCUAAAGAAAUUCUGAAUCGUAACAUUGGUAAACAAAGAGUGACAAUAUCAUCACAUUAAAAAUGCAUUUCACUCAAAACAAAUAACAGCUCAAGAAAAAAAAUUGCAAGAAGCCAAUAGAGAAUAAAGUAAGCAGUCCAUAAACAAGAGACAGAGAGACAUUGUUCCAAUAGAGAAAAGUAAUUAAAACCCAACAACUAAAACUGAGAAAGAAUCAAACCAGGGAGUAACUAAUCCUUUUAAAGCAUUCCAAGAAUGGCAACCAAAUGUAACAUAAUCAACCUGCAAAAACAAACACAAAAAGAAUUAGAAGAAGAAAUCCCAUUAGUUAAUAAGUUAAAACAGCAGCAGCAGCAAAAAGACUAAAAUUUUAGUUAUUUGGACUUGAGAAAAAGCACUGAACCUGUGUGAAAAUGCCAUGAAAGGGGUGCUAAGAAACCAGGAACAUAAAAACUUGUAAAAGGGUCUUUUUACAAAGCAAGAAAGAAGCUAGGAAGCAAGGAAGCAUGCCAGCCUACCCUCACGAACUCUGUUUGUUAGGCCAUGUUUGUUUCCCGGAAUUCACUUUCCGGGAAACCAUUUUCCAAACUUUCCUGUGUUUGUUUGCCAUUAGAAAAAUUGAUCAACGGAAAACACUUUCCGGUCAACGGAAAACACUUUUCAAUCAACGAAAACACUUUCCCAUCAAAGAAAAAAUUGGUUUGGUUUUUCAGGAAAGUGUUUUCCCUUUUGGCUGUGUUUGUUUUCCGGAAAGUGGUUUCCGGGAAACCACUUUCCAAACUUUCUUGUGUUUGUUUGUCAUUAGAAAAGUUGGUCAACGGAAAACACUUUUCGGAAGUUGUGAAAAAUUUAGAAAUGUCAUUAUUUGUUGAUUAUAUCAAAUUUAAUCCUCAAACUUUUGAUUGCUAUAUAUAAUUUGUUUUGAAUAUUUAUUUUUCAAUUCCAUUUCUUAAAAUUUAAUUUUUAUAUUAAUUUUGCUCCUUAUUUUUAUAAUUGUUAUUUGCUUUUUCCUUAUCAUUUUUUUAUUGAAAUUUUUUAUCUGUCAAAUUUGGUCCUCAUUCUUUUGAUUGUUACUUAGUUUAUUUGAAAUAAUUUAUGAAAUGUUAAUUAUUAUUAUUUUAAUUUCUUCACCUUUCAUUUUUUUAAAAUUUUUAGAUUUGAUUUCUAUUAUUUUGAUUAUUAUUUAUUUUAUUUGAGAUAAUUUAUGAAAUUGUAUUUUUUUUCAAUUUCAUUCUCAUUCAACUUUUUAAUUUGUAAGAUUUGUUCCUCAUUAUUUUAAUAAACUUGAGAAAAUAAAACAUUAAUAAGUUAUUUUCCAGCUCAUUUUCCAUGACAUAACCAAACACUGGAAAAUGUUUUCCAACUUAUUUUUCAUUACACUACCAAACAUCAGAAAAUACUUUCCCGGAAUUCAUUUUCCCGGAAUUCACUUUCCAAAAUGAAACUACUUUCCAGCAAACAAACGGGGCCUUAAUUGUUUUUUCUCCUUUCAAGUAAAAAAAAAAAAAAAAAACAAAGAGCACCAAGAAAAUCUAAUCAGAAAUAUUUUUUUUUUAGUCUGAAAUAUUUUAUGUUGUUGUCUUGGAGAGAUGCAGAUACCGAGGAACAGUUGUGGGGCCACCAUUGGUGAGCAGUGAUACAGUGGCAAGUACGUGAAGUAACGCAUAUUACAGUGCGCAAUGAUAGAGUGAGUCUGGGUGGACAAACUUUUGGUGGUACACGUGGUGCGUAAUGAUUUGACGGCUAUGGAGAGAAGUUACAUGAGGGAAAUAAGAUGAAAAAAGUGGCCUCUCUAGAUUUUGGAAAUGUUCUCUGAAGAAAGAAAGAAAAUAAUCUCAAGGGUGGACAAAAAUGGGGUAAUAUCAGAUUUGGAACAUAAUCUUGGUUGGUGAAGAAUAACAUAAUCUGAAGAGAAAUCUAGGGCAAGCCAGUGAGAUUUGAGCUUAGAUUUUGGACCAAUUUAUAGGUGGAUGAUACCAUCAUGGAUGAUGUCUAGCUGAUAAAUGUUUAGUUACUAGCAAUUCUAUCAUAAGUUAUCAGAUUCUGUGUGUGUGAGGCUGCCAUAAAUUUCUUUCUUCUAUGAUGGAUAAAAAACGCUAAGCAAUGAACCAUUUUGUCAACCUAGUAAAAAAGGUAUUAUGGUAUUAUAGACUUAAAUUCAUAGAUAAUUAAGUAAAUUUCUUGAGGAAAAGCAAAAUUUAACUAUAGAUAAUCAAAGUGAAAAAAAAACACCUCAAAAAAAGAUGGUAGUUUCAAGAUUAAAGCCAAAAAUUCACUUUGAUUCUCAUACUUUUCAGAUAAUGACUUUUUGGUCCCUUAAGUUUUCUCACAUUUUAUUUUUGAUCCACAACUUCAUUUUUCUAUAUUCUCAUUCCCUAAUUUGAUAGAGGAGACAAAAUGUUAUUGGAUUACAAUGUUAGAGAGAGUCUCUGUAACAGCCUCAACAUUUGUAUUCAAAACAAAGAGUAAGGACAUGAUGAUUCAAAUAAGAUUAUGGAAUUUUUUUUUGUAAUCAAUAAAAAAUUCAGCAGAGUUUUUUUUAUAUUUUUAGAUACUAAAUUAUCGACUUUUCAUCUACAAUCCUCAAUUAUCAAAUUUCUUACUCAUCCUAUCAUCCAGAACUUCCUCCUCUCAUUACAUCACAACUUCUCAAUAAUCAAAUGCACAUAUGUCUAAAUAAUUCAAUAUCCCACAUUUACAUGGAUGCAAUCCAAAGAAUUAUUCUACAAAUUAUAAUUGAAGUACAUUACAUAAUUCAAAGAUUUACAAAUAAGGACCAUUAACGAAAUUAUAAUCGAAAUAAGUAUAUAAUUAAAGAAGAAAUUCAUAAUUAAGAUUAUACUACACAAAAGAGCUUUCGAUAAACUGUUGACACAUUAUAUUACAUAACAAAAUGAUAAAUUCAUUCAUUACAAAAAGAUACCCAACAAAAUAUAAGAAAAUUAAUCUAUUGUUCAGCCCGAUAAGGGGAUGUACCUGAAAAUUGAUUUAAUACAAAAAUUUAAUUAGACAGAUGAAAAAAAGAUAUCCUGCUUUCUUUCUUUCUUCCUUUUUUUUUUAAAAAAAAAUUAGUCAAAAGAUCAUUAAAUUAACUUGCUCAUGUAGUAUUAUAUAUAUAUAUAUAUAUAUAUAUAUAUAUAUAUAUAUAUAUAUAUAUAUAUCAAUUAAAUUUCAGAAUAAUCUAUGAGUUUGAGUUUGUUUUCUUUUUCUUUUUUAAUAUCAACCAAAAAUAUAAUUAUUCAUAUCACUCAAUUAACCCGACAUUACUUUCACUAAUAGAUGAUUAAUUUUCCACCAGUCUAUUCAACAAACACUAUUGUCAUCAAUCCAAAAAUUAGUUUAACGUUUCAUCCAUUCAUCAGGUACAAAUCCCAUUAACUAGGAAAAUUAAUUCUUCAUCUUGCCUAUUUGCCAGGGCACUAAUUCCAUUAAAUCAGGAAUUAGUUCAACGAUUUACCCAUUCACUAGGGUACUAAUCCCAUUAACCAAAGACUUAAUUCCUCAUCAUGCCCAUUCACCGGGACAUUAAUCCCAUUAAUUCAGGAAUUAGUUCAACGAUUUGUCUAUUCACCAGGGUUCUAAUCCCAUUAACUAGAGAAUUAAUUCCUUAUCACGCCCAUUCACCAAGGCAUUAAUCCCAUUAGUUCAAGAAUUAAUUCAUCACAUCGCAUAUCUUAUUUUCUAAAGUAAACAAUAUAAUAAUUUCAUAUUUAUCAACCAUAAUUAAUCAAAUAAAAAUACAUAUUGACCAAUAAUAAAUUCAGGUACCGUGUAAUUACCUGAUGACUAAGCUCGAGCUGAAAUUUCCUGCUGUGGUGUCGGCCUGGCAGCCUCUCUUGAAUUGACAAGUAUAUCAUAUCAUUAUUCUACUUUCCAUAUUGAAACACUCAAUAAAUAAAAUCAUUCCAAUUAUCCUUUUAUUUGCCAAAAUAAAAUCAUUUUGUAAAUUUCCUUCCUAUUCUUUCAAUUUCCACAUUGUAACACAAUUCAUUUCAUCAUUCAAAUCAAUAUAUAUAUUCUUUAAAUUUAUUUAUUUAAUUUUUACCGUAAUUUAAAUCAAAGAAAAACAUAAAAAAAUUUCAUGAUCUAUUCACUCUUUAACAUUAAUAUCAUCUCUUUCUUACACAAUCUCAUCAUCUUAUCAAAACUCUUAAAUUUUUAUUUUUCUUAUUAUUAUUUUUCCAAAAAUCCCUUCUUCAAGAACACCUAAAAUUUUGCUUUAAUUACCAUAAUUUCUUACCUUCCCUACUCACUUCAAUAAUCUUAACACAAUUUCACAAUCAAUUGUAAUUUUCUCUAAAAUAUAUCAUGAACCCUAAUUCCUCAUUUCACAAAGUUCAAUCAAUUUAAAGCAUAAAUUCUUCGAGAAUCUUAUUUAAAAGUGUGAGGACAUCUUACCAAGCAAUAACCAAAGCUUUAACACUUUUAAAUUGAGAAAUUUUCCUUGCUUGAAUUUGUUUUUCCUCUCCUGGCCGAAUGCUUAAAAAGCAAGUUUUUUUUUUUGUUUCCUUAUAGCACACUCACUUGCACUCAUAUAUAUAUAUAUAUAACUCUUUUUUUAAAUACCUUCCACAUCCCUCAAUUUUUUCUUUCCCCCUACACAUAUAUAAUUACUUAACUUUUUAAAAAUACCUUUUAUAUUCCUUAAUAGUAAAUUUUAUGAUUUUUGGGUAAAAUUUCUUGAAUCCUAAUGCCUGUUUAUACCAAAUUUUAUCCAGGUUAUUUCAAAUUUCACUCAGUUACUCGUUAGUAUUUUCAGUUUCAUGAAAUUCAUUUCCAUAAAAAUUUUAUUCAUAUUUUCAUGUUUAUUUAUUUAUAUUUAUUUUUUAUAUAUAUUUUAACACCCGAACAAAACAUUUCAAUUCAGAUUCUCGAAUAUAUCAUCAUUCUUAUAAUUUAAUUUAUCACUUUUCCUCAUUUUUCGUAAUCUUGACUUUUAUUAAUAUCAAUAAUAUUACCCGGGGUUUUACAAUCUCAGUUGGCACUGAUUUUUGCCAUAAAAAAUGGUUGAUUUUAAUGAUUUUUUUUAAUAUCUAUAUGUUUUUUUUAUAUUUUAUAUGAAUAAACUUUAUUUUCAUGAUGUGUUUAUAAAAAUAAGAAUUAUUUGUUCUUGGUAAGAAAAAGUGACCUUUAAGAUUAAAAAGAAGGAGAAAAGUGACCUUUAAGAUUAAAAGUAUCUGCUCGAAAAAACCAUUCAACAUAAGAUUGCUCUGCUAGGAAAACAUGAUAUCAGUAUCAAACUUUUGAACAAAGAGUUCAGCAUCAAGUCUCAGUCAUCUUGAGAUUUGAAUGCCCAAACAUAUUCAGAUGCUCAUAAAAUAACAUUUUUAAUAAUGCAUUAUGCAAUAGAAACAGAACAUCAAACAAAGAGUUCAGCAUCUUACGCAUGAAAGUCCACACAUUAAACCAAAAGAAACACAAAUGGCCAAGCAAACAUACGCCCUUACUUCUGGAGGCUUGUACGAUAAUGGGCAAGCAACAUUAUUUUUUUGACUAUUAAGCAUCACCAUCACCAUCACCAUCACCAUCACCAUCUUCCUCUUCCUCUACUUCUUCUUCUGUCCACCCAUUAUCUCGGGUCCACUCUCUAUUAAUGCUUGAAUCUUCAGCUACUUCAGAUACCUGUAAACCAAUCAAGAAAAGAGAAAUUCAUAAAAAAAUUACAAAGAAAAGAGAAAAUUAGCGAAAGCCAUUCAACAUAAGAUUGCUCUGCUAGGGAAACAUGAUAUCAGUAUCAAACUUUUGAACAAAGAGUUCAGCAUCAAGUCUCAGUCAUCUGGAGAUUUGAAUGCCCAAAUAUAUUCACAUGCUCAUACAAUAACAUUUUUAAAAAUGCAUUAUGCAUUAGAAACAGAACAUCAAACUGCAGAGAAAACAUGCUGAUGCAGAAAAUACUCAAGUCGUAGAAAGGAGAAUGCAUGAAAGUCCACACAUUAAACAUUAUGCCUUUCUUUUUGAAGGUUCACACACUUCAAAAGAAACACAAAUGGGCAAGCAAUAUACGCCCUUACUUCUGGAGGCUUGUAAGAUAAUAAUGGGCAAGCAACAUUAUUUUUUUGAGGUUCGCACAGUAAUGACUAAAUACACAACAUUACAUUACUCCUGUGCUGUCAACAAUUCUUCUAACUUCUUCAGCAAACACAUAGAUAGAUAAGUCGAAAUCUUCUAUGGUAAAUAAGACUGUCACAAUGUGAAGCCAAUUUGUAUCCCGUUGCCAAUGGAACAGGAGGAAUUAUUUCCCACCAAUCUAAAACAUAUUCGCAGCACCAACCUUGAAAUCAUGUAAGAGCUAACCACCAUUCAACAUGAGAUUGUUCUGCUAGGAAAACAUGAUAUCAAACUUUUGAACAAAUAGUACACCAUCAAGUCCAAAUAUAUUCACAGCUCAAAGACAUGAGUCUCCAUCUUCUUUCCACCCCAUAUUUCUGGUCCACUCUCUAUUAAUGCUUGAAUCUUCAGCUACUUCAGGUACCUGUAAACCAAUUCAAGCAUGGCAUGCUCAUUUAACUUGUAAAUCUUAUUAUUGAGAGAAACAAGAAACAAACACACUAAAAGAGAGGCAAGAAAUCAAGUCAAAUCAGCAGCACCUCUGAUUGAGCAUUCAUUGAACCAUCUGGUGUAGUAGCAAAUUUUGUGGUCAGCUUUGGACAUUGAUGGACCUUCAACUUCUCCAAACGAGGGAAUAAGAAAUAAUCACACCAUCUGAAACUAAAACAGACAAUACUUGAUAAUUGUUCUAGCGACAACUCCUUUAGAUUAGGAAGCACUAUCUCCUUCUCAACGUUGAUAGGUGAAGCUUGACCAUCCUGCCCAGGAGACUCUGGAAUUAUUUCCCUUUCACCAUCCUCUUCUCUGAUAAUAUGCUUCAAUUGACCGCAUUUACUUAUGUAAAGUCUUUGUAGCUUUGGCAGACUUCGAGCGAGGGACGGUGUGAAGAUAAAUGUCAGUUUGUUGAGAGACUCCAAAUUCAGACGAUUAAGACUUUGGAGGCUGACAUGUCUAGAUGGCCCCUUCCAUAUACANNNNNNNNNNNNNNNNNNNNNNNNNNNNNNNNNNNNNNNNNNNNNNNNNNNNNNNNNNNNNNNNNNNNNNNNNNNNNNNNNNNNNNNNNNNNNNNNNNNNAAUACCUCUUCCAAUGAUUUACAGCUGUCAACAAUCACCUCCUUUAGAUUGUUCAAAGCUCGGAGCAAUUUUGCUGGAAACGGAGUGCGAACAUCCCCACAAUCGUCUACUCGUACAAAUUUUAAUCUUUGUAAGAAGCCGUUUUGCUGCCCAUGGACGGCCAUCUUAUCAGAGAACAAUAUUAUAUUUUUUCACUCUCAUAAAAACAAUUUAUAUGAUGUAUAAAUAGGAGAAAAAAAUAGAAAAAACAGGAUUAAAUACUUUUUUUUUGUCUUAAUUAGAGAUAAGUUGAAUAAUAAUUAGAUUUUUGCGAAAAAAGGUUAAUACAACUCCUAAUAAUUAGUUUCAUGUAAAAAAUAAAAAUAAAAAUAGUAGCUAAAAUUUUUAUUUUAGUUAUAAAGUUAAUAAAUUUUUAAAGAUAUUUUAAUUGAAUUAAAUAUUUGAACACAAAAGUUAUAUAUUAAAUCUAACAGAUAUUAUGAUUUCUAUGAUUAAUUUUUGGUAUUAAUAACGCAAACAACAAUGAGGCAGUUAAUUUUCUUAUAUUUAUAUAUGUUUAGAUAAAAAAACAAAUCAUAAAAAAAAAAAAUAAGCUACUAUGUUUGUUAUAUAAUUAAAAAAAAAAUUCAAACUUGGAUUUCCUAGCAUUUAUCAAUUACUUUACUUUUAGAAAUUGGGAGGAAGAAAGAAUAAAUUAUCGCAAUUGACAAUUUAAAUUAGUGGAGAAAUAUAAAUUACGUACUUGUAGCUGUGCCAACCAAUUACCCACUUCUUCGUGGCCUUCAAUGGUUAAGUCUAUGAUGCCAUCUCUGUUAUGAGACAAAGAGACUGGGAAGACAUAUUCCAGUUUACCACAGUGAGAUAUGCGGAGAGUUUUUAAUUUUGGGAAGCGAGGAGACUCUGGAAUUAUUUCCCUUUCACCAUCCUCUUCUCUGAUAAUAUGCUUCAAUUCACCACAAUCACUUACCUGAAGUCUUUUUAGCUGUGGUAGACUUUGAAGAGUUAGAGACACGGAGACAGGGAAGACAUAUUCCAGUUUACCACAGCCUUCUAUGAUGAUAGUUUUUAAUUUUGGGAAGCAAGGAGACUCUGGAAUUAUUUCCCUUUCACCAUCCUCUUCUCUGAUAAUAUGCUUCAAUUCACCGGAUUCACUUAUGCAAAGGGUUUCUAGCUUUGGCAGACUUUGAGCAAGGGACGGUGUGAAGAUAAAUGUCAUUUUGUCGAGAGAAUCCAAAUGCAGAUGAGCAAGACUGUGGAGGCUGACAUGUCUGGUGGGCCCCUUCCAUAUGCAUUUGAGCUCAGGUAACCGGUACAGCUUUAACUCUGUUAAAGAUGACAGCAACGGCAGCUCCUUCUCCUCACCCAAUUCAAAUACCUCUUCCACUGAUUUGCAGUCCUCAAUUUCCACCCUCCUUAGAUUUUUUAAACCUUGCUGCAAUCUUGCUGGAAACAGAGUGAAAACAUCCCCACAAUCCCUCACUUCUACAAAUUCUAAUUUAUGUAAAAACAAUUGCUCAAAUGUCUUCGCAUUUAAGGAUGUACCACCCAAAAUUAAUCUUGUGGAGGUUGGGUAUCCAUUAGAAUAAUAUUUAGUAGUAUUCCCUAACAUUAAAUCAUAUUUGAGCAAGCUGGGAAAAACAAAAUCUCUGGGAAUGCAUUCAACCUUCGGUAUCCUCAAUGAUAAUACGGCUAACUGAGACAACGAAUUUAGUUCUGUUAGGCUUGCAUUCAUUCCUCCUGUGCUGUCACAUCCAACAUCAUCCCAUCCCUUAAAGCUGUCUUUCCCGAUCAACAAUUCUUCUAACUUCUUCAACCUUCAAAUCAAAUUCACAGGGAUCCUUCUUAGACUUCGACAACCUGUCACAUCCAACAACCUUAACUCCUUGAGCUCUCCUAUUUCAUCAGGUAAUUCUUCAAUGGAUAAGCACAUUAUAAAAACAAGAAUCUUAAGUCUCUGCAGCUUUCUCAACCAAAUGAGGUCCUUGCAUCCACACCUGAUCAACACCAACGAUUGAAGUUUCGUUAAGAGUUCAAGUGAUUGCAAUGACAAACACUCUCCCUCCAGAGACAAAACUUCAAUUUCUUUCAUCCCUUCAAAAAACCUCUGAGGAACAUUCAUACCAUCAUCCAGUUCUAAUAAUAGAACUUUGAGCCGUGGACAUACCAAUCCUUCAGGAAGUUCGGUUAGUUUAUUGCCCAUUAACGAAAUUGUUGUACAAGCUUCAAAGCUUUUGAUACUCAUUGGCCAUUCCUUCAACCCAAUGCCAGCCUUUACCAUGAAUCCAUAUUCUUCUGAUGAUGCUAUCUGAAUAGCAAAGUCACGAACCAAGUCAUGCAUUCUCACAUGUUCUUCAGUUUCAGUGCCCAACAGCAUGCAACAAUCUUUGAGGUUUUCGAUUGCCACGGAAACUCGUUUCCUUGCAUCUUCAAUGGGCUCCGUAUCUUGAUGUAACCCACAGCCAACUGCAUAUCUCGUCAAGUCCUCGAUUGGAAUGUCAUAAUCUUCUGGAAAUAAACAGCAUAGCACGAAACAUGACUUGGUUUCCUCGUACUUCAAAUAAUCAUAGCUCAACUUAAGACAUGUGUAAGCAUUAUUUUGUUCGUCAAUUUGUUCCAUGCGCACAAAUUGAGAUUCUUUGAGCUGUUUAGACGCUACUUCCCACUGAACUCGUGAUUUACCUCUUAGAGCCCUUCCCACUGUCACAAGUGCUAUAGGCAAGCCUUGGCAUUCUCUCGCAACCUCCCUUGCCACUGUGUUCAAGGUAGAGUCCCCAUCACGUAAACCUGCAUUGAUUCUGAAUAAAUCCCAUGCUUCAUCUUCAGGUAAGACUCUUAAAAGCACUUUUUGCUGGCACUCCAUAGAAAAACAUAUGCCUUGAACACGAGUUGUUAGAAGAAUUUUACAACCCCUGUGAUCAUCACCAAAUGGGAUCCCUAUCUCUUUCAAGUCAAUAUGUUUCCAAACAUCAUCUAGGAUUAUAAGCAUCUUCUUUCCCUGCAGUCUCUGCCAUAAUUCACUUGCUCUACCUUCUUUACUCGUUUUUUCAAAUUUCAGAUGUAAACUAUCUGCCAUUCGAUCCUGGAUGCCUAUGACAUUUGGAUUCUGGGACACCGUAGCCAUCAAAACUUCAGGAAAAAGCUGCGACUCUUUGGCUCUCCUGCCUACUUCUUUCACCAGGGUUGUUUUACCCACCCCUCCCAUGCCGUACAGUCCGAUCAUAUUGACGUUGUCAUCUUUGAGAGCUUUCAUGAUCUGUUCCAAAGCUUCUUUUGACGAUUCUGAGGGUGUGAAUUCCUUUGAUGUUAGAAAUUCUAUGGGCUGAGGAGGAGCUUUUUGGGCCACUGUUUUAAACUUUUCGCUACUUUCUCCAAGUUUUCUGAAAGUCUUCGACUUCUUGGCCAGUGCCUUGCUUAACUUGAAUUGUCGCAUNNNNNNNNNNNNNNNNNNNNNNNNNNNNNNNNNNNNNNNNNNNNNNNNNNNNNNNNNNNNNNNNNNNNNNNNNNNNNNNNNNNNNNNNNNNNNNNNNNNNNNNNNNNNNNNNNNNNNNNNNNNNNNNNNNNNNNNNNNNNNNNNNNNNNNNNNNNNNNNNNNNNNNUUUGCCGAAACCAGGUUCUCCUUUCGUUCUUUGAAUUCUUCAACAAAAUUGUAGAAACAGAACAUGCAACGGAACAGCCUUCCUACUGGUUCCACCAUGAGUUCUGCUAGCAUAGCUAUAAUGGAUCCACCAGCACUUUCGAGAGCCAUUUUCCACAGGU
This 334081-nucleotide long non-coding RNA is filed under the name Populus trichocarpa (black cottonwood). RNAcentral's name for it is "long non-coding RNA (PTRI_LNC000455)". The stretch from base 172890 to 173045 matches the Rfam family "MIR2912 microRNA precursor family". Lineage: Eukaryota; Viridiplantae; Streptophyta; Magnoliopsida; Malpighiales; Salicaceae. The record is from RNAcentral.